GAGCAAGCAUCGAUAUAUAUAUAUAUUUAUGUCCAAACAUCCUCUGCAUGGUAACACAUAAUCUAUAGUCUAUCAUCUGAUAUUUUGAUAUACCUAUUUGUAUGAGCUCUUUAUUCUCUCUCGCUAUACUUACUUAUGAGUACCAAGGAGGUAGGGAGGCAACCUGUAUUUCAGCUACUGCUUAUUACUAGUAUGAUGAAGGAAUUAUCCGACCCUUCAUCUUGUGUGUGUCUACUUCUUGAUCCGGCGCACCUUCUUUGCGCCCCAGACCUCCAUGCGGCCCUUGGGGCAGCCGCAGGGCGCGCGGAAGAUGAGCACGGUGCGUCCAGUUGGGCGGCGACCGAUCGUUCCGGAGUCCUCGGCCUCCAGCUCGCGGUGCGCGUCGCCGAGAGUCGGACGGGGCGGGGCMGGCCCGGCGGGCGGCGACGCNNNNNNNNNNNNNNNNNNNNNNNNNNNNNNNNNNNNNNNNNNNNNNNNNNNNNNNNNNNNNNNNNNNNNNNNNNNNNNNNNNNNNNNNNNNNNNNNNNNNCUCAUGAUGCCACUACCUUCGGGKAAGGUAGUUGGUCGAUGGGAACGAAAAAAUUAACCUAACGUACACACGAAAAUACUAUCAUGGUGAUGUUCAUCUACGAGAGUCCACGCGACAGAAGACCGAUGCUCAAGAGAAGGAUGCCAUCGUCAGCAAAGCGCACGUCCUCCUCAUGAUGGGGUUGUGUCGUCCGAGGAGCUUCGCGGUUGUGCCAGUCGGUCAUUCGGCCUUCGCACUUGCCCUCCCCGACCGUCCGUCGACCAUGCCAUUGUCGCCUGGUUUCCCUCCGCCAAGGUGCCAAACCCAGACCCGUUUGUCGGGUCACUGGAAGUCAGCGUGAUUGCGCCGUCCACGUCGCGCCCCUCGGCCGUCAUCGAUCUCAAUGUCACGCCGGGGUUCUGCAGCGGUGGUCGCCCGUCCAUAGAGAUGCAAAGAAAGCAAGCCCGGUCGCUGUCUACGGCCACCAUGUUGUCGCCCCGUGUCUUGUUCGGCGAAAUGUCAACACCGAUGCCAACGGUCGAGGACCCCUUCUACGCCCAGUUCAUGGAGAAUGUUUUCUUCGAGGGUCGUGGCGAGGCCUUUCGGAUGGGUGGGCAGGGCUGUGUUACCAGCGAGGGCGUGUAGGCUGACUGUGUUGCCGACAUGAUCUAGGUCGCUAGCAUGAACUUGUUGGGGAACGUUGCAUGGGAAACAAAAAAAUUCCUACGCACACGAAGACCUAUCAUGGUGAUGUUCAUCUACGAGAGGGAGAUCGGAUCCACAUACCCUUGUAGAUCGCUAAGCGGGAAGCAUUAAGAUACGCAAUUGAUGUAGUGGAACUGCUUCGUGAUUCAAAUAACAUUCGUCCCAUGAUCCGUCCCGAUCUAGCACCAAACGGAUGGCACCUCCGCGUUAACCACACGUACAGGUUGAUGGCGAUCUCCGCCUUCUUGAUCCAGCAAGAGAGACGGGGAAGUAGAUGAGUUCUCCGACAGCGUGACGGCACGCCGGUGAUGGUGAUGAUCUUAUUCCUGCAGGUCUCCGCCCGAGCUCCGCAAAAAUCCGAUCUAGAGGAAGAACUACGAAGUAGAGGUUUAGGGUUGCACGUGGCAAAGUUAUGUCUCAAAAACCCUAAAACCUCUAGUAUGUAUAGGAGGAGGGGAGGGACUAGCCUUGAGGCUCAAGGGAUCCUCCAAGGCAUCAGGCAAGAGAGGUAGGAGGGACUCCUACUCUAAUUCGGUUUGGAAGGAGCAGUCCCUUCCUUCCUUCCCACCUCCUCUCUUUUUUCCUUUUGCAUUGUUUUUUCUCCUUGGCCGAAAUAGACCUAUUGGGCUGGCUACACCUUCCUGAUCUAGCAAGAGAGAUGGAGAAGUAGAUGAGUUUCNCUGGCAGCGUGACGGCGCNNNNNNNNNNNNNNNNNNNNNNNNNNNNNNNNNNNNNNNNNNNNNNNNNNNNNNNNNNNNNNNNNNNNNNNNNNNNNNNNNNNNNNNNNNNNNNNNNNNNGGUCCCGGUACCGGCCCGUUCGGUCCGUCCUCCGUACGUCCCGUCGGUCCGUCGGCGUACCGUCCGUCCGUCCGGCCGCGGCCGACUGGGCGGAGGCCGUACGACCGACGCCAGCCUACCGCAACGGUCCUCCGUACGCUCACCUCUUGCUCCUUCUGCCCCCCCCCACUGGGCGGGGUAACUGCUGUAGUGGCAUGGAGAUUUACACUCCAUGGCUUGUUGACACUUCAAAUAACAAUGCAAUAAUAUCAGUCUUCAGACAUGCAUUUGAAAACUUCAAUGAAGUUUUGAUUUGCAUGGACAGGAGGGACCAGAGGUGUGUGUCACCGUUGCUGCCAAGUUUGCAUCCAUAGCUGCUUCAAUUUUCAGUGCCACCUAUUGCUUGAUUAUUAUUGAAUCAAUUGAGGGCUUGAUGGAAAAGAUCAAUGUGCUGCUCCUCUUUAGCGAUAAACUAGAUCAGUUAAUAUCCAUUAUUCAAUCUCAACGAAUCUCUCAUCAAAAUAGGGACUUUGCAGCUAUAAGCAACUGCACUGGAAUAUCAAGGUGUAGGAUAAAUAGUUCAGAACUGAGUUCCUCUGAUAAUAAGUUGCAUGUCUUCUCUGUCUAUGUUUAUGUUUAUCAUGUCCUUUGAAAUUGCAGGACUUAGUUUUCUUUUCAAUCAGUGUGCAUAUUUACUGCUGCAAUGCAUGAUCUCUUGUAUAGUCAGCAACAUACAUUUCUAAAUCAAACUUUGGCACUCUCAGCGAACUCACACCUUGAUCUUCACCACCCAACUGCAGGUCCUGCACAAGCGUGCUCAAGGGACUGUUCACCUAGUUGUGGCAGAGCCGGUUAAGGAGAGGGAGCCCCGUUUUGUGGCUCGGCUCACACCUACGCACGCCCCCCUUGCGGCUUCCCCUGUGCCUCCGGUGACUGCUUCUUCUUCGACUCCGGCAUAGGUAAGCCACUCGGUUUUUCUCCUUUGCUUUCUCUCAUGCUUUAUGUGCCAACAGUCAUCAAGCCCUUGUAAAUUUAUCCUGGCCAUUGCACCAUGGCAAUUUCUUGGGUUUUGGGUUGUGCUGAUGGUAUGUGAUGCCAACAUUUGUACUUCUCGUCACUGUUUUAGUGGAUUUAUUAUCCCUUAAGUGCUAAUUUAGCUAUGGUUUUAUCUACUAUCCAGAGGAGUAGUAGGACCGUCGGCACCAUGAUGGAGUCCGGCUUCGUGUUCCCAAUACUGUCGCCGGUGGUGAUCGCGGAGCAGCUGUCCCAGUACGGGAUCGCCCCCGUCGCGAACCUCCGCCCCGAGAACAUCGCCAACCCGCAGCCCGACCUGCUCCCUGGCGUCCUCGCCCGCUUCUUUGACUCCUUCGUCGAUGCCCCCGGGUAACAAAAGAAGCAUGCCCCCUCUCCCCCCCUCCCUCGCUCGCUCACCAGGCUAGAUUUCACAGGGACGGUGAGGACGGGCUGCUAAGGUUCAGCGACUUGGAGGUGCUGGACAACCCAGAGCACCAUGCGGAGGCCAUCCGAGCGCUGCACCUCUACAUCAAGUCGCAGGCCUUCCUCGACUCCAUCAAGUUCAAGGACUUCACGCUUGCCGACUUCACCCGCCCCACUCCGGACCGCGUCGUCGUGGUCCUCAGCGCCCUCGUCAACUUCCUCUUGUACAGGGAGGAGAAGGUCACCCUCUUGCAGCCCAUCGUCAGCGAGACCCCCGACUACCACGAGCGCACUCUGGAGCUCAAGGCCAGGAUAGCCCAGGUCUUUGCUGUUCACAGUUUCCGCAGCUAAUGUGUUUGUGGAAAUGCCCACAGGCUGACAGGAAAUUCUUAGAGUUGCGUUUAUGUUUCUCCGUGCAGCUUCAGAAAGAGAUUACGGAUCAUGAGCUUGCGGUGCAAAUGGAGGAGCCCAUGGCCCAGCAGCUGGAAGCGGAUGUCAAUGCUCUGCAGCAGAAAGUUCAGGUUUACAACAAGCAGCAACUGACCCUGCGAGCAAAAGCCGCAGCCAUCAAUGACAAGAAAGAGGAGAUCCACAGGAAGGUGUGCUGAUUCCUACCUUGUGUCUUCUGUAGUGUCGCUCUCUAUCCCAAAAACUAAUUAAUUUUCAGUGGAUUUUUGGCAUCAUGAGUUGCAAAUAAAGUAUAGUCCCUAAGAGCCAAGCAUGCUACAUGGUCUAGGAGUUUCUGAUCAAAAUACAUCACAUGUUGCCACAUCAGGUCGAAUAUAAACAGCCUUGUGUGGUUGUGGUGCAAUCUAUUCAGCCUUGUGCCUUUUGGCGUGGCGUCGAUCCUGGUCUUCUAGACAAAGCUAGAGCUAAUUGGUCAAAAACCUUGCCUCCAAGUAUUUCCUAGAUAAAUCUCGAGCUGGUUUUGAUGUCAAUAAAUCCGGAGCUCUCAUAGGAUCCUGUUUGAAACCUGAAAUCAGGAGAUCUGCCAUAUCAAACUAAAUAGGAGUUUAAAGUAGCUUGAAAAGUAUGAGCCUUAAUCACAACAAGGUGCAUUAUCUGCUAUUGGUUAUAAAUUGUAACAUUAAGUAGUACUAUAUUUAAUUACAGGGUAGUACUAUAUUUAAUUACAGGGCCAUAGAUUUUAUUAGACCAGGAGCUAUUGGCCCUAACACAUCUCCCGCUCCAUCUUGACUUCAUAGAUUAGAAAUGCUCCAGCCCACAGCCCCACACAGGACAGGCUAUCUACAAUUUACCAUAUGCAAAGUAAACUAUGUGCACAUUCUUUAAUAUAUCAGUCAUUUACUCUUGAGUCCUGCCAUCUGCUCGUCACCAACCAUCUGCUCGUCACCAAUUGUUUGUGAAUGAGAAUAUUGAACAUCUGAUAUAUUGCUCUCGCUAACUUAAGCUGAUACACCCUCUGAUCCAAAUUACUAAAGCUGCAAAAAUUAAUUUGUAUCGGACGGAGUAGUUUGAUACUCUGCACAAAAAGCAACAGCUCACUGCAUAAUGUUAUAUUUGUUGCAUUUAUGUUUCCUGCUGCAGAUAACCCAGGCUGAUUUUGAGUUGACUAAACAUGCCCAAGAAAACUCCAGAUUGAUGUCCAAAUUAGUAAAGUCCCCAGAAAAAGUAAAGGUGAGACCUCUUCCAUUUUAUUUUAUUUGUAGCAACAGGUAAGGUUCCAAAUUUGGUAUGUGCUAUUUGUCCGGUGACCUGAUGUUGUCGUGAAUUAGUGACUAUAUGAGGAAUUACCUAUACUUGGACUUGUAAUCUGGCUAGUACUAGGUGACUGCAUAUCUGCGUAAACAGCCUGGUUGUCCUGCUACCUUAAUUUUCCAUGUAUAUCUGCAUAACCUGCCUAUUACUAGGUGACUGCAUAUAAAUGGCCUGGUUGACUUGCUAAAUUAUUAUUUUUAUGCAAUUCGGCUUGUGGAGGGGCUGAAAUCCUAUUAUUUGGCUCAAUAUCAAGCCUACCAGGUGUACAGCCCGGUUAACCUGUGAUUUGCUAAAUACAACUUGGACUUGUAAAAGUAGUAUCAUUGUAAGAGAUCGGUAUAAGCUUGCAUACCUGACUCUGGAUUGUAUUUCCUAUUGAAGAGGGUCUUGGAAGAGAAGAAAUCAGCCCGUGCUAAGUUGAAGGAGUCUGAGAAAAUAGCGAUGCAAAAUGAUCAAGAGAAAUCUGCCGCUUUGGAGAUACGCAAUAAGGUAUUCCGGUUCCACUUUUCAUCAGAAUAUGCCAAUUCUAGAAGGUGUUUUCCUUAUGAACAUUGACCAUGACAACUGAUUUCAGACUCACUUUGGAAUUUGAUAAAGAAACGAUUUGCUACAUGUGUCUCCCAAGACAAUUUAGUUUCCUCAUAUGAUAUAUCUCUUCGAUAUUUUGGAUUAUUCAUUUGGUACGGUGGUGCUACUUUGUAUCAGAGUGACACUUACUGCUGCUCCUAGUUGUUCUUAAAUAGUAGAUACCCCUGUAGUCCCGUCCUAAACUAUCUCCAUCUCGCAGGCUCAUGAAAAACUGACGAAGCAACACUCUAAAAUCCAGCACGUACAUGAACAGGUAAGAACAGCUGAGGCAUGAUUGAAAUAUGACUUUAUGAGACUGUCUAACUCUUAKUCKUKSWGUCGUGGUGUNNNNNNNNNNNNNNNNNNNNNNNNNNNNNNNNNNNNNNNNNNNNNNNNNNNNNNNNNNNNNNNNNNNNNNNNNNNNNNNNNNNNNNNNNNNNNNNNNNNNAAUWCGAAACAAACGCGUGAUGCUCACAAUAAUUUCUAAAUUAGUUUGUACGAGUGGAUACACCCCUUUUCCUAAACUAGCCAAGCACAUUCUUCAUAAUAUGUGACUUGACUCUCAGCUUGUUCGCAAUCUUGGCUGCGCGACGCUCCAAGAGUUCUGCAUUGGAUAACUAGGGAGCAUCGACUUGAUUACUUUGCUUGCCCUUGCGUUUUGAUCCUCCCUUGGCACCAGUAGCCCUCUUAGGCGUCGCAGAAGGGAAUUGAGAGACAACAUCCUGAUCAACUUGAUUUUUUUACUUGAGCAGGCUCACUGGUUUGUCCUUGUUCUUCUGGUUGCUCUUGCUCUUGGUCUUGUGCUUCUGUUUGGUCUGGAUCUUGUAGUUGCACUUGAUCUUGAUCUUGAGCAGAUUCGGAACCUUGUGAAAGCACUUGUACAUCAUGGGACACAUCACCAUCUUUGAGCAAUUGAUCUUGUCCUUGAGCUUGUUCAACUGGUUGAGGGUCUUCUCUUUAUUCAUCGGAAGCGUGUGGGGCUUGUGAGGAUGAUGGCUCCACUUGAGUAGAGCAUUGUCCUUCUCCUUCGGCCACAAGGGGGUCCUCAAUGGGGAGUAUUUGACCAAUCCCCAUUCUUCUUAUGGCUUGGGGAGGAAUUUCAUCACCUACAUCACAUAGACCACUUUGCUCCACUUGGGAGCCAUUAUUUUCAUCAAACCCCAUGUUACACGUCUUCCCAAUGAGCCCAGUGGACUUGUUGAGGACACGGUAAGCAUGAGAGUUUGUAGCAUAAGCAACAAAGAUACCCUCUUGUGCUCUAGAAUCAAAUUUAGCUAAACGUGCACUUUUCUUGAGAAUGAAACACUUACACCCGAAUACCCGGAAGUACUUGAGAUUGGGUUUGUUUCCAGUGAGAAUCUCAUAUGGGGUCUUGUUCAAGCCUUUGUGGAUAUAGAGCCGAUUGGACGCAUGACAUGCUGUGUUGAUGGCUUCGGCCAAAAAGUUAUAUGGAGAUUUGAAUUCCGCCAUCAUUGUUCUUGCAGCGUCCAUCAACGUCCCGUUCUUCCUUUCCGCCACACCAUUUUGUUGAGGGGUAUAUGGUGCUGAAUAUUGAUGUUUUAUUCCCUCAUCACCUAGAAACUCAUCCAAGGUGUAGUUCUUGAACUCGGUGCCGUUGUCACUUCUAAUCAUCAAAACCUUUGCUUCAUGUUGACGUUGAGCUUCAUUAGCAAAGUUGAUGACAGUUUGUUGAGUCUCACUCUUCCUCUUGAAGAAAUAUACCCAGGUGUAUCUUGAGUAGUCAUCAACAAUCACCAAGCAGUACUUUAUGCCCCCAAGACUAUCAAAUGAUGGAGGACCGAAGAGAUCCAUAUGAAGGAGCUCCAACGGCCUCUUAGUGUAAAUGAGAGUUGUUGGACGAUGAGCAGUUUCAUGAAUCUUUCCUUCAAUGCAGGCACUGCAAGCAUGAUCUCUCCCAAAACUCACAUUCGUUAGUCCAAAAAUAUGGUCCCCUUUGAGGAGACUUUGCAAAGAUCUCAUAUUGACAUGAGCUAGUCGGCGAUGCCAAAGCCCGCCCACAUCAACUUUAGCCAUUAGACAAGUCGCAGUCUUAGUGGGUCGCUUUGAAAAGUUCACCACAUAGAGACCAUUUUCGACAUAUCCAACAUAGGCUACUUUAAGAGUCUUGCUCCACAAAAGGACCAUAGUAUCAAGAUUAAAGAAUGUGAAAAAGCCCAUAAUUGCAAGUUGACGGACCGAAAGUAAAUUGUAAGCAAGGGACUCAACAAGCAUGACCUUCUCAAUAGAUAACUCUUGAGAGAGGACCACCUUACCAAAUCCCAAUACCUUUGACAAUGAUGCAUCGGCGAAUUGGACAUGGGUGGGCAUAGAUGGGGAAGGAUGCACAUCCACCACUAAGUCCUUGCUUCCGGUCAUAUGAUUUCUUGCUCCACUAUCGAGCAACCAUGAUACCCCACCGCAAGCAAACUCCUGCAAUAGAUCAAGGCUUGGUUUUAGGUACCCAUUUUUGAAUGGGUCCUUUAAUGUUAGAGACAAGGGUCUUAGGAACCCAAAUAGCCCAUUCAAUGAACUCAUAGUAAGAACCAACAAAUCUGGCAUAAACAUGCCCAUCACUAGCACGACAUAAAACAUAGGAAGCACUACUGAAAUUCAGAAAUUUGCCGUCCGCCAUGGCGGACGGCAAAGGGGGCAACCACUGACGGCAAAGGCUUUGCCAUCGGUCAGCAGACGGCAAAGGCUUUGCCGUCGGUCAGCAGACGGCAAAAAAAAUCCGGUGAAGACGUUCUUUGCCGUCUGCUUUUUUAAAGCGGACGACAAAGAAUCUUUGCCAUGAGGGGGCAGACGGCAUAUUAAAUGGGACGGCACAUWACUCCAACGKACCCCGUUAAGUGUUAACGGCAGGCCUCCUCUCUUUGCGUCUGCCAUUCCCCCCUUGCCAUGUGGGGCAGACGGCAAAGGGGGGGACCAGUCCCYCUCUCUCCCSUSUUUGCCGUCUGUCACUUCCCCCUUUCCAGUGUGGGGCAGAUUCGGNAAAGAGGGNGAGAGAGGGGCCUUGAAUUCCAGNNNNNNNNNNNNNNNNNNNNNNNNNNNNNNNNNNNNNNNNNNNNNNNNNNNNNNNNNNNNNNNNNNNNNNNNNNNNNNNNNNNNNNNNNNNNNNNNNNNNGUGCGUGCGCGGCGACAUCGAUCGCCGCGGASRYSACGACKGGACGAUCCCUGAACAGAAUGCACCAGAACGGCAACCGGGAAAGGAAAAGCGGAGCAGCGUGUAUGCAACGACGACACGGGACGGGAGUCGCUGCCCAAGAAGAAGCUUUAACCGGCGGAAUUCCUCCGUGGUGGCGGUGGCAGAGACGUGCGCCACCACGCACGAAGCAGCGCCUUUUCUUCCCCUGAUAACGCCGUGCACACCACGGGAGCUUUUGGUCCAGAAACGCACAUAAUAGAUAGGCAUAGAGCGGCUGGUGGCGUACGGCGCCACUACGACCGGAGCCGGCCGCACGACCAGCGGCCCCGCCGGUGCCACGUACGCCCGCCCGCCCGUCCGGCGGAUCGUAUAACGCGUGCGGCCGCGGCGUUGACAUCUCGACGGUGCGGCACACACAGCACCGGCGUCAUCACUUCCCUGUACUACUACUAGUACUAACGGCUUUUGGUAGUAGCGUAAUACUUACUGGCGGCGUGAACGAAGCGGGCAGACGCUCGGUUGCCGCCGGUCGACCGAGCCGAGCCAGGCCCCGACCCCACCGAUCCGAUCGGCAGCGGCAGGUCCCACGCAGGUUCGCUCCCCCACAGUCACAGACCAGAUCCCGACGCCCCCACCACACCACACCACACCGCACCGCCCUUCCCUCUUCCCAAACUCGCGCAGGCAAACGCACCGGCACCGCACCAGACCAGACCAGGCCGAAACGGGCGAAUUUCACCCGCCGGAGCCAUGGCGGAGUGCCGCAGCCUCAUCGAGUUCCUGCGCGCCUUCGAGCAGCACCGGAGGGCGGCGGACCCCUCGUCUGCCACCCGAUCCAAGCGCGCGCCGUCCCCCUCCAGGCGCCACAGCCUCACCGCGCUCUGCGACCACUCGCCGAUGGCCGCGCUGGACGCGCUCCUGCUGCUGGCCGUGCUCGCCGCGCUGGGCUUCCUMGUGGCCCCGCACGCCAGGCUGCUGCUGCUCGAGGCGCGCGCGCUGCUCCACCCGGCGGCCUCCUGCCUCUCCGGCCGCGCCGCGUCGCCGGGGCCGCCGCCGCCGUCGCCGGGCCNNNNNNNNNNNNNNNNNNNNNNNNNNNNNNNNNNNNNNNNNNNNNNNNNNNNNNNNNNNNNNNNNNNNNNNNNNNNNNNNNNNNNNNNNNNNNNNNNNNNGCGGCGCCGUUUGGGGAUGCAGGCGUAUAGGAGAGGCGCAACCUCAGAAACGGCGCGGCCGUUGAUCCAUCGGUCAAAAAAGGAUUUUAAGUUCGAACAAGCAAUAUAUUCAGAAUAAAGAACAUCACUUUAGCGAUCAUUGCCUCCACUUUCUUUUCUCUAAGUUCAAGGCACAGUUUACCCUCAAUCUCGGAGCUCAAAGCGCCCAGCUUCUGAUUUUCAUCUGCUGUUAUUUGAUUCCUUUCUUCCACUUUCCCCUUGAGACGCUCCUCCAUUUCAUGUACUGGUUGGAAAGGAUUAAUGCAAAAAUGUGAACGAAAUAAUAACUCUCAGAAAGGGAGUAACAUACAAUACUUGAGCAGUACUAACAAAAUACUCCCUCCGUUCCUAAAUAUAAGUCUUUUCAGAGAUUCCACUACGGACUACAUACGGAUGUAUGUAGACAUACUGUAGAGUGUAGAUUCACUCGUUUUGCUCCGUAUGUAGUCCCAAGUGGAAUCUCUAAAAAUACUUUUAUUUAGGAACGAAGGGGGUAUAUGUUUAGGGACUAGAAAGUUAACCUUUUCCUUGCCAAUCAACAAUCAGUGCGUCGAAUGACAUAACUGAUACACUUUCAUCAUUAAGCUUAGCUUUGCGAGCUUUAACUUCCUUUUCAACUGUUUUAGCAGCAACAAGCUGGCAGCAACAGAAAGAAAAAGAGUUAGACAGUCUCAUAAAGUCAUAUUUCAAUCAUGCCUCAGCUGUUCUUACCUGUUCAUGUACGUGCGUGGUAUUUAGAGUUGUUGUCCUUUCGUCUUAGUUUUUCAGUUGACGCCGUGCGAGUGUAGGAGUAGUUAGGUUUAGGACGGUACUACGGAGGGUUACUACGUAACUUAGUUAAACGAACUAANNNNNNNNNNNNNNNNNNNNNNNNNNNNNNNNNNNNNNNNNNNNNNNNNNNNNNNNNNNNNNNNNNNNNNNNNNNNNNNNNNNNNNNNNNNNNNNNNNNNUUGUUUAUGCGUGUAGGGUGGUUUAUGUUCAUGGUUAGAGGUUGUGCAUGCAUGCAUCAUUUUGUUUGUUGCAUCAUCUAUUUACGUUGGUUGUUUUAUUUCCUUGUUUGUUUUCGUUUUGGAUAGCUACUGGGGCCGGUAACGAGCUCGAAGAGUCUGGUGAGUUCGCGCAGGAAAUGAGGAACAAUUCCACUCUGAAGAAAUCACAAGCAAGAUGAUCGUGACCUUGACACCGUUUCUAGCUUUGUUAUGCUUAGUGAUUCGUUUCUAUCGAUACAUCUCCGCUGCCUAGCACAUGAUAUAUAGGCCAUCAAACAUUGCCAUGAAACCUCAAACACCUCCCUCCUAGCUAAUAUUGUUUGGCUAAGUUAGGCUUGCUCAACCACUAAUUUGUUAGCGUUGCUAGUUGCAUGUGCCAGCUAGUCCAUGUGAUAACAUGGGCAUUUGAUAUCAUCAUAUUUAAUUUCUAUUUAAUUAAUGCACCUAUAUACUUGGUAAAUAGCGGAAGGCCUAGCCUUUUGUCGGGUGAUUUGUUCCGUUGUUGCCGCCUUAGUUUCGGCUAGCGGUAUUUUUUAUUCCAUAACUGAGCACUCCUAACACAUUCGGAGUUGUUAUGGGGACCGCCUCGAUAAAUCCUUUAGUGUUAAGAAUUGUGUGGCAAGACCCAACUUUUGUGUUAAUUUGGUAACAACUUAAUAAAAAAAGCAUAGGGAAUAGCUACCCCGAGGAAUUAAUCAACCUCCCCGGGCCAGUGCACCUCAUGAGUGUUGGUCCAAACGAGAGCACUGUGCGUGGCCAACCCAGGGCAACUUGGGAGAUCUCUAUCAGGCCCUAUACACUAGCUUAUCCAUCAUGUCCUGAGAACGAGAUACGCGGCUCCUAUUGGGUUCGUCGACACGUAGGGAGGUGUUUCUUCCUUUAUUUUAUUUUGUUUGUUGUGAUGAUUCCAUUUGUGGAAUAAUUCCUAAUAUGGAACUGCCUAUUCUGGCAUAUGCCAAAUUGGGCAGGCUCAAGAACAACUCCUGUUCUUGACUAUAGGUAGUUUGAUUAUGUGCAACUUUUCCUUUAAUGUUUGUGGUGUUUUUCUGCAUGCAAACAUGGCAGUAUGAUAUAUGGAUUUGGGGUAGAAAAUCCCAAGGAAUCCAAUGGUGGUAUUGGAAUUCAGUUUUGAGCAUUCCUAUAGAAAAUUCAUAUUGUGGUGAUGUGGCACUUGUUUAUGUGUGUAGGGUGGUUUAUGUUCAUGGUUAGAGGUUGUGCAUGCAUGCAUCAUUUUGUUUGUUGCAUCAUCAUUUCCUGGUGUUUAUUUCCUAUUUAUUUCUUUURGGUAGCUACUCGGGCCGGUAACGAGCUCGAAGAGUCCGGUGAGUUCCCGCAGGAAGAUCAGGAACMUAACUUCCCACUUCUAGAAAGAAAUCAACAAGCAAGAUGAUCGUGACCUUGUCCUACCGUUUCUAGUCUUUUGUUAUGCUUAGUGAUUCAUUUCAUCGAUACAUCCUCCGCUGCCUAGCACNNNNNNNNNNNNNNNNNNNNNNNNNNNNNNNNNNNNNNNNNNNNNNNNNNNNNNNNNNNNNNNNNNNNNNNNNNNNNNNNNNNNNNNNNNNNNNNNNNNNACACCACGACUCAUUGUUUUUUCUCCUUGGCCGAAAUAGACCUAUUGGGCUGGCUACACCUUCCUGAUCUAGCAAGAGAGAUGGAGAAGUAGAUGAGUUCUCUGGCAGCGUGACGGCGCGCCGGUGGUGGUGAUGAUCUACUCCUCCAUGGCUCCGACCGAGCUCCGCAGAAAUCCGAUCUAGAGGAAGAACUAUGUGGUAUAGGUUUGAGUUGCACGUGGCAAAGUUGUGGCUCAAAAGCCCUAAAACCACCAAUAUAUAUAAGAGGAGGGGAGGGUCUAGCCUUGGGGCUCAAGGGAGCCCCAAGGGCGCCGACCUUUUGGGAGGAGGUGGACUCCCACCCGAAUUCGGUUUGGGGAACGAGUCCACUCCUUCCUUCCCACCUCCCUCUUUCCUUGUUUUUUUCCUUUGGUUUUUUCCACUUGUGGCGCCAUAUCCCUAUUGGGCUGGCCUCACCAGCCCACGAAGGGCUGGUGCGCCACCCUAGGGUUACUGGUCUCACUCUCGGGUGGGUGGGCCCCUCCCGGUGAACACCCGGAACCCAUUCGUCACUGCCGGUACUCUCCCGGUAAUGCCCGAAAUCUUUCCCGUAACCAAAUGAAACCAUCCUACAUAUCAAUCUUCAUUUCCGGACCAUAUCAGAAACCCUCGUGACGUCCGUGAUCUCAUCCGGGACUCCGAACAACCUUCGGUCACCAACACAUAUAACUCAACUAUACUAAAACAUCAUCGAACCUUAAGUGUGCACACCCUACGGGUUCGAGAACUAUGUAGACAUGACCCGAGACACUCCUCGGUCAAUAUCCAAUAGCGGGACCUGGAUGUCCAUAUUGGAUCCUACAUAUUUUACGAAGAUCUUAUUGGUUGAACCUCUGUGCCAAGUCUUCAUAUAAUCCCGUAUAACAUUCCCUUUGUCCUUCGGUAUGUUACUUGCUCGAGAUUUGAUCGUCGGUAUCCCUAUACCUAUUUCAGUCUCAUUACCGGCAAGUCUCUUUACUCGUUCAGUAAUACAAGAUCCCGUGACUUACACUUGAGUCACAUUGCUUGCAAGGCUUGUAUGUGAUGUUGUAUUACCAAGUGGGCCCCGAGAUACCUCUCCGUCACACGAAGUGACAAAUCCCAGUCUUGAUCCAUGCUAACUCAACAGACAUCUUCGGAUAUACCUGUAGAGCACAUUUAUAGUCACCCAGUAACGUUGGGACGUGUGAUACACACAAGGUAUUCCUCCGGUGUCAGUGAGUUACAUGAUCUCAUGGUCAUAGGAAUGAAUACUUGACACGCAGAAAACAAUAGCAACAAAAUUGACACGAUCACAUGCUACGUCCAUAAUUUGGGUCUUGUCCAUCACAUGAUUCUUUUAAUGAUGUGAUCCCGAUAUCAAGUGACAACACUUGUCUAUGGCCAGGAAACCUUGACCAUCUUUGAUCAACGAGCUAGUCAACUAGAGGCUUACUAGGGACAGUGUUUUGUCUAUGUAUCCUCACAUGUAUUUGUGUUUCCAAUCAAUACAAUUAUAGCAUGGAUAAUAAAUGAUUAUCAUGAACAAAGAAAUAUAAUAAUAACUAAUUUACUAUUGCCUCUAGGGCAUAUUUCCAUCACCACCUUUGUGACAGCCCGAUGCCGACGUUCCAAAAGAUUCCGCUUCUAUUCCGUUUUCGUUGUGUGUCUAUUUUCUUUUGUCGCAUCAUCAUCGCAUCAUGCGCAUCAUCAGCAUUGCAUCGGCAUCUCCGUUGUCGCCAGUUUUCAAACUUGCAUCCGUUGUUAGUUGCCGGUUCUCAUCGUAGUUUGUUCUGAGCCCGACCACACACGCACGCGACCGCGGCUUCAUCAAAACCCUGUUUUAAAAGUGUGUUGAAAACUUUCUCUGAUCGAGGUGAAACUUGGCAUGCGGUCGUGAUUAGUUAUAGCUAGGCCGCCUGUCGAAUUUCGUCGCGAUCGGAGUCCGUCUGGUACCCGAACGGUCGACCGUAGCGGCACCGUAUUCGGUCUACCGUCGGACGUUUGUCGGUGUUUUAAAAUUCGUUGCCGCGCCGCCCGUUCUCCCUCUCGUCCCCGGAUAUCCCCUCUACACGGCCUCGUAACCGUUCCCCCGUUCGGAAUUAGUCGAAUCCGACCGCACGGUUGAAAACGGGGCGGAAUUUCGCUAAACCUAGCCCCCCAUUUGUCCAUAAAUAGCCCCCGGAUAUUUUUAGACAACCCCCUCUCCUCCUACCUCANNNNNNNNNNNNNNNNNNNNNNNNNNNNNNNNNNNNNNNNNNNNNNNNNNNNNNNNNNNNNNNNNNNNNNNNNNNNNNNNNNNNNNNNNNNNNNNNNNNNAGUAAGUAAAGUACGAAUUACUUAUUAGGUCGUUCCUACGUUGUAGAAGUAGCUAGCAUCCCAUCUCAAUAMCUUCCUAUUGAGCUUUUCGGAUAUGCAAAGAAAAAAAGAAUGUGGAUAAUGACGUGAUUAAAUUGAAUCUUUUUCCUUUCUCGUUGCGAGAUCGCGCAAAAACUUGGUUUUCUUAUUUGCCCAAAAAUAGUAUCGAUUCUUGGGAUAAGUGCAAAGAUGCUUAUAUAUCCAAGUAUUUUCCGCCGGCUAAGAUCAUCUCUCUCCGUAAUGAUAUCAUGAAUUUGAAGCAACUUGAUCAUGAACAUGUUGCACAAGCUUGGGAGAGAAUGAAAUUAAUGAUUAGAAAUUGUCCCGCUCAUGGCUUGAGCCUUUGGAUGAUUACUCAAAUCUUUUACGCUGGCUUGAAUUUCGCUUCUAGAAAUAUCUUGGACUCUGCCUCAGGUGGAACGUUCAUGGAAAUCACGUUAGGAGAAGCAACAAAGCUCUUAGACAACAUCAUGACGAACUACUCUCAGUGGCACACUGAAAGGUCACCUACUAGUAAGAAGGUACAUGUUAUAGAAGAAAUUAACUCGUUGAGUGAUAAGAUGGACGAGCUAAUGAAUUUGAUUGCUAGUAGAAGUGCUCCUUUGGAUCCUAAUGAUAUGCCUUUGUCUUCUUUGAUUGAGAGUAGCAACGCUAGCUUGGACGUUAAUUUUGUUGGUAGGAAUAACUUUGGCAACAACAACGCUUUUAGAGGAAACUAUGUUCCCAGGCCUUUUCCUAGUAACUCCUCUAAUAACUUUGGCAACUCCUACAACAAUACUCAUGGAAAUUACAAUAGAUUACCCUAUGAUCUAGAGAGUAAUAUCAAAGAGUUCAUCAACUCUCAAAAGAUUUUCAAUGCAUCCAUAGAGGAAAAACUACUCAAAAUUGAUGAUUUGGCUAAGAGCGUGGAUAGGAUUUCUUGUGAUGUUGAUGCUUUGAAAGUUAGAUGUGCUCCUCCCAAAAUCAACAUGGAUGAAACUUUGAAAGCUAUGCGUGUUUCCAUGAUUGAGAGCCAAGUAAGAACCGCCCAAAUUCGUGCUAAACAUGAAUGGCUUAAAAAGGCGUAUUUUCGUGACGAGAAUCACGAAGAUCUUAAAAUGCUUGGUGUGACUCCCAUUGAAUCUUUGUUUUCUUGUGUCAAACCUAAUGAUUAUGGGGCUGGAUAAGAAUCCACUUUGGUUGAAAAGUGCCCCAAUGAUUCGGAGUCCAUCUAUCUUGAUGCUAGAAGCAUUAAAAGUGCAGUAGAAGACGUUAAAACUUUGAGUAGUAAUGAAAUUACUACCGUGGAUUUCAAGGAAUUCAAUUAUGAUAGUUGCUCCUUGAUUGAAUGCAUUUCUUUGAUGCAAUCCAUGUUGAACUCUCCACACGCUUAUAGCCAAAACAAAGUCCUUUAUUGAUCAUAUCAUCGAAGCUAUGAUAAAAGCUCUUGAAGAGAAACUUGAAUUGGAAGUCUCUAUCCCUAGAAAGCUUCAUGAUGAGUGGGAAUCUACCAUACAAAAUACAAAAUACAAAAACUAUAGAGUGACAAUGUCUUUGUGUUAGUAGUUUGGGUGUACGUUAGUUGUUUUUGCGUAUUACCGUAAAGUUCUUUAGUGUUNNNNNNNNNNNNNNNNNNNNNNNNNNNNNNNNNNNNNNNNNNNNNNNNNNNNNNNNNNNNNNNNNNNNNNNNNNNNNNNNNNNNNNNNNNNNNNNNNNNNACGGUAGUUAAAAAAUUAAACUUACCGCACCUCGGGGCGGGUAGUACCGCUCCUCGGAGCGGUAGGUAAAAUUUAACUUACCGCUCUUGAGAGCGGUACUACCGCUWMCCCUUUUCCGGUCAUAGGACACUGAAAACUACAUAUUGUAGGCUCCAUUGUUGGCCACGAAAAUAAUGAGGGGUGGCAUGAAGAGUGUACGUGAAGAUUCCACCCAAACCUUUCUGACGCGGACCCCCUCUUAAUAAGACGAUAUUCCUACGACUGAAGACUAAGAAGAGAAACAUAGAAUAAAGCCCGUCUUCGAGAACCUCCGAGGGGCGUCGAGUCAUCUUGUGCGUAAAAAAGAAUAGUCUGAAAUGCUCAAAACAUAAGAUUAAUCCGCACAACAAUUUUCAUCAAUCACUAAAACGACUUAGGAGAAAUAUGCCCUAACAAUCUCCCCCUUUUUGGUGGAUUGAUGACAAUGCUGGAUUUGCACAGAACAAUAUAGAUAGGCAUAUGCAAACUCCAAACUUUACACAAUUGGAGACUAGUUUCCUCUGGGUAUGUGCAUACCAACAACCAACCACAGAGAGAACACUGCCCCUACGAUUAUAUAGACUAAGCCAUCCUUGCUACAUAUGUAAGAGUAGAUGCAAGAAAUUGGAAGCAUGGCAUAGCAUGUGAGCAAGGGGAUACUGGCACAAGAUAAUAUGUCUCACAGGCUAAUAACAAGAUAAAUAAUACUGAGACAAAGGAUAAGGAAGAUAAAGCAUAUGUCUCACACCAUGAUAGGGUCUGACGACUCAUAGUCUCAAGCAUAAAGCAAGAGCAAACAAUGGAAGCAACAAAGUUUUAGCAAACCAAAUAACCAGGAAACCUAGAAAACGAGAAAAUCCUACACUCUCUCCCCCUUUGGCAUCGGAACACCAAAAAGGCAGAGAGGACCCCUACAACCCAGGUGGUAGUGCGAACGGUAGAGAACGAGGGCAUCAGUCGGUGUCUUCGUCAUCAACAUACUCCUCAUCUGAGUCAUCGUCGGUGUCCUCCUCAGAUGCAGCCCACUGAAACUGGUGCUUCGCCAUCCAUUCAGCCUCCGGGGUGAUCUCGCGCUCAGAACCGCUGGAGAAGGGCAGAUCAAGCUUCCUCAUUAUCAAUUUGUCAUGCUGGCGACUCUCUUUCUGAGCAACAUGGGUCUUGUACUGGCCCUUGGCCUACAUGCAGAACAAGGUCUUCAUCAUGUCGGUGAGCCGUUUGGCCCAUGAUGGUUCCGCAGAGGCAGGCAUAUGAGAAUCCUCACCCUGUCGGUGAUCCUGUGGAGGGGCCUCACUGUCAGCAUUAGCCACAUCCUCAUCAGAAUCCCUCGGGGCAGCAGGACAAGAGGAGGUGUUGGCCCAUUUGUCCUUCUGGUGCAGUUUGAUGGGAUCAUGGCAAACCCAAGCAGGAGCAAGAAACUCAACAUCGGGAAAAGUCUUGGCCCAAGUGGUCUUGAUGAAGAAAAACGGGUAAGGACCGUAGAUUGGGACCUUAAGGUUGAUAACUGCAGAGUAGAGCUCAUUCCACAUGACAUGAGAGACAUCAAGGGGUUCACAAUGACAAUUCUUCCCCUUCUGACACAUGAGUAGCAUAUCUACUAGGUAAGAGUGUAACCUGGUUCCUUGUUGCCGUAACGUUGGGAAACAGAGUGCUGAACAAAAAUGCGGUGCAUCACAUNNNNNNNNNNNNNNNNNNNNNNNNNNNNNNNNNNNNNNNNNNNNNNNNNNNNNNNNNNNNNNNNNNNNNNNNNNNNNNNNNNNNNNNNNNNNNNNNNNNNCGAGGAGAAGGGGUACGGGUGGUCGUGGCGUCGGCGAACAMGDUGCBWUVCCUCUCCUCCUCUCUCUCUCUCUCUCUCUCUGAUUAAAGAAAACCCCUUCACAAAUAAGAAAAAUACUCAGGUUUGAAAUAAACCCAGAGGCUAAAAGAAAAAGAGAAAACAAAAGUGAAAAGUAAAUUUGGGCUUGUAAAAUCUUGCUCCAAUUUAUAAAAUAAAUUGGGCAUUUUUAAAGAAUAAAAUUAAAUACCUUUUAUUUUAAAAUGAGGCUUGUAUUAAAUAAAAUCAAAAGAGAAAAUAAAGAAAGCCAGAGGGGUUGCCUCCACAUUUAAUAAGAUUUUUAGGAAAAGUAGAACAUUUUUAUUAGGGAAAAACAGAGCUUUUAAAUAUGCCACAAAAAUAAAAUAGAGAGGAGAGAAGGGGUUUUAUCCUAUGGUGCAACUUGUGGUUUUUAACAUGCACUUGUUGCACCCACACCUCAACAACACAAAGGCACAACCACCUAACACUUGCACAUCACAAUAAGUUCACCCACAUCAACACAACAACAACAACAAAAGAAAGAAAAUGACAAUCAAUAAAGGCAUGAUUCACAUAAAUGAUGACACAUGUUAGGCUCACACCAUAUCUCNNNNNNNNNNNNNNNNNNNNNNNNNNNNNNNNNNNNNNNNNNNNNNNNNNNNNNNNNNNNNNNNNNNNNNNNNNNNNNNNNNNNNNNNNNNNNNNNNNNNCAACGAACGAAACGACRMACAGACAASAACACRMAGACACACACACACACACACACACACACACACACAAGACGCACGGACGCACCCACCCACCCGCCACGCACACACGCACGCACACACACACACAUGCAUCAGACAAGACCGCAUUUCCGACACUUUCAUUUUUUUGCUACGGUCGUGACUUGUCAUAAUAUACGAUUUGCUUUGUGUUCUUUACCGAUGCAAUUGGAAGGUGACACUCCUCUUUUCUUGGGCAAAGUGAAUGAUAUGUGUCUAAACUUCGAAGAUCAUCAUGAAUUGUAUUAGAACCAACCUCUGAAUUUCUGAAGGGACUUUGGAAACGACACAUAUUUAUAGUUAUAAUUACAUUCACAUAGACUGAGCCUCGAAAUAAAUGCUACUCCCUAUGUCCGGAAUUAGUUGUCCCAAAAAUGGAUACAAAUGGAUGUAUAUAGGACUAAAUUACAUUUAGAUACAUCCAUUCCUACGACAAGUAUUUCCGAACGGAUGAAGAAGUUCAUCGAGGACUGGCUUCGACAGACAGCUGCCCUAAAAAAACCAAAUAUGUUUAGUACUCCCUCCAUCCCAUUAUGUAGGGUGUUUAAGCUUUUGGCACGGAAAUUAACGCAAGACUAGUCGCAAAUUACCGAGCCAUGGUCAUAGAAAGUUUGUUCCAUGAUAUACCUUAAAAAACGUGUCUUACCGAUCUACAAUCAAUAAUGGUUAGCUUAUACUGACCGUAAGCUUAGGUGCGUAAGAUUUUGGGAAGGAGGGAAUACUUCCUCUGGUUCAGCUCAGUGCACGAGUGUCCCACAACCCAUAUCCAAGGCUCAAGGAAGCUGUUCAAAACUCAUCUGCAUCACACUCAAGGCUCUACUAUGCGGCUCGGCACACACGGUCACAACGCUAAUCUCGUAGCCCGCAAAUCAACCCCCUUGUCUCAAGACCCCCUCCGGUCGUCAAUGGUAUAUGCUUCUACCGCCAAUCUACCAUGGGUUGCGUGCGUUGGCGGCGGCGACGUCCUCUCCAUGGCAACACGAGGGACAAAUGGAACACAGUUUUGUUGGCGACUCAAGUCCUAGUCAGGGGAGAGUUUUUUUUACCUCACACAACAUACUGUCACAACAUCCACCGUCGGGUCACUCUUUGAGAUUUUUCCUGCUAGAUAUGUCAUAAACCGUGGACCUAUUAUUUAGAAUGUGUACUCAAUUACUUGCUUCGAUCCCACAAACCUUACCUCCUCGAAAGUCUACAACAGGGUGGUCGCGGUUGGCACCUGCGCGGGUUUAGGUUCAUGCUCCCAACGCGUCAACUUGUAUAGGAGCUUUACAACAUCCCCAUUGAUACCACAAAUGGCGUGAAAGAGGCCAUCACAAGAAGAAUGUGACGACUCAACAUCCUCCACGUAGUGUCCCUAGUCGAUGUCUCGAUAAAGAUCCAAAGAAGAGGUGAGGGUCGGCUUCAACAAACAGUUACCCUCCGAGAAAACCAAAUCUGUUUAGUACUUCCUGUGGUGCAGCUCAGCACACCGUGUGGCCCACAACCCAUAUAUAAGACUCAAGGAACCUGUUCAUAAAUCACCGGUAUGCAUGCCCCUAAAAACAUCAUCGGUAUGCAUCACACUCAAGGCUCUACUAUGCACCUCGACACACAUGAUCACAGCGCUGCUUUCAUACGCCCGACAAAAUCCCAAAACCCCCCUGACCUAAUCGACCCUUCCGUUUGGGUGGUUGAUGGCAGUGUGCCGCUACUAGCAAUCUAAUAGUGGUACAUGUGGUGGCGUCGUCGUCGUCCUCUCGAUGGACAACACGGAACGGGAACGAAAAGGGUAAACGNNNNNNNNNNNNNNNNNNNNNNNNNNNNNNNNNNNNNNNNNNNNNNNNNNNNNNNNNNNNNNNNNNNNNNNNNNNNNNNNNNNNNNNNNNNNNNNNNNNNACACCAUCRASUAGUUGCUAUCARGGUAAAAAGGWAUGGGGUUUUAUCAUUGGUUUGAGAUUAUCCCUCUACAUCAUGUCAUCUUGCUUAAGGCGUUACUCUGUUCUUAUGGACUUAAUACACUAGAUGCAUGCUGGAUAGCGGUCGACGUGUGGAGUAAUAGUAGUAGACACAGAAAGUAUCGGUCUACUUGUUUUGGAUGUGAUGCCUAUAGAUAGAAUCAUUGCAUAGAUAUCGUCAUGACUUUGCGCGGUUCUAUCAAUUGCUCGACAGUAAUUUGUUCACCCACCGUCUACUUGCUUUCAUGAGAGAAGCCACUAGUAAACACUACGGCCCCCGGGUCUAUUCACAUCCAUCGUUUACAACUCCGCUUUUACUUUGCUUUGUUACUUUGUUGCUUUCAGUUCUCACUUGGCAAACAAUCUAUAAGGGAUUGACAACCCCUUCAUAGCGAUGGGUGCAAGUUUUUGUGUUUGUGCAGGAUCUUGAGAUACUCCUCCACCGGAUUGAUACCUUGGUUCUCAAACUGAGGGAAAUACUUACCCCGCUGUGCUACAUCAUCCUCUCCACUUUGAGGGAACACCAACGCAUAAGGAUUCCUGGUGCCGUCAACAUGCCCAUUUCUGGCGCCAUUGGAAGGUCUUUUGUGCACUAGCAUAACGGACAUCAGGAUACCGACGAUCAAAUCUCGGGCAAGUAACAUACAAAAGGACAAAGGGAAUGUUAUAUAGGAUUAUAGGAAUCCUUGGCACAAAGGUUCAACCGAUACGAUCUUUGUAGAAUAUGUAGGAUACAAUAUGGACAUCCAGGUCGCGCUAUUGGAUAUUUACCGAGGAGUGUCUCGGGUCAUGUCUACAUAGUUCUCGAACCCGUAGGGUGUGCACACUUAAGGUUCGAUGAUGUUUUAGUAUAGUUGAGUUAUAUGUGUUGGUGACCGAAGGUUGUUCGGAGUCCCGGAUGAGAUCACGGACGUCACGAGGGUUUCUGAUAUGGUCCGGAAAUGAAGAUUGAUAUGUAGGAUGGUUUCAGUUUGGUUACGGGAAAGUAGUUUCGGGCAUUACCGGGAGAGUACCGGCAGUGACGAAGUGGGUUCCGGGUGUUCGACCGGGAGGGCCCACCCGACCCGGAGAGUNNNNNNNNNNNNNNNNNNNNNNNNNNNNNNNNNNNNNNNNNNNNNNNNNNNNNNNNNNNNNNNNNNNNNNNNNNNNNNNNNNNNNNNNNNNNNNNNNNNNAUGGACGUUGACUUUGGUUCGGUUCGAUGGACGGCGUUUCGUAGUGUAGGGCCGACUAGCCUCCAUUCUAAGUCAUCCCACUGUGAUCGAACUCAACUCCACGUCCUCCGAGCACUUCGUGCCCAACCUCACCAUCGUCAACCAUACUCUUCGAGUGGUCAAACCCUUAAUGAAGAGAUGUGACUUUGAUACCAAUUGAAAGGAUCGAUAUGCUUGACUAGAGGGGGGGUGAAUAGGCAACWACCAAUUUUUAGCUYUUCUUAACAAAUUAGCAUUAKCAACAUAAAGGUUCUCUAAAACUGACACUAAGGGUGAGCAACCUAUAUGAUGCUACUUACAAACGAGUAACGAAGCAAGUAAGGACGAUACGUCUACAACAACAACACAAACAAAGUAAAGGUAAGAGAUAACCACAAGUGGAAACGAUGAAGACGAGGAUGUGUUACCGAAGUUCCUUCCCUUUGACAGGAUGUACGUCUCCGUUGAAGUGGUGUGGAGACACAAUGCUCCCAAUAAGCCACUAGGGCCACCAUAUUCUCCUCACGCUCUCGCACAAUGGCAAGGUGUCGUGAUUCCACUAUAGGUGCCUGAUACGUCUCAAACGUAUCUUAUAAUUUUGAUGUUCGACUGCUGUUAUUCUUGUCUAUCUUGGUAGUGUUUAUUGUUACUUUACUUAUUCUUUUUGGUUACGUUAACUUAAUUUAAUUACUAGUAGUCAACGUAGUCCGUACGUUCCGUUUCGUUUUUCNNNNNNNNNNNNNNNNNNNNNNNNNNNNNNNNNNNNNNNNNNNNNNNNNNNNNNNNNNNNNNNNNNNNNNNNNNNNNNNNNNNNNNNNNNNNNNNNNNNNUGUUCAUGAUCAAGUUGYUUCAAAUUCAUGAUAUCAUUACGGAGAGAGAUGAUCUUAGCCGGCGGAAAAUACUUGGAUAUAUAAGCAUCUUUGCACUUAUCCCAAGAAUCGAUACUAUUUUUGGGCAAAUAAGAAAACCAAGUUUUWGUCGCGAUCUCGCAACGAGAAAGGAAAAAGAAUUCAAUUUAAUCACGUCAUUAUCCACAUCUUUUUUCUUUUGCAUAUCGAAAAGCUCAAUGAAGGUAUUGAGAUGGGAUGCAGCAUCUUCACUAGGAAGGCCAUAGAAUUGCUCUUUCAUAACAAGAUUCAGCAAAGCGGCAUUGAUUUUGUAUGACUCCGCACUAGUGGCGGAAGCAAUCGGAGUACUAAUAAAAUCAUUAUUAUUAGUAUUCGAGAAGUCACAAAGUUUGGUGUUUUCGUUCAUGGUGACUUCAGCAAGCAAGAAAGCACACAAGCAAACAAACACCAGGCGAGAAAAAGGGCGAACGAAACGGGCAAACGAAAAGGCGAAUGAAAAAGGAAAAUUGGUGAAGUGGGGGAGAGGAAAACGAGAGGCAACUGGCAAACAAAGUAAAUGCAAGAGAUGAGUUUGCGACACCUACUUGGAUGAGUUCUUGACUUGAUCUUCCUCCCCAGCAACGACGCCAAAAAUUCUUCUGAUGUGACAACAAAAGUCCUUCCCUGGCGCUUAGGAAUUCUUCUUGUUACUUCUCUGGUUUGCGUCGGUUUUUCCCUUGAAGAGGAAAGGGUGAUGCAACACAGGAGCAGUAAGUAUUUCCCUCAGUUUGAGAACCAAUGUAUCGAUCCAGAAGGAGGGCCUCGUCAAGUCCAGAGUACUUGCGCAAACACAAACAAGCUUGCACCCAACGCUUCAAAGGGGUUGUCAAUCCCUUCAAGAUUGUUUGCAAAGUGAGAUCUGCAGGUGGAAAGUGCAACGAAGUAAAAAGUGUAAGGCUGCAAAUAUGGUGUGGAGUAGACCUUGGGGGCCAUAGUGUUCACUAGAGGCUUCUCUCAUAAUAGCAAAUAUCACGGUGGGUGAACAAGUUACUGUCGAGCAAUUGAUAGAAUCGCGCAAAGUCAUGACGAUAUCUAAGUCAAUGAUCAUGCAUAUAGGCAUCACGUCCGAGACAAGUAGACCGAUACUUUCUGCAUCUACUACUAUUACUCCACACAUCGACCGCUAUCCAGCAUGCAUCUAGUGUAUUGAGUUCAUGACGAACAGAGUAACGCUUUAAGCAAGAUGACAUGAUGUAGAUGGAUAAUCUCAAACCAAUGAUGAAAACCCCAUCUUUUACCCUWSAYSRCRACUAACACGAUGCAUGCCUCACUACCCYUYCUGUCACUGGGUGAGGUCACCACAUGGUAUGAACCCAAAACCAAAGCACUUCUCCCAUUGCAAGAAUACAUAGAUCUGUUGGGCAAACAAAACCCACAACUCGAAGAGAAUUACAAGGAUAUUGAAUCAUGCAUAAGAGAGAUCAUAAGAAACUAAAAUAAGAUUCAUAGAUAAUCUGAUCAUAAAUCCACAAUUCAUCGGAUCUCAACAAACACACCGCAAAAGAAGAUUACAUCGGAUAGAUCUCCAUGAAGAUCAUGGAGAACUUUAUAUUGAAGAUCCAAGAGAGAGAAGAAGCCAUCUAGUUACUAGCUAUGGACCCGUAGGUCUAUGGUGAACUACUCACGCAUCAUGGGAGAGGUCAUGGUGUUGAUGAAGAAGCCCUCCGUAUCCGAACUCCCCCUCCGGCAGGGCACCAGGACGUGCCCCAGAUGGGAUCUUGCAGAGACAGAAGCUUGCAUGCNNNNNNNNNNNNNNNNNNNNNNNNNNNNNNNNNNNNNNNNNNNNNNNNNNNNNNNNNNNNNNNNNNNNNNNNNNNNNNNNNNNNNNNNNNNNNNNNNNNNGUAGUAGUAAUGAAAGUUACUUAACCGUCGGAGUUUCUAAGGUAAUUACAAUUUAWUGAUAAGUUUGCUACCUUUCGAUUGAAUAGYAUUUCUUUGUAUGCAAUCCAUGUUGAACUCUCCACACGCUUAUAGCCAAAACAAAGACCUUUAUUGAUCAUAUCAUCGAAGCUAUGAUAAAAGCUCUUGAAGAGAAACUUGAAUUGGAAGUCUCUAUCCCUAGAAAGCUUCAUGAUGAGUGGGAAUCUACCAUCAAAAUCAAAAUCAAAAACUAUGAGUGCAAUGCUUUGUGUGAUUUGGGUGCUAGUGUUUUUGCGAUUCCAAAGUCUUUAUGUGAUGUUCUGGGUUUUAAUGACAUUGAAGAGUUAUCUCUUAAUUUGCAUCUUGUUGAUUCUACUGUCAAGAAACCCAUGGGAAGGAUCAAUGAUGUUCUUAAGGUUGACAAAUAGGUAACUAAUCGGUACCCGUGGUACUUUCUAUUGUGUCUUUGACUAUUGAUUGCUAAUCCUACUUGCCCUAUUAUUCUUGGUACUACCUUUCCUAAGGUACUGUACGGUGUCUAUCAUCGAUAGUAAAGGAAGGAAUNNNNNNNNNNNNNNNNNNNNNNNNNNNNNNNNNNNNNNNNNNNNNNNNNNNNNNNNNNNNNNNNNNNNNNNNNNNNNNNNNNNNNNNNNNNNNNNNNNNNGAUGGAAAACUGCACUUUCAUGAAUGUAAUUUUGCUAAGUCUGUAAUAGUGUGCGAGCUGCCAUUUUGUGACCUCUUCCUAGUGAUCCAUGAUGCCAUGCUAGUUUAUGUUAGUUGUUAGUUGUAGUGCUUCUUGCCUCUUUCGUCGUCAUGCCUUGGUUGAGUAUAUUUGAGUUGAGUAGCUCGUAGUUGUGAGGUGUAGAAAAUGCUAUGUGGCUGAUUUUGACAGGUUGUAGUCAUUUCUUGUUUUGCUMGUAGUUUUUGAUCCAUAGCUCCGAUUUGAGCGUGUCCUAUAUGAAACUUGCUUAGAAUCUCGUGUAGUUUCAUUUUCUCUUGCUGGUUGUAUGUUUUGAGGUGCUCGUGACCGCCGUUGCACACAUAUUGCAUUCAUGCCAUCAUAUCUUGCGGUGCUUGUAACUUUGAUCCGUAACUCCGUUGGAGAUGAUCUCUAUGUGUAAAUUGCUUGUAACGACGCGCAGAAUCAAGUGAACCUUAUUUGUUUGCUUAGUUAAACAAACUUAAAUUAAAUGUGUUAGUCACGAUCUGUACGAACUAAUUAAGUUAAAUUAAACUAAUAGUGGUAGGUCGGUUCGUCGGUAGAGUAUCGUAUUAUAGUUCCGUUUCCGGUUACCCUACCUAANNNNNNNNNNNNNNNNNNNNNNNNNNNNNNNNNNNNNNNNNNNNNNNNNNNNNNNNNNNNNNNNNNNNNNNNNNNNNNNNNNNNNNNNNNNNNNNNNNNNAAAUAAUAGUCAAGAAAUAGCANAUUAUUAGAUGUGCCCUUCGUACAGAGACACAUACUGGUCACGCAUACUCAUGAUUGAGAACAUAGCUAGCAAGUUCAUCAGCACGAAGACCGGGACAGAGCAAAUAAGGGGUAGGAGGAGAAGUCAUUUGUGCUCACCAACAAACGCAAGGGCGAAGCUCGUCCAAUGCACGUGGAGGUUGUCGAACAACUGCACAUUGAAAUUCACACGAUCAACACAAAUWUGAUAUUUUUCUAAUUAACAUAAUCGGAAAAUAUGUGACCUAACUCAUAAUUUACAAAACUAUGACCUCGUGGGCCUCUGGAAGGCCGAAAAGCACCUUCUCGUUCAAUAGAAGGCUGAAGAGGUGUCGGGGGUCGGGGCUUAGUGGCGUCGGGAGUCAGUGGCCGUCGAGGGUCGAUGGUGUCGGGUGUCGGUGGCAGUCUCGGGUCGGGGGUUAUGGCGUCGGUUGUGGGGGUCAGUGGCGUCGGCGGCGUAGGGUCAGUGACRUCGGGGUCAGGUCAGUGUNUGUCGGUGUCAGUGCGUCGGGUCGGGUUGUCGUCGUUCGUAGUCGUUCGUUCGGUCCGGUAGUUNNNNNNNNNNNNNNNNNNNNNNNNNNNNNNNNNNNNNNNNNNNNNNNNNNNNNNNNNNNNNNNNNNNNNNNNNNNNNNNNNNNNNNNNNNNNNNNNNNNNUUAAAGUAACUACUAAGGAAACCGUACGUUCUACUAAAUACUACCGGUACUAGCACUAGCCCUAAAACCAAACUACAUCGGUAUGUCAUCACACUCAAGGACUCUACUAUGCACCUCGACACACAUGAUCACAGCGCUGCUUUCAUAGCCCGCAAAUCAAACCCCCUGCCUAAUGACCCUCCUUUGGUGGUUGAUGGCAUGUGCCGCUACUAGCAAUCUACUAUGGGUUACAUGUGUGGGCGUCGUCGUCGUCCUCUCGAUGGCAACACGAGGGACAAAGGGAACAAAGUUUUUGUUGGCGCCCUCAAUUCCUAGCAGGGGGAUAGAGUUUUUUUACCUGACGCAACAUACUGCUACAACAUCCACCGCCGGGUCAUUCUUUGAGAUUUGUACUGCUACAUUUGUCAUAAACCGAGGACCAAUUAUUUAGAAUGCGUACUCAAUUACUUGCUUCGAUCCCAACAAACCCUAACGCCUACCAAAGACGGUGACUUUCUCUCUCUCUAUUCGAUCUAGAUAUGGCGCUAGUGGGAGUGGUGGCACGCACGCAAGUGGGAGCUCGGAGGGUCGGACCCAACCGCCGUUGGGAGGGGCACGACAAGUGGGGGANNNNNNNNNNNNNNNNNNNNNNNNNNNNNNNNNNNNNNNNNNNNNNNNNNNNNNNNNNNNNNNNNNNNNNNNNNNNNNNNNNNNNNNNNNNNNNNNNNNNUUAUACCUCGAAAUAGACAUAAUUAGACACAAAGGACAUCUAGCAUUAGCCAAGAGGGACAAGAGGAGAAGAAGAGGAAAUAGAAGGAAGGAAGAAGAAGUAAGAACGAGAACGAAGAAGAAGGAGAAGGAACGGAGGAAUAAGAAGUAAGGACGAAGAAGGAGAACGGAGUCGUCCUACCUUCCUCCUUCCUUUACGUUACCUUCCCUUCKUUCCUCCUUCUCCUUCUCCUUCUUCUUUUCUUCUUCUUCUCCUCYUUCCUUCUCCUUCUCCUCCUCCUCCUGCUCCUUCUUUUACUUCUUCUUCUCUUUCUCUUCUUCUACGUAGCUUAGACUCAUCCAAGAAAGGCUAAAUUGGCUAAUUAUCCUACAAAAUGACAUAAUUAGCUUAGUUAGCUCCAAAAUGACCUAUUUAAUAAAAAAUAACCUAUAAUUAGCUAAGUUCUCUCCUAAAUGACAUAAUAAGGCUUACGUAGCUGCAAGAUGACCUAUUCCCCCUAACUUAGGUAUUAAAUGGCCUAUAAUUAGCCUAGCUAGAUCCAAAAUGGCUUAAUAAGCAUAGUUUGCUCCCGAAUGACCUAUUUUACCCAAGUUAGCUCCAAAACGACCUAUAGUUAGCUAGGGUUCCACAUAAAUGACAUAAUUAUCUUAGUUAGCUCCUAAAUGGCCUAUACUUAGCUAAUUUCUCUCCGAAAUAACCUAUAUACACUUCUUCAUCUAGAAUUAUUCUUCUAACUUUCUUAUUUGUCAUUUUGCAGAUUACAUCCACUUCACGGGAAGCUUGGAUUAUAUUGAUGGAAUGCUUGAAGAUGAUUUCUUGUACCAUGGCUUGUAUUGAAACUAUUUUAGUAUAUGGAUAUAUAUGAAACUUUGUAUGCAUGUGGAUGAAACUGGUGUAAUAUAUGGAUUGGUAGGGAUGCAACUUGCAUAAUAUGUAUGCACUAUGGAUGAAAGUUAUUUUAAUAUGGUUAUCAGUACGGAAAUAAAUUUAUUUAUGUCAAAUAUAUAUGUAUAUCCUGAUUAUUGUUAAAAAUGCUGGAUAUAAUAAAAAAAUAAAUUAAAAAGGGGCUGGUUCCCCCCUUUGUCGUCYGCCCCAAACUGGCAAAGGGGGGAAUCGAGCCCCCGUCUCUCUACCCCUASUUUGCCAGUCYKCSCCAACAUUGGAAAAGGGGNUGACAGCGGCAAGAGGGUAGAGAGUGGGCCUGGUUCCCCCUUUGCGUCUGACCCNCAUUGGCNNNNNNNNNNNNNNNNNNNNNNNNNNNNNNNNNNNNNNNNNNNNNNNNNNNNNNNNNNNNNNNNNNNNNNNNNNNNNNNNNNNNNNNNNNNNNNNNNNNNGAACCCCUUUCGUUAGCGUUGGGUGUCAAGUUUGCUGUUUUUGUCGCAGGACUUUGGUAGAUUCCUUGGUACACCUACUGGAUUGAUACCUUGGUUCUCAAACUAAGGGAAAGUAACUUACUGCUACUAUGCUGCAUCACCCUUCCUAUUCAGGGAAAAACCAACGCAAGGUCAAGGGGUAGCAAGAAGAAUUUCUGGCGCCUUUGCCGGGGAGUAUCAAGUCAAGAAUAGACUUCCUCCAACGUGUCAAUUUCUGGCACCGGGGACUGUUCUAAGUGAAGAUUAUCCAAGUAACUAUCGCAAACUCAUCUCUUGCAUUUUUUUUGCCUCUCGUUUUCCUCUCCCCCACUUCUGAAAAACAAAAAUUACAAAAAUAUUUGCCUUUUUCGUUUGCCUUUUCUUUCGCUUGCUUUCUUAUUCGCUUGUGUGCUUGUCUGCUUGCUGAAGUCACCAUGACUGAAAACACCAAACUUUGCGACUUCUCGAAUACUAAUAAUAAUGAUUUUACUUGUACUCCGAUUGCUCCCGCCAGUAGUGUGGAAUCAUAUGAAAACAAUGCUGCUUUGCUGAAUCUUGUUAUGAAAGAGCAAUUUUCCGGCCUUCCUAGUGAAGAUGCCGCAUCCCAUCUUAAUACCUUCAUUGAGUUAUGCGAUAUGACAAAAGAAGAAAGAUGUGGAUAAUGAUGUGUAUUAAACUGAAGCYUAUUUCCGUGCUCAUUGCGAGAUUGGGACAAAAAACGUUUGGUUUUCUAUCUUUGACCMAAAUARUAUGUAUUCUAGGAACAAGUAGUAAAGAUGUCUUAUAUAUANNNNNNNNNNNNNNNNNNNNNNNNNNNNNNNNNNNNNNNNNNNNNNNNNNNNNNNNNNNNNNNNNNNNNNNNNNNNNNNNNNNNNNNNNNNNNNNNNNNNUCAUACUUAAGGUUCGAUGACGGGUUAUAGGGAAUUGUUGUACGAGGUUACCAAAGGUUGUUCGGAGUCGCGGAUGAGAUCCCAGACAUCACGAGGAGCUCUAGAAUAGUCCGGAGGUAAAGAUUGAUAUAUAGGUUGGAUGGGUGUGGACGCCGGAAAUGUUUCGGGCACCACCGACAAAGUGACGGGACCACCGGAAGGGUUCCGGAGGUCCACCGAGAGGGGCCACAAGCCCUAAAAGGUGAUAUGGGCCAACAGGUGGAAGGGAACCAGCCCAAAGUGAGCUGGUGCGCCUCCUACCAGGUGCCCAAGGUGCAAGGAUGAGGGAAGGGGGGCAAACUCUAAGUCAGGUGGGCCUUAGGCCCACCAGGGGGUGCGCCACCCCCGUCCUCCCCUCCUGGCCGCCACCUCUUGGCGCCAUCUAGUGCUUCCGCACCCCUUAGGGGUACGGAACCCUAAGGGGUCGCGGCCACCCCGUCCCCUUCCCCCKUAUACUAUAGGUGGGGGGGUUUGGCCAGUUGGGAGACACSGCCCKAUUUCUCUCUCUCUCUCUCGUCGCGCGACNCUCCUGUCUUCUCUUCCUUCCUCCUCCUACCUNNNNNNNNNNNNNNNNNNNNNNNNNNNNNNNNNNNNNNNNNNNNNNNNNNNNNNNNNNNNNNNNNNNNNNNNNNNNNNNNNNNNNNNNNNNNNNNNNNNNUGCUCCUGCUGCUUGGUAUUAAACUGCAUGAUGCUAUUGUUGCCUGCUCUGCACCCGACGGCGAGCUACAUGGCGGCAAGCGAGGCUGCRAGAAGGAGAGGGGAGGGCGGAGAUGCGGGGAUGUACUGUGGCUCACCGAGGGCAGAGGAGAGGUGGCCGCGCGACGGAGACGGUAUKGGGGUGGACGAUCAGCUGCACGAGAGGUCACUCGAGGGGAGGAAGACGGCCGCUCGUCGUCGGGCGUCGUGGCAUCCACCUGGACAUCCGGUUGCUGGCGGGAAAGGAACCCCACGACCCUCCGUGUGCCUCCUGGUCCAGACGGGGAAGGAGACGACCUUCGAUUUGUUGCUGCUGACGAGCUCACCACGGGCUGCGCUGGCGACGGCGACAUCGGGUGGCUCGCCCCGACAGUGCUAGGAGGAAGGGGAGGAGGAAAAUGGAUGGAGGAGGAACCCUAGACGUGGGGCAUGACCAAAUAGGCCCGAGAGGAGACUUAGUGGUCGUCUGAUGGCGGAUGGGGUCGAUCUGGUGGUGGUGCUCUCUUCGUAAAGGCAUGACGACAGCCAGGAGGAAGAAGGGGGGUCGUUGGCUGGGCCUGGGCCAAAACUAAGGCUGCUAGGCCUCUUCCCUCUCUCUCUCUCUCUCUCUCUCUGAAUUAAACGAAACCCUUCAACAAAUAAAGAAAAUACUACUAGGUUUAGAAACUAAACCCAGAGGACUAAAAGAAAAGAAGAAAACAAAGUAGAAAAGUAAAUUUGGKACUUAGUAAAUCUUGCUACCUAAUUUAAUAAAAUAAGUUGGACUAAUUUUAAAGAAUUAAAAUUAAUACUUUUAUUUAAAUGAGGUCUUAGUAAUUAAAUAAAUACAAAAGANNNNNNNNNNNNNNNNNNNNNNNNNNNNNNNNNNNNNNNNNNNNNNNNNNNNNNNNNNNNNNNNNNNNNNNNNNNNNNNNNNNNNNNNNNNNNNNNNNNNUAGGAGAGACUCUUCGCCUCGCCUCCGCAACUCUCUCGUAUCAACAAAAACCAAUCUGGAUAGAAAAUAGUAGCAAAAAUAGGAGAGAAACAGAGAGAGAGAGAUAUAAUCUCGCCCCUCCGGGAGCCAUGGCAGCCAAAGACCAGAGGGGAGAACCUCUCCCCAUCUAGGCAGAGGCCAUGGAGGAGGAACCCUAUGGGGGGAGACUCUCUCCCCCAGUCUUCCGGUGGCGCCGGAGUGCCACCGAGGGAACCAUCACCGCGGUGGUCGUCUUCAUCAACAUCAUCGUCUGCAUCACCUUGCCUCAUCCAUCUAUGGCGGUCCAUUCUCCCGCAUCCCACUUUAAUCCUCUACUUGAACAUGGUGUUUCAUGCCACAUAUUAUUAAUCUAAUUUUUUUCCAUCCUAUGAUGUUGAGUUAAUUUAUGUUGUCCUUUGGGUUGAUUAAUGAUUCUUGUAUUUAUUGAGUUGUUAUUGUUUUAUUUCGUGCUGUCCUAUGGUCGCCCUUCAUCGCCACACACUACGUUAUGGUUAUUCUUGNNNNNNNNNNNNNNNNNNNNNNNNNNNNNNNNNNNNNNNNNNNNNNNNNNNNNNNNNNNNNNNNNNNNNNNNNNNNNNNNNNNNNNNNNNNNNNNNNNNNAUAUAAUCCCGUACUGUCAUUCCCUUUCGUCCUUCCGGUAUGUUACUUGCCCGACGAUUCGAUCGUCAGUAUCCGCAUACCUAUUUCWAWUUCGUUUACCGGUCAAGUCUCUUUACUCGUUCCGUAGUACAAGAUCCCGCAACUUACAUUAAGUUACAUUGCUUGCAAGGCUUGUGUGUGAUGUUGUAUUACCGAGUGGGCCCCGAGAUACCUCUCCGUCACACGGAGUGACAAAUCCCAGUCUUGAUCCAUACUAACUCAACUAACACCUUCGGAGAUACCUGUAGAGCAUCUUUAUAGUCACCCAGUUACGUUGCGAUGUUUGAUACACACAAAGUAUUCCUCCGGCGYCAGUGAGUUAUAUGAUCUCAUGGUCAUAGGAAUAAAUACUUGACACGCARRAAACAGUAGCAACAAAAUGACACGAUACAACAUGCUACGUCUUAGUUAGUUUGGGUCUAGUCCAUCACAUGAUUCUCCUAAUGAUGUGAUCCCGUUAUCAAGUGACAACACUUGCCUAUGGCCAGGAAACCUUGACCAUCUUUGAUCAACGAGCUAGUCAACUAGAGGCUUACUAGGGACAGUGUUUUGUCUAUGUAUCCACACAAGUAUUGUGUUUCCAAUCAAUACAAUUAUAGCAUGGAUAAUAAACGAUUAUCAUGAACUAAGAAAUAUAAUAAUAACUAAUUUAUUAUUGCCUCUAGGRCAUAUUUCCAACAGUCUCCCACUUGCACUAKAGUCAAUAAUCUAGUUCACAUCACCAUGUGAUUCCAACGCAUCCAACACCCAUAUAGUUAUGGGGUCUGAUCACGUCUUGCUCGUGAGAGAGGUUUUAGUCAACGGUUCUGAAACUUUCAGAUUCGUGCGUUCUUUACAAAUCUUUAUGUCAUCUUAUAGAUGCUGCUACUACGUGCUAUUCGGAAAUGCUCCAAAUAUCUACUCUACUAUACGAAUCCGUUUCACUACUCAUAGUUAUCCGGAUUAGUGUCAAAGCUUGCAUUGACGUAACCCUUUACGACAAACUCUUUAACCACCUCCACAAUCGAGAAAAAUUCCUUAGUCCAUUAGUUACUAAGGAUAAAUUUCGACCGCUGCUAGUGAUUCAAUCAUGGAUCACUCUCUGUACCUCUCAACAUACUUUGAGUCAAGGCACACAGGGGAUAGGNNNNNNNNNNNNNNNNNNNNNNNNNNNNNNNNNNNNNNNNNNNNNNNNNNNNNNNNNNNNNNNNNNNNNNNNNNNNNNNNNNNNNNNNNNNNNNNNNNNNUGAUGUGCGCGAGCUCGAGGAAGAUGUGAGGGAGCUCCAGGAGGACGCGCCCACGCUCGAGGAGGACGUGCCGGGAGGUUCCGUCGACGCCCGUAAGUAACCACGACAAGAGGGGAUCUUAGUGACGCAGGUGUGAGAUGCGGCGACGAAGGAGGUAAUCGGCGACGGCGGAGCGCUUCCUGGCGGGCGCAGCUAGGCGGCGCCAGCCCUUGGCUACGUGCGGGCGACGACGGAGGAAGAAGACGGGGUAGAGGGACUUAUUUACGACAACUUUGUAAAUACGUGGUUUUGUUUGGCUAUACUAUUGUAUUUGCUCUUAGGAGGCUAGUGAAGGUUGAGACGAGACGGUCUCAACCAGCAGAGCUAGAGACAAAUUCAAAACCAUCAAAUUUUUUUAAACGCGGUCCUUAGGUACCGAUCUCAUUAAAAAGGUUGAAGAGAGUUGUUCGGUUAAUAAUCGGAAAACCGGACUAAACCGUCACAAUGCGGCCACCACGACAAGGCACGACAGGGGAUAGGNNNNNNNNNNNNNNNNNNNNNNNNNNNNNNNNNNNNNNNNNNNNNNNNNNNNNNNNNNNNNNNNNNNNNNNNNNNNNNNNNNNNNNNNNNNNNNNNNNNNAACGAAACAAAUACAUACUUCAUCUURACAGKAGGWAUAGGGCAUUCAAAGCUCCCAAUAAGAAUCGAUKAAGUUUUUUCGAUAGCAUUGAUGCAAUGUACUCGAUAUUGUUUCUUCGAAAGUGCACCAUAUGCUCAUUACCGUUGACAUGGAAAGUAACAUUGCCUUUGUUGCAAUCAAUAACAACCCCUGCUGUGUUUAAAAAGGGUCUUCCAAGGAUGACCGCCAUGGCAUCAUCCUCGGGAAUAUCCAGAAUAACAAAGUCUGUUAAGAUAGUAACGUUCGCAACCACAACAGGCACAUCCUCGCAAAUGCUGAUAGGGAAAGCAKUUGAUUUGUCGGCCAUUUGUAGAGAAAUUUCAGUGGGUGUCAACUUAUCCAACUCAAGUCUACGAUAAAGAGAGAGCAGCAUAACACUAACACCGGCUCCAAGGUCACAUAAGGCAGUUCUUACGUAAUUUCCUUUAAUGGAGCAAGGUAUAGUGGGCACUCCGGGAUCACCUAAGUUUCUUAGGACGUUCCACCCUUGAAGUGUAUUGGCAAGCANNNNNNNNNNNNNNNNNNNNNNNNNNNNNNNNNNNNNNNNNNNNNNNNNNNNNNNNNNNNNNNNNNNNNNNNNNNNNNNNNNNNNNNNNNNNNNNNNNNNAGAGAGAGAGAGAGAGAGAGAGAGAGAGAAGAANAGAGAGAGAGAGAGAAGAGAUAGAGAGAGAGAGCUCUCUCUUCUCUCUUCUCUNUCUCCUCUCUCUCUUCUUCUUCUCUUCUUCUUCUUCUUCCUUCUUUCWAUUUUCCUCUUUCUUCUCCUCUUGUCCCCUUCUUCGGGCUAAAUUGGCUAAGAAUGCCUUUUUGUAGCUAAUUAUGUCAUUUCGAGGAUAAUUAGCUAAGUAUAGGUCAUGUUUUAUUAAAUAGACCAUUUUGGAGCUAACUAAGCUAAUUAUGUCAUUUAGGUGGAACCCUAGCUAACUAUAGGUCGUUUCGGAGCUAACUUGGGUAAAAUAGGUCAUUCGGGAGCAAACUAUGCUUAUUAAGCCAUUUUGGAUCUAGCUAGGCUAAUUAUAGGCCAUUUAAUACCUAAUUUAGGAGGAAUAGGUCAUCUUGCAGCUACGUAAGCCUUAUUAUGUCAUUUAGGAGAGAACUUAGCUAACUAUGGUCAUUUUUUAUAAAUAGGUCAUUUUGGAGCUAACUAAGCUAAUUAUGUCAUUUCGUAGGAUAAUUAGCCAAUUUAGCCUUUCUUGGAUGAGUCUAAGCUAYGUAGAAGAAGAGAAAGAGAAGAAGAAGUUAAAAGAAGGAGCAAGGAGGAGGAGGAGAAGGAGAAGGAAGAGGAGAAGAAGAAGAAAAGAAGAAGGAGAAGGAGAAGGAGGAAGAAGGGAGGAAUUAAGAAGGAGAAGGAGGAGCCUUCCUUCUACCUUCUUCUCCUUCUUCUUAAUCCUCCUCCUUCUCCUUACUUCUUCUUCUCUUCUUACUUCUUCCUUCCNNNNNNNNNNNNNNNNNNNNNNNNNNNNNNNNNNNNNNNNNNNNNNNNNNNNNNNNNNNNNNNNNNNNNNNNNNNNNNNNNNNNNNNNNNNNNNNNNNNNUAUAUAAAUCUACUCAAACAUUAUAGGAUGGCAACACAUCACUAAAUAAUUAAAAUGUGGCAUAAAACACCAUGUUCAAGUAGGGGAUUACAUUGGGGUGCGAGAGAGUGGACCGCUGAAAAGAGAUGAGGAAUAUGAUGACGAUGGUGAUGUUGAUGAAGACGAUCACCGCGGCGAUGGUUCCCCCGCAGCAACUCCGACUCCACCAGGAGAUAGGGGGGAGAGAGUCUCCCCCUUAGGCUUCAUUAUCCAUGGCCUCUCCCUAUAUGGGGGAGGUUCUCCCCUCUAGUCCUUGGCCUCCAUGGCUCCCAAAGGGGCGAGAGCCCCUGUGAGAUUGGAUCUCUCUCUCUCUCUCUGUUUCUCUCCUGUUUUCGCUGCUAUUUUGUGUACCUUUUAGUGUUUCUUAAAUAUCCGGAGAUCCGUAACUUCAAUCGGGCUGAAAUUUUAAGAGGAUUUUUAUCUGGGAAUUAUAUUUCUUGUGGCGAAAGAAGGGCUCGAACCAACUUAAGGCAUGGCUGAUACUUGUGAUCUGUGCUGGUUUUUCCAAGAAGAGGAACGGGUAAUUGUAGCACAAUUCGGGUAAGUAUUUUCCUCAGCUAUGAAACCUAAGGUUUAUCGAACCAAUAGGAAUAGCAAUCCUCAACCGUCUUCAGCGACUGGACAACAAAAGAGACAAACAACUUGCCUAACCCGAACGGUCGGGACAAGGAGGGUUACUACAACUCCCCAUGACUUCUUAGUUAUUUCGACNNNNNNNNNNNNNNNNNNNNNNNNNNNNNNNNNNNNNNNNNNNNNNNNNNNNNNNNNNNNNNNNNNNNNNNNNNNNNNNNNNNNNNNNNNNNNNNNNNNNUCUCGGAUCCCGGAUACUGUGGGAUUCGGACCCACACCUAUAAUGCGCCGCGCGGUUCCUUAAAAAACUUUACCUAUUUAGCCUUUUAAUAAAACAGAAACUAAAGGAAAAAUAAAAAUAAUUAAUAUAGGGUAUACWUAUACCAAAAAAAUACAGAAAAACAUCCUCUACUCGAUUAACAUUUUUCCAAGUCAAAAAUAAAAACUUUUUAAAAAUGUUUUUUUAGAAAAUCCCCUAAAAGCAUUAUUUCUUUUUGCAAUUAUUUUCUCAAAUUAAAUUUGUUUCCUUGGCUCAAAAUACUUCAACAAAUGCCCCUGGCUCUGGAGGGUCAUGUUCCUCCUCUCCUUUGUGUUUGAGAGAAUAUUAUUCCCCGGCAUUUCUUGAGUGGAGGGAAAAUAGAAUUUGCAAAUUAAAAUYKAAGGAAAUUCAAAUGCCAGCUCCAUUCAAAUUCUUUAGAGUUGAAGAAGUCAUGUCAUCUUCUCUCAUUGCUUUUAAAAGAUGCGGAAAUUCAUUUUAUUCCCUCUCAUUMMAAAGUUUUUGAAAAGUUUCAAAUUUCACACUAAGUUUCAAUCACUCAAGACAAACAAACAAACAWWCUAAUAGUUACUUUAACCUACCAAAAUUGGGAUUACGUUAACCAAACCCUACCNNNNNNNNNNNNNNNNNNNNNNNNNNNNNNNNNNNNNNNNNNNNNNNNNNNNNNNNNNNNNNNNNNNNNNNNNNNNNNNNNNNNNNNNNNNNNNNNNNNNUCGUCGUCUUCCAUUUGGAACCGUACGUGCAUGGGCACCAUUUGCACGCGACACACGGGCAUCACGAGACGAGCACUAACACACGCAAGUCCAAAACUGACGGUGUUAGAGCAUCGAAACUUUCAAUCCGACCCGUCAAACGUACGUGGACAAAUGUUCGUUCAGUGACCGGGUAUGUUCGUUUUGAAUCUUACAUUUUCGCCCGCGCAGAGGCACCUCUCAUAUGUCUGGUUAUUUUUACGUGAUUGAUAAAUAACAAGAGAAAAAAAAGAAWGAAUAGAAYAAAACAAAAGAGAAAAGGUGGUUUGGUAACGGGGCCUCGUCCUAUGUGGCGGACUGACCGGUCAAUGUUCGGACACGUCCACGAGCCCUUAUAUCGCCCCUAUAUUUAAGAUGGAUUUAAAAGGUAGUCGGUCCGACGUACGAAACUAGUUGUAGAAUAGGAGUAACUAAAAGUAACGUAGGUGUGGUCGGCGGUCGUCUCUAAGACGACAACGUAGGGAGUNNNNNNNNNNNNNNNNNNNNNNNNNNNNNNNNNNNNNNNNNNNNNNNNNNNNNNNNNNNNNNNNNNNNNNNNNNNNNNNNNNNNNNNNNNNNNNNNNNNNUAGCUCACCCAAGAAACCAACCAGGACCACCUGCAAUCUCCUCACGCCCUCCAUAGAGUGCAAGAUCACGUGGUUCCACGUAAGGGACCCGUUGAGGGAGUGAUCGAACAUGUACCCUUGGUAACCCUUGGGGCAGUCACCGAAACCCGUACAAAUUCCUCCGGGCAAUCUCCACAACCAAUUGCAGACCCUGACGCUUGUCCGAACCUCUACACUACAUUGAUUGAGCUCCGCGACACGCCCAACCAGAUAGGGCACCAAAGCACCCAAGAGGCACAUGCUCUAAGGGUAAUAAGCUUCUCAAAUUUCACUUCCWCAUUUCAUCGUGAAGAACUCAAACCUAUGCACCAAAUGCAAUGGCAAGGGCGCACGGAGUGCGCAAGUCCCUCUAUUACAAAUCCCACCAGAAUAACUACAGCUAUAGUGAAGAACAUUAACUGGGAUUUCGGUCUGCCUCUUCUCACCCAUACCAUUGUCUACCACAAGAUACCUACAAGACAUGCAAAUGGGACAAUAGUCCAAGUGUGCAUACUCCUUCCUAGAUAAGGCACAUCCUUUCUCAUAGGCAUGUAUCUUCACAUAGGGCAUCUUAAGUACACAAAGUAUUUUGUCCGAUUGGUACAGGUUUGCAGGCAUUACAUGGCCUUUGGGUAGAAAGUGUCCAAAUAGUGUCAUCAUCGCAUAAUAGCAUUCUCUUCCCAAGUUGAUCUGAGCCUUCAAAGCCAUUACUUGUGCAAUGUCAUCCAGCUGACAAGGCUCAAUGUGCUCGUGGAGAGGACGUUUUGAAGANNNNNNNNNNNNNNNNNNNNNNNNNNNNNNNNNNNNNNNNNNNNNNNNNNNNNNNNNNNNNNNNNNNNNNNNNNNNNNNNNNNNNNNNNNNNNNNNNNNNGUUAGGUCGAUUUGGUCGAACUACGAGUAGAGACAUUGACUAUAUCACGUGAGGGAGUGGGUAAGGCUGAACAUUUCUAGUAUGAGUAUCAAUCUUGGCAUANCGGGCGUAACAUCCAGUCCAUACCCAAGAUGAUAUUAAUAUCCGAAGAUUUCAGGGCUAUCAAUGAGGCUAGAAAAACUAAGGCUGUCUACUAKAAUUUCAUUGUCAUAGGWUAUYCUAGAGGUUUGCCAYUUACUACCAGGRGUUUGGACAACCAAUGGRAUUGGCAUAUCAMAAAAAKAMAUGUUAUGCAACUGUGCAUAACUUUCUGAAAUGAAGGAAUGAGAAGACCUAGUGUCAAAAAGAACAGGCGUUGGGUGAUGAUUAACAAGAACCGUACCCAGUAUGACGUCGGGAUCCUCUGCAUCUUCUUCUGUUGAAACAUAGUUCACACGGCCACGUGUAGGAGUUGGCUUCACAUAGUAAGCUUUGACCGACUUGCCUUGCCCAACGGACUUUCCAGGUUGCUUGGCACCCACAUUCUGAGGACACUCACGGGAAUAGUGCCCUGGUUCUCCACACUUGUAACAGAUCACUUGGUUAGCACGUGGUGCAUCAUUGCUACCUGGACCACCAUAGGUUUUUGCUGGAGGGUUGGACUGAUUUGUCCGAGGCCGCCACAUAGGAUGGCCUCAGAGUGUAUCUUGGCGGCAGAGAACGUGUUUACGGACCCACACUCCUACUAUUUUNNNNNNNNNNNNNNNNNNNNNNNNNNNNNNNNNNNNNNNNNNNNNNNNNNNNNNNNNNNNNNNNNNNNNNNNNNNNNNNNNNNNNNNNNNNNNNNNNNNNUUGAUGACCCACAAGUAUAAGGGCAAUCUAUCGUAGUCCUUCCGAUAAGUAAGAGUAGUACGAACCCAACGAGGAGCAGAAGGAUCUGACAAGUGGUUUUCUAGCAAAGGAAAUAAUCUGCAAGCACUGAAAUUAUCGGUAACAAGUGGUUGUGUGGUGAGAUGAUUCAUAGCAAGCAACAAGUAACAAAAGUAAGCAACGGUGCAGCAAAGUGGCCCAAUCCCUUCUGUAGCAAGGGACAAGCUUGGUCAAAGUCCUAUAGGAGGAAAAACGCUCCCGAGGACACACGGGAAUUUCUGUCAUGCUAGUUUUCAUCAUGUUCAUAUGAUUCGCGUUCGUUACUUUGAUAGUUUGAUAUGUGGGUGGACUGGCGCUUGGGUACUGCCYUUACCUGGASAAGCAUCCCACUUAUGAUUAACCCCUCUCGCAAGCAUCCGCAACUAUGAAAGAGGAAUUAAGACAAAGUCUAACCAUAGCAUUAAACUAGUGGAUCCAAAUCAGCCCCUUACGAAGCAACGCAUAAACUAGGGUUUAAGCUUCUGUCACUCUAGCAACCCAUCAUCUACUUACUACUUCCCAAUGCCUUCCUCWAGGCCCAAAUAAUGGUGAAGUKUUAUGUAGKCGRCRUUCACAUAACACCACUAGAGGAAAAACAACAUACAACACAUCAAAAUAUCGAACGAAUACCAAAUUCACAUGACUACUAUUAGCAUGACUUAUCCCAUGUCCUCAGGAACAAAAGUAACUACUCACAAAGCAUAAUCAUAUUCAUGACCAGAGAGGUAAUGAGUAGCAUCAAGGAUCUGAACAUAAACUCUUCCACCAARUAAUCCAACUAGCAUCAACUACAAAGAGUAAUUAACACUACUAGCAACCUUACAAGUACCAAUCGGAGUCGCGAGACGAAGAUUGGUUACAAGUGAUGAACUAGGGUUUGGAGAUGAGAUGGUGCUGAUGAAGAUGUUGAUGGUGAUGAGUCCCCUCUGAUGAGAGGAGUGUUGGUGAUGACGAUGGCGACGAUUUCCCCCUUCGGGGGGAARUUUCCCCGGCAGGAUCGUCCYGCYRGAGCUCUAGAUUGGUUMUGCUCAUAGUUCCGCCAUGUGGCGGGGGCGAAUCCACGAAAAAGCCUCUUCUUGAGUAUUUUUUCCUGGACGAAACCCUUCAUAUAGCAGAAGAGGGGGGCCAGAGGGCCAGCUGGGUGCCCACACGCCCCCUAGGCGUGGCCAGGGGGGUGGCCGCGCCUAGCAGGCUUGUGGCCACCUCCUGGCGCCCCUGUGGCGCUUCUUCGGCCCAGUAUUUUUAUAAAUCCGGAAAAAAAUCCUCAUUGAUUANNNNNNNNNNNNNNNNNNNNNNNNNNNNNNNNNNNNNNNNNNNNNNNNNNNNNNNNNNNNNNNNNNNNNNNNNNNNNNNNNNNNNNNNNNNNNNNNNNNNUAAAACUAACUCGAUUACAUGAUAGAUCUCAUCCUAUUCAUCACCGCCCAGCGAGCCUACGAAUAGAUUACUCACGAACGACGAAGAGCUUCAUGAAAUUUGAGAGGGAAGAAGGUUGAUGAUGACGAUGGUGACGAUUUCUCCUCUCCGGAGCCCAAGACGGACUCCAGAUCUGCCCUCCAGAUGAAGAACAGGUGGUAGCGACGGCUCCGUAUCGCAAACGCGACGAAAACUUCUCUUUUUAUUUUUCUGGGACGAAAGGGAACUUAUAGACYUGAGGUUGGGGGYGGYAGGAGCCGUGUGGGCCCCACAAGCCUGCCCACCGCCACCAGGGGGUGGUGGCGGAGCCAGGGCUUGUGGCCCACUGGCCCACCCCUCAGGUGGAACUUGGCGCABAUAUUUUUUAUAUUUUCCAAAACUGCUCCYCGUAGAUUUUCAGGACGUUUGGAGAACUUUGAUUUCUGCACAAAAAUAACACCAAGGCAAUUCURCUGAAAACAGCGUCAGYCSAGGUUWGUKCCAUUCAWAUCAUGCAAAUUAGAGUCCAAAACAAGKGACAAAAGAGUUURGRAAAGUAGAUACGAUGGAGACGURUCAACCCCCGAGUCAUCUUUAUGCAACAAAUGGCAUGUUAGUCGACGAACCCGGCCUCUCGUAAGCGUACGAGUAAUGUUGGUCUGGGCCGCUUCAUACANNNNNNNNNNNNNNNNNNNNNNNNNNNNNNNNNNNNNNNNNNNNNNNNNNNNNNNNNNNNNNNNNNNNNNNNNNNNNNNNNNNNNNNNNNNNNNNNNNNNACCUAUCUAUAGUCAUGUCCUUUAAGUUAUUGAUUGUAAGUAAUAUGAUUUUUAAAGUACAUUGUAAUACUGUUAAAAAGUAAAAGUAAGGUUGUAAAUAGAGUAGCUGGGUCGUUUUAGGAAUAAUUAACAUGCAAGAUAAUAACAUACUUGGAAUUUACAUAUUUUUUGAGCGAUUUCCAUAUAUAGCAUGUUUAUUUUGAGUUAUGAUUUGAAAGAUAUAGUUUUAAAKUUUUWAACGCUUAGUUUAGUAAAAAAACGUAAAGGUUAAAAAAACGGUUAAGGGGUUAAAAAAAAUUAAGGAAGUUAAGGUUCGGUAGGUACGGUUAAGGUUUUUAGGUAAAGGUUAACGGUUAAAACGUUCGUCCUAACGAAAGGUAACUAACCUACCCCUACGGGGUAGUUACCCGGAAAAUAAGUGACAUAAAUUUUGUACUAAGUUAGUAUACAUUUUGUAUUAAAACCGUGACACUUAUUUUGGGACGGAGGGAGUAGCAUAUUUGAAAUUUACAUAUUUUUUGAGCGAUUUCCAUAUAUAGCAUGUUUAUUUUGAGUUAUGAUUUGAAAGAUAUUAAUUUUUUUAAAGCAUUUGAAUNUAGUUAAAAAAAAGGUUGAAAUAGAAUAGUUGGAGUCGUGGUGUNNNNNNNNNNNNNNNNNNNNNNNNNNNNNNNNNNNNNNNNNNNNNNNNNNNNNNNNNNNNNNNNNNNNNNNNNNNNNNNNNNNNNNNNNNNNNNNNNNNNUGAUCUGUUGGUGUUUGUGGGGCAUGUAGCACAUCGCCCACCACAUACUCUAAUUUUUGUGUCUCAGACCCCUUUGUCCGAGUUUUGGAGCCAUCAAUGGAGCGUGUUGAGGGCUUGAUGAAGGCGCUGAAGUUGUCAGAUCUGGAAAGUAAGGGGAGGAAUAUUGUUCGGACUGCUCGGACGAAGAGGGGAGUUGUGGAGACUGCUCUGGGAAGGAUUAUGUGCCCGAUGAGGGGGAUAUGAUGCAAGGAUCUGGGAGACAACAUCUUCAUGUUCACUUUCCAUCAACAAUUAGGUAAAAGCAGGGCUCUAGAGGAAGGGCCUUGCACGUUUGGGAAGUCUCUACUAGUGGUUGAAGAUUUUGACCCGAGCAAGAGUGUGAAGGAGUAUGAAUUCAAGGAAAUUUCGAUAUGGGUUAGGGUCUUUGACUUGCCUCUAGGUAUGAUGCACCGUGAGGCUAGUUUGGCGAUAGGAGACAUAAUUGGGGAAGCUCUCGAGGUGGACCCGGGACCUGACGGUAUGGCAGUGGGACAGUUCUUAAGGAUCAAAGUCCGUAUGGACAUUUCAAAGCCGAUAAUGAAAGGUUUUGUGCUGGACGAUGAUGGGUAGGAAAGGAGAAGGGGAAAGAUGACUAACUSUUGAGAGAAAUUAAGAAAAGAAAAGAGUGGNNNNNNNNNNNNNNNNNNNNNNNNNNNNNNNNNNNNNNNNNNNNNNNNNNNNNNNNNNNNNNNNNNNNNNNNNNNNNNNNNNNNNNNNNNNNNNNNNNNNAACUACCACACUAAAUAGAAUCUCGUCCUCGAGAUUCGGAGGGGCGUAGAAAGAAAGGUUUGGGUUUGGGGGGUCGUUCUAACCAAAUCCAACCUCCGGCAAAGUGGGAUGCUACCACGCUUAAAUAGAAGGUUACUCGUCGCUCAAUUUUUUUGACAAUCCUCUGGGGUCUUGGCAUCUCGCUCGUCACAUUCUUCACGGUAACUUCUUUGGUGAAGUUCUUCCAUUAUAUUCAUAAUGUUUCCAUCAAAAUCGAGGGUUCUUCUGUUGAUAUAAGACUCUCCCGUCACUGGGUCUUCUUAACUGACAAGUCUCGUGACCAUUUUAAAUAACCUAUCGAUGAUUCUCAUGGUGGUCUACCAUUUGUGGUUAUCCUGCAGAGAGAAAGGUCUUGGCUUCACCCUCACCGUAAAAUGUCCGACGCGUGACAACGAUUGCCAUGUACAUGGGGCUUUCAUCAUACCAUUCUAAGGCUUAAACAAAAGCUUCAAAGAACGUCGUCUCUCACUAUGGGUAAGUCCCUCAGAUUUACCAUUCCGAAUAGCAAGGAGAAUGAUAAUAGUAAGUCGUCAUGGUGGCCAAGCCAUGUCGCACUGAAAUCAUUACCUUGUAUAAGGCUUAGUGAAUCUCGUAUUCUAACNCUUGGCAUCCUCACAAGCGUUGUAGAAUUUCUCUUGUCCAGAACGUAGUCGGAUAAUCCAUCGGUUCNGCAAGCUAGAAACAAAUNNNNNNNNNNNNNNNNNNNNNNNNNNNNNNNNNNNNNNNNNNNNNNNNNNNNNNNNNNNNNNNNNNNNNNNNNNNNNNNNNNNNNNNNNNNNNNNNNNNNAAUUAUUUAGUAAUAGCGUACUYAAUUACUUGCUUCGAUCCCACAAACCCUAAACGACCUCCAAAGAACGGUGACUUUCUCUCUCUCUAUUCGAUCUAGAUAUGGCGCAUGGGAGUGUGGCACGCACGCAAUGGGAGCUCGAGGUGGCCAACCGCCUUGGAGGGGCACGACAAUGGGGGAGCUCAAGGUGGCCAGUUGUGACAGCCCCAAUGCAAUUCUUCCCCUCYCUUGUAAUCUUUCCUUGUAUGGCAACCUUGGCAUGUUAAUGAGAUGUGGUGUGAGCCCAACAUUGUGUCAUCAUUUCAUGUGUAUCAUGCCUUCAUGGAUUGCAUUUUCUUUCUUUCUUUUGUUGUUGUGUUGAUGUGGGUGAACUUAUUGUGAUGUGCAAGUGUUAGGUGGUUGUGCCUUUGUGUUGUUGAGGUGUGGGUGCAACAAGUGCAUGUCAAAAACCACAAGUUGCACCAUAGGACUAAACCCCUUUCUCCUCUCUUAUUUUAUUUUGUGGCAGAUUUAAAAGCUCUGUUUUCCCAAAUAAAAAUGUUCUACUUUUCCAAAAAAUCUUCUUAUUAAAUGUGGAGGCAACCCCUCUAGGUUUCUUUAUUUUCUMUUUUGAUUGUAUUUAAAACAGAGCCUCAUUUUAAAAUAAAAGGUAUUUAAUUUCUAUUCUUUAAAAUGCCCAACUGGGAAGUUCUAAGUUGUGAGACCCAAGUUAUAAGGAUGAUGUUCGUGUUACUAUAUAUCUAUGUUAUGUUCAUACUAAUAUAUGUAUGUUCGUUCAAAUAAUAAUGUGUCUUUUCUUUAUUCUUUACUCCUUUGUUAUUUUUUAUUAUUGUUUAGNNNNNNNNNNNNNNNNNNNNNNNNNNNNNNNNNNNNNNNNNNNNNNNNNNNNNNNNNNNNNNNNNNNNNNNNNNNNNNNNNNNNNNNNNNNNNNNNNNNNAUCUCCGGACGUGGUUCCGGUCGUAUUGUCACNCCGGGUUGCGGUCGAUAACACAUAGUAGGUGGACUACAACUUGCAAGAUAGGAUCAAGAACACGACAUAUAUUAACGAGAACAUAAUAGGUUCAGAUCUGAAAUCAUGGCACUCGGGCCCUAGUGACAAGCAUUAAGCAUGGAAAAGUGGUAGCAACAUCAAUCUCAGAACAUAGUGGAUACUAGGGAUSAAUCCCCGUCAAAACUAACUCGAUUACAUGAUAGAUCUYAUCCAACCCRUCACCGUCCAGCAAGCCUACRAUGAGAUUACUCACRAACGGUGAAGAGCAUCAUGGAAUUGGCGAUGAAGGAAGGUUGGUGAUGACGAUGGAGACAAUCUCCCCUCUUCGGAGCCCAGAAUGGACUCCAGAUCUMGCCCUCCAAAGGAAGAACAGGAGUUGGCGGCGCCUCCGUAUACGUAAACGCGAUAGAAUAUUCUCCUGUAUUUUUCCACAUAGAAGGGACCAAAUAGAGCUGAGAGUUGGAGGCGGUGGAGUCGUUUGGUCGGGNNNNNNNNNNNNNNNNNNNNNNNNNNNNNNNNNNNNNNNNNNNNNNNNNNNNNNNNNNNNNNNNNNNNNNNNNNNNNNNNNNNNNNNNNNNNNNNNNNNNCGGACACGAAUCAAGAGCAUUGUCGGCGGUCUUGUUCAUGAUAUUCAUGGCAAUGAACUCAUCCAACACUUCUCUUGAGGUCAAGGUGUGGAAAUCUAGCCUUUGACGAAUGACGGAGGACAUGGCUUUGUUGAAUGGCAUGAUGGCCUUGAGAAACUUGCACUUGAUCCAAGUGUCAUCUGUAUCCUUGAUCCCAUGAUCUUGGAGAGCAACGACAAGAGUAGCACCCUUCUAUAGAGAUCACGUGGGUCCUUAUCUUCUAGCAUCACAAACUCAUCGGCCUCAUCAAGAACCACUUCAAAGUUGGACCGUUGAAUGCUUGAGCUCCCCUUGUAAAACACCAUGAUUUGCUCCCAACAAUGCUUUGCAUGGGUGAAGGGGCGCAAGUGAGAUAGAUCUUCGGGAGGAACCGCGGAUUGAAGGAUGAACAAUGCAGAAUGAUUGUAUUGAUUAUCCGCCUCUUCUAUUGGAGUGAGGUUUGUUUGGAUCAUGUGGUAAAGCCUUGUUCGAUGAUUGUACCAAAGUAUUUGUUGAGCUGUGAUUCAAAUGAGACUUGAUGACAAAANNNNNNNNNNNNNNNNNNNNNNNNNNNNNNNNNNNNNNNNNNNNNNNNNNNNNNNNNNNNNNNNNNNNNNNNNNNNNNNNNNNNNNNNNNNNNNNNNNNNACUACUCGAAUCAAGGAAUUUGCUAUCAGCCAGUCUUACCGUCUGNUCCACAAACAGACAGCAAAGGCAUGGCAGUUCCCAAAGAACCUAUUUGCCAUCAGCCUACACUUUGUCGUCUGCCAGCGGACGACAGAGAAGGCGCUCGUAGACGGCCWAGGGCCUGAUACGCCUCCAACGUAUCUAUAAUUUUUGAUGGUUCCAUGCUAUUAUCUUGUCAACAUUGGAUGUUUUGUAUGCAUGAAUAUGCUAUUUUAUAUAUUUUUUGAGACUAACCUAUUAACUCAGUGCCAAGUGCCAGUUCCUGUUUUUUUCGUGUUUUUGACCUUUUUCAGAGGAGAAUAUUAAACGGAGUCCAAACGGAGUAAAACCUGCGGAAUGWAUUUUUCCAUAACAGAAGACACGCCGGAAACUUGAGAACCAAGGCAGGGGACCUCGGAGGAGGUCACUAGCCACCCAGUCCCGGCCUAGGGGCGGUCCUAGCAAGCUUGCGGCCCCUAUGGCUCCCCUGCCCUAGUUCUUCCGCCUAUAAAUUACCCUAAAAUCUGAAACCACGGGAGAGAGCCACGGAAAUACUUUCCGCCGCCGCAAGCUUUUGUCUCCACAGAUCCCAUCUGGAGCACGUUCUGGUCGCCCUGGUCGGGAGGGGAGUUCGGACAGUAGGAGGGUCUUCUUCAUCAACACCAUUGCCUCUCUGAUGANNNNNNNNNNNNNNNNNNNNNNNNNNNNNNNNNNNNNNNNNNNNNNNNNNNNNNNNNNNNNNNNNNNNNNNNNNNNNNNNNNNNNNNNNNNNNNNNNNNNGGUACGAAAACCGUUAACCUAACGGUUUAACGGUUUAGGGUAAGUUAAGGUAAGGAAAACGAAAACGGAAAGGACUAUACCUACGUGUACGAGUACAGUUAGUAAAUAAACUAAGUAGAGUAAUAGGUAGGAAUUUGUAAACCGUACCUAGUGAAGGAAGGAAACGUAACGUAAAAAGUAACCAACAACUCGAAAACAAUACAUAGACGAUGCAUAUGAACUCAGUUUUCGUAUGAACUCGAGUUUGUCAUGAAGAUAACCAUAAGACUCUAAAACUACACAAUGAGAAACACCAAAUAAGAACCAAGAAAGAUGAUGCAGGGAUGGAGUGGUUUGAGCUCUCUACGAAUGAUAUGAUCAAGCUACUCACAUGAGAGCCCCCCUUGAUAGUACGACAAUGGAUCCUAUGACCCGAUCUCGCAAUUACCACCAUGAGACACGUAAAAUAGAAAACUACCAAGAAUAAAGAUUUUCCUUGCACAUAGUCCAGUUGAGCUAGAUGAUGACGAUCUUGACUUCCUCAAGUUGGAGAUCACCCAUACUCCACUAUGGUUGAGCCACUCUUUGGCAUAUAUUCACAAGUCCAUUUUCACUAUAAUGGAUGGCAAUAUUCAAGCACAAUCCCUUUGUGAUGCUCCACUUGAACUUGCACACCGAAAUCUUGAUGACGAUUACCACUUGAUGUCAUCUUCAAUGGGCCAUAUAAUAUCUUCCUGUUGACGCAAGCCCAUGGAAACAUACCUAACCCCACAUAGAACUCUCAUGCAGACCAUGGGUAGUACACAAAGCAUAAUGGACAUGCUUACCAUACCAUGGGAUCACUUGACUCCCUCUUCGGCACAUUAUUGUAUGUCUUUGUGUUGUUUACUCUAACUUGUAUUUAAUUAUUUAGUUAUUUAGUUAUUAGUAUUUCCUUACCGUUUGUUCGUUACUANNNNNNNNNNNNNNNNNNNNNNNNNNNNNNNNNNNNNNNNNNNNNNNNNNNNNNNNNNNNNNNNNNNNNNNNNNNNNNNNNNNNNNNNNNNNNNNNNNNNAAUUUUACUUAACUACUCACGCWAUACAUGAGUGUGAGCCAUGGAUAUAGCACUUAUAGGUGGARUAGAGUGUGGUGGAGGUUGGUGAGGAAAAARGGRAGGAGGAUGGUCACAUUGACUCGGCGUAUCAAAGGGUUAGUGGAGAUGCCCAUCAAUAGAUAUCAAUGUUWAUGAGUAGGGAUUACCAUGCAACGGAUGCACGAGAGCUAUAAGUGUGUGAAAGCUCAAAAGAAGAACUAGUGGGUGUGCAUCCAACUUGCUUGCUCACGAAGACCUAGGGCAAUUUUGAGGAAGCCCAUCAUUGGAAUAUACAAGCCAAGUUAUAUAACGAAAAUUCCCACUAGUAUAUGGAAGUGUCAAAAGAAGAGACUCUCAAUCAUGAAGAACAUGGUGCUAUUUGAAGCACACGGGUGGAAAAGAUAGUAGCAUUGUCCCUUCUCUCUUUUCUCUUUUUUUUUGUUUGGGUCUCUUUGGUCCUUCUUUUCUAUUUUUUUUCUUCUAAUUUUUUUUGUUGGGUCUAUCUUUGGUCCUUCUUUUUUAUUCUCCUUCACAUGGGACAAUGCUCUAUAAUGNUGAUCAUCACUACUUUUANNNNNNNNNNNNNNNNNNNNNNNNNNNNNNNNNNNNNNNNNNNNNNNNNNNNNNNNNNNNNNNNNNNNNNNNNNNNNNNNNNNNNNNNNNNNNNNNNNNNAGAGAGAGAGAGAGAGAGAGAGAGAGAGAGAGAGAGAGAGAGAGAGAGAGAGAGAGAGAGAKAGAGAGUAGAGAGAGAGAGAGAGAGAGAGAGAGAGAGAGAGAGAGAGAGAGAGAGAGAGAGAGAGAGAGAGAGAGAGAGAGAGAGAGAGAGAGAGAGAGAGAGAGAGAGAGAGAGAGARGAGAGAGAGAAGAGAGAGAGARAGAGAGAAGAGAGAGAGAGAAAAAGAGAGAGGAGAAGAGAAGAAGAGAAAGGAACCCGACACCCGAAACUGACCUCGACCUGACCCUGAUGCCCGACACCACUGACCCCGACCAUCAACCCCGACGCCACUGACCCCGACCCCGACGCCAUUGACCCCGAUGCCACUAACCYUCGACCCCGACGCCACUGACCCMCGACCCAGACCCUCGGCCCACGACUCCCGGCCCACGACGCUCGACGCCACCAACCCCCGACCCCCGACGCCACUGACACCCGACAUCACUGACCCUAGACCCCGACGUCACUGACCCUCGCCCGCCGACGCCACUGACCCCCANAACCGACGCCACUAACCCCCGACCGAGUANNNNNNNNNNNNNNNNNNNNNNNNNNNNNNNNNNNNNNNNNNNNNNNNNNNNNNNNNNNNNNNNNNNNNNNNNNNNNNNNNNNNNNNNNNNNNNNNNNNNUAGGAGGGAAGGGGCAGGGGAUCGGGCGGAUCCCGGCGAACCUGGAGAGGACUCGGGCUCGGGCUCGGUUUUGGAAAGGGGAUAGGAGGAAGGUGACCGAGGGAAGAGGAGAAUCGGGCGCGGGUCCCACGCGGCAGGGAGAGGGGGCUGGGGGGCUUGGGGGCGGUCGGUCGAUCCGUAGGGAUCUCGGAUCCCGGAUACUGUGGGAUUCGGCCCACACCUAUAAUGCGCCGGCGGCGGUUUACCUUAAAAAAACCUUUCCUAUUUAGUCCUUUUUAAAUAAAACAGAAACUAAAAAGGAAAAAAUAAAAUAAUUAAUAGUAGGUAUCAUAUAACCAAAAAAUCAAGAAAAACAUCCUACUACUACGAAUUAACUAUUUUUACCAAGUACUAAAAAAUUAAAAACUUUUUAAAAAUUAGUUUUUUUAAGAAAACUUACCCCUAAAAGACUAAUUUAUUUUACUUUUGACUAAUUUAUUUUCUACUAAAUUUAAAUUUGUUUACCUUGGUACUACUAAAAUUANNNNNNNNNNNNNNNNNNNNNNNNNNNNNNNNNNNNNNNNNNNNNNNNNNNNNNNNNNNNNNNNNNNNNNNNNNNNNNNNNNNNNNNNNNNNNNNNNNNNUUUAGUCAUAAUAAAAUACUAGUACAGUAUUUUACUAUUACCUAGCCUCCAACGAUAUUUUAGUUUAGUCAUAUUACAUUUCACUUAGCAUAUUAAGACACAUUUUAUAAAUACUGACAGUAUAACCACAAGGAGCAACUUGCAUAUGACUGGUUGGCCUCGGGUUUGACCUUGUCAUCCUUCACAUGGAUGAUCUUUAGGUGGUGCUUGCAAAUAGAAUAAACAACAAUCAGAUACAACAGGGAUAAAGUAAAAUGAUGCACUUAUAUCAAUAAAGGAAAGCAUUUAGAUGAGCAUGCACAUACAUGUAAUACAUGUGAAGCAAACUUGUUGGAUCGACAAUAUAGUGAUGUAGUUAAUGCAUCAGUACUAAUACAUAGUAAACACUUGGAGCAGCAUGCACAUACACGUGUAGCAAUGCACAUACAGUUAAUGCAUCAGUACUAAACUGACWAGUUAGAAGCAAGACAAACUWAAUUGAAGCUACGUUGGACUAGCAUGCACAUACAAGUGUAGCAAUGCAUGGAAACUCUAAUUAACCAUGUAUGCUAGCAAGCAAGCAAGCCAUAGUAGUCAAGCAACAUGAACCCUAACCCUAUGAACCACGUCAGCGGACAUAUUUACCCAAUGAACCCUAACCCUAACCCCAUGAAUGUAUCGAACCAUCCCCAUANNNNNNNNNNNNNNNNNNNNNNNNNNNNNNNNNNNNNNNNNNNNNNNNNNNNNNNNNNNNNNNNNNNNNNNNNNNNNNNNNNNNNNNNNNNNNNNNNNNNACACCACGACUAUAGGUAGAUGAUAUGAUGAUAUUGCUGUUCUAACUAUGAUCAUGAUGCAUGCAUGUCCAUAUCUUGUUUUGUUCGACACCUCUCUCUCUAAACAUGUGGGCAUAUUUAUUGAUCUCGGCAUCCGCUUGAGGACAAGUGAGGUCUAAGCUUGGGGAGGUUGAUACGUCCAUUUKKCAUCAUGCUUUCAUGUUGAUAUUUAUCGCUUUAUGGGCUGUUAUUACACUUCAUGGUACAAUACUUAUGCCUUUUCUCUCUUAUUUUGCAAGGUUUACAUCAAGAGGGAGAAUGCCGGCAGCUGGAAUUCUGGCCUGAAAAAGGAGCAAGUUUGAGAURCCUAUUCUGSGCAACUCCAAAAGCCGUGAAAAUCAACGAGRAUUUWUUUKGGAAUWUAUAAAAAUACUGGGCCGAAGAAGUUCCACAGGAGCUCAACCGAGGGGGCCACAAGCCUGGUAGGCGCGGCCMMCCCCCUGGCCGCGCCUAGGGGGCUUGGUGGGCUCCCUGCUGGCCCACUCGGCCCCCCUNUUCUUCUAUAUGAAGGAUUUCAUUACCGAAAAAAAUCAGGAGGANNNNNNNNNNNNNNNNNNNNNNNNNNNNNNNNNNNNNNNNNNNNNNNNNNNNNNNNNNNNNNNNNNNNNNNNNNNNNNNNNNNNNNNNNNNNNNNNNNNNUCUACAACUAAACAAAUGUCUCACGCAAUUAAUUAGUAGAAUUGGACAUAGUCCAUAGCAUUAGUUUGGAAUCUACAGCUUUCUACACGAUUCUACGAUUUGGACCAUGACUCAACAUGGAUUCUAAUGGAUCCGGAUUCAUAGUGGGACUUGGAUCGACAUGCUUUCGUAGGGUCAUGAAAUCGUAGAAUUCUAGGAGUCGAAUCACGACUCCGACUACCUUCGGCAUGCCAGGUCCGAUUGUUCAACCUCUAUACCAUAACUUGAUUCAACUGCCCCUAAAAAUGGCAAAUGGAACUAUUUCCUUGAGGUCUCGUUCACCACCCGCUACUUCAUCUCUCCGGUGGUUGCCACCAUUUUUCGCUUCUUCUCCGUGGCCACGGUCGUCAGGGUGAUACCUCACAGACGGCUCUAAAUUGCACCAGCAGUGGUCUCGGCCAUCUCUUUGUUCUUGGGGCAAGAGGCUAGAGACAUGACGAUCAUGUAUACAAUAAUGAUGGAAGUGGUANNNNNNNNNNNNNNNNNNNNNNNNNNNNNNNNNNNNNNNNNNNNNNNNNNNNNNNNNNNNNNNNNNNNNNNNNNNNNNNNNNNNNNNNNNNNNNNNNNNNACACCACGACUACGACUUUCCUACGGCAGCCGACCACCAUACCUCCACGGUUUUCCGUUCUACGAUCGCGUUUCUGCGGAGCUCGGCGGAGCCAUGCUGAGACAAGGUCAUCACCAACCUCCGGACGCGCCGUCACGCUGCCGGAGAACUCUUCUACCUCUCCGUCUCUCUUGCUGGAUCAAGAAGGCCGAGAUCAUCGUCGAGCUGUACGUGUGCUGAACGCGGAGGUGCCGUCCKUUCGGUACUAGAUCGUGGGACUGAUCGCGGGAUUGUUCGCGGGGCGGAUCGAGGGACGUGAGGACGUUCCACUACAUCAACYRCGUUCACUAAYGCUUCUGCUGUACGRUCUACAAGGGUACGUAGAUCACUCACUCCCCUCUCGUAGAUGGRCAUCACCAUGAUAGGUCUUCGWGCGCGUAGGUAAAUUUUUUCGUUUCCCUUGCGAUGUUACCCAACAGCUUCGACACAGAUCCGGAUGACUCUAAGUCACAGACCGGAUACGUAUAUGUGUUGAAGUGGKKGGGCGAGUGAGCUGGUGCAGCAGCAAGCARRAGUCGUGGCAGCAUCUACAUGUGAAGCGGAGUACAUAGCUGCUUCAGAAGCGGCUCAUGAAGGAAUUUGGUAUGAAGGAGCUCAUCACCYACCUUGGAGUGGUUCCAAGCGCGUCGGGUCCAAUGACACUCUUGUGUGAUAACACUGGGGCCAUUGCCAUAGCCAAGGAGCCCAGGUUUCACCAGAAGACGAAGCACAUCAAACGCCUCUACAACUCCAUCCAGGACCAUGUCCAGAGUGGAGUGAUAGAUAUUUGUAAAGUACACACGGAUCUGAAUAUUGCAGACCCGUUGAGUAAACCUCUUACACGAGACAAAWCAUGAUACAACACCAUAAUGCUAUGGGUGUUCGAUACAUCACAAUGUAACUAGAUUAUUGACUCUAGUGCAAGGUGGGAGACUGUUAGGAAAUAUCGCCCUAGAGGCAAAUAAAUAAAAGUGGUUAUUAUCAUUAUUUCCUUGUUCUAUGAUAAUACGUCUACUGUUCAUGCUAUAUUGUAUUAACAGAACAGUAAUACAUGUGUNNNNNNNNNNNNNNNNNNNNNNNNNNNNNNNNNNNNNNNNNNNNNNNNNNNNNNNNNNNNNNNNNNNNNNNNNNNNNNNNNNNNNNNNNNNNNNNNNNNNGAAGCAUCUGCUGCAAUGCCUCUAGGAAGGGUGAUGGCCCCACCUCCAGGACAAACAAAGAGGAUCCAGGAACCUGAUAGAGUCCCAAGGCAGAAAGAAACUAUGGCGGCUGUGAUGGACCAUUAGGAAAGUCCGCUGGGCAUGGACUUUGAGAGCUCGGUGGAAAUGCGUGAUGAGUUUUUGCCGAUGGACGAAGAAACCACUCUGUGCAUGGAUGAAAGCGGCACUGUUUGCGUACGCCUCAGGCGUGGUGCACCUUCUAUUGACAGGAAUGAUGUCGUCAGUGAAGAAGAACAUCAGCUUGUGCUUCAACCAGGCAAGUUCACCUUCUCUUUUACUAGUGCAUUUUGCAAAUAGGAAGUGAUCAUGUAUGCUUACCUGUUUAGCAGAACCAUUCCUGCAUUUGUCGAUUUCUCUUCUAAUAUACGAGUUCAAUUUCAUUUUCAGAUGCAAUGACUAACAAUCAUAGACUAAGAAAGGGCAAAAGGGCUAGAGAGAAUCACCAAGUCGCUUGGCACAAAUGUGCCUAUCCAAAUUCGCCCAAGGGAUGAAGCGUCUAGAGAAGCCUCUAUAGGCAACAAAGUUUGCUUCUGAGUGUGGACUCGUUGCAAGAAGCCAUCUGCCGGUUCUUCCUCACUUCAAGGAAUACAAAAAUAAUGCUACUCUAGUGGAGGACUACAUUGGGAAAGUUGCUGUAAGCUACUUGUUUUAUAGUUAAUGUGCUGCUCUAUUUUCUGUUAUGUAGUUAAUGAUCACUAAUGUUGUUCCUUCCUUGUUUGCUGUCUUGGUAGGCAAAUUUUGAGAUAAACACAGACUCGGAGACCAUAAAGUAUGUGUGCAAAGAUGUUCANNNNNNNNNNNNNNNNNNNNNNNNNNNNNNNNNNNNNNNNNNNNNNNNNNNNNNNNNNNNNNNNNNNNNNNNNNNNNNNNNNNNNNNNNNNNNNNNNNNNUGAUCGGCUCCCUGGAGAACCCAGUGGAUGACCCGGGAUGCUGGAGAGGCCAUGACAUCCUGCGGAAAGCUUCACCCAGGCUCAAAGAGACGKACGGAUAUUUUCAAGACCCAAGGCUUACCUGCACAGCCACARGUCAUUAUGGGCUYUGGCUUGGUUGGACAACGYGGYRACUCUAGGACAGGCGGUGCUAGCAGAUGUAGAAGAACGGUWGGAUUGGAUGGGCACCGACAGGSAUUCAGAGGGACCCGUUGAAAGACCAUSUUUUGAUCAUCCGGUCUUCAAACACCCUCAAGUGCGAGGACAUACACGGAGGCGAUCAAAUCUUGUGGGGAACGUGUGCAAAACUCUGCAGAGUACUCAAACCUAAUCGAUUAGCCGUGUCCACGGUCAUGGACAACUUGAGCCAAAGGAACUGAAGUUAUCUGGAWUUCUCAACACCAUUAWAUAUUAUUUGAUGUAGGGUAAUUAYUGAUAACUUGGUAUGAGAACUGGUUGGCGGAACCAUCUCAUUAACAACCAAACAAAGUAAGUAAUAUUUGUCUUUAGCCUUCUCUUAGUCGNNNNNNNNNNNNNNNNNNNNNNNNNNNNNNNNNNNNNNNNNNNNNNNNNNNNNNNNNNNNNNNNNNNNNNNNNNNNNNNNNNNNNNNNNNNNNNNNNNNNUGUUAGGCCACUACCACCGGGGCCCUUUUCCACUUCAAUUUCAGUUUCAGUCACACUCCACAAGUGUUUGUGCUCAAAGUUUUGCACAACUCACCAUUUUCCGUGCAAAAGAGUGUCUGGCACACAAAACACCAUUGUUGCUUUGUUUUUUAGAAUAAAGGGAUCACUCUUAUACCAGCACCUUGAAGUGUUGAUGUCUUUGAAGUGGCCAUCAUACUUGACACAAGAGCGUCUCUACUUCUUGUUWCCAAGAUACAAACCAGUCACAGACGAAAUAGACAACCGAGCGAUGGAUGCCUCCACUAGAGUUGUACUGCAACUCUAUGAUGCUUCUCAGCUGACCAUAGAAGCAAUGUUCUCAUGAUCAUGUGACCCCUCAGUGACGAUUCCACUUAUUUUUUGUCUUUCCUUUUUUCCUCGCGAUCAACGGUGUGGUACCAGACACCAUCAACAAUGCAUGCUGAAUACACUCGCACUCGCCUAUCCGGUAAGCAUGACCAAAGAAAAUAGAUCAUCACUGACUUUCUUCUCCUCAUGCUAACUUUCCAACAUGANNNNNNNNNNNNNNNNNNNNNNNNNNNNNNNNNNNNNNNNNNNNNNNNNNNNNNNNNNNNNNNNNNNNNNNNNNNNNNNNNNNNNNNNNNNNNNNNNNNNUCUUUAUUCAUCUGCCUCUCUUGGAGGUCCUUUAGUUCCACUCGAACUUUCCAAGGUGCUCCUUGAAAUCAUCCAUCUUUUGCUUCAUCAUGGUGGUCAUGAGCUUCAUCUCCAUCAUCUCCGCACGUACCUCACUCAGGUAUUCCUGGGUAUGACGGAGUCUUGCUUCAAGUAUCUCUCCAAUCUGACGUAUGGCUUCUAUGGAAACUUACACGAACAACAUCAAAGAAGGUUGCUCGUGGUACACGUGAAAUGAAAAAGUAAUUGCCCCAUAGUCUUUGGACAAACUCCUUUCACAUGGUGGAGGUGUACUUCCACAUWACCAAAGUUCUACUCCACUUUCCAUGAAUGGGUAGCCUUUGUAGACUGCAUCUCCUUCAAGGUGAAUGUGCUUCAUCAUGUCCUUCAGGAUUUUCGGGUAAUCAUGAUCACUGGUCGGGUCAUGAUUGUUUCGGGCCGUUGAGGAAUGACUCGUAGAGAGUUGUCAUCUGUAGGUGUCAGUAAAUAGGUACUCAGAGGAAUGUAUAUGUCUUCCUUGGUUAGUUAUGGUACUAUUCCUACUCAANNNNNNNNNNNNNNNNNNNNNNNNNNNNNNNNNNNNNNNNNNNNNNNNNNNNNNNNNNNNNNNNNNNNNNNNNNNNNNNNNNNNNNNNNNNNNNNNNNNNAACAAUACACAAUAGAGCUUGCAAGCAAUAUGAUUAAGGAGUUAGUCACGGAUCUUGUAUUAUGGAAUGAGUAAAGAGACUUGCCCUUAACGACAUUGAACUAGGUAUGGAGAUACCAACGAUCGAAUCUCGGGAUGUAACAUACCGAUGAACAAAGGACCAACAUACAWGAUUGAUUAAAUCCUUGACAUCGAGGUUCGACCAAUAAAGAUCAUUGUAUAAUAUGUUGGAGCCAAUAUGGGCAUCCAGGUCCCGCUAUUGCUUAUUGACCGGAGAGUGUCUUGGUCAUGUCUACAUAAUUCUCGAACCCGUGGGGUCUACACACUUAAGGUUCGGUGACGAUAUAAGCAUAAUCGAGCCAUUGUGUUGGUGACCGAAGGUUGUUUGGAGUCCCGGACGAUAUCCCGGACGUGACGAGGAACUCUGGAAUGGUCUGGAGGUGAAGAUUGAUAUAUAGGAUGAAGAUCAUCGGAGUCCGAAAGUGUUUCAGGGUGCACCGAGGGAAUAACGGAGUGUGGGAAAGGGGUUUCGGGAGGACCCCGACAAUUCGUUGGGGGGACCUCAGUGGCCGAAGGAGAGUGGACACCGCAGCCUAGCGAGGGGCUGGGCGCAACCCUUANNNNNNNNNNNNNNNNNNNNNNNNNNNNNNNNNNNNNNNNNNNNNNNNNNNNNNNNNNNNNNNNNNNNNNNNNNNNNNNNNNNNNNNNNNNNNNNNNNNNACCUCCACCUCCUCGCUUCGCCGUCGGCACUCUCCGGUGCCCCACGGACAGCGCAACAACGGGACUCGACUUCCCCGACGCYGCGUCCCUACUCCAUCCCCGCCUCUCCACUUCCUCCCCUCCUCUCGGUUUCUUUCCUCUCCUCCUGCCGCCAUUGACAGGAGCUUGAGCUCGAGGAGCCCGAGCUCUCUGGCCACASGGGAASSCCCCCCCCCCCGACGUCGCUCCAUCCUCUCCGCAACGUUGAGCUCGACGCGCACGUCAACGGAACCGUCCUCCCCGAGCCCUGCAAUCGCCCCAGUGCCGCCGUCUUCAACCUCCGGCCGCCGACAAAUCGACGAUGGAUCGUCGACUACAACCCCUCCCGAGCAGUCUGAGCCCAGCUUCGUCUCCACCAUGAGCUUGCGAGCAUUUCCCCUCUCGUUUCCCCUCWCUCUCCGGCACUCUAGCCACGGGACCACAAGCCCGAGGUCCGGCAGCCGCCUCGGCUCGUCGCCGGCAUGACUCCGGCCACCUACUACGCCCCUCCUGGACUCGGCCCGUAGUGGACGUCGGGGCCGAGCCGUGGGGACUCACUUCCCAGUCGCUCGUCCGGCACUUGACUUCCGNNNNNNNNNNNNNNNNNNNNNNNNNNNNNNNNNNNNNNNNNNNNNNNNNNNNNNNNNNNNNNNNNNNNNNNNNNNNNNNNNNNNNNNNNNNNNNNNNNNNUUACAUUGCGUGACAUUCCCAACCGGAGACAGACACAUCAGCUAAGAAGGGAACGACAAUGUCGGUCAACCAAUGUGUCCGGAGCAGUAGCAAACUACCAUGGCUCGUUGGAUCCCAAAGUGGCAUUUCCCUACAAGGAAUGCUACUAAAGCCUGCGGCUAGGUAGUCGAACCCCAUACAUAUCAAGUACAACACACGUACGCAUGGCAUACCGAUAUGUAUAGAUACAUCGAUGGCAUCACAACAUAACCAUAAACAUACAAGCUUUAUUUAAAAGGGUCGUAAGAGCCUCACACAUAAUAUUAYACAGUAGGGGUCUCACGACCCAUCAUAACAGUCAUUCAAGUUACAAGCCAGCGGAAGUAGAUAAACUGUCUGAGUACAGACAGAUGAAACUAGAAGGUACAUGGGCCUGACUAUACUACAGAYCCACMCUAGGGCCAGAUCRUAGYUGGGAUACCAGCUACUCGKCGUCGYCKWUGUCUAGGUAGAACCCUCCAUUAGGGUCAUUGACAACCUCUGCAAMAAUUAUUAAGCAAACGUGAGUACAGAAGUACUUAGCAAGACUUUAGGAUAACUAUCUACUCAUGCAAUGUAUCAAUCAGGAGUUGUGGGGUUURAUGCGGAAAGCCGGCAUUUGACUCRUGGCUAGACAACUUGCAUUUUUUUAAANAUUUUGACAACUUGAUUUCUACGAANACGAGUCCACUAACACCACAANAACUACUCCAUCGUAGGAAUCCCUUUCCGUCUCCAAUCGGUAAAUCGCCGACCACGACUACUCACGUCCNNNNNNNNNNNNNNNNNNNNNNNNNNNNNNNNNNNNNNNNNNNNNNNNNNNNNNNNNNNNNNNNNNNNNNNNNNNNNNNNNNNNNNNNNNNNNNNNNNNNUAUUUGAUGGUAUCCCAACCUCAAAUCCAUUUUUGAUAAGACUGMGGAUCCARCGAGCUGAUCAUACGAGRUCRUUGAUUCCGUGGGGAGYGGAUACUUUGUUCUUUAUGGUGAYCAGRUUAACUGGUCGGUAAUCUACAACCAUCCGAUMMGUUCCRUCYUUCUUCUUGACGAAGAGGACGRGASAAGCCCARGGAGAAGAGCUAGGAYGAAUGWAACCUUUAUUCAAGGCMUYAUCUAGUUGCKUCUUAAGUUCGGCUAGCUCCAGGGGUGCCAUCUUAUAUGUUCUUAUGGCUAUUGGAACGGUUCCCGGAACAAGAUCUAUCACAAACUCUACAUCUCUGUCAGGUGGAAUUCCUGGCAGUUCCUCUAGGAAAACAUCUAGGAAGUCACGGACUACCGGAAUGUCUUCAAGUUCYGGAAGAGGGUUGGCAUUGAGGGAAUAGAKUUGGCAUUUGGCAACUCGAGUAGGRACAUUGACUAUCUACACCCGAGGGAUGGGUAAGCUGAACUAUUUCAGAUGAGUAUCAUCUUGGCUAUAGUGAGCUGACAUCCAGUCCACUACCCNNNNNNNNNNNNNNNNNNNNNNNNNNNNNNNNNNNNNNNNNNNNNNNNNNNNNNNNNNNNNNNNNNNNNNNNNNNNNNNNNNNNNNNNNNNNNNNNNNNNGAUGAGCUACGAAUGUACAGACGAAUGGACCUCCGGAACGACCAAACGGAAGACCGAAAACGGUACGAAACAAUAGAGUCGAUAUAGUAUAUAUGAUCAACAUGAAGAUAGUUCACCACUUGAAACCAGACUCAUAUCACGUGAUGAUCGGACUGGGUUUGUGGAUUUGAAUCAUGUAUCACUCAAAUGACUAGAGGGAUGUCAAUUUGAGUGGGAGUUUUUAGUAAUAUGAUUAGCUAAACUCAUUAUCUUAAACAAUAGUCUAAGUAAGCUUUCCAWAUUUGUUGUAGAUCAGUGGCUCGCGCAGUAGCACCCCUGAAGUUAAUGCGUUCCUACAGAAAGCCAAGAUGAAAGAUGAUCGGAGGAACUUUGUAGACCGGGCCCGUAAUCUGAGGCUUGUYCUCUCAGUUUCCCAAAAGAGCUAUGUCCUUGAUACACCGCUUGGUGAUGCCGCCCUCCUUCCCCGCGGCUGAACAYAUUAUGAACGUCUGAUAGUCGCGUCUGGAUGACUACUCAACUAGUUUAGUGUUCCAAUUUUGUAUGACUUAGAACCGAGACUUCAAAGUACGUUUUGAACGUCAUGGAGCAUAUGAGAUGUUCCAGGAAUUGAAUUUUAUCUUUGAGAAGAAUGCCCGGAUCUAGAGGUAUGAGACCUCUAGAUGAGUUCUAUGCUUGNNNNNNNNNNNNNNNNNNNNNNNNNNNNNNNNNNNNNNNNNNNNNNNNNNNNNNNNNNNNNNNNNNNNNNNNNNNNNNNNNNNNNNNNNNNNNNNNNNNNUACUGCUGCCAGGAGCGGUACUACUGCACGGUAGGUUCGUACCAACCACGGUAGUAAACAAAUUACCACCGUGCCUACCACCGUACGAGGCUGAGGUGGUGAAAAAAGUACUGAGGGAGCGGUAGUAAAAAAUUACUAGCGCCCAGUGAGCGGUACUACCGCUGUUCCUUUUGCACAGACAGGGAGAAACACGCUGGAGAUCCAUGGAAGCAAGGGAAAGGUGGUGCAAUAGAGAUGUGUACGUGUUGAUUCCACCCUAACCUUUCCUAAGCGGACCCCCUCUUAAUAGUAAGGCUUUCCUAUGACUCAAAUCCACCAAAGAGAAAUGUAGAAAGCAACCAUCUUUGAAAGACUCCGAGGGCACUAAAUCAUCUUGUGCCUAGUCAUGAAUUAUCUAGAAAUGCUCAAUGCACACGAUUAGUCCGCACACGCAUUGUCAUCAAUCAACCMAACCCACGUUAGGGANAAAUAUCGACCCUAAACRAAGGUUCUUGUWGACAAAGAAAAAAMGAACACCAACAAACAACUCCAUCAGUAGAUCACCUCACUCGUGAGGCAAAUGUCAUCAACAAAAAAAGGAGUUUCNGACAACGCGACCGUUGUUUCNGCGACGCUAACCGUUGUUCUGCAAUGNNNNNNNNNNNNNNNNNNNNNNNNNNNNNNNNNNNNNNNNNNNNNNNNNNNNNNNNNNNNNNNNNNNNNNNNNNNNNNNNNNNNNNNNNNNNNNNNNNNNUGUUGAUGUAGUGGAACGUCCUCACGUCCCUCGAUCCGCCCCGCGAACCGUCCCGCGAUCAAUCCCGCGAUCAGUCCCACGAUCUAGUGCCGAACGGACGGCACCUCCGCGUUCAGCACACGUACAGCUCGACGAUGAUCUCGGCCUUCUUGAUCCAGCAAGAGAGACGGAGAGGUAGAAGAGUUCUCCGGCAGCGUGACGGCGCUCCGGAGGUUGGUGAUGAUCUUGUCUCAGCAGGGCUCCGCCCGAGCUCCGCAGAAACGCGAUCUAGAGGAAAAACCGUGGAGGUAUGUGGUCGGGCUGCCGUGGAAAAGUCAUCUCAAAUCAGUCCUAAACCUCCGUAUAUAUAGGUGGGAGGAGGGGGGCCUUGCCGUAGGGGCUCAAGGAGCCCCGAAGGGGGUCGGUCGAGGCCAAGGAGGGAACGGUCCUACCCCCCCCCCAAAACCGACGUCCUACUUGGUUUGGAAGGUGGAGUCCUUCUUCCCUUUCCACCUCCUUCCUUUUUUUCUUUCUUCUUUGUANNNNNNNNNNNNNNNNNNNNNNNNNNNNNNNNNNNNNNNNNNNNNNNNNNNNNNNNNNNNNNNNNNNNNNNNNNNNNNNNNNNNNNNNNNNNNNNNNNNNUAAGAUAUAAAAGGUACAUAAAACAUCCAAAGAUGACAAGAUAACAACGUGAAACCAUCAAAAAUUAUAGAUACGUUUGAGACGUAUCAGUAUGUUACUUGCCCGAGAUUCGAUCGUCGGUAUGUCCAUACCUAGUUCAGUAUUGUUACUGGGAAGUCUCUUUACUCAUUCUGUAAUACAAGAUCCCAUGACUAACUCCUUAGUCACAUUGCUUGCAAGUUCAUUGUGAUGUUGUAUUAUCAAGUGGUCCCUAGAGAUACAUCUUCGUCAUACGUAGUGACAAAACCCAGUCACGAUUCACGCCAACCCAACAAACAACUUCGGAGAUACCUGUAGAGCACAUUUAUAGUCACCCAGUUACAUUGUGACGUUUGAUACACACAAGGCAUUCCUUCAGUGCCUGGGAUUGCAUGAUCUCUUGGUCAUAGAAUAGAUACUUGACUAUAUAGAAAAUAGUARRCAAUGAACUCACACGAUCACAUGCUACGUUCAUAGUUUGGGUCUUGCCUAUCACAUCAUUCUCCUGAUGGUGUGAUCACAUUAUGAAAUGAAAUCUCAUGUCUAUGGUCAAGAAACAUUGACCAUAUUUGAUCAACGAGCUAGUCCUUAGAGGCUCACUAGGGACGAGUGUGUUGUCUAUGUAUCACACAUGUAUUUGAGUUUCCAAUCAGUACAAUUCUAGCAUGGAUAAUAAACGAUUAUCAUGAACAAGGAAAUAUAAUAAUAACAAACUUAUUAUUGCCUCUAUGGCAUAUUUUCAACACUCUANNNNNNNNNNNNNNNNNNNNNNNNNNNNNNNNNNNNNNNNNNNNNNNNNNNNNNNNNNNNNNNNNNNNNNNNNNNNNNNNNNNNNNNNNNNNNNNNNNNNUUACCGUACUAGUCUAUAACUUAGUACUGAAUGAAACAAUAGAUACANAGUGUGGAGUACAUAGACAAACAAAUAGUCCCUAGCAAGCCUCUAUUGGCUAGCCAAGUUGUAUCAAGGAUAGUCAAGGUUUCUUGKMSUAURUGCAAGUGUUGUCACUUGRUAAYUGGAYCACAUCAUUAGGAGAAUCAUGUGAUGGACUAGACCCAAACUAUGAACGUAGCAUAUUGAUCGUGUCGUUUUAUUGCUAUUGUUUUCUGUGUGUCAAGUAUUUGUUCCUAUGACCAUGAGAUCAUAUAACUCACUCGCACCGGAGGAAUACCUUGUGUGCAUCAAACGUCGUAACGUAACUCUGUGACUAUAAAGGUGUUCUACAGGUAUCUCCGAAGGUGUCCAUUGAGUUAGUAUGGAUCAAGACUGGGAUUUGUCACUCCGUGUGACGGGAGAGGUAUCUCGGGGCCCACUCGGUAAUACAACAUCACACACAAGCCUUGCAAUCAAUAUGACUAAGUGCAAGUCACGGGAUCUUGUAUUAUGGAACGAGUAAAGAGAGUUGACGGUAACGAGAUUGAAAUAGGUAUGUGGAUACCGACANNNNNNNNNNNNNNNNNNNNNNNNNNNNNNNNNNNNNNNNNNNNNNNNNNNNNNNNNNNNNNNNNNNNNNNNNNNNNNNNNNNNNNNNNNNNNNNNNNNNUAUAAGAAGUGGCUAGGGUUUUUGGUUUGAGUUUCACCACUUCUUUGGAGUUUGUUUCAAUUUCUUGAAUUCAAUGGAAGAAAACAUGAGCACAGACACUAAACCCUAGUUAGGGAUCCAGGGAUGUGACAACUCACCCCCACUCAAAAGAAUCUUGUCCCGAGAUUUAGAAGUCGUCGGAAAUAGCGCGGGAUACUCAAGUCGGAGACGAUCCUCUCUUUCCCAUGUUGCCUCCUUUCGGAAUGAUUUGACCAUUGAACUUUAAGAACUUGAGGUUUCGACGUCGAGUGGUACGCUCAGCUUGAUCAAGAAUACGCACAGGGUAUUCUCGGUAUGAAAGGUUAUCUUGGAGAUCAAGUCGUUUUGUGGUCCACUUCACGGAUAGGAUACCGAAAAGCAACGYCUGAGUUGYGAGACGUGGAARACAUCAUGAACCUUGGAAAGAUGCGGAGGAAGUUCCAAYUGGUAGGCAACUUCGUSCUYGUUUGGCAAGAAUGSGAAAAGKACCAAUGUAACGAGGAGCCAAUUUKCCCUUGAUACCGAAUCGAUGGGUACCCUUYAAAGGUGUAACCCGAAGGUAAGCCUUACUCGUCAACUUCARAGGUCACRGCCUUAUGAUGACGAUCAUAGUUGGCUCGUUUUGACCGAGACRUGGGGCUUGUUUCAACUUUUCACGAAUAAUGCGAACCUGCUCUUCUNNNNNNNNNNNNNNNNNNNNNNNNNNNNNNNNNNNNNNNNNNNNNNNNNNNNNNNNNNNNNNNNNNNNNNNNNNNNNNNNNNNNNNNNNNNNNNNNNNNNUUCAUGCUCUUCAAUCUUUGUAAGUAUAGGAGCCACGACGAAGGGAGUUGUGGCGAGCCUUCUAGAUAUUYACAAUCUUCAAGCAAUCAGUUUCCAUUAUCAAAUAUAAGUAGCCUCGCAAACUUGCAAAGAGAACUCCCUCUUGAAGUACUUUUUUGAGAUAGUUAACCAUGCUUGAUGCAUGGUUCCUUUUGAAGUAGGCGAAAUACACACAAGUAUGUAACCGUCAUCCGUCGGCCCGACCUGAGCAGGAGCAAUUCCAGGCCCCACGCAGCCCAGACGGCGGCCUGGGGCGUGAGGCCCAAUUCCUUUGUGAACUGUACCAGUCCCACUGCUAUAGUAUGAAGCUUGCGUGGGACGUGGCCUAGUUGGCCUGGGCCUUGGCAUAAUCGUGGGUAUGUCACUGGGCCUGAGCAUGAUACUCAAGUAAAGGUUCGAGGAGGAACGACUUUGAUGAUAUUCUGGAUGAAGAAAUCAAUAUCAACACUAUAGUCGUGGUGUNNNNNNNNNNNNNNNNNNNNNNNNNNNNNNNNNNNNNNNNNNNNNNNNNNNNNNNNNNNNNNNNNNNNNNNNNNNNNNNNNNNNNNNNNNNNNNNNNNNNGCUUAAUAACAACUAAUAAAAUCUACAUAGAGCAUUGAUUACCCGUGGAUAAUGAAUCAACCCCCGGGCCAGUGAUCAUCGUGAUUGUUGGUCCAAAUUGUAAGUAGCCGGGGCCACCAACGGGUGUGCCAGUCGGAGACUUAGCCAAUCCCGUCGUUUCCUAAGAACGAGAUACACGAAUCCUAUCGACUUCGUCGACAUGUCGGGCGGUCUUGCUAUAUUUUUUAACCUUUCUUGAACGUCUUGUGCAUCUGGAUUCGAAGGAUACUUUGGGCUAUCUCGAGGUUGAGGUUUUCCACCGGUAUUCCGAGGAGACUACGGGCUAUUCCAUGGUUGAGGUUUUCCAUGCAGCUUGUGGCUAGUUUGUGAUGGAUGAGUURGAGUAUCCCUGCAGGGUUAAAUCUUUACGGAAACCGUGCCCGUGGUUAUGUGGCAACUUGGAAAUUUGUUUWACACACGGUCAUARRAAACUUGAAGUAAACUACAAAUAAAAUACACCAAUCGUGUAAUAUAACCAUCGACCGUCUCAUCUUGUGAGGUUUGAACCAAGAAGGAACAUGGUGGGGUUAUGUUUGAAUCGUAAGUAAGUGUUUAGGAUCACUUCUUGAUCAUUAAUAGUUCACGUCCGAUUAUGCGUAGAUCACUCUUCUUAUUAUUGUACUCGUAAGUUAGACACCCAAAUAAACACUUAGUGCUUGAUNNNNNNNNNNNNNNNNNNNNNNNNNNNNNNNNNNNNNNNNNNNNNNNNNNNNNNNNNNNNNNNNNNNNNNNNNNNNNNNNNNNNNNNNNNNNNNNNNNNNUGAGUAUUGCAGAUAAGUAAUAUUAAACGGAUUCCAAACGGAAUAAAAUCUCCGGAAUGAUUUUUCUUGGACCAGAAGAAACAUGCCGGACGUGGAAAAGGGGUAGGAGACCUGUCGGGAGACGACAAGCCUACAGGGCGCGCCCUAGGAGAGGCGCCCCUGGCUUGUGGGACCCUUGCAGGCUUCCUAACCCUAAUCUUCAUCCUAUAAAUUCCCAAAUAUUCCCCCAAUACCAGAACCACACCAAAAAAAUACUUUUCUGUUCGGAGCCUUUUCUGGUAAUAUGCCGGAGGUGGAAUCGAUCAUGGAGGGCGUCUACAUCAACUCCAUUGCCCCUCCGAUGAUGCGUGAGUAGUUCACCACAGACCUAUGGAUCCAUAGCUAGUAGCUAGCUGGCUUCUUACUCUCUCUUUGUUCUUCAAUACCAUGUUACUUCAUGAUCUUACAUGGGGACCUACCCGAUGUAAUACUGUUUGCGGUGUGUCGAGAUCCGAUAGUCGUGGUGUNNNNNNNNNNNNNNNNNNNNNNNNNNNNNNNNNNNNNNNNNNNNNNNNNNNNNNNNNNNNNNNNNNNNNNNNNNNNNNNNNNNNNNNNNNNNNNNNNNNNAGGCAAUAUAAAGUGACGUUCGUCCGCACUAAGAGGACACGCAUCCAAACYUCAAAAGCGCAUGACAACCUCUGCUUCCCUCURCGAAGGGCCUAUCUUGUACCKUUACUUUUUGCCCKUGAAAKAGUCAUGGUGAUCUUCACCAAUUCCUUGUUUCRCCUUUAUCUUGGCUAACKUCAUAURCUAGGGAAAGAUCUAUAUUCAUAAGUCUACUUGGAGGUAAGCAUUCAUGAAUUAUUAUUGUUGACAUUACCCUUGAGGUAAGCAGUUGGGAGGCGAAACUAUAAGCCCCUAUCUUUCUUUGUGUCCAGCUGAAACUUUGAUCUCAUGAGUACCACGUGAGUAGUAGCAAUUGUAGAGUACAAAAAUAUGAUUGAGUAUGUGGAUUUGCUUUACAAGCUUCUUAUUUGACUCUUUCUGAUGUUGUGAUAAAUUGCAAUUGCUUCAAUGACUAAAGGCUAUCGGUUGCUAAUUCUCGGUAAGGUUCUUGAUCCAUUACUUUACUUUGNNNNNNNNNNNNNNNNNNNNNNNNNNNNNNNNNNNNNNNNNNNNNNNNNNNNNNNNNNNNNNNNNNNNNNNNNNNNNNNNNNNNNNNNNNNNNNNNNNNNUAUCCUUGACAUCAUGGUUCAUACGAUGAGAUUAUCGUGGAGCAAGUGGGAGCCACCAUGGGUAUCCAUACCCCGCUGAUGGUUAUUGGCCAGAGAGGUGUCUCGGUCAUGUCUGCCUGUCUCCCGAACCCGUAGGGUCUACACACUUAAGGUUCGAUGACGCUAGGGUUAUAGGGAUUGUUAUACGAGGUUACUGAAAGUUUGUUCGGAGUCCCGGAUGAGAUCCUGGACGUCACGAGGAGCUACCKRAAUGGUCYGGAGGUAAAGAUUGAUAUAUAGGACGGAUGGUUUCGGACACCGGAAGUGUUUCGSGCAUCACCGGUAACGUACCGGGACCACCGGGACCACCGAAGGUGGCCCCGGGGUCCACCGAAGGGGGCCAACGACCCCGGGAGGUAAGAUGGGCCAAGUGGGGAAGGGAACCAGACCCUAGGUGGGCUGGUGUGCCUCCCACUCAACCCAACUCGCGCAGGGGAGAGGAAAGGGGGGGCAAACCCGUAAGCCANNNNNNNNNNNNNNNNNNNNNNNNNNNNNNNNNNNNNNNNNNNNNNNNNNNNNNNNNNNNNNNNNNNNNNNNNNNNNNNNNNNNNNNNNNNNNNNNNNNNGAGAAUCACAAGAAACUACAAUAAAGAAUUCAUAGAUAAUCUGAUCAUAAAUCCACAAUUCAUCGGAUCUCGACAAACACACCGCAAAGAAUAUUACAUCGGAUAGAUCUCCAUGAAGAUCAUGGAGAACUUUAUAUUGAAGAUCCAAGAGAGAGAAGAAGCCAUCUAGUUACUAGCUAUGGACCUGWAGGUCURUGGUGAACUACUCACGCAUCAUCRGAGAGGYMAUGGUGUUGAUGAAGAAGACCUCCGUGUCCGAACUCCCCCCUCCGGCAGGGCACCAGAACGUGCCACAGAUGGUAUCUUGCGGAGACAGAAGCUUGCGGCGGACGGAAAAGUUAUUUUCGNGGCUCUCUCCCGUGGUUUCAGUAUUUUUUAGGGAAUUUAUAGGAGGAAGAACUAGGGCGAGGGGACGCCACGAGGGGGGCUUGUGACCCUCCUCCGACGGUCCCCUGCCUUGGUUCUCAAGUUUCGUGCAUGUCUUCUAUUAUAGGAAAAAAUCAUUCUGCUAGGUUUUAUUCUGUUUGGACUACCGUUUAGUAUUCUCCUCUAGAAAAAGGUACAAAAACAACGGAAAAAACAGGAACUGGCCCUUGGCACUGAGUUAAUAGGUUAGUACCCAAAAAAUAUAUAUAAUAGCAUAUUCAUGCAAGUCGUGGUGUNNNNNNNNNNNNNNNNNNNNNNNNNNNNNNNNNNNNNNNNNNNNNNNNNNNNNNNNNNNNNNNNNNNNNNNNNNNNNNNNNNNNNNNNNNNNNNNNNNNNAUUGGUAUGUUUACCAUAAAGUAGUAUGUUCCUUAUNUUAAAUCUCUCCUCAAAUUUCCAAUUCCAAGGUACAUUAUUCAACUGUUGUNACCCCCAUAGUUUGAUAUGAUCCAACAUUUCCUUCAAUUGUAUUCAGUGGAUUUGGCUCCUUCGUAUGCAUGGUACAUUCCUACUCCUUGGAUCCUGUGGGUUUACCGAUUACUACCACGAAUAAAAUGAAAUACACUCAUGYCUGCAUAGACAAUAUUUUCUCGAUAUCCUCCAAAAUGGUCAGAGAUCUUUCUUCACAGAGAAAUAACUCAUACAAUUUCAACAUAGGAAAUCAUGACACAAUAAAUUCCAUUGAUUCAUGAAGUUAUUACAAUCUCUGAGUCUUACAUUACAAAAGUCAACUCCAUAAUCUCAUGAAAACAAGAGUGCUUCAUGUUACACAUAUUGCCAUUGUCAAAACUUAACUACUCCUAUUUAGCUUCAUGUCCUGCUUCCUUGCAAUGAAAACAAAUGAUUUCCGACCUGUCUAGAGGCUUCUUUGGUGUUUGUUCUUUGUCCGUUCCUUUGGGUUUUCCCGUUGUCCUUUCCCUUUGGCCAAUUGACCCAAUGGUAACCGGUGGACUACCGGGACUAAUACGUAUUUAGUUUUAGUAGUUACGUCUGUCAGUAGUUUAACUACGNNNNNNNNNNNNNNNNNNNNNNNNNNNNNNNNNNNNNNNNNNNNNNNNNNNNNNNNNNNNNNNNNNNNNNNNNNNNNNNNNNNNNNNNNNNNNNNNNNNNUAGAGAGAAGAUGAGUUAUGUCCCCUACGCUUCAGCCGUGGGCUCUCUAAUGUAUGCCAUGUUGUGUACCAGACCUGAUAUAAACCUUGCCAUAAGUUUGGUAGGGAGGUACCAAAGUGAUCCCGGUAUGGAACACUGGACAGCGGUCAAGAAUAUCCUUAAGUACCUGAAAAGGACUAAGGAAGUGUUUCUCGUUUAUKGAGGUGACGAAGAGCUCGUCGUAAAGGGUUACGUCGACGCUAGCUUCUGUUAGGAAAUAUGCCCGUAGAGGACAAUAAUAAAUUAGUUAUUAUUAUAUUUCUUAGUUCAUGAUAAUCGUUUAUUAUCCAUGCUAUAAUUGUAUUGAUUGGAAACACAAUACUUGUGUGGAUACAUAGACAAAACACUGUCCCUAGUAAGCCUCUAGUUGACUAGCUCGUUGAUCAAAAGAUGGUCAAGGUUUCCUGGCCAUAGGCAAGUGUUGUCACUUGAUAACGGGAUCACAAUCAUUAGGAGAAUCAUGUGAUGGACUAGACCCAAACUAAUAGACGUAGCAUGUUGAUCGUGUCAUUUUGUUGCUUACUGUUUUCUGCGUGUCAAGUAUUUAUUCCUAUGACCAUGAGAUCAUAUACUCACUGACGCNNNNNNNNNNNNNNNNNNNNNNNNNNNNNNNNNNNNNNNNNNNNNNNNNNNNNNNNNNNNNNNNNNNNNNNNNNNNNNNNNNNNNNNNNNNNNNNNNNNNAUUUUGAGGUUGGUCCAAUGGAGUUAGUUGUGCCCCUUGUGUCUCUCUUGCAUGCUGUAAAUUUUCAUGCCCUUUGGAGUCCUGUGGCUUAUGAUUUUGCUGGUGUCAAUAUUGCUUCAGAUCGAAAACUGCACUGUCAUGAGGUGGAAUUUUCACCAAGUCUGAAAUAGUGUGUGAGAUGCCCUUUUUGUGUCUUCUUUCCCUAGUGAUCCAUGAUGCCAUGCUAGUUUUUGUUAGUUGUUUGUAGUAGUGCUUCUUGCCCUCUUCCGUGCCAUGCCUUGAUUGAGCAUAUCGGAGUUGUGUAGCCGUAGUUGUGGGGCGUAGAAAAAGCUAUGUGGUUGAUUUUGGCAGAUUGUAGUGAGUUCUUGUUUUGCUCGUAGUUGUUGAACCGUAGCUCCGAUUUGAUCGUGUCCUACAUGAAACUUGCUUAGAAUCUCGUGUAGUUUCAUAUUCUCUUGCUGUUUGUAUGUUUUGAAGUGCUUGUAGCCGUCGUUGCACACAUAUUGCAUUCAUGCCAUCAUAUCUUGCUGUGCUUGUAACUUUUGAACCGUAGCUCCGUUGGAGAUGUUUUCUAUGUGUAAAUUGCUUGUCUUGAUGCGUAGAAUCACGUGAACCUAUUUNNNNNNNNNNCUUCUCUUGCUCUUUGUAUGUUUUGAAGUGCUCGUAGCUGUCGUUGCACACAUAUAGCAUUCAUGCCAUCAUAUCUUGCGGUGCUUGUAACUUUUGAACCGUAGGUCCGUUGGAGAUGUUUUAUAUGUGUAAAUUGCUUGUCUUGAUGCGUAGAAUCACGUGAACCUAUUUGUUUUGCUGUUUAACAACUAAUUAAAUGCAUUAUCUCAGUUCUGGACAGAAUUGUAAAUUAACAUGUGAGGUCGUCUCGGAGAUGCUAUAUGUCAUUUCCGACCUCAUUUAAAAUGUCUAGAUAGGUAGUUUAAUUUCCGCUUCACCUCUUGCAUGUUUGGCAACAUUAAUAUUGCCGUGUAAAUAACCGGGAUAGAACUAAAUAAUUAACAUGGAGUUUCGUCAAUAUGCAACUCGUUGCAUAUUGAACUUCACUNNNNNNNNNNNNNNNNNNNNNNNNNNNNNNNNNNNNNNNNNNNNNNNNNNNNNNNNNNNNNNNNNNNNNNNNNNNNNNNNNNNNNNNNNNNNNNNNNNNNGGCCCCGCAGUCUGUCCUUUUUGGACCAACACUCAUGAGGAGCACUGGCCCGGGAGUUGAUUAAAUUAUCCUCGGGGUCCGAAAAGUCCCUAUGCAAUUUAUUAGGUGAUUAGGCAAAUGUAGUACCAAAGUUGGGCCUUGCCAGACCAGUCUUAAUCUAAAACGAAUUAUCAAGGGGGUCCUCAUAACAACCCCGAUCGUGUUAGGAGCGCUCAAUUAUGGAACAUAACACCGGUAGCCAAAACUAAGGGGGAAAAGGUGGAACAAAAUACCAAGCUAGAAAAGGGCUGAGCCUUCCACCUUUUCCCAAGUAUAUAGGUGCAUUAAAUUAAACAGCAUUUAAAUAAGGUGAUAAAACAAGGAACCCAUGUUUUCACAUGGAAGCAUCUGGACCUGCAACUAGCAACGCUAACAACAGGGUUAAGCAAGCAGUAACAUAGCCNNNNNNNNNNAUUUAUUAGGUGAUUAGGCAAAAGUUGGGCCUUGCUAGACCAGUCUUAAUCUAAAACGAAUUAUCAAGGGGGUCCCAUAACAACCCCGAUCGUGUUAGGAGCGUUCAAUUAUGGAACAUAACACCGGUAGCCGAAACUAAGGGGGCAAAGGUGGAACAAAACACCAGGCUAGAAAAGGGCCGAGCCUUCCACCUUUUACCAAGUAUAUAGCUGCAUUAAAUUAAAUAGCAUUUAAAUAAGGUGAUAUAACAAGGAACCCAUGUUUUCACAUGGAAGCAUCUGCACGUGCAACUAGCAACGCUAACAACAGGGUUAAGCAAGCAGUAACAUAGCCAAUCAGUGGUUUGCUAGGUUGAACAGGUUGAAGGUUAACAUGGCAUUGUUGAGAGGCUGAUAUUAGCAGUUGGUAGGCAACGAGACAUAAUCGAUAGAAGCGAUAAAACUAGCAUGGCAAUGAUAGUAAUGGUAUCUGGGGAAAUGAUCAUCUUGCCUGAGAUCCCGCUUGGAAGAAGAAUGCCUCCGUGAAGCAGACGAACCGACGUAGUCGAACGGGUCCUCACAUCCGACACGCUUGCGGAACUCUAUCGAGACGAAGCAAACCGGAAACACGAAUCAUCACACGGAAUUCACCACACGAUGCACAACACAAAUGAUGCAUGAGCAGCUGGAUACAUGCGAGUCACGGCAUGACAAUUCACGCAAUCAAACACUACACANNNNNNNNNNUGGAAUUCACCACAUGAUGCACAACACAAAUGAUGCAUGAGCAACUGAAUACAUGCGAGUCACGGCAUGACAAUUCACGCAAUCAAACACUACACAUUAAGUGAAGUUCAAUAUGCAACGAGUUGCAUAUNNNNNNNNNNNNNNNNNNNNNNNNNNNNNNNNNNNNNNNNNNNNNNNNNNNNNNNNNNNNNNNNNNNNNNNNNNNNNNNNNNNNNNNNNNNNNNNNNNNNGGCCCGCGGUGGCUGGCAAAGGAGAGAGAGAGUGGGGGGCUAGGGUUUGGGGGUAGGUGGCGCGGAUCCCGGGGUAGGAGGAGAGGGGGCUGUCUAAAAAUACUCGGGGGCUAUUUAUGGACAAAUGGGGGGGGCUAGGUUUAGCGAAAUUCCGCCCCGGUUUCAACCGCGCGGUCGGUUUCAACUAAUUCCGAAUGCGGGAACGGUUACAAGGCUGUGUAGAGGGGAUAUCCGGGGACGAGAGGGAGAACGGGAGGCGCGGCAACAAAUUUUAAAACACCGACAGACGUCCAACGGUAGACCGAAUACGGUGCCACUACGGUCGACCGUUCGGGUACCAGACGGACUCCGGUCGCGACGAAAUUCGACAGGCGGCCUAGCUAUAACUAAUCACGAUCGCAUGCCAAGUUUCACCUCGAUCAGAGAAAUUUUUCAACACACUUUUAAAACAGGGUUUUGACGAUGCCGCGGUCGCGUGCGUGUGUGGUCGGGCUCAGAACGAACAACGACGAGAACCGGCAACUAACAACGGAUGCAAGUUUGAAUACUGGCGGCAACGGAGAUGCCGAUGCAAUGUUGAUGAUGCGCAUGAUGCGAUGAUGAUGCGACAAAAGAAAAUAGACACACGACGAAAACGGAAUAGAAGGGGAAUCUUCUGGAACGUCGGCAUCGGGUUGUCACAACUCUCCUACACUACAAGAGGAUCUCGCCCCGAUAUCCAAGAAUGAAAGGGGGAGAGGAUGAGAAAGCAAGAGGUAAAACUUAGUCGCUUCUUUGACAAACAAGUGAAACCAACGAUCCUUGAAGGUUGCAAAGAGAUGAGGAAUGAUAUGAGAAAGAAGCAAGAAUUCACGGAAAAUUUCGGCAGCACUUCGGUAGGAAAAUGGGACAAAAAAUUCGAUAAGAUGGAAUAAAUAGACGAUAUUCAUAACGAACAACUAAAUAAAACAAGGGAACACCAUGAUCUUGGUAGAACAACAUAACAGACCCAAAAGAGCAACAUCACAAAGCCUCCGGAAAAAUAGAAUAGGAACUAGCUCAUACGGAAGAAGAGAAUGAAGAGAGAAUGACAACUACUAACUCCAAUGAACUUGGCAAGCAUUCUUGCAAGAAGAAUUGGACGGGGUUGUUGGAAAAACAACAACGAAAAGAACAAGAUAGUUGUGGGCUUAUGGAAACCUUUCAAACUAAUGAAGUGACAACGAGCCACUAACAGAUACAAGGAUUGAUUGGGAGAAACAAGAUAUGAACCAUUUCUUACACCAAGAGGAUAAAUUGAGAACUUGGAUUAAUGACAAGCACCAUGAUAGCAACAAUCCAAAGGAAAGCUUUAGGUGAAAUCCAAACCAUAUAGCUCAAUGAAGAAAUCAUGGGUUGAAAAUAUCUCAUGAUCAUAGAAUUGGUGGGUUUAAUUAUCUCAUACUUGAAAGGCAAACUCUUCGAGGCUCCUACACUAACAAGAGUGCUAUAAUACCACCUCAAAGGAUAAAGGAAGAACAAAUGCACUUGGAAAUGCGAGAGAAGAAAACUUGAGGUUCUCCAACAUAAUCUUGAAGAACACUUGAGAAUGAAUCACAUCCUUGAAGAACCACCAUGAAGGACCACCAUAUACAAAAGAAUGAUGCAAAGGUAUGAAGGUAGAAAAGAAUAAGAUUAUGACCUUGCAAUGAUUUGGAUGAAGCUUCACAAAGAGAUACUGAUAGACUUGGAACUUCGGAAAAUAAAGAUAAGCACUUCAGAAAAGAAUUGAUAUCAUGAGCCACUCCGGAAGAAGAAUAGAAAUCUAUUGGAAGAAGGAAGAACAAGAAUAAGAAUUAUGUUAUGCUCAUCCUUCAUCUAGUUUAAUUGAUGACUAGCAACGAAUUUAGCAUACCACUUAUUCUUCUUGAAAUGAUUGAGGAGAGAUAUGAGCACAAACUAGAAGAAAUCUUGAAAGAGGCACCGGUGAGAAUUGAAAUGAAUGAGGCAACCAUGAAUGACUGGAGAUACAUGAGAAAGAAGAGAUCAUGAGCCACCUGAGAGAAAACUAGAACAAGGCACCGGAUAAUCGAGAGACGAACGAANNNNNNNNNNUGAGAAGAAUUGAGGAUGAAAGCUCAAAGCUGAGAAUGAAGAAUCUUCUAAAAUGAUGGCCUUUGGAGGAUCGAGAAUGAAAACAACUCAGAAAAGCACCGGAUAGCAAGAAAUGGAUUCUCAUGAUUGGAACAAUAGAAGAUGAUAACACAAGGCUGAACUGAUGAAUCAGCAAGAAAAUGAACCAAGAUUUGAGAGAAACGCUCCUUCGAGUUACAAACUGAGAAUGAUGACGAGAAACAACACCAAGAAUUACUGAAACCUCCGGAACAAAGAAGAAUGAAAGGUUGAGCCAAAUAUGAGAAUUCAUUCGAAUAGAUUUUUGGAGAAGGGAUAUUACUGAUGAAAUUCAUACUUACGUCAUAGUUGAAAAGAAUUAAUGAUCUCCAGGAAAAGAUUGGAAGAGACAUAUAAGAUCCUGGGAAAAACAUGUGGGUUAUGGGCCCACUCAAAGAAACCACCGUUAGAAAAGAUUUCUUAGAAGAGAGAUAUUGCACCGGUAUGAAGAGAACUAGAUGAGGUUAGCACCUCGAAAUAAUUGAAAAGAUUGGAAACAAAAAACUAGUGGGCUGUCUUCAACACUCCGGAUAGAAAAGAGAGGAAUGAAAAGCAAGAUAGGCUGAUAAGAAUUUCCAACACGGGAAAGAAUUACAAGGAUAAAUAGGAUAUGAUGAAGAUGGACAACUGAAUUGAAUUCACCGGAAAAGAUGACCAAAUUGAAUAAAGAUGAACACAAAGCUCCUGAGAAUCUUCAUAAUGAAUCACCGGGUAAGAGAGAAAAGAACAAUCAGCGGAAGCACAAUGAAAAGAAAACUCUUGGAUGAAAAUUGAAUCACUAAGAAAAAGGGCGGGAGGGUGGGAAAAAAACAAAGACAACUUGGGCUAGAUGAGAUGAACUCCGGAAUAAGAUGAGAGAAUAAUCUUGCAAAAAUUGGAGAGGAUUGAAUCCACUUGGGGAGAAACACACCGGUUGGAAAAGAAUUGACAUGACGACUCCAGUUGACAAGAAUUGAUAUGAAAAUUUGAAUGAACAAAAGAAUUAGUACUCUCAUAAAAAUAUGAGAACACCUCUUAGGAAAGAUCUGAAAUCACCACUUGACACCGAAGCAACUUGAAUUACCAUAUUCCAACAAAAACAAAGGGUGAGGCUUACGAAACAAGCCAGGACAACAUCAUGUGAAAGAUUUCGUCCGAUAUUUUCGUGGACAAGAUCGCACGGGCUUGAUUUUACAGUAGCCAUCAAGUGCAAGGCAGUGCGCCCGACAUACGAAGCGUCCCCGAGUUGUAGCAAGCUACAAGGACUCUUUAAGACACAACGUGUACCACUUUAAGUCGACCGUUAACAAACGAAUCCACUAGAUGUCGAACCGCAACCUAGCAUCAUGCAUUUGUUAGAAGAUUGUCCUAUAAGCAACUACUAGAAUUCCCACCUAUGAAUUCCCGAAAUAUCUGGUCAUGCAAUCUGGUACACGGAUACAAGGAGUAAUAACACAGAACUCCUAUACUAACCCGUCACCUGUAUCACAUCCGUCAACACACAACCAGAAUCUCGGACCUUCAUCUACUACAGACCCUCGUGAUCACAACGAUACAAAGUAUGGCAGUACUCCCGAACAAUCUGCACCAGUACUGGGGACAUCGGGGUUAUCUCGCCAGUACUAGUAUUGAAGCAAUUACGAACAUCCUUCGUUCUGAGAUACUAAGAAAUCUGAAUGAUAACGAUGUGCUCAAGAAUCCCCUNNNNNNNNNNCGGAAGAAAAUCAAAUCAGACAAGAGGCACCAAGACAGAACUCCAUCACAUCGGCAUCAUAUAGACUCCAAAAAUAUCCACGUGAUCCUAAAAAAAUUGAGUGAGAAGAGGAGUAGAAUAAAUUAUUAAGUCAAGAUUCCUCACCAGAGCAUAGAAGAGGAGAAAAAGAAUCCUACUCUCCGAUAUAUAACUAGACUCAAAGCAGUUUUCACUAGACUCGACUCGGCCAAGUUCGAUCAAUCAAGGGGGCUCCUAGGUCGGUACUGCUCUGAUACCAACUUGUCACGCCCAAGAUGCGACCCUAUCCUCAAUUUGGCACGAAGGCCUCGUCAGGGAUAGAAGCGCAUCUCGUCGUGUCGCAAGAAUGGAUAUCGUUACAAGUACAUGUACUGAAAAGAAGAGAUAUAUAGAUAGAAUUGGCUUACACUCACCACAAACUACAUCAGAGUCACAUCAGUACAUUACAUAAUCAUCAAGAGUAAGUGCAGGGUCCGACUACGGACGAAAACAAACGAGAAAAUAAGAACGACGUCCAUCCUUGCUAUCCCAGGCUGUCGGCCUGGAACCCAUCCUAGAUCGAUGAAGAAGAAGAAGAAGAAGCAACUACAAAUGAACAAUCAACGCGCUCGCGUCAAGUAACCUUUACCUGUACCUGCAACUGGUGUUGUAGUAAUCUGUGAGCCACAGGGGACUCAACAAUCUCAUUUCCAAAGGAAUCAAGACUAGCAAAGCUUAAUGGGUGAGGUAUGGUUAAGUGGUGAGGUUGCAGCAGCGGCUAAACAUAUAUUUGGUGGCUAAACUUACGAGUACAAGAAAUAAGAGGGGAAAGAUCUACGCAUAGCGGACGUGAUCUACUGAUGAUCAAAUGAAUGAUCCUGAACACCUACCUAUGUUAGACAUAACCCCACCGUGUCCUCGAUCGGAGAAGGAACUCAUGAAAGAGACAGUCACGGUUAGUCACACAGUUGGCAAGUUUUAAUUAAGUUAACUUCAAGUUAUCUAGAACCAGUGUUAAACAAAGUUUCCACGUUGCCACAUAACCGCAGGCAUAGCUUUCUGAAAGAUUUAACCCUGCAGGGGUGCUCCAAUUAGUCCCUCACAAAUUACCACAAUCCGCAUAGAAAUCCUCAAUCACGAAGCUCGCGAUCUCGUCGGAUUCCCUAGUGGAAAACCUCAACUCUCAGAUUACCCAAAGCAUCACCGGAAUCCCGAUGCACAAGAUAUCUCGUCAAAGGUAAAACUAAUCCAGCAAGGCCGCCCGACGUGUCGACGAUCCCGAUAGGAGCUGCGUAUCUUGUUCUCAGGACACAACAGAUAAGCACAGCGUACGGUGCCCUGAUAGAAAUCUCCCGAGUUGCCCCGGGUUGGCCCCUCAAACGGCUCUAGUUUUGGACCAACACCAUCAGCACUGGCCCUCCCUGNNNNNNNNNNNNNNNNNNNNNNNNNNNNNNNNNNNNNNNNNNNNNNNNNNNNNNNNNNNNNNNNNNNNNNNNNNNNNNNNNNNNNNNNNNNNNNNNNNNNCCGACUGUCGAAUUUCGUCGCGAUCGGAGACCGUCUCGUACCCGAACGGUCAACCGUAGCGGCACCGUAUUCGGUCUACCGUCGGACGUCUGUCGGUGUUUUAAAAUUCGUUGCUGCGCCGCCCGUUCUCCCUCUCGUCUUCGGUAAACCACCCUACACGGCCUCGUAUCCCGUUCCCGCGUGCGGAAUCGNNNNNNNNNNACCACGGGGCAACUCGAGGUUUGGCACCUGUAGGCUUUUCCAUCCGCCUUGUCGUGAGAACGAGAUACGCGGCUCCUAUCGGGUUCGUCGACACGUCGGGCGGCCUUGCUGGAUUAGUUUUACCUUUGACGAGAUAUCUUGUGCAUCGGGAUUCCGGUGAUGCUUUGGGUAAUCUCAGAGUUGAGGUUUUCCACUAGGGAAUCUGACGAGAUUGCGAGUUUCGUGAUUGAGGAUUUCUAUGCGGCUUGUGGUAAUUUGUGAUGGACUAGUUGGAGCACCCCUACAGGGUUAAAUCUUUCGGAAAGCCGUGCCCGCGGUUAUGUGGCAACUUGGAAACUUUGUUUAACACUGGUUCUAGAUAACUUGAUGUUAACUUAAAUAAAACUUGCCAACUGUGUGUGUAACCGUGACUGUCUCUUUCGUGAGUUCCUUCUCCGAUCAAGGACACGGUGGGGUUAUGUCUGACGUAGGUAGGUGUUCAAGAUCAUUCAUUUGAUCAUGAGUAGUUCACGUCCGUUAUGCGUAGAUCUUCCCCCUCUUAUUUCUGGUAUUCGUAAGUUAUCCACCAAAUAUAGGCUUAGCCGCUGCUGCAACCUCACCACUUGACCAUGCCUCACCCAUUAAGCUUUGCUAGUCUUGAUACCUUUGGAAAUGAGAUUGUUGAGUCCCCUGUGGCUCACAGAUUACUACAACACCAGUUGCAGGUACAGGUAAAGGUUACUCGACGCGAGCGCGUUGGUUGUUCAUUUGGAGUUGCUUCUUCUUCUUCUUCUUCAUUGAUCUAGGAUGGGUUCUAGGCCGGCAGCAAGGGAUAGCAAGGAUGGACGUCGUUCUUCUUUUGUCGUUUAUUUUCAUCCGUAGUCGGACCCUGCUCUUACUCUUGAUGAUUAUGUAAUGUACUGAUGUGACUCUGAUGUAGCUUGUGGCGAGUGUAAGCCAACUCUUUAUAUAUCUCUUCUUUUUCAGUACAUGUAUUUGUAACGAUAUCCAUUCUUGCGACACGACGAGAUGCGCUUCUAUCCCUGACGAGGCCCUCGUUCCAAAUUGAGGAUAGGGUCGCAUCUUGGGCGUGGCAAGUUGGUAUCAGAGCAGUACCGACCUAGGAACCCCCUUGAUUGAUCGAACUUGGCCGAGUCGAGUCUAGUGAAAAACUGCUUUGAGUCUAGUUAUAUAUCGGAGAGUAGGAUUCUUUUUUCUCCUCUUCUAUGCUCUGGUGAGGAAUCUUGACGUAAUAAUUUAAUUCUACUCCUCUUCUCACUCAAAAAAAUUUAGGAUCACGCGGAUAUUGUCGAGAUCUAUAUGAUGCCGAUGUGACGGAGUUCUGUCUUGGUGCCUCCUAUCUACUUUAAGUUUCACGGGAGUUGAGCUCCAGGGGAUUCUUGAGCACAUCGUUAUCAUUCAGAUUUCUUAGUAUCUCAAAACGAAAGAUGUUCGUAAUUGCUUCAAUACUAGUAGUGGCGAGAUAACCCCGAUGUCCCUAGUACUGGUGCAGAUUGUUCGGGAGUACUGCCAUACUUUGUAUCGUUGUGAUCACGAGGGUCUGUUGUAGAUGAAGGUCCGAGAUUCUGGUCGUGUGUUGACGGAUGUGAUACAAGUGACGGGUUAGUAUAGGAGUUGUGUGAUUAUUACUCCUUGUAUCCGUGUACCAGAUUGCAUGCCAGAUAUUUCGGGAAUUCUUAGGUGGGAAUUCAAGUAGUUACUUAUAGGACAUUCUUCCAACAAAUGCAUGAUGUUAGGUUGGGGUUCGACAUCUAGUGGAUUCGUUUGUUCACGGUCGACUUACAGCGGUACACGUUGUGUCUUAAAGAGUCCUUGUAGCUUGCUACGACUCGGGGACGCUUCGUAUGUCGGGUGCACUGCCUUGCACUUGAUGGCUACUUCAAAAUCGAGCCCGUGCGAUCCUGUCCACGAAAAUAUCGGACGAAAUCUUUCUCAUGAGUUUGUUCUAGCUUGUUUCAUAAGCCUCAUCCUUUGUUUUGUUGAAUAUGGUAAUUCAAGUUGCUUCGAUGUCAAGUGGUGAUUUUAGAUCUUUCCUAAGAGGUGUUCUCAUAUUUUUAUAUGAAUGCUAAUUCUUUUGUUCAAUCAGUUGUCUUAUCAAUUCUUGUCAACCGGAGUCGUCGUAUCAAUUCCAUUUUACCGGUGUGCUUCUCCUCAAGUGAAUUCAAUCCUCUCCAAUUUUGCAAGAGCAUUCUUUUAUUCAUCCGAAGUUCAUCUCAUCUAGCCCAAGUUGUCUUUAUUUUUUCCCACCCUCCCAUCCUUUUUAUUGAGUGAUUCAAUUUUCAUCCAAGAGUUUUCUUUUCAUUGUGCUUCCGUUGUGUGUUCUUUUCUCUCUUACCCGGUGAUUCAUUGUGAAGAUUCUCAGGAGUCGAGUUCAUCAUUUCUUCAUUUUGUUAUUUUCCGGUGAAUUUAAUUCAGUCGUCUAUGUUCAUCAUAUCCUUUUCAUCCUUGUAAAUUCUUCCCCAUGUUGGAGAUUCUUAUCACGCUUUCUUGUUGUCAUUUCUCUCUAUUCUACCCGGAGCGUUGAAUUUAUUCUAGAAGUUUCUUGUUCUCAAUUCUUUAAUUAUUUCGAGGUGCUAACCUCAUCUAGUUCUCUUCAUACCGGUGCAAUAUCUCUCUUCUAAGCAAUCUUUUCUAACGGUGGUUUCUUCGAGUGGGCCCAUAAGCCACAGGUUUUUCCCAGGAUCUUAUAUGUCUCUUCUAAUUUUUUUCCGGAGAUCUCUAAUUAUUUUUCAACUAUGACAUAAGAAUGAUUUCAUCAGUCAUAUUCCUUCUUCAAGACCUAUUUGAAUUAAUUCUCAUAUUGGCUCAACCUUUGAUUCCUCAUUAUUCCGGAGUGUCUCAGUUAUUCUUGGUGGUGUUCUUCUCGUCAUUUUCAGCUUUGAAGACUGAAGGAGUGUUUCUCUCAAAUCUUGGUCUAUUCUCUUGUAGAUUCAUCAUUUCAGCUUGGUGCCAUCAUCUUAAUUGUUCCAAUCAUGAGUGAUUAAUUUCUUGCUAUCCGGUGCAUUUCUGAGUUGUUUUUAUUCUCGAUCCUCCGAAGGCCAUCAUUUUAGAAGAUUCUUCGUUAUCAGCUUUCAGCUUUCAUCCUCAAUUCUUCUCCAUUGUUGUCUCUUCGUUCGUCUCUCGAUUAUCCGGUGCCUUGUUCUAGUUUUCUCUCAGAUGGCUCAUGAUUUCUUCAUUCUCUUGUAUCUCCAGUCAUUCAUGGUUGCCUCAUUCAUUUCAAUUCUCACCGGUGCCUCUUUCAAGAUUUCUUCUAGUUUGUGCUCAUAUCUCUCCUCAAUCAUUUCAAGAAUAAUAAGUUAUAUGCUAAAUCCGUUGCUUGUCAUCAGUUAAACUUGAUGAAGGAUGAGCAUAACACAAUUCUUAUUCUUGUUCUUCCUUCUUCCAAGAGAUUUCAAUUCUUCUUCCGGAGUGGCUCAUGGUUUCAAUUCCUUUCUCGUGUGCUUAUAUUUCUUUUCUGGAGUUCCAAGUUCUUUUAAGUAUCUCUUUGUGAGGCUUCAUCUAAAUCUUGGCAAGCUCAUAAUCUUAUUCUCUCUACCUUCAUAUCUCUGCAUCAUUCAUUUGUAUACGGUGGUCCUUCAUGGUGGUUCAUCAAGGUUUCAAUCCAUUCUCAAGUGUUCUUCAAGAUUCUUGUUGGAGAACCUCAAGUAUCCUUCUCUUGCAUUUAUAUGUGCAAUUGUUCUUCCUUUAUCCUUUGAGGUGGUAUUAUAGCAUUCUUGUUAGUGUAGGAGCCUCGAAGAGUUUUCCUUUUAACAAUGAGGUAAUUAAACCCACCAAUUCUAGGAUCAUGAGAUAUUUUCAACCCGUGAUUUCUUCUUUGAGCUAUCUUGGUUUGGAUUUCACCUAAAGCUUUUCCUAUGGAUUGUGCUAUCAUGGUGCUUGUCAUUAAUCCAAGUUACAAUGUAUCCUCUUCAAUUCUUCUUUCAAGGAUGUUCCUCAAUCCAAUUGUGAUAGUAGUUGUCAUUUUCUUCUCCAUUCUAUUAUGAUCAUGAUGUUGUUCCUAUUCUCUUGUUCCGGAGUUGUUGUGUUGUUGCUCUUUUGGGUCUAUCUUGUUGUUCUAUCAAGAUCAUGGUGUUCCCUUGUUCUAUUUAAUUGUUUGUUAUGAAUAUUGUCUAUUUCUUCCAUCUUAUCGAAUUUUUUGUCCCAUUUUCCUACCAAAGUGCUGCCGAAAUUUUCCGUGAAUUCUUUCUUCUUUCUCAUAUCAUUCCUCAUCUCUUUGCUACCUUCAAGGAUCGUUGGUUUCACUCGUUUGUCAAAGAAGCGACUAAGUUUUUACCACUCGUUCUUUCUCAUCCUCUCCCCCCUUUCAUUCUUGGAUCUCGGGGCGAGAUCCUCUUGUAGUGUAGGAGAGUUGUGAUAGCCCGAGACCGACGUUCCAGAAGAUUCCCCUCUCUUUCCGUUUUCGUCGUGUGUCUAUUUUCUUUUGUCGCAUCAUCAUCGCAUCAUGCGCAUCAUCAUCAUUGCAUCGGCAUUCCGUUGCCGCCCGUUUUCAAAACUUGCAUCCGUUGUUAGUUGCCGGUUCUCGCCGUUGUCCNNNNNNNNNNUCCGCGGCAUACUCGAAACCCUGUUUUAAAAGUGUGCGUAAAACUUUCUCUGAUCGGGGUGAAACUUGGCAUGCGGUCGUAAUUAGUUCUAGCUAGGUCGCCUGUCGAAUUUCGUCGCGAUCGGAGACCGUGUGGUACCCGAACGGUCAACCGUAGCGGCACCGUAUUCGGUCUACCGUCGGNNNNNNNNNNNNNNNNNNNNNNNNNNNNNNNNNNNNNNNNNNNNNNNNNNNNNNNNNNNNNNNNNNNNNNNNNNNNNNNNNNNNNNNNNUUCGAAUCCGACCCCGCGGUUGGAUCCGGAACGCGAUUCCGGUUAACCGAGCCCCUCUUUUCUCUAUAAAUAGACCCCUCGUGCAUUUUAGAUAGCCUCUCCCUAAGCCUCCUCGUUUCCCAUGCACCCCUCAAACCCUAGCCACCAUCUCACCCAGCAUUCUCCUACCCCAGCCGCCNNNNNNNNNNAAAAAUUCGUUGCCGCGCCACCCGUUCUCCCUCUCGUCUCCAGUAAACCACCCUACACGGCCUCGUAUCCCGUUCCCGCGUGCGGAAUCGNNNNNNNNNNNNNNNNNNNNNNNNNNNNNNNNNNNNNNNNNNNNNNNNNNNNNNNNNNNNNNNNNNNNNNNNNNNNNNNNNNNNNNNNNNNNNNNNNNNNGCUCUAAUAAUGAUGAUCAUCACACUUUUAUUUACUCACAGCUCAAAGAUCACAAUGAUGAUGACUCCAUAGGAAAUGCCUCCGACAGUGUACCGGGAUGUGCAACGAUCUAGCAAGGCGUAUGACGUUGAAACAUCUUGCUAGCUAUCUUACGAUCAUGCAAUGGCAAUAUGAGAGUGACGACACAAGUCAUGAGACGGACGGUGGGAGUUGCAUGGCAAUAUAUCUCGGAAUGGCUAUGAAAAUGCAAUAGUAGGUAGGUAUGGUGGCUGUUUUGAGGAAGGAAUUUGGUGGGUUUGUGCACCGGCGAGAAUUGCGUGGCACUAGAGAGGAUAGCAAUGGUGGAAGGUGAAAGUGCAUCUAUACCAUGGACUCACAUUAGUCAUGAAGAAUUCACAUACUUAUUGCGAAAGUUUUUAUUAGUAAUCGAAACAAAGUGCUAAACGCAUACUCCAAGGGGAAGGGUUGGUAGGUGUAAACCAUCGCGCGAUCCCGAUAUCAACACAAAGGAUGACAAUCAAUAGAUCAAUUAUGCUCCGACUUCCAAACAUAGCGGUUCACCAUACGUGCAUGCUACGGGAAUCACUAACUUCAACACAAGUAUUUCUACAUUCACAACACCCUACUAACAUAACUCUCAAUAUUACCGAAUCCAUGUCUCAAAACUAAUUGAGAGGAAUCGAAACUUCUCUUUCUACUCAAUGCACAUGAAGAUGGAGGUUUUUUGCAUCCUCUUUGGGUACCUAGCACAUUUGGGACUACUUUCAUAGCAUAAGCCAACUACCAAGUGAUGCACCGCCGUGCUCUAAAGAUAUAAGUGAAGCACAAGAGCAAAAGUAUCUAGCUCAAAAGAUAUAAGUGAAGCACUAGAACAAAAGUAUCUAGCUCAAAAGAUAUAAGUGGAGCACUAUGAGUAUUCUAGCAAAAUCAAGAUGAGUGCAUGUCUCUCUCUCUCAGAAAGGUGUGCAUUAAGGAUGAUUGUGACACAAAAAAAAUAAAAGACUCCUAAGAUACAAGACGCUCCAAGCGAAACACAUAUCAUGUGGUGAAUAAAAAUAUAGCUCCAAGUAAUGUUACCGAUGGAUUGAAGACGAAAGAGGGGAUGCCUUCCCGGGGCAUCCCCAAGCUUAGGCUUUUUGGUGUCCUUGAAUUUGUCUUAGGAUGCCUUGGUCAUCCCCAAGCUUGAGCUCUUUCCACUCCUUAUCUCUUUGUCCAUGAGAACAUCACCCAAAACUUGAAAACUUCACAACACAAAACUUAAACAGAAACUAGUGAUAACAUUACUACAAGAAAACAAACUACUACUUCUUUUGGUACUGUAGCAAACUUGAAUUCCAUCUAUAUUGAUGAUGGGCUACCGUAUUCUCACUUUUCCACGGCUAGUACCCCCCUAUACUAACCAUAGUUUCAUCAAAACAAGCAACCAACUCAACAAAAACAGAAUUUGUCAAAUACAGACAAGUCUGUAGCAAUCCGUAUACUUCGUAUACUUUUGGUACCUCAAAAAAUCUGACAACUUACGAUGGUAUGGGGAAAAAGCAUAUGAAUCAGCAGCAAAAAUAAUCAACUCAAAAUCUCUUUCUUAAUAAAAAUGAAAAAUCAUCUCGUGAGCGAAAAGUUUCUCUCUUUUUCCAGCAGGAUCAAACAACCAUUACCAAGACUAGUCAUAAAGGUUUUGCUUGGCUCAAACACAAAAAGAAACGCAAAAAACACAAUCACAACAGAAUUGUGAAAGUGUGGAUGCAACAAAACAGAAAUAAAAAGAUAAAUUCAUUGGGUUGCCUCCCAACAAGCGCUAUUGUUUAACGCCCUUAGCUAGGCAUAGGAGCGAUAGAAUCACGUAUCGUCGUCUUUGGUGCUCAAACCAUAAGUGGCCCUCAUCAUGGAUUCAUAAGGCAAUCUUAUUUUCUUUCUAGGAAAGUGUUCCAUGCCCUUCCUUAAAGGAAAUUGAAAUCUAAUAUUCCCUUCCUUUAUAUCGAUGAUAGCACCGAUAGUCCUUAGGAAAGGUGUACCAAGAAUAAUAGGGCAAGUAGGAUUGCAAUCAAUGUCAAGCACAAUGAAAUCCACGGGUACAUAGUUCCUAUUUGCAACCUUAAGAACAUCAUUGAUCCUUCCCAUGGGUUUCUUGACAGUAGAAUCAACAAGAUGCAAAUUAAGAGAUAACUCUUCAAUGUCAUUAAAACCCAGAACAUCACAUAAAGACUUUGGAAUCGCAAAAACACUAGCACCCAAAUCACACAAAGCAUUGCACUCAUAGUUUUUGAUUUUGAUUUUGAUGGUAGAUUCCCACUCAUCAUGAAGCUUUCUAGGGAUAGAGACUUCCAAUUCAAGUUUCUCUUCAAGAGCUUUUAUCAUAGCUUCGAUGAUAUGAUCAAUAAAGGCUUUGUUUUGGCUAUAAGCGUGUGGAGAGUUCAACAUGGAUUGCAUCAAAGAAAUGCAUUCAAUCAAGGAGCAACUAUCAUAAUUGAAUUCCUUGAAAUCCACGGUAGUAAUUUCAUUACUACUCAAAGUUUUAACGUCUUCUACUGCACUUUUAAUGCUUCUAGCAUCAAGAUAGAUGGACUCCGAAUCAUUGGGGCACUUUUCAACCAAAGUGGAUUCUUAUCCAGCCCCAUAAUCAUUAGGUUUGACACAAGAAAACAAAGAUUCAAUGGGAGUCACACCAAGCAUUUUAAGAUCUUCGUGAUUCUCGUCACGAAAAUACGCCUUUUUAAGCCAUUCAUGUUUAGCACGAAUUUGGGCGGUUCUUACUUGGCUCUCAAUCAUGGAAACACGCAUAGCUUUCAAAGUUUCAUCCAUGUUGAUUUUGGGAGGAGCACAUCUAACUUUCAAAGCAUCAACAUCACAAGAAAUCCUAUCCACGCUCUUAGCCAAAUCAUCAAUUUUGAGUAGUUUUUCCUCUAUGGAUGCAUUGAAAAUCUUUUGAGAGUUGAUGAACUCUUUGAUAUUACUCUCUAGAUCAUAGGGUAAUCUAUUGUAAUUUCCAUGAGUAUUGUUGUAGGAGUUGCCAAAGUUAUUAGAGGAGUUACUAGGAAAAGGCCUGGGAACAUAGUUUCCUCUAAAAGCGUUGUUGUUGCCAAAGUUAUUCCUACCAACAAAAUUAACGUCCAAGCUAGCGUUGCUACUCUCAAUCAAAGAAGACAAAGGCAUAUCAUUAGGAUCCAAAGGAGCACUUCUACUAGCAAUCAAAUUCAUUAGCUCGUCCAUCUUAUCACUCAACGAGUUAAUUUCUUCUAUAACAUGUACCUUCUUACUAGUAGGUGACCUUUCAGUGUGCCACUGAGAGUAGUUCGUCAUGAUGUUGUCUAAGAGCUUUGUUGCUUCUCCUAACGUGAUUUCCAUGAACGUUCCACCUGAGGCAGAGUCCAAGAUAUUUCUAGAAGCGAAAUUCAAGCCAGCGUAAAAGAUUUGAGUAAUCAUCCAAAGGCUCAAGCCAUGAGCGGGACAAUUUCUAAUCAUUAAUUUCAUUCUCUCCCAAGCUUGUGCAACAUGUUCAUGAUCAAGUUGCUUCAAAUUCAUGAUAUCAUUACGGAGAGAGAUGAUCUUAGCCGGCGGAAAAUACUUGGAUAUAUAAGCAUCUUUGCACUUAUCCCAAGAAUCGAUACUAAUUUUAGGCAAAGAAGAAAACCAAGUUUUUGCGCGAUCUCGCAACGAGAAAGGAAAAAGUUUUAACUUAAUAACGUCAUUAUACACAUCUAUUUUCUUUUGCAUAUCACAAAGCUCAAUGAAGGUAUUGAGAUGAGAUGCGGCAUCUUCACUAGGAAGGCCAGAGAAUUGCUCUUUCAUAACAAGAUUCAGCAAAGCUGCGUUGAUUUCAUACGAUUCCGCACUAGUGGCGGGAGCAAUCAGAGUACUAAUAAAAUCAUUAUUAUUAGUGCUCAAUAAGUCACAAAGUUUGGUGUUUUCAGCCAUGAUGACUUCAACAAAAAAAGAAGCACAGAAGCAAGCAAGAAAACCGGCAAAGGAAAACGGCAAAAUGCAAAAGGCAAAAGAAAACGGCAAAGGACAAAGGCAAAUGAAAACGGCAAAUGUGAAGUGGGGGAGAGGAAAACGAGAGGCAACUGGCAAAAAAGUAAAUGCAAGAGAUGAGUUUGUGAGAUCUACUUGGAUAUAUCUCUCCUUCCCCGGCAACGGCGCCAGAAAUACUUCUGCUACUGCAACAAAAGACCUUACAACGGCGCCAGAAACAUGCUACGGCACCAGGAAUCCUUCUGCUACGGCUACGCCUUAAGGGACUUCCUAGGCAAGUAUGCAAAGGCUUUCCCCCGUGGCCUUGGAGCCUUGCGUUGGUGUUCCCUCGAAGCGGAAAGGGUGAUGUAGCGCAGCGGUGGUAAGUAUUUCCCUCAGUUUGAGAACCAAGGUAUCGAUCUAGUGGAGGAGUAUCUCAAGUGCCUGCACAAACACAAAAAGCUUGCUCCCAACGCUAUGAAGGGGUUGUCAAUCCCUUAUAGAUUGUUCGCCAAGUGAGAACUGAAAGCAACAAAGUAACAAAGCAAAGUAAAAGAGAAGGUGGAAACGAUAGAUGUGAAUAGACCCGGGGGCCGUAGUGUUUACUAGUGGCUUCUCUCAUGAAAGCAAGUAGGCGGUGGGUGAACAAAUUACCGUCCAGCAAUUGAUAGAACCGCGCAAAGUCGUGACGUCAUCUAUAGCAAUGAUUAUAUCUAUAGGCAUCACGUCCAAAACAAGUAGACCGAUACUUUCUGCAUCUACUACUAUUACUCCACACGUCGACCGCUAUCCGGCAUGCAUCUAGUAUAUUAAGUCCAAAAGAACAGAGUAACGCCUUAAGCAAGAUGACAUGAUGUAGAUGGACAAUCUCAUAUCAACGACAAAGCCCAUCUUGUUACCCUUGAUGGCAACUACACGAUGUGUGCCUUGCUGCCCCUACUGUCACUGGGAAAGUUCACCACAUGGAAAGAACCCAAAACCAAGCAUUUCUCCCAUUGCAAGAAUCAUAGAUCUAGUUGGCCAAACAAAACCCAAGACUCAGAGAGACUUACAAGGAUAUCAAAUCAUGCAUAUAAGAAAUCAGCAAAGACUCAAAUAUAUAUCAUAGAUAAUCUGAUCACAAAUCCACAAUUCAUCGGAUCUCGACAAACACACCGCCAAAGAGGAUUACAUCGAAUAGAUCUCCAUGAAGAUCAUGGAGAACUUUGUAUUGCAGAUCCAAGAGAGAGAAGAAGUCAUCUAGCUACUAACUACAGACCCGUAGGUCUGAAGUGAACUACUCACGAGUCAUUGGAGGGGCGAUUAUGUUGAUGUAGAAGCCCUCCAACUCCAAAGUCCCCUCCGGCAGGGCACCGGGAAGGGUCUCCAGAUGAGAUCUCGCGGAAACGGAAGCUUGCGGUGGCGGAAAAGUAUUUUCGUGGAUUCCUUGAUUUUUUUUGUAUUUUAGGGAAUAUAUAGGCGAAGGAGCUAGGUCAGGGGCCCCCCUGUAGCCUUCCUGGCUUGGCCCUCAAGCCCCCUGAUCUUCCGUUCGGGGAAAAUUAGUUCGGGGAUUUUAUUCCGUUUGGACUCCGUUCCAAAAUCAGAUCUGAAAAGAGCCAAAAACACAGAAAAAACAGGAACUGGCACUUGGCACUGAAUUAAUAAGUUAGUCCCAAAAAAGAUAUAAAAGGUACAUAAAACAUCCAAAGAUGACAAGAUAACAGCAUGGAACCAUCAAAAAUUAUAGAUACGUUUGAGACGUAUCAGGCACCUAUAGUGGAAUCACGACACCUUGCAUUGUGCGAGAGCGUGAGGAGAAUAUGGUGGCCCUAGUGGCUUAUUGGGGAGCAUUGUGUCUCCACACCACUUCAACGGAGACGUACAUCCUGUCAAAGGGAAGGAACUUCGGUAACACAUCCUCGUCUUCAUCGUUUCCACUUGUGGUUAUCUCUUACCUUUACUUUGUUUGUGUUGUUGUUGUAGAGUAUCUCUUACUUGCUUCGUUACUCUUUGUAAGUAGCAUCAUAUAGGUUGCUCACCUAGUGUCAUUUUAGAGAACCUUUAUGUUGCUAAUGCUAAUUUGUUAAGAAAAGCUAAAAAUUGGUUGUUGCCUAUUCACCCCCCCUCUAGUCAACCAUAUCGAUCCUUUCAAUUGGUAUCAGAGCCACGUCUCUUUAUUAAGGGUUUCACUACUCGAAGAGUAUGAAAGAUGAUGAGGGAGUUCCCCAUGGGUAACCCGAGGCCAUGGCCUUGACUUCGGUCACAAGGGACGACUUGAAUACGGCUAUGGCCUCCCUCAAGACGUCCUUGACGAACGAAGUCAAAACCAUGCUUAAAGAGUUAAUUGAGGGAAUUAAAAGUUCACCCGAACCGGCAUUGGUGGUUAAACCCGCCAACAUAGAUUCGGAGGCCAAUUCCUCUAAGGAAGCGGCUAAAGGUAUGCGACCUUCUUCCCCUCUCGAAAAUAUGGGACUCGAACCUAUGCCUCAGUUCCACCUCCCAUGGUCUAUGGAGGACCUGUUCCCACACCGCGUCUUAACCCUAUUGGUCCUCCUCCUAAGCUUGUUAAGGGUGAUUUUGCUAACUCGGUGUUUUCUAUUAAGUCUCAUUUGAAUCACAGCUCAACAAAUUUAUGGAGAAUCAUCGAGCAAGGCUACUAUCCUCAUGACCCAAGCAACCUCACUCCAAGAGAAGAAGCGGGCAAUCAAUAUAAUCACUCCGCAUUGUUUAUUCUACAGUCCGCAGUACCUCCUGAACAUCUUCCUCACUUGCGCCCCUUCACUCUGGCUAAGGACUGUUGGGAGCACAUUACGGUGUUGUACAAGGGAAGCUCAAGCAUUCAACGGUCCAACUAUGAAUUGGUACUUGAUAAGGCCUAUGAGUUUGUGAUGAAGGAAGAUGAGGACCCUCGUGAUCUCUAUCGAAGGGUGAAUGCUAUUCAUGUUGCUCUCAAGGAUCAUGGGAGCAAGGAUGUGGAUGACACAUGGAUCAAGCGCAAGUUUCUCAAGGCCAUCAGGCCUUUCAACAAAGCCAAGUCAUCAGUCAUUCGCCAACGACCAAAUUUCCACUUCUUGUCUUCCAGUGAGGUGUUGGAUGAAUUCAUUGCAAUGUCAAUCAUGAACGAGACCGCUGACAAUGCACUUGCUCGCGUUCGGUCAAAGACAGCUUCACCCAACCUUGCUUUAAAGGCAAAGGCUGCUUCUGAAGAAGAAGAGGAGGAUGAGGAAGAGGAGAGCUGCCCUGAAGACACUAAGUAUGCUUAUCACGAGCACAUGGCUCUUGCGUCAAGGCAAUUCUGGGGCAACAAGAGGAACUCAAGACCCAACUUCACCAAGAACAACUCAAGUGGGUUCAAAUCCAAGCAACGAGUGAGGACAUGCUAUAACUGUGGUAAUGUGAGUCACUUCGUGGCAGAAUGUCCCUAUGAGAAGAGAGAAGACAACGGGGGCAAGCUCAUUCGCAAAGACAAAACUAAGUCAUUCCCAAACAAGAACAACUUUGUCAAGAAACCCCACCCAAAGGGUAUGGUGGCACUUGAAGAGUACCCCUCUGAUGAUGAUGACAAUGACGAUAUGGUGGCAACUGCGACUGUCGCAAUUGCCACCCCUUCUCCCAAGAAUGUGUCUCUCUUCAACGCCCCAACGAUAACCACAUCGCCAAGUGCCUCAUGGCCAAAGGUAUCGAUCAGGUAACACCCAACAUUAAGACCAACAUCACUACUGCUCCUUCAUUGUUGAAUUGUGUUGAUGAUAGUGAUGUUGUGGAACUUAAUGAGCAUGAUCUUGACAAAUUUCUGUGUACAAUCAAAGGAGAAACCAAGAAGCACUUUGUUGCUCUUUUGGAACAACUGGGUGAGGCCAAUGACCUCAUCGAGUCUCAUGAGGAGACCAUCUCCGAGCUGCAAGGACAUAGUCGUGACUAUGCCGAUGAGAUUGCUGAACUAUCUAUUGCACUAGAAAAGGAGCGCACUCUUCGUUUGGCUCUUGAGGAGUCAUACAACGAUGACUGCGCUAAAUUGCAAAAGGAACUAGAUCAUGCUACUAUUCUUACUCGUAUGCUUAAGUCUGAAAAGGAUGCUCUUGGGGUUGGCCAUGACAGACUCAAAGUGGAGUUUGACACACUUGACAAGGCUCACAAGGUCUUGAAAGGUGCUCAUUUCUCCGUGAAAGAGUCUCAUGCUCAACUCCAAGCAAAGCUUACCAAGGAAAUCUCUACUUGUCCUCCUUUCGUUUUAAUUGAUAAUGCUUGUACAACUAACCCUUGUUGUGAGCAUGUAAAUCUUGUGGAAAAAAAUGCCAAGUUGAAGGAUAAACUUGAGAAGGGCCUUGUGUCAUGCAUCCAAGGCGAGAAGAACCUGAACGACCUCUUGAGCAAUCAAAAGGGUGUGGUAGGAAAGGAGGGACUUGGACUUACAUCCAUGUCAAAAAGAAAAGGAAGAACAGGAACAAACAAUCCCCUACCCUCAUGGACAUCUUUGUCAAAGAGGGCGAAGGGACUCAGGAGGUGAACAGGAACAAGGUGGAAAAUGGUAGCGUCAAGAAGGGCAAAACCAUUCCUACCAACACAACCGGCAAACUCAAUCCUUCACUACUGGAAUCUAGUUCUUUGCCGUCAGACAGUGCUUUGUCGUCUGCUGGCUGAUGGCAAAGAACCUCUUUGCCAUCAGUUGACACAAGGCAGACGGCAAAGGGCCGACACAUGGCAAAAAUACUAUUUGCCAUGUGUCNNNNNNNNNNNNNNNNNNNNNNNNNNNNNNNNNNNNNNNNNNNNNNNNNNNNNNNNNNNNNNNNNNNNNNNNNNNNNNNNNNNNNNNNNNNNNNNNNNNNNNNNNNNNNNNNNNNNNNNNNNNNNNNNNNNNNNNNNNNNNNNNNNNNNNNNNNNNNNNNNNNNNNNNNNNNNNNNNNNNNNNNNNNNNNNNNNNNNNNNNNNNNNNNNNNNNNNNNNNNNNNNNNNNNNNNNNNNNNNNNNNNNNNNNNNNNNNNNNNNNNNNNNNNNNNNNNNNNNNNNNNNNNNNNNNNNNNNNNNNNNNNNNNNNNNNNNNNNNNNNNNNNNNNNNNNNNNNNNNNNNNNNNNNNNNNNNNNNNNNNNNNNNNNNNNNNNNNNNNNNNNNNNNNNNNNNNNNNNNNNNNNNNNNGCCACCGACACCCGACACCAUCGACCCUCGACGGCACUGACUCCCGACGCCACUAAGCCCCGACCCCCGACACCUCUUCAGCCUUCUAUUGAACGAGAAGGUGCUUUUCGGCCUUCCAGAGGCCCACGAGGUCAUAGUUUUGUAAAUUAUGAGUUAGGUCACAUAUUUUCCGAUUAUGUUAAUUAGAAAAAUAUCGUAUUUGUGUUGAUCGUGUGAAUUUCAAUGUGCAGUUGUUCGACAACCUCCACGUGCAUUGGACGAGCUUCGCCCUUGCGUUUGUUGGUGAGCACAAAUGACUUCUCCUCCUACCCCCUUAAUUUGCUCUGUCCCGGUCUUCGUGCUGAUGAAACUUGCUAGCUAUAGGUUUCUUCAAUCAUGAGUAUGCGUGACCAGUAUGUGUCUCCUGUUCGAAAGGGCGACAUCUAUAAAUAUGCAUUUCUUUGCAUAUUUAUAACCGCCAUCCUUUCGAAUUGCCCAACAUUAUCCAUGGACAGCCCGAGUAUGUGUAGAUUGGGUUUGUUUUCCCGUAUGCCGUGCUCCGGAUCCGAUGCGGAAUUUCGUCAGUGCCUCCCGUGUUGUUCUCCGGGUACACAUCCUCUCUGCUUAUUGCCGAGACGUGUAUCAGGAGAACAGCGGGGAGGUGCUGCCGAAAUUCUGCAUCGCAUCUGGAGCAGAGCAUGGAUAAACGAACCCAAUCUACACAUACUCGGGUGGGAUUAGGACCUAUCUUUACCUAUUAGCGUGUAGGUUGCAUGGACGUAAUAAAACUGACAAACUUGAUUAGCGUAUGAAUAUAGAUGAUGAAUUAUAUAUUUAUUUCUUGUGCCCCCAUAGGUAGCUAGGCAACAUGAGUGAUCGUGCUUGGAUGUACACUGGUCACCCUAGUUAGAAAUACAUGACCCAUGAAUGGUUAACAAAAACCAGGGGGUUUGUGAGAGUCGCAUUUGCAAAUGGCCAGCAAAAAACAUGGUGCCCCUGUCCCAACUGCGACAAUUGGAAAAAGCAGACCGAGUUUGAAAUGGGUAAACACCUAUAGAAGUGGGGUUUUACGCCUAAUUAUACGGUGUGGACAUUUCAUGGUGAGUCUGACCAACGUGCUAGAGCUGAGGUGAUUCGUCGUCGCACCGAGGAGCAUGGUACCGGGACUGAAGACAUGGUGCAAGACUUUGAUGAUGCUCGGGAUUCGGACGAUGAGAUGGAGGAAUCUGCAAAGGCCUUCUAUGAAAUGUUGGAGUCUUCAAAACGUCCUCUCCACGAGCAGACUGAGCUUUGUUAGCUGGAUGCCAUCGCGCAAGUAAUGGCUCUGAAGGCUCAAUUCAACCUAGGCAGAGAAUGCUACGACGCGAUGAUGACGAUAUUUGGACGCUUUCUACCCAAAGGCCAUGUAAUGCCUGCAAACCUGUACCAGUGAGAGAAAAUCCUCUGUGUACUUAAGAUGCCCUAUGAGAAGAUACAUGCCUGUGAGAAUGGAUGUGCCUUAUUUAGGCUUGAGUAUGUGGCCUUGAACUAUUGCCCCAUUUGCAAUUCUUCCAGGUAUAUUAUGGUAGACAACGGCACGGAUGAGAAGAAUCAGACCAAAAUCCCCAUUAGUGUUCUUCGGUAUCUGCCAAUCGUACCAAGACUUCAACGUCUUUUCAUGGUCGAAGAGAAGACCAGACAGAUGACAUGGCACAAAUUGGGCAAAAGAACCGAACUAGAUGCGGAUGGGAACAAGAUGCUGGUACACACUUCAGAUGGUUUUGCGUGGAGGCACUUCGAUGCAUUACAUAAGGAUAAAUCGGAAGAUCCAAUGCAACCUAGAGUUGCCAUCAACACGGAUGGGUUCAAUUUGUAUGGUAUGAUGGCAGCAUAAUACAGUUGUUGGCCUGUAUUUGUCAUUCCACUAAAUUUGCCACCCGGAGAGAUUAUGAAAAGGAAAAACAUUUUCCUGAUGUUGAUAAUUCCAGGGCCCAACUAUCCGGGGAAGAAUAUGAAUGUGUACAUGCAGCCGCUUAAGGAUGAGUUGCAAGAAGCCUGGGAUAAUGGGAUCAAGACCUACGACACGGCUACCAAAACAAAUUUCAAAAUGCAUGUGUGGUACAUGUACUCGACGCAUGAUUAUCCGGCGUUUGCGCUAUUCGCUAGCUGGUGUGUGCAUGGAAGGUUCCCGUGCACCACAUGCAAGGCAACUCUUCAGUUCCGUUGGCUGCAGGUUGGUCGCGAGUAUUCUUGCUUUGACAUGCAUAGACAAUUCCUGGAUCCUGACCAUAAGUUCAGAAAAGAGAAGAAGAAUUUCAUCAAAGGUAGAGUUGUCAAAAACACUGCACCAGCUGCGUUGACAGGCCAACAGACCCUUGAUCAGUUAAACGCUCUCGAGCCUAAUCCUUUGCGUCCAGGAUACUUCAAAGGGUAUAAUACGGAACACGCCUGUACUCACAAGUCAUGCUUAUGGGAUCCGCCUUACUUCAAAGACCUCCUUUGCCCACACAACAUUGACGUGAUGCACACUGAAAAGAAUAUUGCGGAGGCCAUUUUUGGUACAUUGUUCGGCAUAGAGGGGAAGUCAAAAGAUAAUCCUAAGGCUAUAAUCGACCUGGAGGCUCCAUGUGAUAGACCGUUGCAAAACUUGCGACAAUGGAAAGGAAAGCAAAGCAUAGCGAAGCCAAAGGCAUGGUUCAAUCUUGAAAGGCCAGCUAUGAGGGAAAUGCUAUUGCGGGUGAAAAUGCGGUUGACGUUCCCCGAUGGGUAUGCUGCGAAUCUAAAGAGGGGAGUGAGUCUUGAGAAAUUGAAAAUAUUUGGGCUCAAGAGUCAUGAUUGGCACAUAUGGAUUGAGCGGGUAAUGUCAGUGAUGUUGCGUGGCUUUAUCCCUGAGGAUGAAUGGCUAGUACUGGCAGAGCUGAGCUAUUUCUUCUGUUCUCUUUGUGCGAAAGAACUAUCGCCUGGCGUGCUAGAUGAAAUGGAAGAGUUGGCGUCGGAGUUGAUCUGCAAAUUAGAAAAGAUCUUUCCGCCGGGCUUCUUUAAUCCAAUGCAAUAUUUGAUUUUGCAUCUCCCGACCGAGGCAAGAAUGGGGGGGGGGCGGUUCAAAAUCGAUGGUGCUACUCAACUGAGAGGGUGCAGAAGAUGCUUCGAGCUAAGUGUAAAAAUAAACGUAGAAUUGAAGCAUCAAUGGCCGAGGCAUUCAUUACUGAGGAGGCGGCAAACUUCGUGACAGCACACUACGAAGCCAAAAAUCAUCAUUUGCAUAACCCGAAGCCUCGGUACAAUGAUGGCGAUCCAAAAAAAGUUCGAUCCAACCUCAGCCUAUUCAUAGGUAAUCUCGCACCAUCCGGUGCUUCGAAAGGGAAAUCGUUGGAUGUCGAAGAAUGGCAGACCAUUUCUUUGUAUAUCUUCACCAACCUAACAGAAGUGUGGCCGUACAUCGAGUAAGUUCUCGGUAAUUUAUUGUUCCGUAACUUCUAAUUGCUAUGAACUACUCUUGUUCCCGGAUAUUUGAUAUAGUCGAUACGUCGCCGAAUUCUCGGAUGGAGCGAUCAUCGAAAAGGAUUCCGUCGAAGAGUAUGAGCUUCUCGCAAAGCAUGGAGGCGACUAUCCCGGUUUCAUCUCUUGGUUCAAACAAAGGGUAAUUAAUUACCAUUAAGGGCCCAUUUGAUUUCUUGGUCUAAUUUGCGGCUAAUGCAUCCAUUCUUUCGUAUUAAACUUGUAGGCUGAUACAGAGUCUAUGGACGCCGAGUUGAGACAAGUCGCUAAUGGUUUUGACUAUAAGGUCCGUUCAUUUGAAAAAUACAACAUCAAUGGGUAUCACUUUCGUACCUUUGGCAAAGAGCUAUCUAUGCCCGACCUAAAGACUACAAAUUGUUCUGUCUAUGCUACCGGCGAAGAAGACACUGAGUAUUAUGGAAAAGUUGAAGCAAUUUAUGAACUUCUAUUCUAUGGUGAAAACCCACCGACCGUCGUAGUCUUCAAAUGUUAUUGGUUUGAGCCGAGGGAGACUAGAAGGACUCAUGAACAUAUAGGACUAGUCGAAAUCAACCAAAACACCCACUUAGAUGUUCCUGAUGUCUAUAUUACGGCUCAACAGGCGACCCAAGUUUUCUAUCUACCGUGGGCCUGCCAAACUGAUCCAAGUCUCAAAGGUUGGGAUGUCGUUUAUGAAGUGCCACCACAUUUUAGACCACCUACCCUCAAUGAAGAGGAUUACAAACCUCACAUUAACCCAGACACAUAUGAAGGAGAAUUCUUCCAAGAAACACGUAUGUCCAAGAAACGUUCCAAGAACCACUCUACUUCACCCCAGAACAUUGAAGUAGACAGCGACAGUGAAUCCGUCUUAACCCGUGAGCCCGAACAGGAAGAGCUGGAAGAAGAAGAGGUUAGUGCUGCGGAUGACGUGUCACUUCUUGACCGAUUACAUAAUGGUGGCCUUCCACAUGUUCUUCAUGAUAGUUGAUAUGAUCGAUAUGGUUGACUAGAGGGGGGGGGAGUGAAUAGGCAACGACCACUUUUUUAAUUAAUCUUAGCAAGUUAGGGUAAACAACAUACGGGUUCACAAAGAUAACAACAAUGGGGUGAACCGUAAUGAAGCUAACUACAAGAGCUACUAAGACAAGUAAGAGAUAGACAACAACAUAAGCAUACACAAAGUAAAGGUUAGAGAUAACCACAAGUGGAACCAAUGAAGACGAGGAUGUGUUACCGAAGUUCCUUCCCUUUGACAGGAAGUACGUCUCCGUUGGAGCGGUGUGGAGGCACAAUGCUCCGCAAUAAGCCACUAAGGCCACUGUAUUCUCCUCACGCCCUCGCACGAUGCAAGGUACCGUGACUCCACUAUAGGUGCCCUUGAAGGCGACGACCGAACCUUUAUAAACAAGGUUGGGGAAAACUCCAAACAAAGCUUGGAGGCUCCCAACAAGACCACGAAGCUUCACCAUAAUGGAAUGUGGCUUCGAGGUGACCUCAACCAUCUAGGAUGCUCAAACACCCAAGAGUAACAAGAUCCGCAAGGGAUCGGUGGGGGAAUCAACUUUUCUCUUGGUGGAAGUGUAGAUCUAGGCCUUCUCACCCAAUCCCUAAAGAAUCAACAAGUUUGAUUGGCUAGGGAGAGAGACCAGGAACUUUUGAGCUUAGGGAGCAACAAUGGAGCUUGGGAGGGUAAGAUAAGGUUCCACAGCUAGAAGAACCCCUUAUAUAGUGGGGGGGGGGAAUCCAACCGUUUUCCCACUCACACCCGUGCCUAGUGGUACUACCGCUGGAUGCAGCGGUACUACCGCUGGUAUUCUAGCGGUACUACCGCUGGGCCCAUGGUAGUGCGUAAGCACUACCGGGCCAACCACCGCCAAGAAAGUCUUCGCAAAAAGGUCUGUCGAAGUACAACCGCUAUGAAGGCGGUACUAAGCUCCUGGAGCGGUACUACCGCCAACUAGCGGUACUACCGCUGGCUGCAGCGGUACUACCGCUAGCACUCCAGCGGUACUACCGCUAGGGCUAGCGGUACUAGCGCUGAGGGACCAUUUGCAAAGAAGAGAUAAACACAAAGGCGGGAGCCACUCCAAAGUUGCAGGCAAGGGGGAAAGGAGAUAAAGUGUGUGCGUGCAAAAUUGAUUCCACCCAAACCUUUCCACUACGGGUCCCCUCUUAAUAGUACGGCGUUCCUAUGACUCAAAUAAAGAGAAUCGUAGAGUACACCGUGCUCCUGUUCUAUGGAAAGAGGGGGGCGAGUCGUCUUGUGCCGUUGACGUGUGUUAUGUGAAAUAUUAACACACACGGUUAGUCCUUUGCGGUAUUGUCAUCAAUCACCAAAAUUACUUAGGCAUAAACUAUGCCCUAACAAUCUACCCCUUUUUGGUGGAUUGAUGACAAUACCAGAUUUGCACAGUGAGUAACAUGUGAACAAAAAGAUAGAUAAAUAUGAAACUAAGAAGCAUAUGACUCACAACAUAUGAUGGAAAUAAAUCUCACACUAGUUCAUGUCUCACGUCACACAAAGCAAAGAUAGCAAAUAGAAGCAAACCAAGUUCAAAGCAAACAUGAAAGAUAAGCAAAGCUAAGCAAAGUUCAACUCUCAAAUCCAGCUCCUAGACUCUCUCCCCCUUUGGCACAGGACACCGAAAAGGGGCACACCUAACGACACAGGUGGUCACUCCUCAUCCUCAUCAUCCCCAGAUUCGUCUGUAGCAUCCGGAUCGUCCUGCUCCUCCUCAUUGUCCUCCUCCUCCUCGGCAUCAGACCACUGAUAACCUUGAGCCCGCAUCCAAGCAGACUCUGGAGUGAUGUCGUCCUUUGAGCCGCUGGAGAUCUCAACAUCAAGUGUCCUCAGGACACGCUUGUGCCUCUAACGGUUCUCCUUCUGGGCCACAUGAGUCUGAUACUGUCCCUUAGCCUGCAUACAAAAGAGAGUCUUCAUUUUAUCCUGCAGUUUCACUGCCCAAGAUGGCAUAGCAGAAGAGCGGGACUGGGAGGCGGUGCCUCUGUCAGCAGCAGUCUCUGUGUCAGUGUCCAUGUGCUGAGAUGAAGUUGAUGGGUUGGCCCAUUUGUCAUUGAUGCGGAGCUUGAUAGGAUCAUGCACAAAGUAAUCAGCCUGAAGGUGGAACUCCUCAAGCGGAUAAGUGUCUUGCCACUUCUGGCGAAUAUAGGCAAACAAGUAGGGCCCGUAGAUGGGAACCUUGUGCAUCAUGAUGCAGUUCCAGAGCUCAGUGAACAUGACGUCAGAAAUAUUGAGAGGGGCAGACUCCUUAGUCAUAGCCUCCUCACAAAGGAGAAGCAUCUCAGCCAGAGAACCGUGCACCUCGUCGAAGUUGCCAAUGCGAGGGAAGAGGGUGUUGCGGAAGAUACGAUGCAUGAUAUCCAGAUGCCUGGGGAGCAAACCCUUCUUCACAUAAAGUUGCUGCAACCUGUCCUUGGCGGGGGCCCUAUCAGUGGAAGCUGCAGCAUGAGGACACGACCCAAUCGGAGUGUCAGCUCCCUGAAAGUCGACCUUGAGAAAUGCCAUGAAUUCACGCCAGGAACCUGUCAUCUUCUGAGUACCAGUCAUCCAAACCAGGGUGCGCUCGUCAUCAGGCGAGAAGUGAACCGUGACAUAGAACUGGCCGACAACAUCUGGAUAAAAGUAUUUCUUGAAGGAGAUGAUCUCCUUAAUGCCCAGCUUGUCAAUCAAAGAGAGAGCGUCACCAAAGUAAUCCAGGUUCCGCCGAAGGUGAGCCAAGUCAAUCCACUGAACUGGAACAAAACUUUUCUUGAAAUGCUUGAUGAUGUCGCGAUAGAUCCUGUAGUGAUCCGUUGACCACACAUGCUCGACAUCCCUGAUCACAACCUUCUCUUGGAGAUAGUGAUUUUUGGUGCGGAACCGCAGAAAGUCCUUAGGGGGCAUAGUGCGAACGUUGACCCCCUUGUCCUUGUGAGCUGCCUUCUUGAAGGACUUCUUUUUGGGUUGCAGACCGGAAGUGGCAAAGCCCUCUGGAGCCUCUGGAUUGCGAUAAUGCUUUGACUGGGUGUCCCGUGAGGGGUUCGAGCGGCGAGCACCACCUGUGACACACAAGACACACACCAAAAAAAGAGCGACAAAAGGAGUCAAGGCAAGGAACCAAAAAGAGGCAUAAAAGUAAACUCACAUUGCCAAGCAAAUWGAAAAAAUAAAAACAAAUCUCCUCCUGGCGGUAGUACCGCUGGGGUCCUGGCGGUAGUACCGCUACCCCUCGCGGUAGUACCGCUCGGGUCCUAGACUACCUCUGGCGGUAGUACCGCUAGGGGUUGACUUUCAGAUCUGAAUAUGAAAAAGGACCCAUAGAAACGGCUAGAUGGGAUUUACGAGGGCCAUGGGUACUGUGUAAAAUCACUAAAAACACCACCACAGCCCUAACAAUAUGAGAAUCACAGGAAUCAUCUAAAUAAAGACAUGUCUAGUUAAGAGGAUUCAAGUUUUUAGAUCUAAUCCAAAAUAGAAGAAGUGCUUGAUCUAAAACAUGAAGAACCUAGGCCAUGGCAACAUAAAGGCAAUGAAUCAUAGGACCUACACUCCCCUCGAAUAUCUCCUUCAUGCCAUCCAAGAACAAAGCACAAUACCAUAGACAUGGAUCCAAAACACCAAUGCUCCUAACCCUAGAACAAGAAAACAUCAUCCAAGAGAGUAGAGGGAGGAGCUUUACCGGAGUCCAUGGCACUUGGUGGAGGAAGGAGAAGUGGRGCAAACCCUGCAACUCAACGGAGAUAAGGGGCUCCAUGGAUAGGGAUCCAAAUAGGGGGAGUUCGGGGUUGGAGAGGGAGGAGCCACGAGGAAGAAGAAAGAGGAAGAAAAAACGGGCCCCCCUCCUUUAUAUAGCCCAAGGGGUAUGGGCCAGCGGUAGUACCGCUGUGGUCCUGGCGGUAGUACCGCUACGUGGCGGUAGCACCGCUGGCUGCAGCGGUAGUAUCGCUGGGGUCCUGGCGGUAGUACCGCUCCCCCUUGAGACAACCCUAAAAUGUCCUAGUUAGGUCGUGGUAGACCGGGGUCCUGGCGGUAGUACCGCUAUCCCUGGCGGUAGUACCGCUGGGGUCCUCGCGGUAGUACCGCUACCCCUGGCGGUAGUACCGCUGGGGUCCUGGCGGUAGUAGCGCUACCCCUGGCGGUAGUACCGCUGCAAAUGUCACAACGAGACAUAGGAGAUGAGAAAGACGUGGGCAAAUGAACAAGUUAGUGAAAAUAAGAAGAUAGCACCAACAAGAUAUACUGACUUGUCAUUGUGUAUCCUUUCUUCCAUAUGAGAGAAAGGUGGGGGCGGUGGCCGAGGCCACCUAUGUUUGAGACAAAGGUAUGACACCACGAAGAAUUAUCCUUGGGUUCAUGACCAAUGCUCGUCUUUGAAGCACAAGUGCCAUUUGGCAAUGGCUAAAGUGAAAGACUAGAUCAAUUUAUGCAUAAUGGGGGGGGGARGAGUUCAUUGAGAGAAAAACACUCCCCAUAUGUCCAUGCCUACAUCUAGAACAAGAUAGAAUGCAUAGUAAGGUGCAACGUGCCUAGCUUCAAUCCACAUUACUUGAAUCAAUGAUAUUUAGCUCAUGCCUUAACUCCCGGAACCUUGCUUCAUCUAGGGGCUUAGUGAAAAUAUAUGCAAGUUGCUCUUCAGUGUGGAUGAAGUGAACCUCAAUAUCACCUAGCUUGAUAUGUUCACGAAUGAAGUGAUGGCGAAUAUCAAUAUGCUUGGUCUUGCUAUGUUGCACUGGGUUGAGGGAAAUCUUGAUGGCACUUUGAUUGUCACAUAGAAUAGGCACUUUGUCAAGCAAUUGUGCACAACAACUUGCAACUGCCACAUACUCAGCUUCGGUGGAUGAUAGUGAGACACAAUUCUUCUUCUUUGAAGACCAACUUACCAGUGAGCGACCAAGGAAUUGGCAUACUCCAGAAGUUGACUUCCUCUCCACACAAUCUCCUGCCCAGUCUGAGUCAGAAUAGCCUACUAGGUUGAAGUUUGCUCCUUUGUGAUACCAUAGGCCAAAGUUUGGGGUAUGAGCCAAAUAUCGAAAGAUUCGCUUAACAGCCAUAUAAUGACUUUCUUUUGGUGCGGAUUAAAGCCGUGCACAUAUCCCUACACUCAACAUAAUAUCUAGUCUAAAUGCACAAAGGUAAAGGAGAUAUCCAAUCAUGGAGCGAUAUACCUCUUGAUCCACUGCUUUACCAUUGGGAUCACUGUCAAGCUUGCAUCUUGUUGGCAUGGGGAACUUGACCGACUUGACAUCUUCAAGCUCGAACCGUUUGAGCAUGUCUUGAGUGUAGUUCGCUUGUUUGAUGAAGGACCCUUCUAGGCCUUGUUUAAUCUCGAAGCCGAGGAAGAACUUCAACUCUCCCAUCAUGGACAUCUCAAAUUUCUCGAUCAUUAGUGCAGUAAAUUCUUCAUUGAAAGAAAUGUUAGGAGAGCCAAAGAUAAUAUCAUCAACAUAUAGUUGGCAUAUGAACAAAUCCCCUUUAACCCUCUUAGUAAAAAGAGUGGGAUCUAUCUUCCCAAUUUCAAACCCACGAUCUUGUAACAACUCAGUAAGAUACUCAUACCACGCACGUGGGGCUUGUUUAAGACCAUAGAGUGCCUUAUUAAGUUUGUACACAUGAUUGGGGAGCUUGGGAUGUUCGAAUCCCGGGGGUUGUUUGACAUAGACCAACUCAUUGAAAGGACCAUUAAGAAAGGCACUUUUCACAUCCAUUUGCUGUAAUUUGAAGUUAUGAUGAGAAGCAAAUGCAAGCAACAUGCGAAUAGAUUCUAGACGAGCAACAGGGGCAAAGGUUUCACCGUAGUCGAUACCCUCGACUUGGGAGUAUCCUUGAGCCACCAAUCUUUCCUUGUUCCGAAUCACAAACCCAUUGGCAUCUUGCUUAUUCUUGAAUAUCCAUUUGGUCCCGAUGACAUUAUGUUCCUCCGUUGGCCUUGGCACUAAAUCCUAGACUUGGUUACGCUCGAAGUUGUUAAGUUCUUCACGCAUGUCCAUAAGCCAAUCCUCAUCAUCGAGCGCUUCCUGUACCUGUUGAGGUUCACAAUAUGAAACAAACGCGUGAUGCUCACAAUAAUUCCAAAUCUGUUGAUGGGUGGAUACUCCCGUUUUUAAACUGCCAAGUACAUUCUUCAUAAGAUGUGACUUGACUCUCAGCUUGUUCGCAAUCUUGGCUUCUCGACGCUCCAAGAGUUCUUCAUUGGAUAGUUGGGGAGCAUCGACUUGUUUACUUUGCUUGCCCUUGCAUCUUGAGCCCCCCUUAGCACCGGCUGUUGGUGCUGCAGAAGGGAAUUGUGAGACAGUAUCCUGAUCAUCUUGACAUUCGACUUGAGCAGGUUCACUUGUUUGUCCUUGUACUUGUGGUUGCUCUUGAUCUUGAUCUUGUGCUUCUACUUGGUCUGGAUCUUGUGGUUGCACUUGAUCUUGAUCAUGAGCAGGUUCGGAACCUUGGGUAAGUGCUUGAAUAUCAUGGGACACAUCAUCAUUGUUGGGCAAUUUAUCUUGACCUUGAGCUUGUUCAUUUUGUUGAGAGUCUUCUCUUUGUUCAUCGAAAGCGUGUGGGGCUUGUGGGCGUGAUGGCUCCAUUUUAGUAGAGCAUUGUCCUUCUCCUUCGGCCACAAGGGGUUCCUCAAUGGGGAGUAUUUGACCAAUCCCCAUUCUUCUUAUGGCUUGGGGAGGAAUUUCAUCACCUACAUCACAAAGACCACUUUGCUCCACUUGGGAGCCAUUAUUUUCAUCAAACUCCACAUUACACGUCUCCUCAAUGAGUCCGGUGGUCUUGUUGAGGACACGGUAAGCAUGAGAGUUUGUAGCAUAACCAACAAAGAUGCCCUCAUGUGCUCUAGAAUCAAAUUUAGCUAAACGUGCACCUUUCUUGAGAAUGAAACACUUACAACCGAAUACCCAGAAGCACUUAAGAUUGGGUUUGUUUCCAGUUAGAAUCUCAUAUGGAGUCUUGUUCAAGCCUUUGCGGAUAUAGAGCCGAUUGGACGCAUGACAUGCUGUGUUGAUGGCCUCUGCCCAAAAGUUAUAUGGAGAUUUGAAUUCCGCCAUCAUUGUUCUUGCAGCGUCUAUCAAGGUCCGGUUCUUCCUUUCUGCCACGCCGUUUUGUUGAGGGGUAUAUGGUGCUGAAUAUUGAUGUUUUAUUCCCUCAUCACCUAGAAACUCAUCCAAAGUGUAGUUCUUGAACUCGGUGCCGUUGUCACUUCUAAUCAUCAAGAUCUUUGCUUCAUGUUGACGUUGAGUUUUAUUAGGAAAGUUGAUGACAGUUUGUUGAGUUUCACUCUUCCUUUUGAAGAAAUAUACCCAUGUGUAUCUUGAGUAGUCGUGAACAACCACCAAGCAGUACUUUCUGCCUCCAAGACUAUCAAAUGAUGGAGGGCCUAAAAGAUCCAUAUGGAGGAGCUCCAAUGGCCUCUUAGUGUUAAUGAGAGUCGUUGGACGAUGAGCAGUUUCAUGAAUCUUUCCUUCAAUGCAGGUACUGCAAGCACGAUCUUAGGCAAAACUCACAUUUGUUAGUCCACGAAUAUGGUCCCCUGUUAGAAGACUUUGCAAAGAUCUCAUAUUGACAUGAGCUAAUCGGCGAUGCCAAAGCCAGCCCACAUCAACUUUAGCCAUUAAACACGUCGCGGUCUUAGUGGGUCACUUUGAGAAGUUCACCACAUAAAGACCAUUUUCGACAUAUCCAACAUAGGUUACUUUAAGAGUCUUGCUCCACAGGAGGACCAUAGUAUCAAGAUUAAAGAAUGUGGAAAAACCCAUAAUUGCAAGUUGGCGAACCGAAAGUAAAUUGUAGGCAAGAGACUCAACAAGCAUGACCUUCUCAAUAGAUAACUCUUGAGAGACGACCACCUUACCAAAUCCCAAUACCUUUGGCGAGGAUGCAUUGACGAAUUGGACAUGGGUGGGCAUAGAUGGAGAAGGAUGCACAUCCACCACUAAGUCCUUGCUCCCGGUCAUAUGAUUUGUUGCUCCACUAUCGAGCAACCAUGACACCCCACCGGAAGCAAACUCCUGCAAUAGAUCAAGGCUUGGUUUUAGGUACCCAUUUUUUAAUGGGUCCUUUCAUGUUAGAGACAAGGGUCUUAGGAACCCAGAUAGCCCAUUCAAUAUACUCAUAGUAGGAACCAACAAAUCUGGCAUAAACAUGCCCAUCACUAGCACGACAUAAGACAUAAGAAGAAUUGAGUUUGUCGGCUGUGUUAGUAGGAAUGGUUUUGCCCUUCUUGACGUUUCCAUCGUCCACCUUGUUCCUAUUCACCUCCUGAGUCCCUUCACCCUCUUUGACAAAGAUGUCCAUGAGGGUAGCAGAUCGUUUGUUCCUGUUCCUCCUUUUUCCUUUUGACUUGGAGGUAAGUCCAAGUCCCUCCUUUCCUACAACACCCUUUUGAGUGCUCAAGAGGUCGUUUAGGCUCAUCUCACCUUGUAUGCAUGCCACAAGGCCCUUCUCAAGUUUCUCCUUUAACUUGGCAUUUUCCUCCACAAGAUGUACAUGCUCACAACAGGGAUUAGUUGUACAAGCAUUAUCAAUUAACACAAAGGGAGGACAUGUAGAGAUCUCCUUGGUAAGCUUUGCUUGGAGUUGAUCAUGAGACUCUUUCUGAGAGAAAUGAACACCUUUCAAGACCUUGUGGGCCUUGUCAAGUGUGUCAAACUCCACGUUGAGUCUGUCAUGGCCAACCCCAAGAGCAUACUUCUCAGACUUAAACAUACGAGUAAGAACAGUAUCAUGAUCUAGUUUCUUUUGGAUUUUAGUGCAGUCAUCGUUAUAUGACUCCUCAAGAGCCAAACGAAGAGUGCGCUCCUUUUCUAGAGCAAUAGAUAAUUCAGCAAUUUCAUCGUCAUACUCACGACUGUGUCCCUGAAGCUCGGAGAUGGUCUCCUCAUGAGACUCAAUGAGGUCAUUGGCCUCACCCAAUUGUUCCAAGAGAGCAACAAAGUGCUUCUUGGAUUCUCCCUUAAUAGUGCACAGAAACUUGUCAAGAUCAUGCUCAUUAAGUUCCCCAACAUCACUAUCAUCAACACAAUUUAAAAAUGAAGGAGCAGUAGCGAUGUUGGUCUUAAUGAUGGGGGUUACCUGAUUGAUACCUUUUGCCAUGAGGCACUUGGUGAUGUGGUUCUCGUUGGGGGCGUUGAAGAGAGACACCUUCUGGGGAGAGGGAGUAGCAAUAGCAACAGUUGCCGUUGCCACUGUAUCAUCAUCAUCAUCAUCAUCAUCGGAAGGUUACUCUUCAAGGGCCACCAUCCCCUUUGGGUGGGGUUUCUUCACAAAGUUGUUCUUGAUUGGAAAUGACUUGGUUUUGUCUUUGCGAAUGAGCUUGCCCCCGUUGUCUUCCCUUUUCUCAUAGGGACAUUCGGCCACGAAGUGGCUCACGUUACCACAGUUAUAACAUGUCCUCACUCGUUGCUUGGGUUUGAACCCACUCGAGUUGUUCUUGGUGAAGGUGGGUCUUGAGUUCCUCUUGUUGCCCGAGAAUUGCCUUGAUGCAAGAGCCAUGUGCUCAUGAUAGGCAUACUUUGUGUCUUCAGGGCAGCUCUCCUCUUCCUCAUCCUCUUCUUCUUCUUCAAACGUUGCUUUUGAUUUUAACGCAAGGUUGGGUGAAGUUGUCUUUGAGUGAACAUGAGCAAGUGCAUUGUCAGCUGUUUCGUUCAUGAUUGACAUUGCAAUAAAUUCAUCCAACACCUCACUGGAAGACAAGGAGUGGAAGUCUGGUCGCUGAUGAAUGAUAGAUGACAUGGCUUUAUUGAAACGCAUGAUGGCUUUGAGAAACUUGCGCUUGACCCAUGUAUCAUCCACAUCCUUGCUCCCAUGAUCCUUGAGUGCCACAGCAAUAGCAGUCACCCUCCGAUAGAGAUCACGAGGGUCCUCGUCUUCCUUCAUCACAAACUCAUCGGCCUUAUCAAGUAUCACUUCAUAGUUGGAUCGUUGAAUGCUUGAGCUUCCCUUGUACAACACCAUAAUAUGCUCCCAAGAAUCCUUGGCCAAAGUGAAGGGACGCAAGUGAGGAAGAUCUUCAGGUGGCACUGCGGACUGGAGAAUAAACAAAGCGGAGUGAUUGUAUUGAUUGUCUGCAUCUUCUCUUGGAGUGAGGUUGCUUGGAUCAUGGGGAUAAUAUCCUUGCUCGAUGAUUCUCCACAAAUUUGUUGAGAUGUGAUUCAAAUGAGACUUUAUAGAAAAUACCCAGUUAGCAAAGUCACCUUUCAGAAGCUUAGGAGGAGGACCAACAGGGUUAAGACGCGGUGCGGGAACGGGUCCUCCAUAGACCAUGGGAGGUGGAACUGAGGCAUAGGUUCCAGUCCCAUCCUUUUCGUGAGAUGAGGAAGGUCGCAUACCUUUAGCCGCUUCCUUAGAGGAAUUGGCCUCCGAAUCGGUGAUGGUGGGUUUAACCACUAACGCCGGUUCGGGUGGACUUUUAAAUCCCUCAAUUAACUCUUUAAGCAUGGUCUUUACUUCGUUCCUCAAGGACGUCUUGAGGGCAGCCAUAGCCGUAUUCAAGUCGUCCCUUGUGACCGAAGUCAAGUCCAUGGCCUCGGGUUGCCCAUGGGGAAUUCCAUCUUCGCCUUCCAUACUCUUCGGGUGGUGAAACCCUUAAUAAAGAGACGUGGCUCUGAUACCAAUUGAUAUGAUCGAUAUGGUUGACUAGAGGGGGGGUGAAUAGGCAACGACCACUUUUUAAUUAAUCUUAGCAAGUUAGGGUAAACAACAUACUGGUUCACAAAGAUAACAACAAUGGGGUGAACCGUAAUGAAGCUAACUACAAGAGCUACUAAGACAAGUAAGAGAUAGACAACAACAUAAGCAUACACAAAGUAAAGGUUAUAGAUAACCACAAGUUGAACCAAUGAAGACGAGGAUGUGUUACCGAAGUUCCUUCCCUUUGACAGGAAGUACGUCUCCGUUGGAGCGGUGUGGAGGCACAAUGCUCCCCAAUAAGCCACUAAGGCCACUGUAUUCUCCUCACGUCCUCGCACGAUGCAAGGUACCGUGACUCCACUAUAGGUGCCCUUGAAGGCGGCGACUGAACCUUUACAAACAAGGUUGGGGCAAACUCCACACAAAGCUUGAAGGCUCCCAACAAGACCACGAAGCUUCACCACAAUGGAAUGUGGCUUCGAGGUGACCUCAACCGUCUAGGAUGCUCAAACACCCAAGAGUAACAAGAUCCGCAAGGGAUCGGUGGGGGAAUCAACUUUUCUAUUGGUGGAAGUGUAGAUCUAGGCCUUCUCACCCAAUCCCUAAAGAAUCAACAAGUUUGAUUGGCUAGGGAGAGAGAUCGGGCACUUUUGAGCUUAGGGAGCAACAAUGGAGCUUGGGAGGGUAAGAGAUAAGGUUCCACAGCUAGAAGAACCCCUAAUAUAGUGGGGGGGGGAAUCCAACCGUUUUCCCACUCACACCCGUGCCUAGCGGUACUACCGCUGGCUGCAGCGGUACUACCGCUGGGCCCAUGGUAGUGCAUAAGCACUACCGGGCCAACCACUGCCAAGAAAGUCUUCGCAAAAAGGUCCGUCGAAGUACAACCGCUAUGAAGGCGGUACUAAGCUCCUGGAGCGGUACUACCGCUGACCAGGGGCGGUACUACCGCCAGCUAGCGGUACUACCGCUGGCUGCAGCGGUACUACCGCUAGCACUCCAGCGGUACUACCGCUAGGGCUAGCGGUACUAGCGCUGAGGGACCAUUUGCAAAGAAGAUAUAAACACAAAGGCGAGAGCCACUCCAAAGUUGCAGGCAAGGGGGAAAGGAGAUAAAGUGUGUGCGUGCAAAAUUGAUUCCACCCAAACCUUUCCACUACGGGUCCCCUCUUAAUAGUACGACGUUCCUAUGACUCAAAUAAAGAGAAUCGUAGAGUACACCGUGCUCCUGUUCCAUGGAAAGAGGGGGGCGAGUCGUCUUGUGCCGUUGACGUGUGUUAUCUGAAAUCUUAACACACACGAUUAGUCCUUUGCGGUACUGUCAUCAAUCACCAAAAUUACUUAGGCAUAAACUAUGCCCUAACAAUAGUGAUGAUGAUGAUGCAUUUAUUGAUGAUAGUGAUGAUCAUGAUGCAUUUAUUGACCACGAAGCAUAUAUAGACGAGCACAAUUGUUAUUAGUUCAUGUCAGGUAUUCAACUAUUAUACUAUAUAUAAUUUUUGAGUUCAUGUUAGGUAUUCAAUUUUUAUUAGUCAUGUUGGUAUUUAUGACGAUGAUACACUUAAAUUAUAUAAGUUUUAUUACUCAUGUUGGUAUCUAUGUUGUACUAAUUUCAUUUACUCUUUGUCAUGACAGGUGUUGAAAGAUGGUGGGAAAGGGUCGAAAGCACUCCGCGACUCCUUCUUCGUCGACGGGUGAUGGGAUGGGUACUUCCAUUCCUGCCUCGCCUCUUCGGAGAGCGUUGCUCUCUACUCUGCAAGGAGCGCCCCCCGUGAGAGGAGGUCGACCCCCCGCGGAGCCGAGAGGUACUAAAGUUACACGUUGUAUUGAUGUUGGUAUUUAUGUUGUACUCAUGUUGUAUGCAUAUUGGUAUUUAUAUACAUUUUAUUACUCAUGUUGGUAUUUAUGUUGUACUAAAGGUACACGUGGCCGCGGGAGAGGUAGGGCGGUGGCUGCCACGCCUUCUGAGGUGGAGGCUACAUGGUCUCCGUCACCACCCCAAGCCGAUUCACCUGAGCACAGGACCUCUAGGGUGGAUUCAUCUGAGGUGGAGGCUACACGGUCUCCGGUUCACGAGCCUCGGGUCGACGAGCCUCAGGUCGACGAGCCUUCGACCCACGAGACUCGUGUCCCAGAGGCUUCAUUCCAGGCGACUCCGGAGCAAAGCAGGGAUGAGGGUACGUCCCAAGAGACCCAGUAGGAUACCUGGGCUGAGCCAAGUGGCCAUGCUGGUAGCGACGAGGAGCUGGGUGAGGGGGCUACCGUCUACCAGUGUGGUAGUUCGGGGCUCCCGCUCGUGCCGACGACCCCUCAGCAGAGGUGGUUGAUUAGGCCAAAUGGGGACAAGUAAGUUAAUUUACUCUUAUUUAACCUAUUGUCUUCGCGUUUUCUCAAAUAUCUAAUGUUUUGGAUUUAAUUUGUCAUACUGUAGGGGUUGGAUUGUUGCCAAGGGUGUCCGCAAGCCCAACAGCGUCCUUGGUGUGCUUUGCCGUAAAAACUUCCCAGGGUUUGUUACGUUGCCCGGUCGGGAGCGAGAGGUAGGAAUGACCUGGGAGCACUACUUGGGUGCCCCGGCCCCGCCGGAGGUGGAGAUCGACGGUGUUUUGUGCGACACGAGGGCGGACAUGGUGAUUCGAAAGUUCUGGGUAAUUUCUCCUUCACACAAUUAUAAAUCAACCGUAGCUAUUUAUUGUACUAAUCGGUGUUGUCUCGUUUACAGACCUACUACAGGUGUGAGGAGGGAUACGAGGAGGACGCGCUAAAGGUUAUCGAAACCAAAUGUCGCCGCCUACUUCAAAACUUUUAGCACGAGGCUCGGGUGCAGGCUGUUCGAGACUACUAUGCCACGCGGCGUAUUAGGAUUGACAAGGCGAAGUGUCGUGAUGCUAAGAUGGAGAAGGAGCAUUACAUGAAGGUAAUUACGUAUUAUUAAGGCUUUGUAGUUAGUUUCCUUGAUUUGGUUCUUACGCGCUCAAAUUUCUCUUUAUUAACUUAGGUSGCCCCCGAGAUGGUGUGUGGAUAAGAUGGAUUGUUGGGAGGCCUUGGUGGAUCAGUGGUGCUCCGAAACGUGGGAGGCCAGCCACAACNUCAUUCUUAAUGCUAUCUUGAGCCCUUUACUCAUACAAUUUUCCUCUCUCUCUCUCUUUUAGGCGUGUCACAAUAAGACGGAGGUGCCACAGAUGUACGACCUGUAUGCGAUGGCCCAUACCGCCUCGUACAAGAAGGUCAAGGCAUUCUCUGAGUCUGACCUCGAGCAUCCAGAAAACUUCACCAACAUCUCCUCCCACCACAAGCUCGUGAAGUACAGAGAUCACGGGAAGGCGAGGAAAGGGGAGUACUUUAACCCGAGCGAGGGGCCUAUUGAUCCAGAACUGGUGAUGAUAGCUGGCAACGGGAGGCCCCAUGGCUCGAUCGCCAUUGGAGACGGCCUUAUACGUUGUCCUAGCACUCUCCGGCAGAUAAAGGCACGCCAAACAAGCUCUUGUCCGGAGAUAACACGUCGUCCACGACCAGUCGAGCUCGCCAUCGAGGUUAGUUUAAUGGACUCAACUAUCUUUCCGCAUUAUGUUGUGCGUUGGAACCAAUAUGAUUACAUUGCUAAUAAUGAGUUGUGUUGCAGGCUGCUAUUCGGAAAGAGAGAGAGGCAAUGCAGGCGGCUAUGGCGGCUAAGGAUAAGGAGAUUAGGGAGCUGGAGGAGAGGACGACUGCAUUGGUGGAGGCGGAGAGGGCAUGGAAUGAUGCGUCUAACAGGGCCAUAUACGAGCUCUUCGUGGUAAGUUUCUUCUUCAUGUUAUUUCAAGUCUUGCAUUUGAAUGUCUGUUUCAUUAAUAAAUAAAAAGUUUGACUUGUCGAAACCAAAUUUACAGUCUAUGUGCGAGAAGAGAGGCCAACUCCCUCCGCCGAUGCCAGUCAUUAACGUGGCGGGGACGGUGAGUUUCAUUUCAGUGCAGUGAUCUUAAGAGUGUCCUCAUGCUAACGACACAUUGCAAACGAUGUUUGGUGCAGAAUAUCUCCCAAAACGCAACGCACGACCCUUCUAUAGUGGAGCCUUCUCCAGGGCAGCCUUCUCCACGUGAAACAAGCCAGAGCCACCGUCUUCACCGCCGUGAUGACGAUAAUGGUAUAUUAUUUCUAGUGUUUUAGUAAAAAAUAGCUAGACUUCCAUCUAAAUGACAUAAUUAGCUUAGUUAGCUCCAGAACGGCUAAAUUGGCUAAUUAUCCUACGAAAUGACAUAAUUAGCUUAGUUAGCUCCAAAAUGACCUAUUUAAUAAAAAAUGACCUAUAGUUAGCUAAGUUCUCUCCUAAAUGACAUAAUAAGGCUUACGUAGCUGCAAGAUGACCUAUUCCCCCUAACUUAGGUAUUAAAUGGCCUAUAAUUAGCCUAGCUAGAUCCAAAAUGGCUUAAUAAGCAUAGUUUGCUCCGAAAUGACCUACUUUACCCAAGUUAGCUCCGAAACGACCUAUAGUUAGCUAGGGUUCCACCUAAAAGACAUAAUUAGCUUAGUUAGCUCCAAAAUGGUCUAUUUAAUAAAACAUGACCUAUACUUAGCUAAUUAUCCUCGAAAUGACAUAAUUAGCUCCAAAAAGGCAUUCUUAGCCAAUUUAGCCCCAAGAAGGGGACAAGAGGAGAAGAAAGAGGAAAAAUGAAAGGAAGGAAGGAAGAAGAAGAAGGAGAAGGAGGAGGAUAAGAAGAAGGAGAAGAAGGAGGAUAAGAAGAAGGAGAAGAAGGAGGAGAAGAAGGAGAAGGAGCUCCUGCUUCUCCUUCUUCUUCCUCCUUCUUCCUCCUUCUCCUUCUUCUUUUCUUCUUCUUCUCCUCUUCCUUCUCCUCCUCCUCCUCCUCCUCCUCCUUUUACUUCUUCUUCUCUUUCUCUUCUUCUACGUAGCUUAGACUCAUCCAAGAAAGGCUAAAUUGGCUAAUUAUCCUACGAAAUGACAUAAUUAGCUUAGUUAGCUCCAAAAUGACCCAUUUAAUAAAAAUGACCUAUAGUUAGCUAAGUUCUCUCCUAAAUGACAUAAUAAGGCUGACGUAGCUUCAAGAUGACCUAUUCCCCCUAACUUAGGUAUUAAAUGGCCUAUAAUUAGCCCAGCUAGAUCCAAAAUGGCUUAAUAAGCAUAGUUUGCUCCGGAAUGACCUAUUUUACCCAAGUUAGCUCCGAAACAACCUAUAGUUAGCUAGGGUUCCACCUAAAUGACAUAAUUAGCUUAGUUAGCUCCAAAAUGGUCUAUUUAAUAAAACAUGACCUAUACUUAGCUAAUUAUCCUUGAAAUGACAUAAUUAGCUCCAAAAAGGCAUUCUUAGCUAAUUUAGCCCGAAGAAGGGGACAAGAGGAGAAGAAAGAGGAAAAAUGAAAGGAAGGAAGAAGAAGAAGAAGAGAAGAAGAAGAAGGAGGAGGAUAAGAAGAAGGAGAAGAAGGAGCAGAAGAAGGAGAAGGAGCUCCUCCUUCUCCUUCUUCUUCCUCCUUCUCCUUCUCCUUCUUCUUCUUUUCUUCCUUCUGCUUCUCCUCCUCCUCCUCCUCCUUCUUUUACUUCUUCUUCUCUUUCUCUUCUUCUACAUAGCUUAGACUCAUCCAAGAAAGGCUAAAUUGGCUAAUUAUCCUACGAAAUGACAUAAUUAGCUUAGUUAGCUCCAAAAUGACCUAUUUAAUAAAAAAUGACCAUAGUUAGCUAAGUUCUCUCCUAAAUGACAUAAUAAGGCUUACGUAGCUGCAAGAUGACCUAUUCCUCCUAAAUUAGGUAUUAAAUGGCCUAUAAUUAGCCUAGCUAGAUCCAAAAUGGCUUAAUAAGCAUAGUUUGCUCCCGAAUGACCUAUUUUACCCAAGUUAGCUCCGAAACGACCUAUAGUUAGCUAGGGUUCCACCUAAAUGACAUAAUUAGCUUAGUUAGCUCCAAAAUGGUCUAUUUAAUAAAACAUGACCUAUACUUAGCUAAUUAUCCUCGAAAUGACAUAAUUAGCUACAAAAAGGCAUUCUUAGCCAAUUUAGCCCGAAGAAGGGGACAAGAGGAGAAGAAAGAGGAAAAAUGAAAGGAAGGAAGAAGAAGAAGAAGAGAAGAAGAAGAAGGAGAAGGAGGAGGAUAAGAAGAAGGAGAAGAAGGAGAAGGAGCUCCUCCUUCUCCUUCUUAUUCCUCCUUCUUCCUCCUUCUCCUUCUCCUUCUUCUUUUCUUCUUCUUCUCCUCUUCCUUCUCCUUCUCCUCCUCCUCCUGCUCCUUCUUUUACUUCUUCUUCUCUUUCUCUUCUUCUACGUAGCUUAGACUCAUCCAAGAAAGGCUAAAUUGGCUAAUUAUCCUACAAAAUGACAUAAUUAGCUUAGUUAGCUCCAAAAUGACCUAUUUAAUAAAAAAUAACCUAUAAUUAGCUAAGUUCUCUCCUAAAUGACAUAAUAAGGCUUACGUAGCUGCAAGAUGACCUAUUCCCCCUAACUUAGGUAUUAAAUGGCCUAUAAUUAGCCUAGCUAGAUCCAAAAUGGCUUAAUAAGCAUAGUUUGCUCCCGAAUGACCUAUUUUACCCAAGUUAGCUCCAAAACGACCUAUAGUUAGCUAGGGUUCCACAUAAAUGACAUAAUUAUCUUAGUUAGCUCCUAAAUGGCCUAUACUUAGCUAAUUUCUCUCCGAAAUAACCUAUAUACACUUCUUCAUCUAGAAUUAUUCUUCUAACUUUCUUAUUUGUCAUUUUGCAGAUUACAUCCACUUCACGGGAAGCUUGGAUUAUAUUGAUGGAAUGCUUGAAGAUGAUUUCUUGUACCAUGGCUUGUAUUGAAACUAUUUUAGUAUAUGGAUAUAUAUGAAACUUUGUAUGCAUGUGGAUGAAACUGGUGUAAUAUAUGGAUUGGUAGGGAUGCAACUUGCAUAAUAUGUAUGCACUAUGGAUGAAAGUUAUUUUAAUAUGGUUAUCAGUACGGAAAUAAAUUUAUUUAUGUCAAAUAUAUAUGUAUAUCCUGAUUAUUGUUAAAAAUGCUGGAUAUAAUAAAAAAUAAAUUAAAAAGGGGCUGGUUCCCCCCUUUGUCGUCCGCCCCCAAAUGGCAAAGGGGGGAAUCAGCCCCCUCUCUCUCCCCUCUUUGCCAUCUGCCCCCACAUGGAAAAGGGGGGAUGACAGACGGCAAAGAGGGGAGAGAGAGGGGCUGGUUCCCCCCUUUGCCGUCUGCCCCCACAUGGCAAAGGGGGGAUGGCAGACGACAAAGAGAGGAGGCCUGCCGUUAACACUUAACGGGGUCGUUGGAGUAUGUGCCGUCCCAUUUAAUAUGCCGUCUGCCCCCUCAUGGCAAAGAUUCUUUGUCGUCCGCUUUAAAAAAGCAGACGGCAAAGAACGUCUUCACCGGAUUUUUUUUGCCGUCUGCUGACCGACGGCAAAGCCUUUGCCGUCUGCUGACCGAUGGCAAAGCCUUUGCCGUCAGUGGUUGCCCCCUUUGCCGUCCGCCAUGGCGGACGGCAAAUUUCUGAAUUUCAGUAGUGCUUCCUAUGUUUUAUGUCGUGCUAGUGAUGGGCAUGUUUAUGCCAGAUUUGUUGGUUCUUACUAUGAGUUCAUUGAAUGGGCUAUUUGGGUUCCUAAGACCCUUGUCUCUAACAUUAAAGGACCCAUUCAAAAAUGGGUACCUAAAACCAAGCCUUGAUCUAUUGCAGGAGUUUGCUUGCGGUGGGGUAUCAUGGUUGCUCGAUAGUGGAGCAAGAAAUCAUAUGACCGGAAGCAAGGACUUAGUGGUGGAUGUGCAUCCUUCCCCAUCUAUGCCCACCCAUGUCCAAUUCGCCGAUGCAUCAUUGUCAAAGGUAUUGGGAUUUGGUAAGGUGGUCCUCUCUCAAGAGUUAUCUAUUGAGAAGGUCAUGCUUGUUGAGUCCCUUGCUUACAAUUUACUUUCGGUCCGUCAACUUGCAAUUAUGGGCUUUUUCACAUUCUUUAAUCUUGAUACUAUGGUCCUUUUGUGGAGCAAGACUCUUAAAGUAGCCUAUGUUGGAUAUGUCGAAAAUGGUCUCUAUGUGGUGAACUUUUCAAAGCGACCCACUAAGACUGCGACUUGUCUAAUGGCUAAAGUUGAUGUGGGCGGGCUUUGGCAUCGCCGACUAGCUCAUGUCAAUAUGAGAUCUUUGCAAAGUCUCCUCAAAGGGGACCAUAUUUUUGGACUAACGAAUGUGAGUUUUGGGAGAGAUCAUGCUUGCAGUGCCUGCAUUGAAGGAAAGAUUCAUGAAACUGCUCAUCGUCCAACAACUCUCAUUUACACUAAGAGGCCGUUGGAGCUCCUUCAUAUGGAUCUCUUCGGUCCUCCAUCAUUUGAUAGUCUUGGGGGCAUAAAGUACUGCUUGGUGAUUGUUGAUGACUACUCAAGAUACACCUGGGUAUAUUUCUUCAAGAGGAAGAGUGAGACUCAACAAACUGUCAUCAACUUUGCUAAUGAAGCUCAACGUCAACAUGAAGCAAAGGUUUUGAUGAUUAGAAGUGACAACGGCACCGAGUUCAAGAACUACACCUUGGAUGAGUUUCUAGGUGAUGAGGGAAUAAAACAUCAAUAUUCAGCACCAUAUACCCCUCAACAAAAUGGUGUGGCGGAAAGGAAGAACGGGACGUUGAUGGACGCUGCAAGAACAAUGAUGGCGGAAUUCAAAUCUCCAUAUAACUUUUUGGCCGAAGCCAUCAACACAGCAUGUCAUGCGUCCAAUCGGCUCUAUAUCCACAAAGGCUUGAACAAGACCCCAUAUGAGAUUCUCACUGGAAACAAACCCAAUCUCAAGUACUUCCGGGUAUUCGGGUGUAAGUGUUUCAUUCUCAAGAAAAGUGCACGUUUAGCUAAAUUUGAUUCUAGAGCACAAGAGGGUAUCUUUGUUGCUUAUGCUACAAACUCUCAUGCUUACCGUGUCCUCAACAAGUCCACUGGGCUCAUUGGGAAGACGUGUAACAUGGGGUUUGAUGAAAAUAAUGGCUCCCAAGUGGAGCAAAGUGGUCUAUGUGAUGUAGGUGAUGAAAUUCCUCCCCAAGCCAUAAGAAGAAUGGGGAUUGGUCAAAUACUCCCCAUUGAGGACCCCCUUGUGGCCGAAGGAGAAGGACAAUGCUCUACUCAAGUGGAGCCAUCAUCCUCACAAGCCCCACACGCUUCCGAUGAAUAAAGAGAAGACCCUCAACCAGUUGAACAAGCUCAAGGACAAGAUCAAUUGCUCAAAGAUGGUGAUGUGUCCCAUGAUGUACAAGUGCUUUCACAAGGUUCCGAAUCUGCUCAAGAUCAAGAUCAAGUGCAACUACAAGAUCCAGACCAAACAGAAGCACAAGACCAAGAGCAAGAGCAACCAGAAGAACAAGGACAAACCAGUGAGCCUGCUCAAGUAAAAAAAUCAAGUUGAUCAGGAUGUUGUCUCUCAAUUCCCUUCUGCGACGCCUAAGAGGGCUACUGGUGCCAAGGGAGGAUCAAAACGCAAGGGCAAGCAAAGUAAUCAAGUCGAUGCUCCCUAGUUAUCCAAUGCAGAACUCUUGGAGCGUCGCGCAGCCAAGAUUGCGAACAAGCUGAGAGUCAAGUCACAUAUUAUGAAGAAUGUGCUUGGCAGUUUGAAAAGGGGAGUAUCCACUCGUCAACAAAUUUAGAAUUAUUGUGAGCAUCACGCGUUUGUUUCGUAUUGUGAACCUCAACAGGUACAGGAAGCGCUCGAUGAUGAGGAUUGGCUUAUGGCCAUGCAUGAAGAACUCAACAACUUCGAGCGUAAUCAAGUCUGGAAUUUAGUGCCAAGACCAAAGGAGGAACAUAAUGUCAUCGGGACCAAAUGGAUCUUCAAAAACAAGCAAGAUGCCAAUGGGAUUGUGAUUCGAAACAAGGCAAGAUUGGUGGCUCAAGGCUACUCCCAAGUCGAGGGUAUUGACUACGGUGAAACCUUUGCCCCUGUUGCUCGCCUAGAAUCUAUUCGCAUGCUGCUUGCAUUUGCUUCUCAUCAUAAUUUCAAAUUACAACAAAUGGAUGUGAAAAGUGCCUUUCUUAAUGGUCCUUUAAAUGAGUUGGUCUAUGUCAAACAACCCCGGGGUUCGAACAUCCCAAGCUCCCCAAUCAUGUGUACAAACUUAAUAAGGCACUCUAUGGCCUUAAACAAGCCCCACGUGCGUGGUAUGAGUACCUUACUGAGUUGUUACAAGAUCGUGGGUUUGAAACUGGGAAGAUAGAUCCCACUCUUUUUACUAAGAGGGUCAAAGGGGAUUUGUUCAUAUGCCAACUAUAGGUUGAUGAUAUCAUUUUUGGUUCUCCUAAUGAAUCUUUCAAUGAAGAAUUUGCUGCACUAAUGACCGAAAAAUUUGAGAUGUCUAUGAUGGGUGAGUUGAAGUUCUUCCUCGGGUUCGAGAUUAAACAAGGAUUAGAAGGGACCUUCAUCAAACAAGCCAAGUACACUCAAGACAUGCUCAAGAGGUUCGAGCUAGAGGAUGUCAAGCCGGUAAAGUUUCCCGUGCCAACAAGAUGCAAGCUUGACAAUGAUCCCAAUGGUAAAGCAGUGAAUCAAAAGGUAUAUCGCUCCAUGAUUGGAUCCCUUCUUUACCUUUGUGCAUCUAGACCGGAUAUCAUGUUGAGUGUAGGGAUUUGUGCACGGUUUCAAUCUGCACCAAAAGAAAGCCAUUUUAUGGCUGUUAAGCGAAUCUUUCGAUAUUUGGCUCAUACCCCAAACUUUGGUCUAUGGUAUCCCAAAGGAGCAAACUUCAACCUAGUGGGCUAUUUUGACUCAGAUUGUGCAGGAGACUGUGUGGAGAGGAAGUCAACCUCUGGAGGAUGCCAAUUCCUUGCUCGUUCACUAGUAAGUUGGUCUUCAAAGAAGCAAAAUUGUGUCUCACUAUCUUCCACCGAAGCUGAGUAUGUGGCAGCUACAAGUUGUUGUGCCUAGUUGCUAUGGAUGAGGCAAACUUUAAAGGAUUAUGGUGUCACUUGUGACAAAGUGCCUCUUCUAUGUGACAAUCAAAGUGCUAUCAAGAUUUCCCUCAAUCCGGUGCAACACAACAAGACCAAGCAUAUUGAUAUUCGCCAUCACUUCAUUCGUGACACAUAUCAAGCUAGGUGAUAUUGAGAUUCACUUCAUCAACACUGAAGAGCAACUUGAUGAUAUUUUCACUAAGCCCCUAGAUGAAGCAAGGUUCCGGGAGUUAAGGCAUGAGCUAAAUAUCAUUGAUUCAAGUAAUGUGGAUUGAAACUAGGCACUUUGCACCUCACUCUCCAUUACAUCUUGCUCUAGGUGUAGGCAUGGACAUAGGGGGAGUGUUGUUCUCUCAAUGAACUUUCCCUCCCUCCAUUAUGCAUAAAUCGAUCAAGUCUUUCACUUUGGCCAUUAUUAAAUGGCACUUGUGCUUCAAAGACGAGCUAUGGUCAUGAACCCAAGGAUAAUUCUUCAUGGUGUCAUACCAUUUGUCUCAAACAUAGGUGGCUUCGGCCACCGCCCUCUCCAUUGGAGAUUCUGUGUUGCUUCUCUUCUUUCUGUGAUCCUUCUUUGUUCCCGUGUUUUGUUUCUCUUGCUUUGAUCAAGAUCCUUAUACCACCUGAGGAGUAGAGAGCUCAUUUUUUGGCUGAUUUUUUGUCACGCCCAAGAUGCGACCCUAUCCUCAAUUUGGCACGAGGGCCUCGUCAGGGAUAGAAGCGCAUCUCGUCGUGUCGCAAGAAUGGAUAUCGUUACAAAUACAUGUACUGAAAAGAAGAGAUAUAUAAAGAGUUGGCUUACACUCGCCACAAGCUACAUCAGAGUCACAUCAGUACAUUACAUAAUCAUCAAGAGUAAGAGCAGGGUCCGACUACGGACGAAAACAAACGACAAAAGAAGAACGACGUCCAUCCUUGCUAUCCCAGGCUGCCGGCCUGGAACCCAUCCUAGAUCGAUGAAGAAGAAGAAGAAGCAACUCCAAAUGAACAACCAACGCGCUCGCGUCGAGUAACCUUUACCUAUACCUGCAACUGGUGUUGUAGUAAUCUGUGAGCCACAGGGGACUCAGCAAUCUCAUUUCCAAAGGUAUCAAGACUAGCAAAGCUUAAUGGGUGAGGCAUGGUCAAGUGGUGAGGUUGCAGCAGUGGCUAAGCCUAUAUUUUGUGGCUAACUUACGAAUACCAGAAAUAAGAGGGGGAAGAUCUACGCAUAACAGACGUGAACUACUCAUGAUCAAAUGAAUGAUCCUGAACACCUACCUACGUCAGACAUAACCCCACCGUGUCCUCGAUCGGAGAAGGAACUCACGAAAGAGACAGUCAUGGUUACGCACACAGUUGGCAAGUUUUAUUUAAGUUAACUUCAAGUUAUCUAGAACCAGUGUUAAACAAAGUUUCCACGUUGCCACAUAACCACGGGCACGACUUUCCGAAAGAUUUAACCCUGCAGGGGUGCUCCAACUAGUCCAUCACAAAUCACCACAAGCCGCAUAGAAAUCUUCAAUCACGAAACUCGCGAUAUCGUCAAAUUCCCUAGUGGAAAACCUCAACUCUGAGAUUACCCAAAGCAUCACCGGAAUCCCGAUGCACAAGAUAUCUCGUCAAAGGUAAAACUAAUCCAGCAAGGCCGCCCGACGUGUCGACGAACCCGAUAGGAGCCGCGUAUCUCGUUCUCAGGACACGACGGAUGGAAAAGCCUACAGGUGCCAAACCUCGAGUUGCCCCGUGGUGGCCCCGCAGUCUGUCCUUUUUGGACCAACACUCAUGAGGAGCACUGGCCCGGGAGUUGAUUAAAUUAUCCUCGGGGUCCGAAAAGUCCCUAUGCAAUUUAUUAGGUGAUUAGGCAAAUGUAGUACCAAAGUUGGGCCUUGCCAGACCAGUCUUAAUCUAAAACGAAUUAUCAAGGGGGUCCUCAUAACAACCCCGAUCGUGUUAGGAGCGCUCAAUUAUGGAACAUAACACCGGUAGCCAAAACUAAGGGGGAAAAGGUGGAACAAAAUACCAAGCUAGAAAAGGGCUGAGCCUUCCACCUUUUCCCAAGUAUAUAGGUGCAUUAAAUUAAACAGCAUUUAAAUAAGGUGAUAAAACAAGGAACCCAUGUUUUCACAUGGAAGCAUCUGGACCUGCAACUAGCAACGCUAACAACAGGGUUAAGCAAGCAGUAACAUAGCCAAUCAGUGGUUUGCUAGGUUGAACAGGUUGAAGGUUAACAUGGCAUUGUUGAGAGGCUGAUAUUUAACAGGUGGUAGGCAACGAGACAUAAUCGAUAGAAGCGAUAAAACUAGCAUGGCAAUGAUAGUAAUGGUAUCUGGGGAAAUGAUCAUCUUGCCUGAGAUCCCGCUUGGAAGAAGAAUGCCUCCGUGAAGCAGACGAACCGACGUAGUCGAACGGGUCCUCACAUCCGACACGCUUGCGGAACUCUAUCGAGACGAAGCAAACCGGAAACACGAAUCAUCACACGGAAUUCACCACACGAUGCACAACACAAAUGAUGCAUGAGCAGCUGGAUACAUGCGAGUCACGGCAUGACAAUUCACGCAAUCAAACACUACACAUUAAGUGAAGUUCAAUAUGCAACGAGUUGCAUAUUGACGAAACUCCAUGUUAAUUAUUUAGUUCUAUCCCGGUUAUUUACACGGCAAUAUUAAUGUUGUCAAACAUGCAAGAGGUGAAGCGGAAAUUAAACUACCUAUCUAGACAUUUUAAAUGAGGUCGGAAAUGACAUAUAGCAUCUCCGAGACGACCUCACAUGUUAAUUUACAAUUCUGUCCAGAACUGAGCUAAUGCAUUUAAUUAGUUGUUAAACAUCAAAACAAAUAGGUUCACGUGAUUCUACGCAUCAAGACAAGCAAUUUACACAUAUAAAACAUCUCCAACGGACCUACGGUUCAAAAGUUACAAGCACCGCAAGAUAUGAUGGCAUGAAUGCUAUAUGUGUGCAACGACAGCUACGAGCACUUCAAAACAUACAAAGAGCAAGAGAAGAUGAAACUACACGAGAUUCUAAGCAAGUUUCAUGUAGGACACGAUCAAAUCGGAGCUACGGUUCAACAACUACGAGCAAAACAAGAACUGACUACAAUCUGCCAAAAUCAGCCACAUAGCUUUUUCUACGCCCCACAACUACGGCUACACAACUCCGAUAUGCUCAAUCAAGGCAUGGCACGGAAGAGGGCAAGAAGCACUACUACAAACAACUAACAAAAACUAGCAUGGCAUCAUGGAUCACUAGGGAAAGAAGACACAAAAAGGGCAUCUCACACACUAUUUCAGACUUGGUGAAAAUUCCACCUCAUGACAGUGCAGUUUUCGAUCUGAAGCAAUAUUGACACCAGCAAAAUCAUAAGCCACAGGACUCCAAAGGGCAUGAAAAUUUACAGCAUGCAAGAGAGACACAAGGGGCACAACUAACUCCAUUGGACCAACCUCAAAAUAGCUACAGAUCACAAGAUACAAGCAAGACAAGACAACAACAAAAUAUAACAGAAUUCCAGACUUAGAAAUAUUUCAGCUCCCCCAAAUCAGCACUAUUUCUAGCAACUUGAGAGCAAGCAAACCACACCUAAACAUGCAUUUCUAUUGCAACCAAAAAUACCAGGGGCUAGUCUAAACACCCAAGAUCAACUCUCUAGUUGACAACUCCGUCAAACGAAGAACGGAAUAAAUCCUACAAAAUAAACAAAAGGAUUCCUUGAAAGCUAAAACUAAUUGCAACACAAAAAUAAUGCCAACAUAUAUGCAAGAUAAUUACCUAUACACGGGAAAAUAAACUAGCGGCAAAACCCUACGCGUAAAAAUACAUAUGACCGCUCUAAAAUACAUGCAAAAAUGAUUCCUAAAACAUGGACAUUUAUUCUACGGUAUACGGCAGUCCGGACACGCACGAGAAAUAACUACGGAACGGAUCCUAUUGAAACAGCAUGCAAAACGAUGCAUUAGGCACUUCAAACUGCCUCAAAUAAUUAUGCAAGUUAGAAAUUCGGAAUCUACGCGGAAAAAUACACAAGAUACAUAUCUAAAUCUUCGCGAUCCGACUUACGGAUAUUAAACUACGGGCGUAGCAAAUAUCUAGCAAAACCUGGAAUUAAUAAAUCGCGAGGUAAUAGAAAAAUGCCACUCGGGCCGAAUCUACACAUGGGCCAAUGGGCAACACACUAAAUAUCGCCCGGGGCGAGGGAUAUGCGCUGGAGCUCACCUUGGGCUCGGCCUGGUUGGAGGGCGCUGCUGGGCCGACUGAAGAUGCGAGGCAGGCCGAUCGGGGCGCUGUUGCUGCUGGGCCGACAUGAUGCGGCGCGCGACGGGGGGGCCCGAGCUGGUACUGGGCCGUCUGCGGGGCCCAGCAGUGCGGUCAACGCAUGGGGAAGGAGCUCCUCGUUCGUUCUUCCUCCCGUGCCCGAGGGCACGGGGCCUGGCGGCGGCGGGGCCUCCUCCAGCGGACGGCAGCGACGGGAGCCGAUGGAGGGCGCUGCAGGUGACCGGGGGAACCAAGGUGGCCGCGGGUUCCGGCGAGGAGGGCGGUCGCAGGUCGGGGUAGCGAGCGGCACGGGAGGAGACGUGGGUGAGGCGGCGGCCGGUUCUAGCGGCGGGGAUGCAAGGCGGCGAGCGGGGGCGCGCGUGAGCGGAUCCGGCGAGGGCGAGGGACUCUGGUGGCUACCGGCAAGCGGCGGCCGGAGGCGGGGCCGACGGGGAAGCCUCGGGCGGCGCGGGCACGGGGGAGCCCGGGAGCAUGGGGAUCUCCCUCGGGAGUAGGCGCGCUGGAGUGUUGCGGCGGCGGCGGCCGGAUGGGCUCGGGCGGGCCCGGCGGCUGGGGUAGGAGAAUGCUGGGUGAGAUGGUGGCUAGGGUUUGAGGGGUGCAUGGGAAACGAGGAGGCUUAGGGAGAGGCUAUCUAAAAUGCACGAGGGGUCUAUUUAUAGAGAAAAGAGGGGCUCGGUUAACCGGAAUCGCGUUCCGGAUCCAACCGCGGGGUCGGAUUCGAACGAUUCCGCACGCGGGAACGGGAUACGAGGCCGUGUAGGGUGGUUUACUGGAGACGAGAGGGAGAACGGGUGGCGCGGCAACGAAUUUUUAAACACCGACAAACGUCCGACGGUAGACCGAAUACGGUGCCGCUACGGUUGACCGUUCGGGUACCACACGGUCUCCGAUCGCGACGAAAUUCGACAGGCGACCUAGCUAGAACUAAUUACGACCGCAUGCCAAGUUUCACCCCGAUCAGAGAAAGUUUUACGCACACUUUUAAAACAGGGUUUCGAGUAUGCCGCGGACGCGUGCGAGUGCAGUCGGGCUCAGAACGGACAACGGCGAGAACCGGCAACUAACAACGGAUGCAAGUUUUGAAAACGGGCGGCAACGGAAUGCCGAUGCAAUGAUGAUGAUGCGCAUGAUGCGAUGAUGAUGCGACAAAACAAAAUAGACACACGACGAAAACGGAAAGAGAGGGGAAUCUUCUGGAACGUCGGUCUCGGGCUAUCACAACUCUCCUACACUACAAGAGGAUCUCGCCCCGAGAUCCAAGAAUGAAAGGGGGGAGAGGAUGAGAAAGAACGAGUGGUAAAAACUUAGUCGCUUCUUUGACAAACGAGUGAAACCAACGAUCCUUGAAGGUAGCAAAGAGAUGAGGAAUGAUAUGAGAAAGAAGAAAGAAUUCACGGAAAAUUUCGGCAGCACUUUGGUAGGAAAAUGGGACAAAAAAUUCGAUAAGAUGGAAGAAAUAGACAAUAUUCAUAACAAACAAUUAAAUAGAACAAGGGAACACCAUGAUCUUGAUAGAACAACAAGAUAGACCCAAAAGAGCAACAACACAACAACUCCGGAACAAGAGAAUAGGAACAACAUCAUGAUCAUAAUAGAAUGGAGAAGAAAAUGACAACUACUAUCACAAUUGGAUUGAGGAACAUCCUUGAAAGAAGAAUUGAAGAGGAUACAUUGUAACUUGGAUUAAUGACAAGCACCAUGAUAGCACAAUCCAUAGGAAAAGCUUUAGGUGAAAUCCAAACCAAGAUAGCUCAAAGAAGAAAUCACGGGUUGAAAAUAUCUCAUGAUCCUAGAAUUGGUGGGUUUAAUUACCUCAUUGUUAAAAGGAAAACUCUUCGAGGCUCCUACACUAACAAGAAUGCUAUAAUACCACCUCAAAGGAUAAAGGAAGAACAAUUGCACAUAUAAAUGCAAGAGAAGGAUACUUGAGGUUCUCCAACAAGAAUCUUGAAGAACACUUGAGAAUGGAUUGAAACCUUGAUGAACCACCAUGAAGGACCACCGUAUACAAAUGAAUGAUGCAGAGAUAUGAAGGUAGAGAGAAUAAGAUUAUGAGCUUGCCAAGAUUUAGAUGAAGCCUCACAAAGAGAUACUUAAAAGAACUUGGAACUCCAGAAAAGAAAUAUAAGCACACGAGAAAGGAAUUGAAACCAUGAGCCACUCCGGAAGAAGAAUUGAAAUCUCUUGGAAGAAGGAAGAACAAGAAUAAGAAUUGUGUUAUGCUCAUCCUUCAUCAAGUUUAACUGAUGACAAGCAACGGAUUUAGCAUAUAACUUAUUAUUCUUGAAAUGAUUGAGGAGAGAUAUGAGCACAAACUAGAAGAAAUCUUGAAAGAGGCACCGGUGAGAAUUGAAAUGAAUGAGGCAACCAUGAAUGACUGGAGAUACAAGAGAAUGAAGAAAUCAUGAGCCAUCUGAGAGAAAACUAGAACAAGGCACCGGAUAAUCGAGAGACGAACGAAGAGACAACAAUGGAGAAGAAUUGAGGAUGAAAGCUGAAAGCUGAUAACGAAGAAUCUUCUAAAAUGAUGGCCUUCGGAGGAUCGAGAAUAAAAACAACUCAGAAAUGCACCGGAUAGCAAGAAAUUAAUCACUCAUGAUUGGAACAAUUAAGAUGAUGGCACCAAGCUGAAAUGAUGAAUCUACAAGAGAAUAGACCAAGAUUUGAGAGAAACACUCCUUCAGUCUUCAAAGCUGAAAAUGACGAGAAGAACACCACCAAGAAUAACUGAGACACUCCGGAAUAAUGAGGAAUCAAAGGUUGAGCCAAUAUGAGAAUUAAUUCAAAUAGGUCUUGAAGAAGGAAUAUGACUGAUGAAAUCAUUCUUAUGUCAUAGUUGAAAAAUAAUUAGAGAUCUCCGGAAAAAAAUUAGAAGAGACAUAUAAGAUCCUGGGAAAAACCUGUGGCUUAUGGGCCCACUCGAAGAAACCACCGUUAGAAAAGAUUGCUUAGAAGAGAGAUAUUGCACCGGUAUGAAGAGAACUAGAUGAGGUUAGCACCUCGAAAUAAUUAAAGAAUUGAGAACAAGAAACUUCUAGAAUAAAUUCAACGCUCCGGGUAGAAUAGAGAGAAAUGACAACAAGAAAGCGUGAUAAGAAUCUCCAACAUGGGGAAGAAUUUACAAGGAUGAAAAGGAUAUGAUGAACAUAGACGACUGAAUUAAAUUCACCGGAAAAUAACAAAAUGAAGAAAUGAUGAACUCGACUCCUGAGAAUCUUCACAAUGAAUCACCGGGUAAGAGAGAAAAGAACACACAACGGAAGCACAAUGAAAAGAAAACUCUUGGAUGAAAAUUGAAUCACUCAAUAAAAAGGAUGGGAGGGUGGGAAAAAAUAAAGACAACUUGGGCUAGAUGAGAUGAACUUCGGAUGAAUAAAAGAAUGCUCUUGCAAAAUUGGAGAGGAUUGAAUUCACUUGAGGAGAAGCACACCGGUAAAAUGGAAUUGAUACGACGACUCCGGUUGACAAGAAUUGAUAAGACAACUGAUUGAACAAAAGAAUUAGCAUUCAUAUAAAAAUAUGAGAACACCUCUUAGGAAAGAUCUAAAAUCACCACUUGACAUCGAAGCAACUUGAAUUACCAUAUUCAACAAAACAAAGGAUGAGGCUUAUGAAACAAGCUAGAACAAACUCAUGAGAAAGAUUUCGUCCGAUAUUUUCGUGGACAGGAUCGCACGGGCUCGAUUUUGAAGUAGCCAUCAAGUGCAAGGCAGUGCACCCGACAUACGAAGCGUCCCCGAGUCGUAGCAAGCUACAAGGACUCUUUAAGACACAACGUGUACCGCUGUAAGUCGACCGUGAACAAACGAAUCCACUAGAUGUCGAACCCCAACCUAACAUCAUGCAUUUGUUGGAAGAAUGUCCUAUAAGUAACUACUUGAAUUCCCACCUAAGAAUUCCCGAAAUAUCUGGCAUGCAAUCUGGUACACGGAUACAAGGAGUAAUAAUCACACAACUCCUAUACUAACCCGUCACUUGUAUCACAUCCGUCAACACACGACCAGAAUCUCGGACCUUCAUCUACAACAGACCCUCGUGAUCACAACGAUACAAAGUAUGGCAGUACUCCCGAACAAUCUGCACCAGUACUAGGGACAUCGGGGUUAUCUCGCCACUACUAGUAUUGAAGCAAUUACGAACAUCUUUCGUUUUGAGAUACUAAGAAAUCUGAAUGAUAACGAUGUGCUCAAGAAUCCCCUGGAGCUCAACUCCCGUGAAACUUAAAGUAGAUAGGAGGCACCAAGACAGAACUCCGUCACAUCGGCAUCAUAUAGAUCUCGACAAUAUCCGCGUGAUCCUAAAUUUUUUUGAGUGAGAAGAGGAGUAGAAUUAAAUUAUUACGUCAAGAUUCCUCACCAGAGCAUAGAAGAGGAGAAAAAAGAAUCCUACUCUCCGAUAUAUAACUAGACUCAAAGCAGUUUUUCACUAGACUCGACUCGGCCAAGUUCGAUCAAUCAAGGGGGUUCCUAGGUCGGUACUGCUCUGAUACCAACUUGCCACGCCCAAGAUGCGACCCUAUCCUCAAUUUGGAACGAGGGCCUCGUCAGGGAUAGAAGCGCAUCUCGUCGUGUCGCAAGAAUGGAUAUCGUUACAAAUACAUGUACUGAAAAAGAAGAGAUAUAUAAAGAGUUGGCUUACACUCGCCACAAGCUACAUCAGAGUCACAUCAGUACAUUACAUAAUCAUCAAGAGUAAGAGCAGGGUCCGACUACGGAUGAAAAUAAACGACAAAAGAAGAACGACGUCCAUCCUUGCUAUCCCUUGCUGCCGGCCUAGAACCCAUCCUAGAUCAAUGAAGAAGAAGAAGAAGAAGCAACUCCAAAUGAACAACCAACGCGCUCGCGUCGAGUAACCUUUACCUGUACCUGCAACUGGUGUUGUAGUAAUCUGUGAGCCACAGGGGACUCAACAAUCUCAUUUCCAAAGGUAUCAAGACUAGCAAAGCUUAAUGGGUGAGGCAUGGUCAAGUGGUGAGGUUGCAGCAGCGGCUAAGCCUAUAUUUGGUGGAUAACUUACGAAUACCAGAAAUAAGAGGGGGAAGAUCUACGCAUAACGGACGUGAACUACUCAUGAUCAAAUGAAUGAUCUUGAACACCUACCUACGUCAGACAUAACCCCACCGUGUCCUUGAUCGGAGAAGGAACUCACGAAAGAGACAGUCACGGUUACACACACAGUUGGCAAGUUUUAUUUAAGUUAACAUCAAGUUAUCUAGAACCAGUGUUAAACAAAGUUUCCAAGUUGCCACAUAACCGCGGGCACGGCUUUCCGAAAGAUUUAACCCUGUAGGGGUGCUCCAACUAGUCCAUCACAAAUUACCACAAGCCGCAUAGAAAUCCUCAAUCACGAAACUCGCAAUCUCGUCAGAUUCCCUAGUGGAAAACCUCAACUCUGAGAUUACCCAAAGCAUCACCGGAAUCCUGAUGCACAAGAUAUCUCGUCAAAGGUAAAACUAAUCCAGCAAGGCCGCCCGACGUGUCGACGAACCCGAUAGGAGCCGCGUAUCUCGUUCUCACGACAAGGCGGAUGGAAAAGCCUACAGGUGCCAAACCUCGAGUUGCCCCGUGGUGGCCCCGCAGUCUGUCCUUUUUGGACCAACACUCAUGAGGAGCACUGGUCCGGGGGUUGAUUAAAUUAUCCUCGGGGUCCGGAAAGUCCCUAUGCAAUUUAUUAGGUGAUUAGGCAAAAGUUGGGCCUUGCUAGACCAGUCUUAAUCUAAAACGAAUUAUCAAGGGGGUCCCAUAACAACCCCGAUCGUGUUAGGAGCGUUCAAUUAUGGAACAUAACACCGGUAGCCGAAACUAAGGGGGCAAAGGUGGAACAAAACACCAGGCUAGAAAAGGGCCGAGCCUUCCACCUUUUACCAAGUAUAUAGCUGCAUUAAAUUAAAUAGCAUUUAAAUAAGGUGAUAUAACAAGGAACCCAUGUUUUCACAUGGAAGCAUCUGCACGUGCAACUAGCAACGCUAACAACAGGGUUAAGCAAGCAGUAACAUAGCCAAUCAGUGGUUUGCUAGGUUGAACAGGUUGAAGGUUAACAUGGCAUUGUUGAGAGGCUGAUAUUAGCAGUUGGUAGGCAACGAGACAUAAUCGAUAGAAGCGAUAAAACUAGCAUGGCAAUGAUAGUAAUGGUAUCUGGGGAAAUGAUCAUCUUGCCUGAGAUCCCGCUUGGAAGAAGAAUGCCUCCGUGAAGCAGACGAACCGACGUAGUCGAACGGGUCCUCACAUCCGACACGCUUGCGGAACUCUAUCGAGACGAAGCAAACCGGAAACACGAAUCAUCACAUGGAAUUCACCACAUGAUGCACAACACAAAUGAUGCAUGAGCAACUGAAUACAUGCGAGUCACGGCAUGACAAUUCACGCAAUCAAACACUACACAUUAAGUGAAGUUCAAUAUGCAACGAGUUGCAUAUUGACGAAACUCCACGUUAAUUAUUUAGUUCUAUCCCGGUUAUUUACACGGCAAUAUUAAUGUUGCCAAACAUGCAAGAGGUGAAGCGGAAAUUAAACUACCUAUCUAGACAUUUUAAAUGAGGUCGGAAAUGACAUAUAGCAUCUCCGAGACGACCUCACAUGUUAAUUUACAAUUCUGUCCAGAACUGAGAUAAUGCAUUUAAUUAGUUGUUAAACAGCAAAACAAAUAGGUUCACGUGAUUCUACGCAUCAAGACAAGCAAUUUACACAUAGAAAACAUCUCCAACGGAGCUACGGUUCAAAAGUUACAAGCACAGCAAGAUAUGAUGGCAUGAAUGCAAUAUGUGUGCAACGACGGCUACAAGCACUUCAAAACAUACAAACAGCAAGAGAAUAUGAAACUACACGAGAUUCUAAGCAAGUUUCAUGUAGGACACGAUCAAAUCGGAGCUACGGUUCAACAACUACGAGCAAAACAAGAACUCACUACAAUCUGCCAAAAUCAACCACAUAGCUUUUUCUACGCCCCACAACUACGGCUACACAACUCCGAUAUGCUUAAUCAAGGCAUGGCACGGAAGAGGGCAAGAAGCACUACUACAAAAAACUAACAACAACUAGCAUGGCAUCAUGGAUCACUAGGGAAAGAAGACACAAAAAAGGCAUCUCACACACUAUUUCAGACUUAGUGAAAAUUCCACCUCAUGACAGUGCAGUUUUCGAUCUGAAGCAAUAUUGACAUCAGCAAAAUCAUAAGCUACAGGACUCCAAAGGGCAUGAAAAUUUAGAGCAUGCAAGAGAGACAGAAGGGGUACAACUAACUCCAUUGGAUCAACCUCAAAAGAGCUACAGAUCACAAGAUACAAGCAAGACAAGACAACAACAAAAUAUAACAGAAUUCCAGACUUAGAAAUAUUUCAGCUCCUCCAAAUCAGCACUAUUUCUAGCAACUUGGGAGCAAGCAAACCACACCUAAACAUGCAUUUCUAUUGCAACCAAAAAUACCAGGGGCUAGUCUAAACACCCAAGAUCAACUCUCUAGUUCACAACUCCGUCAAACGAAGAACGGAAUAAAUCCUACGAAAUAAACAAAAGGGCAUCAUGGCAAAAUAUCGUGCAAACUAACUUACUCGAAAGCUAAAACUAAUUGCACAGAAAAAUUCUAUGGAUUUUUCUACCCCGGAAACAUAUAAAAUAUGUGGGGUUGCAACACAAAAAUAAUGCCACACAUAUAUGCAAGAUAAUUACCUAUACACGGGAAAAUAAACUAGCGGCAAAACCCUACGCGUAAAAAUACAAAUGACCGCUCUAAAAUACAUGCAAAAAUGAUUCCUAAAACAUGGAAAUUUAAUCUACGGUAUACGGGCAGUCCGGACACGCACGAGAAAUAACUACGGAACGGAUCCUAUUGAAACAGCACACAAAACGAUGCAUUAGGCACUUCAAACUGCCUCAAAUAAUUAUGCAAGUUAGAAAUUCGUAAUCUACGCGGAAAAAUACACAAGAUACAUAUCUAAAUCUUCGCGAUCCGACUUACGGAUAUUAAACUACGGGCGUAGCAAAUAUCUAGCAAAACCUGGAAUUAAUAAAUCGCCAGAUAAUAGAAAAAUGCCACUCGGGCCGAAUCUACACAUGGGCCAAUGGGCAACACACUAAAUAUCGCCCGGGGCAAGGGAUAGGCGCUGGAGCUCACCUUGGGCUCGGCCUGGUCGGAGGGCGCUGCUGGGACGGCUGAAGAGGCGAGGCAGGCCGAUCGGGGCGCUGUUGCUGCUUGGCCAACAUGAUGCGGCGCGCGAUGGGGGGGCCCGAGCUGGUGCUGGGCCAUCUGCGGGGCCCAGGAGUGCGGUCAACGACAUGGAGAAGGAGCUCCUCAUUCGUUCUUCCUCCCGUGCCCGAGGGCACGGGGCCUGGCGGCGGCGGGGCCUCCUCCAGCGGACGGCAACGACGGGAGCCGGCGGAGGGCGCUGCAGGCGACCGGGGGAACCAAGGUGGCCGCGGGUNCGUUCCGGAUCCAACCGCGGGGUCGGAUUCGAACGAUUCCGCACGCGGGAACGGGAUACGAGGCCGUGUAGGGUGGUUUACCGAAGACGAGAGGGAGAACGGGCGGCGCAGCAACGAAUUUUAAAACACCGACAGACGUCCGACGGUAGACCGAAUACGGUGCCGCUACGGUUGACCGUUCGGGUACGAGACGGUCUCCGAUCGCGACGAAAUUCGACAGUCGGCCUAGCUAGAACUAAUUACGACCGCAUGCCAAGUUUCACCCCGAUCAGAGAAAUUUUUACGCACACUUUUAAAACACGGUUUCGACGAUGCCGCGGGCGCGUGCGAGUGCAGUCGGGCUCAGAACGGACAACGGCGAGAACCGGCAACUAACAACGGAUGCAAGUUUUGAAAAUGGGCGGCAACGGAAUGCCGAUGCAAUGCUGAUGAUGCGCAUGAUGCGAUGAUGAUGCGACAAAAGAAAAUAGACACACGACGAAAACGGAAAGAGAGGGGAAUCUUCUGGAACGUCGGUCUCGGGCUGUCACAUUUUUUACUUAGUGCACGGUACUACCGCCCCCAGCACGGUAGUAAAAUUUUACUACCGCAGGGGGAGCGGUACUACCGCAGGGGGAGCGGUACUACCGCCCCAGCACGGUAGUGAUUUUUUACUACCGCUGAGGGAGCGGUACUACCGCGAUGACUGCGGUAGCAUCACGCCGCCUCGACCUAGGGGCUAUUUAAAGGGCUGGGGAGGCCUUUUUCUUUCCCCUCGGCCCCGAGUUCAUCUCUCUUUCUCUCUCCUCUCUCCAAGAACUGCCCAAAGGGAUUGCCGGAUCUCCCUGUAUGACCAUCGUCCUCCGAUUCCGACCGGUGGGAUUCUUCCCCACGCGCCAUGGACCCCGGUACUGCCCCUCAUCCGUGUUCUUUUGCUUUCUUGUUGAUUCAAUCUAGGGUUAGGGGCAUAUCGUUGUUCCGGUCACUCAUGGCACCGUUUCUUCACGUGAUUGGGAUUUAGUGGCAGUCUUGGUUAGUGUGGUCCCUUGGCAUAUGGGGUUUGUGUGUCUAGGAGUGCAAAGGGUUCCAGAUCUGAGGUUUUAGAUCCUAGUUCAAAGUUUUAUUGUUCAAAAACAUGAUUAGAUCUGGGCUUAUGCUUCCCGUGCGGUACUACCGCCCCUCACGACGCGGUACUAUCGCUCGUGGAGCGGUACUACCGCUUAUAGAGCGGUAGUAAAAUUUUACUACCGCUCCAACAGCGGUACUACCGCCCUCUAGGCGGUACUACCGCUCCCCUCUUUGCACACACUUCACUCUUGUGUUCUUUGGGUUUUCCGGUCCUUCUUGAUCUUUGCCUUGACUUGUUUUCCUUGUCUUUCGUGUUUUGUGUGCCUUUUGUGUGUCCCAGGCGGUGGUUCCCGGCGUUCGAACCCGCCUCGCAGUGCCAGCUCCAAGCGUCCCUCCUCCGACCCAUCUGAAGGGUCCAAUGCACCCAAGCGUAGUUUCAAGAAGCCUGUUCCGAAGAAGAACACAGUCAACUGGAACACCAUGCCGCUGGUUAAGUUUCAACACCGUCGCAAGCUCAAUCCCUAUGCCAGCAAUAGGGAGACAUUCCCUGGAGGUGACAUGUUUUGGAAUCGCGAUCAGUUCCUGAUUUAUGAAGAUGUUCUCAGGUCGAAGAAGAAUCUGUAUGUACUGGUGCAAUGGAUUGAUCUUGAUCACUUGAAGAAGGACAUGUCUUACUUUGGUGAGGCCCUCUCUUUGGUGGACCAACUUCAGAUUGCGGGCCUCAUAUAUUUUCAACAAGAUUUUGACAUUGAGAUUGUGGCUCACUUCUUUGCCACAGUUCACUUUCACCACGAUAAUGCUCGUACCAUGACCUUGCCGACCAAUGGAGAGCAGCUGACUGCUACAUGGAAGGAUUUCAUGGAUCUCCUUCAGGUUAGGGAUGAGGGCCUAGAUCAUCCUGUUGGCUUGCGCCCCCCAUGCCAAGCCUCAAGCUACUGCCAAGGAGAAGCUGCUCCCUUACCUCAGUGUGAAGCACGCCCGAGCUGGUGAGGUCUCUUAUGUCAAGAAUCCCUUUCUAGAUGUGAUGCACCGCAUUUUUUGCAGCACUCUGUUUCCCAAAGUUGGCAACAAGGACCAGGUUCACUCUUACCUAGUAGAUAUGCUACUCAUGUGUCAGAAGGGGAAGAAUUGUCAUUGUGAACCCCUUGAUGUCUCUCAUGUCAUGUGGAAUGAGCUCUACUCUGCAGUUAUCAACCUUAAGGUCCCAAUCUACGGUCCUUACCCGUUUUUCUUCAUCAAGACCACUUGGGCCAAGACUUUUCCCGAUGUUGAGUUUCUUGCUCCUGCUUGGGUUUGCCAUGAUCCCAUCAAACUGCACCAGAAGGACAAAUGGGCCAACACCUCCUCUUGUCCUGCUGCCCCGAGGGAUUCUGAUGAGGAUGUGGCUAAUGCUGACAGUGAGGCCCCUCCACAGGAUCACCGACAGGGUGAGGAUUCUCAUAUGCCUGCCUCUGCGGAACCAUCAUGGGCCAAACGGCUCACCGACAUGAUGAAGACCUUGUUCUGCAUGUAGGCCAAGGGCCAGUACAAGACCCAUGUUGCUCAGAAAGAGAGUCGCCAGCAUGACAAAUUGAUAAUGAGGAAGCUUGAUCUGCCCUUCUCCAGCGGUUCUGAGCGCGAGAUCACCCCGGAGGCUGAAUGGAUGGCGAAGCACCAGUUUCAGUGGGCUGCAUCUGAGGAGGACACCGACGAUGACUCAGAUGAGGAGUAUGUUGAUGACGAAGACACCGACUGAUGCCCUCGUUCUCUACCGUUCGCACUACCACCUGGGUUGUAGGGGUCCUCUCUGCCUUUUUGGUGUUCCGAUGCCAAAGGGGGAGAGAGUGUAGGAUUUUCUCGUUUUCUAGGUUUCCUGGUUAUUUGGUUUGCUAAAACUUUGUUGCUUCCAUUGUUUGCUCUUGCUUUAUGCUUGAGACUAUGAGUCGUCAGACCCUAUCAUGGUGUGAGACAUAUGCUUUAUCUUCCUUAUCCUUUGUCUCAGUAUUAUUUAUCUUGUUAUUAGCCUGUGAGACAUAUUAUCUUGUGCCAGUAUCCCCUUGCUCACAUGCUAUGCCAUGCUUCCAAUUUCUUGCAUCUACUCUUACAUAUGUAGCAAGGAUGGCUUAGUCUAUAUAAUCUAGGGGCAGUGUUCUCUCUGUGGUUGGUUGUUGGUAUGCACAUACCCAGAGGAAACUAGUCUCCAAUUGUGUAAAGUUUGGAGUUUGCAUAUGCCUAUCUAUAUUGUUCUGUGCAAAUCCAGCAUUGUCAUCAAUCCACCAAAAAGGGGGAGAUUGUUAGGGCAUAUUUCUCCUAAGUCGUUUUAGUGAUUGAUGAAAAUUGUUGUGCGGAUUAAUCUUAUGUUUUGAGCAUUUCAGACUAUUCUUUUUUUACGCACAAGAUGACUCGACGCCCCUCGGAGGUUCUCGAAGACGGGCUUUAUUCUAUGUUUCUCUUCUUAGUCUUCAGUCGUAGGAAUAUCGUCUUAUUAAGAGGGGGUCCGCGUCAGAAAGGUUUGGGUGGAAUCUUCACGUACACUCUUCAUGCACCCUCAUAUUUUCUGGCCACAAUGGAGCUACAAUAUGAGUUUUCAGUGUCUAUGCGAAAGGGGUAAGCGGUAGUACCGCUCUCAGAGCGGUAGUAAAUUUUUACUACCGCUCCAGGAGCGGUACUACCGCCCCAGGUGCGGUAGUAAUUUUUUACUACCGCUCCAAGGGUGGUACUACCGCCCUCAGUGCGGUAGUAUUACUUUACUACCGCUCUGACGGGCUUUUUCGCAUACUUUUCCCCACUGAGGUGUUGGCACGGUAGUAUCCCGGUACUAUCGUGGUUGGUGAGAAGCUGAGCGGUAGUACCGCUCCAGGAGCGGUAGUACCGCUUGUAUUUUUAUGUGGUAGGUGGGUAUCUGCCCCCUUACUAUAUAAAGGUAUCUUCUUCUUCCUAGAGCUCACCUUUAACCCCUCUAAGCUCCAUUGUUGCUCCACAAACUCAUUUUAGCUCGAUCUCUCUCCCUAGCCAAUCAACCUUGUUGAUUUUCUAGGGAUUGCUUGAGAAGGCCUUGAUCUACACUUCCACCAAAGGAUAUUUUAUUUCCCCUACUAAUCCCUUGCGGAUCUUGUUACUCUUGGGUGUUUGAGCACCCUAGACGGUUGAGGUCACCUCGGAGCCACAUUCCAUUGUGGUGAAGCUCCGCGGUCUUGUUGGGAGCCUCCAAGCAUUGUGUGGAGAUUGCCCCAACCUUGUUUGUAAAGGUUCGGUCGCCGCCUUCAAGGGCACCUAUAGUGGAAUCACGGCACCUUGCAUUGUGCGAGGGCGUGAGGAGAAUACGGUGGCCCUAGUGGCUUAUUGGGGAGCAUUGUGCCUCCACACCGCUCCAACGGAGACGUACUUCCUGUCAAAGGGAAGGAACUUCGGUAACACAUCCUCGUCUUCAUCGGUUCCACUUGUGGUUAUCUCUUACCUUUACUUUGUUUGUGUUGCUGUUGUAGAGUAUCUCUUACUUGCUUCGUUACUCUUUGUAAGUAGCAUCAUAUUGGUUGCUCACCUAGUGUCAUUUUAGAGAACCUUUAUGUUGCUAAUGCUAAUUUGUUAAGAAAAGCUAAAAAUUGGUUGUUGCCUAUUCACCCCCCUCUAGUCAACCAUAUCGAUCCUUUCAUAGUUGUAUAAUAAGAUGUUCAAACAGAAGCAAUACUAGCAAUGGUUGAAUCAGAAACUAAUAGUGCUUGAAGCAUACACUAAUUUGAUGAUAAUUGAAGAAAAUGUAUAUGCAAUAGAAGUAGCACACAAUUACAAUGGUUGAAGCAAAAAAAAUCAUUACCACAGAAUCAUUAUCAAUUUUCUUUUGCCAGUGAAAGCAAUCUUCUAUCUCAAAAGAAGCAAAAAUAUCUGUGUGUGGAUGCAUUAUGGUAAGAAGCACAAAAAGAGUAAAUUUGAAUCAUAAGUUCAUAACUACUCUUACUUGGAACCUUGAAAAACUAAAAAGGAACAAGCUAAAAAUGCCACCUAGGAAGGCGUACUUGAGUGAUGUACAUACAAAUUUCGAAGAAAUUGGACUAGUGUUUUAGUGAUUAAAAAAAUGAAGUUAUAACAUAGAGGAGAUAUAAUACAGAUCUCAGGAAAAAAUAUGCUAGGAAUUACUAGUAAUACGGGAAAUAAAAGGCGUCCAAAGGGGAUGAUCCAAACCCUAAAUCAGACAAGGAUGGGGUGGGGAAUCCCGUGUAGUGUCGGCCUUAUUCUCCAACCAAGACGGUGCUUCAGCAGGUGGAUCAGAGGCCAAAACUGCAGCUGAAGGACAGGCCGUUCCCGGUGGAGUUAAGCAUGAUGGUGAGGAAAGUCACAACCUCGCCGGUAAAUAACAGUACCUACCAGACCCCGCAUGUCACCGGAUGGAAUGACGCACUUGCCAGGUAGAGCGGACGCUGAAGAUGGACAGUUCAGGAACUUGUGUAGUGGGAGAGAGCAGGGGCGGCUACAGCCUACACGCAUGGCAAGCUCCGCUCUAAGCACGAACGGGCAUGAGAUAUGGGAAGAGCUGAUUUGGGGUGGUUAAUUUGGGGUGAUUAAUUCGGGGCUAGAUUAGGGCGUGGACCAAAAGACCGAGUGGUUUGUGGGCUUCUCGCGCAUGACUUGAGCCUCUCAGUCAUAGGAUCAAAUUAGUAAUAGACGACAUGCAACUGACCUGACGAAUGCUUUUGCAUCAGACGUUUGUAGGUAAGUGUUUCUCAAAAAAAACACCACGCACCACCAAAAUGACUUAGGAACCUCUCCAUGUCACACAGUUCCUCUAUUUCAACGGGGCACCCACCCAUGUCCUCUCUUUAUAUAAGAGAUAAAAUAAUAAUUAAAACGAAUUCGCAGUAUUACAAUCUGCAGAAUUUGACAUGCUUACAACAACAAAUAAAUGAAUAACUGUUUGCAAAUCAUAGUGAACUAAAAACAAAAAAUAAAGCAUGAAUAAUCAUGUUUAUCUAUAAUAAAAAUUAGGUAAACAAAUGGUGGUGGGAUCUAACAAAAUGUUAAAAAAUAAGCAUUAAGUUAUUUUGAAAACUCAAAAAGGAAAUGUCUCGAACAUACGUGCUUUGGUACAUUGAUUUGCUACAAAAUUAUGUGAAUCACUAUAGAAGAGGCGCAUAAUUGAGGAACUUCGGGCAUAACACACCUGAAUAAGAUUUAUCUUUAGUGGCACAUGAUUGGACGAAGUAACUAUUAUAGAAUUCUUCAUCGCACAAUGACCAUGGACCGACUACCGCACGAAAAUGCACAAUUGCACUGUGGCGGGCCCAUUGCUUAUGUGCGAGAUGUUCGUUGCUUAUGAAUAUUUUGAAAACUAGAUGAAUACGCAAAAAAAUUGAAUCGAAAUUGCUUCUCUAAGAGCAACUCUAGCAGACCCCGCAAAACGGCCGGCCCGCAAAAAAUCCGGCAACUAUACGGGUUUGGGUUGCUUUUCCUGCCAUAGCACACACUGCAAACGCGGCCCGACCCGUAAAACUUCUGCAGUGGCCCGUAAACGCGACCGCUCGACCGGUAUAACUGCGGGUUCGACCGCUGGAUGCGGGUCAAAACCCUAUCCCUCCACCGCCGCGAAAUGCCCCCCCCCACCUCACCGCCGGUGCCUCCAAUCCGUCGACGCACACCUUCAUUCCGCCACGUAGCCACUCCAAUCCACCGUCCUUGAUGGCCAGCUCCGGUAGCCGUAGGAACGACGACCCCGAGAGGGCUCGUUGCGUCAGAUCCGACGCCGCCCGUAAGCGCGCCUGACGCCGCCGCCAUCACUCCUCCGUCGCGAGACAGAGGAGUACGACCGCGCGCGUGGUCGCCUCUUCUCCGGCAGCAGCUCAUUCGAGGCGUCGAGCUCGCGCUCGUCCUCCUCCCUCCCACCGGUGAAGAGGGAGAUCGAAGAGCUCCCGUCGGUGAAGAUGGAGCCGGAGGCCGAGGCGGUGCUGGAGCGACGUGACGGGGCCGUCGUCGGACCGGAGGAUUUCCUCCCUCACGCGGAGGCAGAUAACCUUCUGCCCGUCCUGCUGGCGCGGAGUGCACGAGAGGCGGAAGAGGACCAGCAACGCCGCCGGAGGGAGGAGGAGAUCGACACCAUGCUCUACGAGCAGGGUGUCGCGUCGGCCAUUGCCUUCGGCCACAAGGUGGAGGAGUGGCGCCGCGAAGCGACUGCGCAGAAGCGCAUCUACGUCGAGCUCUCCUCCGAUGAGGACGACGACUGAAUGUAGGAUAUCUACUACUGCACGAGCUCGACUCUGGUGAGCUCCAUUUUACGUAGUGCGGUAGGAUAGGUAGUAGCUCUGGUGAGCUCCGAUGAGCUCCAGUAGGUGAUGCCCCCCUCUAGUACUGAAUGUAGUUUGUAUGAUCAUGACUAUGGUUCCAAUUUCGCCCGCGAAUGUUUAUUUUUCAAAUUAUGCAGUUUCAUUAUGCGGGUUCUGUUCUGCAGCGCAACUUUUCCUUCCGCAAAACCCACUUCGUCGAACUGUAAAACGCGUUUGCAGGUCAUGAUUAUACAAGGUCUGCUAGAGUUGCUCUAACCAGUCGGCCACUCGUGUUUGUAUAAAAAUGUGGGGGCAUUGAUGUACAUGAACCAAACGAAACUGACGGCCACUUAAUACAAACGAAUCGUUUUUUGCAACUUAUGGAUGAUAUUGGUGGGUAACUUUUACCAAUUUAAAGGGCAUUUUUAAUGACGGAUGAUCAGAAAUAGUAUUUGCUUUAUUAUUAAAGAUAGAGAUUAGGUAGAGAUUUCAUGUUUGCUAGUAGAUAAAAUGGAGAACAAUCAUACAUAAAAUAUGUUAUAAUAAAGUAUUUUAUUUUAUUUAAUAUAUAUCAGGAUUAUUUAAUACUUUCUUUGUUUUAAAAUAAUUGUCUUAAGCUUAGUACAAAUUUGUAUGAGAGCUAGUAUAAAGUUGAGACAGUUAUUUUGAAACGGAGGGAACAGUAUCUAUUACUUCCUCCGUUUUCUAAAUAUAAGUAUUUUUAGAGGCAUAUAGAUAUAUUUUAGAGUGCAGUUUUAUUUAUUUUGCUUCGUAUAUAGUUUAUAGUAAAAUCUUAAAAAAUUAUAUUUAAAAACGAAAGGAGUAUAUUGAACUAUGGAGCUAAAAUCGAGCAAGCUAGUGUUGGUUUAAGAUCAAGUCGUUCCUCAGAGCAUCUUCAACAGUUCGUAUGUUGAAUCGUUGGUAUACGUGUCCACAUCAUUAACCAACAGGACAUCAUACAAGCUUUUCAAUGGAGUGUAUGUUAACCGUAUGUAAAAUACUAAACGGAUUUAUUAAAUAUUAAAAAAAUAACCAUGCUUGCCUCGGAGCUUGUGCGUGAACCAUUGCUUUAAGUUCAUACGAUUUCAUUAUUUUUCUUUUAUUAUGUGACAUGUCAUCAAAAUCAUCUAUGUGGCAGUUUUACCAACGAUGAUCAUACGAUCAUUGAAGAUGCCCUUAAUCAAGCUACAGAAGUGCUCAUGCUCCGAAAAAUGAGUCUCGAGGUUUUCUUGCAUCCCUACGCACAAGUGGUGGUAGAAAGUACUUUGGUCUAAACAAGUGACCAAGCCCGCCGAUACCAAUUCAAAAACUGGCCAGGGCAUCUAUCUACCAAUCAAUCCACGUCGGGAUUAGGGAACCACUCCGGUCGAUCACAGAGCUGGGCCCAGCGCCCCAUGCCCAGACAGCGAUGGCUGCGAGCACGAAAUUACUAUCCCAACCCCCACUAUGGCGAUGCGCCCACCAUGCAUCACCAUUACAGUUUACAACCCUCAAAAUGUGUUUUCCCUAGAGGCUUCAGUUCGUGAUUGAUUCUUGAAUAGUACUAGUACUGUAUGCUUCCUAUUGAGACCAGGCUUGGGAUCAGGCGCUCAUGUCUGGUGUGUCGAAUGUGUGUAGUUUCUGAACUGAAGAUACCUGUGCAGUGCGGUGACCGAGACGAGAAGAGCAUCUGAAAUUCAGACUCUGUGUUUGUUGUGAAGUGUGCCGAGGGCAAAAGGGCGAAAACGACCUCGCGAUCUCCGCCACCGCGCCCCGCCCCGCCCACAGGUCUCACCAGUCAGUCAGUCACCACCGGCGGUUUCCGUCUUACCACCACCACCAGCGUCCGCUCCCCACCUACCCCCGCUCCCGCCCCGUCUCUCUUCUAAAGCCCAGCUAAAUCCCGCACCAAACACCGCAGCCCAACCAACCAACCCCCACCCCGAGCAUCGGCGCGUGAGGAAGGGGAGGCCAUGGAUUUCCUGCAGGGGCGGAGCGUCGAGACCAUGGUGGCCGUCGCCGUCGCGGUCGUCGCCGUCGCCGUGGGCGGCGCACUCCUCCUCCGCCGAUCCAAGAGGUCCAAGGGUAUGUAUGUAUGUAUGUAUGUAUGGCUGCUCCUAUGUUCGGCAGAUACAUGCGUGAUUACAUGAGAUGCCUGUGAUUCGCACGUGAUCUGGUUUCCUGGUUGGCCGGAAUCCGGCAGCUACCAAUUAGUUGUCGCUGAGAGGCCGUGAGCCCGCGAAUUCGGCCACUUACUGCGAAUUACUGAAUUGGUUUGGGAGUUGGUGCUUUUUCGUGGUCACAGACGCUACCUGCUCGACUUGGUCUGCGGAUUGGCCAUUUGCAGUGUCCAUGCCGCUCGCUAUCUAUAUGGAUAUGAUAAACCAGUCAAGUGUUUGUUUUCAUAACUAAACUGAACCAGCCAAGUAUUGUUAGUGUUCAGAUAAGUCGGUUGAACGACUAGAAGAUAUGAGCCGUACUUCAGUGAACCCCACUGGCAGAGUGCCGUGGUUAUUUUUACUGCCGGCUCCAUUUCAGGCAGAACGCCUAAGUGGAGCUGUGCUGCAGGCAGAUUCUCAUCAUUUGACUUGGUUGAUUUAGUCUUACCAUGUUAUCAUGAGUAUAGUGCUUGAAAAAAAUUGUUGCCUGGCUGGAUUUAAGCAAAUGAAUCCAUUUUGCCAGCCUAGUGACUAGUAUCUAUGUAUUAUGCUUGUUGUGAGAUUAUGGAUUUAGGUGCGUUACUGAUGCGAGUUUAAUAACUGGNGAUUGCUUGCGGAAUUUCGCACCUCAUUCUAGCAUUCAUUACUUCUUUCAUUCUUUGUUUCAUCAACCAAGUACAAAUAUUGCUCGAGCAUUCUUUCUGCUCUUGGAGGGUAAUAAGCUGUAGCUUAGUGUCAUUCUUGGUGCUCCUUUUGCCCACAUCAGGCUGCUUGGAUCCUGAGAACUUCAAGAAGUUUAAGCUUGUGGAGAAGACGCAAAUAAGCCAUAAUGUUGCCAAAUUCCGAUUUGCUCUUCCAACCCCUAUCUCUGUGUUAGGCCUUCCAAUUGGUCAACAUAUCAGUUGCAGGUUUGUAUUCUGUGCUGCUUCCGAGUUCUGAAGUUUGCUUUUACAAUGUGUACUUCUUUUGAAUUUUAAAUCAUGUUAAUGUUCCCUCCUUUAUUCAGAGGUCAAGAUGCUACUGGUGAAGAAGUAAUCAAGCCUUACACACCUACUACAUUGGAUUCUGAUCUCGGAAAUUUUCAGCUUGUUAUAAAGGUAUGCUUUCGUUUCUUUAUACUAUAAUAACAUUGGUUAACAAUCUUAUCUGUUUGCUCCACAUUAUUGUGUGUUCAGCUGUAGUUUCUUCACCUUUUCAUUUUUAACAUUUACUUUUCCCCAAAAUGCAGAUGUACCCUCAAGGAAGAAUGUCGCAUCACUUCCGUGAAAUGAAAGUUGGUGAUUAUAUGUCUGUGAAGGGACCUAAGGUAACACUCUUUUUUAUCAUGAGCAACCUGUGUUAGGUUCAUAAGAAAUAGCUGCUUGCUAAGCCUGAAAAUUUCCUUUUGCUCUGGUUUAGCCAGCACAGGUGUUGUUAUUUAUAGUCCACAUUCACAAUGUCAUGCUUAUUUGCCAUCUAAUUAUAAGUUUAACAUGAUUUGUUCUCUGAUCUAGGGCCGUUUCAAGUACCAAGUAGGACAAGUGAGAGCUUUCGGAAUGCUGGCUGGUGGAUCUGGCAUUACUCCGAUGUUCCAAGUAAAUAAAAGUUCAAAGUUCCAUAUUGCAUUCAAUGAUGCUACAAACCGGUUUCUUUGAUCUCCAUUAACAAUCUUUCUGUUCUCACAGGUUGCAAGGGCAAUUCUCGAGAACCCUAAUGACAAAACGAAGGUUCAUCUAGUCUACGCGAAUGUCACACCUGAAGACAUUCUUCUGAAGGUGGAAUCACCAUCCUUUUUUCUGUAGAAACCUUUUUUUGGUUUUCGUGCAGUCAUCUGGUACAGAAACAUAUCCAAAACAUAUAUACUUUGCAACUGUUGACCCAUUAGACCAGAGAUACUGUGAGCAUAUAUGACACAUUUACUAGUAGAACUUUAUAAGGUUGUUAUCAGCGAUGUAUCUAUUCCAUAUAGUUGUUGAUGAUAUAGCACUUAGAUGCCAAGUAUUGUUUCCCUUAUUCCCUUCAGGAUAUUUUAGUGUAAAAUAUCUAGAAUUUCUAAGGUGAUUCAGAACUUGUGCACAAUUUGUACUGCAGUAAAAGGGAACUAAUCACACAGAGUAAUUCAUAACUGAAACUUACAUAUAACUUCCCUAGCUUUAUUUUUUAUUAUAAAUAUUAAACCAUCUAUAACUGGAUAUAUGAAUUACAAAGUUANNNNNNNNNNNNNNNNNNNNNNNNNNNNNNNNNNNNNNNNNNNNNNNNNNNNNNNNNNNNNNNNNNNNNNNNNNNNNNNNNNNNNNNNNNNNNNNNNNNNGAGCCUUGCGUUGGUGUUCCCUCGAAGCGGAAAGGGUGAUGUAGCGCAGCGGUGGUAAGUAUUUCCCUCAGUUUGAGAACCAAGGUAUCGAUCCAGUGAAGGAGUAUCUCAAGUGCCUGCACAAACACAAAAAAUCUUGCUCCCAACGCUAUGAAGGGGUUGUCAAUCCCUUAUAGAUUGUUCGCCAAGUGAGAACUGAAAGCAACAAAGUAACAAAGCAAAGUAAAAGCGAAGGUGGAAACGAUAGAUGUGAAUAGACCCGGGGGCCGUAGUGUUUACUAGUGGCUUCUCUCAUGAAAGCAAGUAGAUGGUGGGUGAACACAUUACUGUCGAGCAAUUGAUAGAACCGCGCAAAGUCGUGACGUCAUCUAUGGCAAUGAUUAUAUCUAUAGGCAUCACGUCCAAAACAAGUAGACCGAUACUUUCUGCAUCUACUACUAUUACUCCACACGUCGACCGCUAUCCAGCAUGCAUCUAGUGUAUUAAGUCCAAAAGAACAGAGUAACGCCUUAAGCAAGAUGACAUGAUGUAGAUGGACAAUCUCAUAUCAACGACAAAGCCCAUCUUGUUACCCUUGAUGGCAACUACACGAUGUGUGCCUUGCUGCCCCUACUGUCAUUGGGAAGGUCACCACAUGGUAAGAACCCAAAACCAAGAACUUCUCCCAUUGCAAGAAUCAUAGAUCUAGUUGGCCAAACAAAACCCAAGACACGGAGAGACUUACAAGGAUAUCAAAUCAUGCAUAUAAGAAAUCAGCAAAGACUCAAAUAUAUAUCAUAGAUAAUCUGAUCACAAAUCCACAAUUCAUCGNNNNNNNNNNNNNNNNNNNNNNNNNNNNNNNNNNNNNNNNNNNNNNNNNNNNNNNNNNNNNNNNNNNNNNNNNNNNNNNNNNNNNNNNNNNNNNNNNNNNUUAGCAUGUUGAUUAUUGAAUCACCAUUCGAAGUUUGAUCGUGCUAUCUAGUCCAUAUUUCCUGGUGCACCUUUUGAUCAAUUAGUUAGGACUGUGUCAAUCCCUCACUCUAUUGAUCAUAUCAUCUUACCUUGAAAAGCAAGAUUGUUCUCGAGCUUAAUAACAUAUGAUGGUUCGUGAUUUUCUGAAUAUCUUCACGAAAGUAUUACUGGGUGGUUCCCUGGCCGUUAUGUUGAGCUCGUGAUCAAGUUGGUUUUCAUAUAAACCACCCCUUCUCCAAGAAUCUGUGUUGGAUAUCGCAAGCUAGUUGGUUAAGCUAAACAACAACUUGGAGAGUUGGAAGAUAAAAGCUUUGCUUGAAUUAGUUCAUCCCAAAGGGAUGUCUUUUAACCUGGGUGAGUCUUGAAGAAAGAGGAUAUUUUCAUUGGUUGAUCCUUGUGAUCAAUUGUUGCACCUAUCGUCUUGUCCAAUUUUUGAUUGGAGUGUGGGGUAUCGUCAAAUCAAAACCAGAACCAAGGAUCUUCUUAAUGUUGUCUUACUCGUGGUUGCUUUCCUCGGGCAUACACCAUUAUAUAUUUUUGGUCUCACCAAUGCUACCACAUUGUUCACAUAGUAGUGGAAUUUCCUUUAUAUAUGGAAACCUUGAGGAACUGUAAUUGAGCCCAUCGAUAACAUUGUUUAUCCUCUCCAUGAUUCGUUGAAUAUCAAGCUAGUGUUGGAGACUUUUGUAGGCAAUAUCUUCGUGUUUUGUACAUGAAGUAUAUGUUAGGUGUAAGAAGUGACUUCCUCUAAUUCAUGUGCAUUUGAUGCAAGUUGCCGUCGUGAAUUCGAGAAAAGUUAUUUUGCUUCCUCUGGAAUCAUCCCAAGUCAGUCACGCACGUGGAAACUAUUCUAUGGUUUGAUAGACUCAUCAUCUCCACUCCAUAUGUAAUUCCUAGCACACCAAGCCACUGAUUGAUUUGUUCAUGGAAAAUAAGUUAAGUGUUAUUCUUGAAGGUCCCAGACGGACUUGCACAUGGCUUCCUUAUCCGCAAUGAUGGUUCCCACCCAAAACUCGGUAGUGUUUUGUUGUAAGACUUCUACGUGAUAAUGCUUGUCUUGGGCAGUGUGUUCACAUGUGUCUUGCAGUCCAGCUCAUGUUUUGGAGUUGGCUUCCGCAGUUCAUCUUCCGAGAAUUCCGCAACAUCAUCUCGUCGAUUUGUGUUGCAAACCUACUCUUUCAGACAUGUUGAGUCUGAAACAUCUUAUCACCAACCAGAUUUGAAUCUUAGACACACAUGAUGGUUGGAACAUUUCUCAAGAAUUAUAAUAUUGGUCUCCUUGUAACCCGGUAAAGUGAUGUUGUGGCUAACGCACCUAGCCGAAAGACAUAUUAUUAUAAUAUCUUAUAUCAGCAACAUUACCCACUUCCCCAUGAGGAAUACAUAUGACUUAUUUUAGAAGUUGUUCCUCCUGGACCCCUUUCAUGCUCCCAAAGUCUGACCUUUUUACUUGAUGUACUACAUACCAAAUUUGGGUUAUGCUAGCAUAUCAAGGAGAACAUUAGAACCAGAGCGCUAAAUGUCUCUCGGUUGAUUAUCCAGAUUUCGAUCCCUUGGCAUAGCUAAGGUGAAAUCUGAGAAAGUGUUGUCUUCCUUUGCAUCUGUAUCCUCCAUCAUUAUUCAUNNNNNNNNNNNNNNNNNNNNNNNNNNNNNNNNNNNNNNNNNNNNNNNNNNNNNNNNNNNNNNNNNNNNNNNNNNNNNNNNNNNNNNNNNNNNNNNNNNNNNNNNNNNNNNNNNNNNNNNNNNNNNNNNNNNNNNNNNNNNNNNNNNNNNNNNNNNNNNNNNNNNNNNNNNNNNNNNNNNNNNNNNNNNNNNNNNNNNNNNNNNNNNNNNNNNNNNNNNNNNNNNNNNNNNNNNNNNNNNNNNNNNNNNNNNNNNNNNNNNNNNNNNNNNNNNNNNNNNNNNNNNNNNNNNNNNNNNNNNNNNCCCUAGAGGAAAUAAUAAAAUAGUUAUUAUUAUAUUUCCUGUUUCAAGAUAAUCGUUUCUUAUCCAUGCUAUCAUUGUAUUGAAUGGAAACAUAAAUGCAUGUGUGGAUAUAUAGACAAAACAAUGUCCCUAGUGAGCCUCCAGUUGACUAGCCUGUUGGUCAAGGAUGGUUAAGGUUUCCUAGCCAUAGACAAGUAUUNNNNNNNNNNNNNNNNNNNNNNNNNNNNNNNNNNNNNNNNNNNNNNNNNNNNNNNNNNNNNNNNNNNNNNNNNNNNNNNNNNNNNNNNNNNNNNNNNNNNGGCUGUGUUCUAAGGUGUAAACUUGAGUGAGACUCAAAGCCCGACCACAGCAAAAGAAAGAGAAAGGACGGAAGUCGUCCCCUAUGCCUUAGACGUAGGCUCUAAAGUGUUCCAUUGUGUGUACGGCACCUCAUGUGUGCAUUGCCAUGAGUCUAUCAAGGGGUAUAAAGAGUGAUCCAGGAUUGAAUCACUGAACAGCGGUCAAAGUUAUCCUUAGUAACUAGUGAACUAAGGAUUUUUUUUCUCGAUUAUGGAGGUGAUUAAAUAGUUCGUCAUAAAGGGUUACAUUGAUGCAAGCUUUGACACUAAUCUGAAUAACUCGAAGUAGUAAACCGGAUUCGUAUAGUGGAGCAUUCAUUUAGAAUAGUUCCAAAUGGCGUGUGGUAGCAUCAUCUAUAGGAUGACGUAGAGAGUUGUGAAGCAUACAUGGAUCAGAAAGGUUCAGACCCGUUGUCUUAAACCUCUCUCACAAGCAAGACAUGAUCAAGCCCCAGAACUGUAUGGGUGUUAGAUUCAUUACAAUCACAUAGUGAUGUGAACUAGAUUAUUGACUCUAGUGCAAGUGUGAGACUGUUGGAAAUAUGCCCUAGAGGCAAUAAUAAAUUGGUUUUUAUUAUAUUCCUUGUGCAUGAUAAUCGUUUAUUAUCCAUGCUAGAAUUGUAUUGAUUGGAAACUCAAAUACAUGUGUAGAUACAUAGACAACACAUUGUCCCUCAUGAGCCUCUAAUUGACUAGCUCGUUGAUCAAAUAUGGUCAAGGUCUUCUGGCCAUAGACAAGUGUUGACACUUGAUAACGGGAUCAAAUCAUUAGGAGAAUCAUGUGAUGGACAAGACCCAAACUAUAAAUGCAGCAUGUGAUCGUGUUAUUUUGGUGCUAUUGUUUUCUGCAUGUCAAGUAUACAUUCCAAUGACCAUGAGAUCAUGUAACUCACUAACACCGGGGGAAUGCCUUGUGUGUAUCAAACGUUGCAACGUUACUGGGUGACUAUAAAGGUGCUCUACAGGUAUCUUCGAAGGUGUCCGUUGAGUUGGCAUGGAUUAAGAUUGGGAUUUGUCACUCCGUGUGACUGAGAGGUAUCUCGGGGCCCACUCGGUAAUACAUCAUCACAAACAAGCCUUGCAAGCAAUGUGACUAAAGAGUUAGCCACAUGAUCUUGUAUUACAGAACAAGUAAAGAGACUUUCCGAUAACGAGAUUGAAAUAGGUAUGGCGAUACCGACGAUCGAAUCUCGGACGAGUAACAUACCGAAGGACAAAGGGAAUGAUAUGCGGGAUUGUGUGAAUCCUUAACAUAGAUAUUCAACCGAUAAGAUAUUCGUAGAAUAUGUAGGAUCCAAUAUGGACGUCCAGGUCCCCCUAUUGGAUAUUGACCAGAGAGUGUCUCAGUCAUGUCUGCAUAGUUCUCGAACCCGCUAGUGUGUACACUUAAGGUUCGGUGACAGUUUCGGUAUAGUGGUGUUAUAGGUGUUGGUUACCGAAGGUUGUUCGGAGUCUCGUAUGAGAUCCUAGACAUCAUGAGGAUCUCCGAAAUAAUCCGUAGGUAAAGAUUGAUAUAUAGGAAGUCCUGUUUUGGUCACUGGAAAGGUUUCGGGCUCAUCGGUAGUGUACCGGGAGUGUCGGGAGGGUGUCGGGGGGCCGCCGGGAGGAGUGUGAGGUCCCAAGAGCCUUAUGGGAUGUGAGAGGAGGUGGACCAGCCCCUGGUGGGCUGGCCUAAGCCUCUCUCAAAAGCCCAUGCGGCUAGGAGUGGAGAUAAAAGGCAAAAGUCCUUUAAAAGCAAAGGAGGGAGUCCUCCGAAAGUAGUCCACCUCCCUUGUGGGAAGGUGGACUCUUCCUUUAGGGUUCAGCCGACCCCUUCUCUUCGGAGUAGGGGCCAGCGCUGCCUCCUCUCCCCUCCUCCUAUAUAUACUAGAGGGUUUUUGGAUAACACAGAAAUCAGCCACGGCUGCCUCUCUCUCUCUCUCUAGAUAUGUUUCUCCUCUAGUCUAAUUCGGCGGUGCUUAGGCGAAGCCCUGCUGGAUUAGUUCACCACCACCACCACCAUGCUGCCAUGCUGGAGAAUCAUCUACCUCUCCGCCCCUCUUGCUGGAUCAAGAAGGCAGAGAUCGUCAUCGAGCUAUACGUGUGCUGAACGCGGAGGUGCCGUCCAUUCCUCAGUAGAUCGGGAUGGACCCUGAUGGGAUCGCGGGACGGAUUGUGAUGAGAUCAUGGGACGGGUUGCGAUUUGAAUUGAGAAGAUGUUACACUACAUCAACCAUGUUAUAUACGCUUCUGCUUAGUGAUCUACAAGGGUAUGUAGAUUCACUCGCCCCUCUCGAAGAUGAUCAUCACCAUGGAUAGGUAUUGCGUGUGCAUAGGAAAAUUUUGUUUCCCAUGCUACGUUCCCCAACAAAUACUUCGUCCUGGAGAACCCUCAUUCCAGACGGUGACUUGAUUCAUCAGAAGACUCUGAUGAUACUCUCUGAUGUUCUCCUGAGAACUUAUGCUCAUCGCUUUUUGCGAUUCCAUUCCUCCGUCAACCCCUAUGGAUGAUGACGACAAUGUCGUUCAUACCUUAUUUUCCACUCGCUCUUGUUUUUACAAGUUAUGACGAAUUAUCUUACCGGGGAUUCGUUUGUCCUUAGUUGUCAUGGGUUUACGCAAGUCCCUCAAACUGCAAUUCGAUCUUCCGAAAUCCUUAGUAGCCUAUUGUUCAUGACAUUUCUCACCUGGUUGCAUUAUGGUUAAUUCCAUGUGUCUAGCAACCAUCAUUUGAAUCCUUUCUGAUUAUCCUUUGGUAUUAUUGAUUCAACUUGUGUGUGAAUGCACGCAAUCAUCUAUUGAUACUCAUAAAUUAGCUUACGACUCAGACUUCCUUCCAAACAGUAGUUGGUUCUCAGCAAAUCAACCUUGAUUAAUUGUCCAUCUAAUUAUAACCAGCUUAUUCAUCCUUGAUCAGAGCAUCUGAUUUUGAUACACCAACCUAGAAAUCAUAAUUCCUUUAGUAUUUAAGUUUCGAUAUUAUUCAGGUGUUCGAUAAUGCGAUGCCUUGUGUUUCUUUCUUCCCCUGAUUGAGUACCGAUACUCACAUCAGGUCCUUUGUGAACCGCCUGACCCAUUGUUGGGUUAUUAUCCGAUAGCAUGCAUCCUUCACAUUCAAAAUUAUUGUGAUAUCCUUUCCCUGAUACAAGAUGUCAGUAGUAAAUUUUGUCUUCUCCGUCUUAUAAGUUGUAUUCUAUGCUUUUGACUGCCAUGCUCUGUUGUCACACAUGUGUUAAUUACUCUUGAAAUUUGUGGUAUAUGUUCCUAAGAUGCCCCGAUGGGUUGAACCUAUGCCUUCCUAAAUCCGUGUGAUCCCAAGAGUUUUCACUAGUCUUACUCUUCUAGUGUUCUGUCAGAUAAUCUUUCAAAUCUACGACUUCAUCAAAGGCGAGGAGUACAUGGUAGGUGAUGCAUUGAUGAAGUGGGAGUCGGCCUUGAACUUUGUGUCCAUGCCCAUGGAAACGACAUUAAUCCUAUCAUAGAAACAUCUCGUAACAAUAAGUUCCCUUGGAAUAUUUUGAUCUAGUAUCCGUGAUCUUGUUCUUUGCAGUCAUGAUUCUGACCAUGUUGUUCUACUUUGAUUUCUUUCUCAGACAAGUUAUAUUGCUUGUCUUAUAUAGGUAAAUACAAUAGAGUAACCUCUAUUUUGAUCUACCUCUGAGUAUUAUCCUUGGUAUAUUGAGAAUAACAUGGAGCUAUAUAACUUCUUAUGAGCUCCUCAUCGGCUAUAAUAUUUCGUUGAUUCCAUAUUUCCUCGUGUUUUGAGUGGUUGGACACUCAAGGACACCGAUAACUGAAUCGAGUACAAAUUGCGCCUCAACAACUCUUAGUAAUCUUCCUUCUUUAUGAGUUUGUACUCGAUCAUGUCAUUCCAGAUUGUUGGGCUACAUCAAUAUCGUCUUGCUAGAGCUCGACCUUUCUAUCUGUGUCCUUUAUCCCGAGAACACAUUUCCAGUAGUGCGCUACGCUUAUAUCAAGCUCUCAACGUCACGUUGGUUGUCUUGAAGGCAAUUUUGAUUCUGAGCUAGCACUCUAAUUUGUCGUUCCAUAGACCUUUCGCUUCACCAUUUACUUUGCUUGAUGUCAUCUCCGAACGAUUACAUCGUCAAGAAACUUCUCGAUAAAUGUGUCGGGAUCAUCAUCAGCAUUCUGAGCUCUUUCGAGGUAUCAAUCGAAUUCAUGAUGAGAAUUACCAUCCUUGCCCCUCGAUCAUUUAUGUUAUCACUAACAACCUUAUUGCCUUCCCUCCAACACAAACUUGUUCAUGUUUUGUAUUGUCCCUUGAGUUCCUUGCUAUUCAGCUUAUGUUAUCUUCUACCUUGUUAUAUUACCAUCUUUUAUGUCAAGAAUGUUGUGAGAAUUGUUGCACCUCUUAAGAAUUCUUGAUAUGGUGAUACUUCUCGCCAUCACCAUUCAUUUCUUGGUCCCCGUGUUGUUUCUAAUCGGAAUACCGACAAGUAAACUCUGAUGUGUGAUUCCAAUACUUCUAGUAACCCUAUUUCUUUGAAGUUAAUAAGUGUUUGUUUCAUUCUUAGUGUGUUGGUUGUUGACUCACCAUUUUAGCAUUGAUCGUGCUACUCAUUAUGUAUUCCUAAGUGCACCCUUCGACCAAUGUUUAAUUGUUGUUGUUCCCUCAAGCAUACAUCAUUAUAUCAUUUGAGUUGACAAAUGCUAUCUCCUUGAUCUUAUAAUUUUGGAAACUCAUCCCUAUCGAAAUCUUAAGGGAUUGUUGUUGAGCCCAUCGGCCACACCCUGAACUUCUCCAUGUAUCAUGAUGAAGCUUUUUGAAAGCACUAUCUUUGUCCCUAGCUCAUGAACAAUAUGUUUGAUAAAAGAAGUGUUUUCCCAAAGUUCACAUGCAUUCUUGCUACCAUGAAUAUUUGAAAGUUUUUUCGCUUCCUUUGGGAUCAUCCCAAAUCAUUCACGCAUGUGCGAAGUGUUAUAUGUUUUGAAGAUUUUCUAUCUUCACUUCAUAUAAUUUUCCUUAGCACCCCAAUCCACUAACUGAUUUGAUCAAGGAAAAGAAGUUCCUUCAUAAGAGCUAAUACAGUCUUACACAAGGACUUUGAUAUCCUCGAUGAUGGUUCCCCAAUUAAAACUCGGUUGCAUUUCAUGGUAAGAAUCCCAUGUGGGCACGAAUGUCUUCACCUUGUGUUCAUAUGUCUUACAAUCCAAUUCAGGAUUCAAGACUUGCUACCAUAGUUGCUAUCCCGAGAAUCUUGCAUCAUCAUCUCGUCAGUUUCUUUGUUGCCCCCUUUUCUUGUGAGGCAUCCUGAUCCUGAGGUAUCCUGACACCAAUCAGAUUUGAAUCUCGGGCAAUUAUGAUGGUUGGAACAUUUUCCAAGAAUUAUAACUUUUGUUUUUUUCGGUAUGGUGAUGUCUUCUAGCACGCAUGACCGAAGGACCUAUUAUUAUAUUAUCUUCCUUAGUAAGGUUAGACAUUCCCCCCUAAGGAAAUUGUAAGACUUAUUUUAUAAGUUGUUCCUCAUUGAUCCCUUGUGUACCCAAAGUUCGAUCUGUAUAUGAUGACCGUGUCGAUGCUACCUCACAGCACAGAGUGGUACGUCAAAUGUCACAGGAACAUUGGAAGCGCAAUGAUAAAUUGUUCUUGAUCAAUUAUCCAAACAAUGUUGUAUGGGUAAACAUCAUGAUUCUCCUUGCUCUUUUAUCUAAAUUGAUAUGUACUUGAUGACCUGUCACGUAUACCAUACUCUAUUUUCCUCGGGAAUGGUACACUCUAAUACUUGUGUGUGUGAACACAUUUUCCUUUCCAUUGGUGUGUUCAACCUUUCUUGAAAUCUAAACUUAUCUGAGUAGUGGUAGUUCUCUUCUUAGGUAAAAACCUCGGCGUACAAUUUAUCAGUAAGACCAUAUUACUAUUGUGGAUAACACUUCGGUAGCCGCCGGUGGACGAGAACUUUGCCUAUUGGUCCGCCUCAUUUCAAAGAGCAUGAAAAUGGUUCUAUUCAGACUUAUGUUUCAUUCAGUAGACAUACCCAUAUCUGCUUAAGUCAUCAGUGAGGGUGAGAACAUAACGAUAACCACCGCGAGCCUAAACGCUCAUUGGACGGCAUACAUCGGUAUGUAUUAUUUCCAACAAGUUGGUUGCUCGCUCCAUUGUUCCGGAGAACGGAGCCUUAGUCAUCUUGCCCGGCAUGGUUCACAUGUGUCAAAUGAUUCAUAAUCAAGAGAAUCCAAAAGUCCAUAUGCAUGGAGUUUCUUCAUGCGUUUGACACCAAUAUGACCAAGGCGGCAGUGCCACAAGUAUGUGGGACUAUCAUUAUCAACCUUACAUCUUUUGGUACUCACACUAUGAAUAUGUGUAACAUCACAUUCAAGAUUCAAUAAAAAUAAACCAUUGACCAGCGGGGCAUGACCAUAAAGCAUAUCUCUCAUAUAAAUAGAACAACCAUUAUUCUCGGAUUUAAAUGAAUAGCCAUCUCGCAUCAAACAAGACUCAAAUACUAAUGGGGAACGUCACAUGGGAAACAAAAAAAUUCCUACGCGCACGAAGACCUAUCAUGGUGAUGUCCAUCUACGAGGGGGAUUUCAGAUGUACGUACCCUUGUAGAUCGCACAGCAGAAGCGUUAAUAAACGCGGUUGAUGUAGUGGAACGUCCUCACGUCCCUCGAUCCGACCCGCGAACCAUCCCACGAUCCGUCCCACGAUCCGCUCCGAUCUAGUGCCGAACGGACGGCACCUCCGCGUUCAGCACACGUACAGCUCGAUGAUGAUCUUGGCCUUCUUGAUCCAGCAAGAGAGACGGAGAGAUAGAUGAGUUCUCCGGGAGAGUGAUGGUGCUCCAGAGGUUGGUGGUGAUCUAAUCUCAUCAGGGCUCCGCUCGAGCUCCGCACAAACGCGAUCUAGAGGAAAAAGCGUGGAGGUAUGUGGUCGGGUUGUCGUGGAAAAGUUGUCUCAAAUCAGCCCUAAAACCUCCGUAUAUAUAGGUGGGAGGGGAGGGGCCUUGCCUUGGGGCUCAAGGAGCCCCAAGGGGUUCGGCCAAAGGGGGGGGAGGAGGAGUCCUCCUCCAAUCCUAGUCCAACUAGGAUUGGAAGGUGGAGUCCUUCCCUUCCUUCCCACUUCCCCUUUUUUCUUUCUCUUUGAUUUUCUUAUCUCCCUGCGCAGGGGCCUCUAGGCUUGCCCACCAGCCCACUAAGGGCUGGUGCGGCACCCCUAAGGCCUAUUGGAUUCCCCGGGGUGGGCUCCCCCCCCCCUCCCCGGUGAACAUCCGAACCCAUUCGUCAUUCCCGGUAAUUCCGAAACCUUCCAGUAAUCAAAUGAGGUCAUCCUAUAUAUCAAUCUUCAUCUCCGGACCAUUCCGGAAACCCUCGUGACAUCCAUGAUCUCAUCCGGGACUCCGAACAACAUUCGGUAACCAACCAUAUAACUUAAAUACGCAUAAAACAACGUCGAACCUUAAGUGUGCAGACCCUCGGGUUCGAGAACUAUGCAGACAUGACCCGAGGGACUCCUCGGUCAAUAUCCAAUAGCGGGACCUGGAUGCCCAUAUUGGAUCCUACAUAUUCUACGAAGAUCUUAUAGUUUGAACCUUAGUGCCAGCGAUUCAUAUAAUCCCGUAUGUCAUUCCCUUUAUCCUUCGGUAUGUUACUUGCCCGAGAUUCGAUCGUCAGUAUCCGCAUACCUGUUUCAAUCUCGUUUACCGGCAAGUCUCUUUCCUCGUUCCAUAAUACAAGAUCCCGCAACUUACACUAAGUCACAUUGCUUGCAAGGCUUGUGUGUGUUGUUGUAUUACCGAGUGGGCCCCGAGAUACCUCUCCGUCAUACGGAGUGACAAAUCCCAGUCUUUAUCCAUACUAACUCAACGGACACCUUUGGAGAUACCUAUAGAGCAUCUUUACACACAAAGUAUUCCUCCGGUGUCAGUGAGUUAUAUGAUCUCAUGGUCAUAGGAAUAAAUACUUGACACGCAGAAAACAGUAGCAACAAAAUGACACGAUCAACAUGCUACGUAUAUUAGUUUGGGUCUAGUCCAUCACAUGAUUCUCCCAAUGAUGUGAUCCAGUUAUCAAGCAACAACACCUUGUACAUAGUCAGAAGACCCUGACUAUCCUUGAUCAACUGGCUAGCCAACUAGAGGCUCGCUAGGGACAGUGUUUUGUCUAUGUAUCCACACAUGUAUCUAAGUCUUCAUUCAAUACAAUUAUAGCAUGGAUAAUAAACGAUUAUCUUGAUACAGGAAUUAUAAUAAUAACUUAUUUAUCAUUGCCUCUAGGGCAUAAUUCAACAGUCUCCCACUUGCACUAGAGUCAAUAAUCUAGCCCUCACAUCACCAUGCGAAUUACAUUGUAAUAAAUCUAACACCCAUACAGUUCUGAUGUUAAUCAUGCUUUGCCCGUGGAAGAGGUUUAGUCAGCGGGUCUGCUACAUUCAGAUUCGUGUGCACUUUGCAUAUAUUUACGUCCUCCCCUUCGACGUAGUCGCGAAUGAGGUUGUAGCGUCGUUUGAUGUGUCUGGUCUUCUUGUGAAACCGUGGUUCCUUUGCUAAGGCAAUGGCACCCGUGUUGACACAAAACAAGGUUAUUGGAUUCAGUGCUCUUGGCACCACUCCAAGAUCCAUCAUGAACUGCUUCAUCCAUACACCCUCCUUAGCCGCCUCCGAGGCAGCCAUGUACUCCGCUUCACAUGUAGAAUCAGCUACGACGCUUUGCUUGGAACUGCACCAACUUACCGCACCCCCAUUAAGAAUAAAUACGUAUCCGGUCUGCGGCUUAGAGUCGUCCGGAUCUGUGUCAAAGAUUACAUCGACAUAACCUUUUACGGCGAGCUCUUUGUCACCUCCAUACACGAGAAACAUCUCCUUAGUCCUUUUCAGGUACUUCAGGAUAUUCUUGACCGCCAUCCAGUGAUCCACUCCUGGAUUACUCUGGAACCUGCCUGCCAUACUUAUGGCCAGGCUAACGUCCGGUCUAGUGCACAGUAUUGCAUACAUGAUAGAACCUAUGGCUGAAGCAUAGGGGACGGUGCUCAUAUGCUCUCUAUCUUUAUCAGUUGCUGGGCAUUGAGUCUUAAUCAAUCUCGUACCUUGUAAAACUGGCAAGAACCCCUUCUUGGACUGUUCCAUUUUGAACCUCUUCAAAACUUUAUCAAGGUAUGUACUUUGUGACAGUCCUAUCAGGCGUUUCGAUCUAUCCCUAUAGAUCUUAAUGCCUAGAAUGUAAGCAGCUUCUCCUAGGUCCUUCAUAGAGAAACUUUUAUUCAAGUAAUACAUUAUGCUCUCAAAAAACUCCACGUUCUUUCCAAUCAGCAAUAUGUCAUCCACAUAUAAUAUUAGAAAUGCCACAAAGCUCCCACUCACUUUCUUGUAAAUACAAGAUUCUCCAACCACUUGUAUAAACCCAAAUGCUUUGAUCACCUCAUCAAAGCGUUUAUUCCAACUCCGAGAUGCUUGCACCAGCCCAUAAAUGGAUCGCUAGAACUUGCACACUUUGUUAGCAUUUUUAGGAUCGACAAAACCUUCGGGUUGCAUCAUAUACAACUCUUCCUUAAGGAAACCGUUAAGGAACGCCGUUUUGACAUCCAUCUGCUAGAUUUCAUAAUCGAAAAAUGCAGCUAUUGCUAACAUGAUUCUGACGGACUUAAGCAUCGCUACGGGUGAGAACGUCUCAUCAUAGUCAACUCCUUGAACUUGUGAAAAACCCUUUGCCACAAGUCGAGCUUUAUAAACGGUCACAUUACCGUCAGGGUCCGUCUUCUUCUUAAAGAUUCAUUUGUUCAGAAUAGCCUUGCGGCCCUCAGGUAGUACUUCCAAAGUCCACACUUUGUUUUCAUACAUGGAUCCUAUCUCGGACUUCAUGGCCUCUAGCCAUUUGUUGGAAUCCAGGCCCACCAUUGCUUCUUCAUAAUUCGCAGGCUCAUUGUUGUCUAACAACAUAAUUUAUAAGACGGGAUUACCAUACCACUCUGGAGUAGUACGCGGUCUCGUUGACCUGCGAGGUCCGAUAGGAACUUGAUCUGGAGUUUCAUGAUCAUCAUAAUUAACUUCCUCCUCAACCGGCGUUGCAAUGACAUGGGUUUCCCCUUGCCCUGCUCCACCAUCCAGAGGGAUGAGAGGUUCGACAACCUCAUCAAGUUCUAUCUUCCUCCCACUCAAUUCUCUCGAGAGAAACUCCUUCUCGAGAAAAGCUCCGGUCUUAGCAACAAACACUUUGCCCUCGGAUUUGUGAUAGAAGGUAUACCCAACUGUUUCUUUCGGGUAACCUAUGAAGAUGCACUUUUCUGCUUUGGGUUCCAGCUUUUCAGGUUGAAGCUUUUUUACAUAAGCAUCACAUCCCCAAACUUUAAGAAACGACAACUUUUGUCUUUUGCUAUACCACAGUUCGUAUGGUGUCGUCUCAACGGAUUUUGAUGGUGCCCUAUUUAAAGUGAACGCAGUUGUUUCUAAUGCAUAACCCCAAAACGAUAACGGCAAAUUGGUAAGAGACAUCAUAGAUCGCACCAUCUCUAAUAAAGUACGAUUACGACGUUCGGACACACCAUUACGCUAUGGUGUUCCAGGCGGUGUCAACUGUGAAACAAUUCCACAUUGUCUUAAGUGAGCACCAAACUUGAAACUCAGAUAUUCACCCCCACGGUCAGACCGUAGGAAUUUGAUCUUCUUGUUACGAUGAUUUUCAACUUCGCUCUGAAAUUGCUUGAACUUUUCAAAUGUUUCAGACUUGUGCUUCAUCAAGUAGACAUAACCAUAUCUACUCAAAUCGUCAGUGAAGAUGAGAAAAUAACUAUAUCCGCUGCGUGCCUCCACGCUCAUCGAACCACACACAUCGGUAUGUAUGAUUUCCAACAAGUCACUUGCACGCUCCAUUGUUCCGGAGAACGGAGUUUUAGUCAUCUUGCCCAUGAGGCAUGGUUCGCACGUGUCAAGUGAAUCGAAGUCAAGUGACUCCAAAAGUCCAUCGGUAUGGAGUUUCUUCAUGCGCUUUACACCAAUAUGACCUAAGCGAGAGUGCCACAAAAACAUGGCGCUAUCAUUGUUAACUCUAACUCUUUUGGUCUCAAUGUUAUGUAUAUGUGUAUUAUCACUAUCAAGAUUCAAUAUGAACAAUCCUCUCGCAUUGGGUGCAUGACCAUAAAAGAUAUUACUCAUAGAAAUAGAACAACCAUUAUUCUCUGACUUAAAUGAGUAACCGUCUCCCAAUAAACAAGAUCCAGAUAUAAUGUUCAUGCUUAACGCACGCACUAAAUAACAAUUAUUUAAGUUCAUAACUAAUCCUGAUGGUAACUGAAGUGAAACUGUGCCAACGGCGAUUGCAUCAACCUUGGAACCAUUUCCCAUGCGCAUCAUCACUUCAUCCUUGGCCAGCCUUCGCUUAUUCCGUAGUUCCUGUUUCGAGUUGCAAAUAUAUUCAAAGUGGACUUAUACUAUGUUCAAGAUAAUUAGAGUUUAACUUAAUCAAAUUACUUGCUAAACUCCCACUCAAAAAGUACAUCUCUCUAGUCAUUUGAGUGGUUCAUGAUCCAAUUCCACUAGCUCAAGUCCGAUCAUCACGUAAGUUGAGGAUAGUUUCAGUGGUAAGCAUCCCUAUGCUAAUCAUAUCAAUUAUAUGAUUCAUGAUCGACCUUUCGGUCUCAUGUGUUCUGAGGCCAUGUAUGCACAUGCUAGGCUCGUCAAGCUUAACCCGAGUGUUCUGCGUGUGCAACUGUUUUGCACCCGUUGUAUGUGAACGUUGAGUCUAUCACACCCGAUCAUCACGUGGUGUCUCGAAACGACGAACUGUAACAACGGUGCAUAGUCGGGGAGAACACAAUUUCGUCUUGAAAUUUUAGUGAGAGAUCACCUCAUAAUGCUACUGUCGUUCUAAGCAAAAUAAGGUGCAAGAAAGGAUUAACAUCACAUGCAAUUCAUAAGUGACAUGAUAUGGCCAUCAUCACAUGCUUCUUGAUCUCCAUCACCAAAGCACCGGCACGAUCUUCUUUGUCACCGGUGCCACACCAUGAUCUCCAUCAACGUGUCACCAUCGGGGUUGUCGUGCUACUCAUGUUAUUACUACUAAAGCUACAUCCUAGCAAUAUAGUAAACGCAUGUGCAAGCACAAACGUUAGUUUAAAGACAACCCUAUGGCUCCUGCCGGUUGCCGUACCAUCGACGUGCAAGUCGAUAUUAACUAUUACAACAUGAUCAUCUCAUACAUCCAAUAUAUGACAUCACAUCAUUGGCCAUAUCACAUCACAAGCAUACCCUGCAAAAACAAGUUAGACGUCCUCUAAUUGUUGUUGCAUGUUUUGCGUGGUGACCAUGGGUAUCUAGUAGGAUCGCAUCUUACUUACACAAACACCACAACGGAGAUAUAUGAAUUGCUAUUUAACCUCAUCCAAGGACCUCCUCGGUCAAAUCUGAUUCAACUAAAGUUGGAGAAACCGACACUCGCCAGUCAUCUUUGAGCAACAGAGUUGCUCAUAGCGAUGAAACCAGUCUCUCGUAAGCGUAUGAGUAAUGUCGGUCCGAGCCGCUUCGAUCCAACAAUACCGCGGAAUCAAGAAAAGACUAACGAGGGCAGCAAAUCACACAUCACCGCCCACAAAAACUUUUGUGUUCUACUCGAGAAGACAUCUACGCAUGAACCUAGCUCAUGAUGCCACUGAUGGGGAACGUCGCAUGGGAAACAAAAAAAUUCCUACGUACACGAAGACCUAUCAUGGUGAUGUCCAUCUACGAGGGGGAUUUCAGAUCUACGUACCCUUGUAGAUCGCACAGCAGAAGCGUUAAUAAACGCGGUUGACGUAGUGGAACGUACUCACAUCCCUCGAUCCGCCCCGCGAACCGUCCCACGAACCGUCCCGCGAUCCGUCCCACGAUCCACUCCGAUCUAGUGCCGAACGGACGGCACCUCCGCGUUCAGCACACGUACAGCUCGACGAUGAUCUCGGCCUUCUUGAUCCAGCAAGAGAGACGGAGAGGUAGAUGAGUUCUCCGGCAGCAUGAUGGAGCUCCAGAGGUUGGUCGUGAUCUAAUCUCAGCAGGGCUCCGCCCGAGCUCUGCAGAAACGCGAUCUAGAGGAAAAACCAUGGAGGUAUGUGGUCGGGCUGCCGUGGAAAAGUUGUCUCAAAUCAACCCUAAAACCUCCGUAUAUAUAGGUGGGAGGGGAGGGGCCUUGCCUUGGGGCUCCAGGAGCCCCAAGGAGUUCGGCCGAAGGGGGGAGGACGAGUCCUCCUCCAAUCCUAGUCCAACUAGGAUUGGAAGGUGGAGUCCUUCCCUUCCUUCCCACUUCCCCUUUUUUUCUUUCUCUUUGAUUUUCUUAUCUCCCUGCGCAGGGGCCUCUCUGGGCUUUCCCACCAUCCCACUAAGGGCUGGUGNNNNNNNNNNNNNNNNNNNNNNNNNNNNNNNNNNNNNNNNNNNNNNNNNNNNNNNNNNNNNNNNNNNNNNNNNNNNNNNNNNNNNNNNNNNNNNNNNNNNAAUUUCUGAUGAGUAUAUGUGGUUGACACAUUGUUGAUUGGAAAUGAUGUAGGAUUUCUGGAAAGCAUAUAGGGUUGUUUGAAAAGGAGUUUUUCAGAAGAAAACUUGGAUAAAGCAACUUGAACAUUGAGCAUCAAGAUCUAUAGAGAUAGAUCAAUACGUUUGAUAAAACUUUCAAUGAAUACAUACCUUGACAAGAUUUUGAAGGAGUUCAAAAUAGAUCAAUCAAAGAAGGAGUUCUUACCUGUAUUGUAAGGUGUGAAUUUGAGUAAGACUCAAAGAUCGACCACAACAGAAGAAAGAGAAAGGACGAAGGUGUACCACACCUCAUGUGUGCCUUGUCAUGGUUGUAUGCUCUAUAGUAUGCCAUGCUGUGUACUGCACCUGAUGUGUGCCUUGACAUGAGUCUGUCAAGGGGUACAAGAGUGAUCGAGGAAUGGAUCACUGGACAGUGGUCAAAAUUAUCCUUAGUAACUUGAGUACUAAGGAAAUGUUUCUUGAUAAUGGAGGUGAUAAAAGAGUUUGUCGUAAAGGGUUACGUUGAUGCAAGCUUUGACACCAAUCCGGAUGACUAUGACUAGCAAACCGGGUUGCUAUAAUAGAGAAGUCAUUUGGAAUAGUUACAAAUGGAGCGUGAUAGCAACAUAUACACGAUGACAUAGAGAUUUGUAAAUAAAUACACACAAAUCUGAAAGGUUCAGACCCGUUGACUAAAACCUCUCUCAGAAGCAAAACUGGAUAAAACCUAGAACUUAUUGGGUGUGAUUCACAUAGUGAUGUGAACUAGAUUAUUGACUCUAGUGCAAGUGGAAGACUGAUGGAAAUAUGCCCUAGAGGCAAUAAUAAAUAAGUUAUUAUUAUAUUUCCUUGUUCAUGGUAAUCAUUUAUUAUCCACGCUAUAAUUGUAUUGAUUGGAAACUCAAAUACAUGUGUGGGUACAUAGACAACACACUGUCCCUAGUGAGCCUCUAAGGACUAGUUCGUUGAUCAAAGAUGGUCAAGGUUUCCUGGACAUAGACAUGAGUUUUCAUUUGAUAACGGGAUCACGUCAUUAGGAGAAUGAUGUAAUGUACAAAACCCAAACUGUGAACGUAGCAUGUGAUCGUGUCAUUUUAUUGCUAUUGUUUUCUGCAUGUCAAAGUAUCUGUUUCUAUGACCAUGAGAUCAUGCAACUUCCGGGCACUGGAAGAAUGCCUUGUGUGUAUCAAACGUCACAACGUAACUGGGUGACUAUAAAGGUGCUCCAAAGAUAUCUCCAAAGGUGUCUGUUGGGUUGGCGUGAAUCGAGAUUGGGAUUUGUCACUCCGUAUGACGGAGAGGUAUCUCUCGGCCCACUCACUAAUACAACAUCACAAUGAGCUUGCAAGCAAUGUGACUAAGGAGUUAGUUACGAGAUCUUGUAUUAUGGAAUGAGUAAAGAUACUUGUCGAUAACGAGAUUGAACUAGGUAUGGAGAUACCGACGAUCGAAUCUCGGUCAAGUAAUAUAUCGAUGGACAAAGGGGAACAGUAUAAGGGAUUGAUUGAAUCCUUGACAUCGUGGUUCGACCGAUAAAGAUCUUCAUAGAAUAUGUAGGAGCCAAUAUGGGUAUCUACGUCCCGCUAUUGGUUAUUGACCGGAGAGUGUCUCAGGUCAUGUCUCCAUAGUUCUCGAACCCGCAGGGUCUGCACACUUCAGGUUCGGUGAUGUUUCAGUAUAGUUCAGUUAUGUAUGUUGGUGAUCGAAGGUUGUUAGGAGUCCCGGAUGAGAUCCCGGACGUCACGAGGAAUUCCAACAACACCGCCUACUUCAGCCACAAACUCCAACAGAGAUACCAGGAAAUAGGCGCCUGCCCCACCCUCCGCCAAGAGCACACCUUCUGAGCCAGCACAGAGCUCUUCUUCAUCAAUGGCAUCCACGGGGAAAACACAUGAGGUUAUAUGUCGUCGUUGCAAGGGUGAAGGUCAUUAUGCGAGAGAGUGCCCAUCCAAGCGUGUGAUGAUUGUUUCUGGGGAUGGUGGAUAUAACUCUGCUAGUGAUUAUGACAAGGAGACUCUGGCUCUUAUUGCAAGCGAGGAACAUGGUGUAGAUGAUACUGAACAAGAGACACAAUACAUGGCUACUAACUACGCUGACAGGUAUGAAAUCUUAGUUGCUCAGCGUGUUUUAAGUGUGUAUGUAACACAGGCUGAGCAAAAAUCCGAGGCACAACUUAUUCCAUACAAAGGGAGUUGUGAAGGAACGUUAUGUUCGUGUAAUCAUUGAUGGAGGGAGUUUCAACAACUUAACUAGCAUGGAGAUGGUGGAGAAGUUGUCUCUCACCACCAGACCACAUCCUCAUCCUUAUUACAUCCAUUGGUUCAACAACAGUGGCAAGGUUAAGAUAACACGUACUGUUCGUGUGCAUUUUAGCAUUGCUACAUAUUUUGAUUUUGUUGAUUGUGAUGUGGUACCCAUGCAAGCAUGUUGUGUUUUACUUGGUAGACCAUGGAAAUUUGAUAAAAAUUCCUUACACCAUGGUUGAAAAAUUUAGUAUACUCUUGUUCAUAAGGAUCAAAAUAUAACUUUGCUUCCUAUGACUCCUCAACAUAUUAUGAAAGAUGACAUUGCUAGAGCUAGUAAAGCAAAACAGGACCUCCAUAAGAGUGAAAAUCAGAUUGUAGCAAAGGAAUUUGAGCACCACAAAAAUCCUAAUAAACCAUCAUCUAGUGUUGCAUCUGAAAUAAAAUUGAAGAGUGGUUGUUUACUUGACAAUUAAAUCUGAUAUUACUGAUUUGGAUGUUACUACAUCUGUUUGCUAUGCUUUCAUAUGCAAGGAGGUAUUAUUUUUAUUCGAGGACAUGCCUCCCUCUUUGCCUCCUGCUGUCAUUAACAUUUUGCACGAGUUCACUAACGUCUUUCCACAAGACGUGCCAUCGGGAUUACCACCUAUUAGAGGGAUUGACCAUUAGAUUGACUUAAUUCCCGGUGCAUCGCUACCCAACCGUGCACCAUACCGCACCAAUCCAGAGGAGACGAAGGAGAUUAUGCGUCAAGUACAGGAGCUGAUCGACAAAGGUUAUAUACGCGAUUCUCUUAGUCCUUGUGUCGUUCCUAUUAUUCUAGUGCCGAAAAAAGAUGGUACAUCGCGCAUGUGUGUUGUUUGUAGAGGCAUUAAUAAUAUUACUAUUCGUUAUCAUUAUCCUAUUCCUAGGCUAGAUGAUAUGUUUGAUGAAUUAAGUGGCUCUACAAUUUUCUCCAAAGUUGAUCUGCGUAGAGGAUACCAUCAAAUUCGCAUGAAAUUGGGAGAUGAAUGGAAAACAACAUUUUAAACUAAGUUUGGAUUAUGAGUGGUUAGUUAUGCUUUUUGGGUUAACUAAUGCACCUAGCACUUUCAUCAGAUUACUAAAUGAGGUUUUACGUGCUUUCAUUGGACAAUUUGUGGUAGUCUACUUUGAUGAUAUACUGAUUUAUAGUAGAUCUUUGGAGGAACACUUGGAUCAUUUGCGUGUUGUUUUUAUUGCUCUACAUGAUGCACGUUUGUUUGGUAACCUUGGUAAGUGCACCUUUUGCACUGACCGGGUAUCUUUUCUUGGCUAUGUUGUUACUCCAGAGGGAAUUGAAGUUGAUAAAGCCAAAAAUGAAGCUAUUGAGAGUUGGCCGCAGCCCAAAACGGUCACACAAUUGAGGAGUUUUCUUGGACUCGCCGGGUUUUAUAGGCGUUUUGUGAGAGAUUUCAGCACCAUUGCUGCACCUCUCAAUGAGCUUACAAUGAAGGAUGUGCCUUAUGCUUGGGGUAUCGCACAGGAAGAGCCUUCACGGUUUUAAAAGAUAAGUUAACACAUGCUCCUUCACUCCAACUUCCUGGUUUUAAUAAGACUUUCCAGCUUGAAUGUGAUGCUAGUGGAAUUGGAUUAGGAGGUGUGUUGUUACAAGAUGGUAAACCUAUUGCAUACUUUUAUAAAAAAUUGAGUGGGCCUAGUGUGAAUUAUUCUACUUAUGAUAAGGAAUUAUAUGCUCUUGGUCGGACCUCGGAAACGUGGCAACAUUAUUUAUGGCCCAAAUAAUUUGUCAUACAUUCUCAUCAUGAAUCUUUGAUACAUAUUAAAAGUCAAGCAAAACUGAACCAUAGACAUGCCAAAGGGUUGAAUCCAUUAAGACUUUCCCGUACAUCAUUAAACACAAGAAGGGUAAAGAAAGUAUUAUUGUUGAUGCAUUGUCUCGUUGUUAUACCAUGUUUUCAAUACUUGACUUUAAAGUAUUUGGUUUGGAGACCAUCAAAGAUCAAUAUGUGCAUGAUGCUGAUUUUAAAGAUGUGUUGGAGAACUGUAAAGAAGGGAGAACAUGGAACAAGUUCAUCAUUAAUGAUUGAUUCGUGUUCCGUGCUAACAAGUUAUGCAUUCCAGCUAGCUCUGUUCGUCUUUUGUUGUUGCAGGAGGCGAAUGGAGGAGGAUUGAUGGGACACUUUGGCGUAAUCAAGACGAAGGACGUACAUGCUACACAUUUCUUUUGGCCAAAGAUGCGACGGGAUGUUGUGCGUUUUGUUGCUCGUUGCACGACAUGUCAAAAAGCUAAGUCACGACUCAAUCCUCAGGGUUUAUAUAUGCCUUUGCAUGUACCUAGUGUUCCUUGGGAGGAUAUAUCUAUGGAUUUUGUUUUAGGUUUACCUCGAACAAAGAAGGGGAGGGAUGGCAUAAUUGUUGUCGUGGACAUAUUUUCAAAAAUGGCACACUAUAUACCAUGUCAUAAAAGUGAUGAUGCUGCUAAUGUGGCUGAUUUGUUCUUUCCUGAAAUUAAUCGCUUUUGGAGAUGUUUAUGGGCUAAGUUGGGGACAAAACUACAUUUUAGUACUACAUGUCACCCCCAAACUGAUGGACAAACUGAAGUAGUCAAUAGAUCAUUGUCUACUAUGCUUAGGGUUGUUUUGAAGAAAAACCUAAAAAUGUGGGAAGAAUGCUGGCCUCAUAUUGAAUUUGCUUAUAGUCGUUUGCUGCAUUCUACUACUAAGAUGUGCCCUUUUGAAGUUGUGUAUGGUUUCUUACCUCAUGCACCUAUUGAUUUGGUACCUCUUACAUCUUCGGAUAAGGUUAAUUUUGAGGCUAAAGAACAUGCUGAUUUGAUAUUAAAGGUGCAUGAGUUAACUAAGGAAAACAUUGAGCGUAUGAAUGCUAAAUAUAAACUUGUUGGAGAUAAGGGUAGAAAACAUGUUGUCUUUGCAUCGGGAGAUCUUGUUUGGUUGCAUUUGCAUAAGGAUAGGUUUCCGGAUUUGCACAAGUCAAGCUAACGCCACGUGUUGAUGGUCCUUUCAAGGUGUUAGAGAAAAUAAAUGAUAAUGCAUAUAGAGAUGAGCUGUCUGCAGAUUUUGGGGUUAGUCCCACUUUUAACAUUGCAGAUUUGAAGCCAUAUUUGGGUGAGGAAGAUGAGCUUCCGUUGAGGACGACUUCAAUUCAAGAAGGGGAGGAUGAUGAAAACAUCAACACCAUUGUUACACCCACAGCACCAUCUGUUAUACAUACUCGACGAGUUACUAGAGCUCGCGCACGCCAAUGGAAUUACCAGGUACUUUCGUUUCUUGGAAAUCCUUCUAAUGUUCAUGAACAUAUGAUGUUGCCUAAGUUAGAUACUUUUGUUUUACUUAUGAAUGAAGGACCUAGCAUGGACAAGAAGUAUAUCCAUUGGAGCGGUAGCAAGCAUGGAGAAGAAGGUGAACUUGCGGGAAAGAACAGUGGAGAUUCCAAUCAUGAUUUUCGCACUUUGAAGCCACCAUAAGGAGAGCAUGAAGGUUUCGACGAAAUAUUCAAGAUGACACUUUACAAAUUUCAUCCGUAGGCUAUUAUAGGUGUCGCGCCACCUUAUUUUUGGGCCAUGCCCAUGUAAUUUUGAAAUACCAUACUAUAGGCUAUUUUUAGAGUUUGUAUAUGUGGGGAAACUGAGUUAGGGUCAGUUUCGGACCCCUCCUCCAAGGUGUCAUGAAAUUCCUCCUCUAUUCCCCAUAUAUACAGCCCUUAGGGCGCCGUUUAGACUUGGGUUUUAUUUAGAUUACAUGUUCACCAUAGAUGCAAAUUCGCAUUUUUCAUUUGUGUUCCACGACCACAAAAAGGCGUCACACAACCCCACUUUCAUCAAUAAAGCUUUCCUCUUAUAUUCGCAAUAUUCAGAUUGCAAUCAUAGUUUCUUGGUUGUUCUUCGUUUGCGUGCAGGAAACAGACCCUCAUGGUCAGGUUUAUCGUGCUCCGGCGUGGUCAAUAACCUCUCAGAGUUGAUUUUGUGAUUGCUAAGGCGCGACAUCCUCACACGUUUGUAGUCGGAUCGUCAAAGUCAAUUCCACCAGAACGAUAACCACCAUCUCAUCGAAAGACAGGGACAACUUUGCCUCCAUCACCUAGAGCGAAUGAUUUCGUUCGCUAGUUCAUCCUUCUAGCGCGUACGAAUGCCCAGAAUGCCCCUGGAGCGAACGUCAACUCCCUAUUGACAUCCUAAAUCUAUAACUCUAUUUUACUAGUUGAAACAAAUACUUCAAUACUGAUAUGACUGCACUCAACUCUAAGGGUGUUAUUGGAGUUGCCCUGACAAUUUGUCAUGCCAUUUAGAGCAUCUCUAGGAGAUUCCAUAUCUAAAAUUCCAAAAUUCGUCUUAUUAUAUCCUAUAAAGUCACAAAGGUGGUCAAACUUUUCUCCAGCUAGCAGAUCCACGAAAACUUGAUCCUUUAAAAGUAUUAUUUUGCUAAUUCAUCCAACCAUUUUAAAAAUUAUCACAACAUAUUUCAAUACUUUAGAAUUCAAGAACAUGCAAUUCAAAUACAUGACAAUGUUUAUGUUCUCAAACAUAAUCAUGCAAAUACAAACACAACAAAUGGUCCAAAUGAACUAAUACCAAAAGUUUCAACAGAGGAAUCAAGUGUUAUGAAUACGCCAAUGGUGCUCAAUAAGAUUUUCUUGAAGUCGAUUGUAAGCUUAACUGUUCUCAAUCGGUUGGUCUGAUUGGAGGAAGGCUUCAAUCCUAUUUGGGUUAUAUUGCGGCUCCACGAUUUCCCGUUGAAAAGAUACUGAAAGUCUCGUUGGUCAUCUCUAUCAUUUUCGAUGAUCUUAUUGUGCAAUAUAAUGCAUAUUUCCAUGAUCUUCUACAAGGUCUCGGACUUUCAAUACUCAGCAGAGCGAUGGAAAAUAACAAAGCAUUAUCCAAACACACCAAAACCUCUCUAAACAUCCUUUUUAGCAUAUUAUUGUAUAGUUGUAAAGUGAGAUUUCAUGUUGCCUUUAGGAUGGUGGAUUGUCUUCACAAUUGUGGCACAUGGAAGAUAUAUCUCAUCAACUAGGUAAUAUCCCUUGUUGUACUCAUUGUCAUUGAUAACAUAGUUGCAAGGUGGAUUGUCUAUGGUAAUAAGCCUUGCAAAAAUAGGAAAUCAUGAGAAGACAUUGAGAUCACUGAGAGAGCCAUGCAUCCAAAUUAUGUGUACUAAAUCCAGAUCAUGUGAUGCAAAUGCCAUAAGAAUGAUAGUUGGAUCAUGAAAUGCACUAUGUACUAACCUUUCUGUGCCGCGGGGAAAUAUUACAUGCCCAACGCAUACAGUCAAUUGAUUCAAGCAUCCCAGGGCAACCCAUCUUUUUAUUUUCUGCCAUGAGCCUCUACAUAUCCUCAUCAUUGGGAGACCUCAAGUACUCUGGUACACAUAUUACGAUCUCAUCAUCAUAGGAUCGUUUCACACAAUCCGUGAUAAGAUCUUCCCCAAUGCGAACAUAGUCAUCAAUAGCAUCGCCGAGGCAUUCAUAAGCAAGGACUCGCAUGGUUGGGAAAUCUUCAACAAUGAAUUGUAGUUUUUGUUCCUGUUGCAUUCCUUCUAGGUUGAAACAAAGGAUCAUGUUUCUCCAUAGCUUUUGCAAUGGUGUCGAAAAGAUCGUAGUGCAUCCGGAAUAUGUGCCUACAGUAGGAAGAAUGAUAUAAUGCAUUUGAGCAAAGUGAUCCCUCACUAGAUGAUCAUGACCUCACAUCUAGAAAAUACAUAUGGAAAUAAAUGAAGACGUUAUCCAUUGUGUGCCACAAAAUUAGCCUCCGGAUUACAACGUUGCAAGGAAAUUCAUCCAAUCAUGUAUGCUAUCUGGAAACAAUCCGCUAGAAUUGUUGAGUAUGGGCUCCAAACCUAAAUUGUUGAGUAUUGAUAGAUCUGACACGACUUGGCCUCGCUAUAAAAGGCCUGGCAUGACACUACCUAUGUCGGCCUUUUUAUACAAAGGUUGUGUUGUGCCAACCUAAAAGCCUGGCUUUGAAGAACAGCCUAGCAAGCAAGUUAAAAUGACCGGCCCAGCAUGCCAUGGUUUGGCUUCUUUUAAAAACUAAAAACAAACCUAAAAAGACAAAACAACACGUCCAUGAAAAGAUCAAAACAAACAUGCCUAAAAAGGCUCCACACUUAAAAGGGUCAUAUCGUGCUAGUUCUUAAGGCAUGGCCUUCGGGAUCCGCCUUGUUCUAUAACCCCACCCUUCUACUCAUGUGCCUUGCCACGCCAAUGACUGACCAACAAUACGUGCAUGUGGCCAAGUGUGUAAGACACAAACCAUAUGACCACCUUUAGUAAUACCUCAUCUACAAAAACGAGAGAUAUAUCUCACUUAGUGCGAGUGCUCCUUCCAUCUCGCCUGAAGAUUAAUCUCCACACUAUAGCUACUCGGCCGACCCAUUUCAUUUCCUUUUUUAUGUUUAGUUCAGGUUCGCUGAGUUUCAUUCGUUGGGUUUAGUUCUUGGUUUUCUUCUCUGUUGACCCUUUUCUCAGGUUUUGGCUUGAUUUUUUUUUAUUUUGUCUUGUAUUUUCUUCGGGGGUUUUAAUUUACAUCAGGUUCUAUAUUCUGUUUUCUAUUUCUUUCUUUUUUAGUUUUCCUAAGUUUUUACUUGAUCUUUAUUUCUUGCACUGUUUUUUUAGUUUUCUUCUUUCCCUUCUCUCUUCUGUUUUCUUUUGUUUCCUUCUUUGAUUUUUUAUUUUCUGUUUUGUUGUUUUUCCCAUCUUUUUACGUUUAUUUCCUAGUUUCAUCAGUUUUCAUCGCUUGUCUUCAGUUUAUUUUAUGUUUUCCUCAGUUUUCUCCUGGGUUUCAUAGUUUUCUUCAUAAUUUUCAUUUUUCUUCGUUUCUAAGCUGUUUUUUUUGUUUUUUCUUCCGUUUCUAUGGGUCUCAUUGUUUUUCUUUGUUUUUUCUUCAAUACAUGACAUUUUUCGUACACAUUUACACAAUUUACGCAUACACUACAUUUUUUGCACAUCUUAACAUUUCAUAAGUACCUAAUUAACAUUUUCCGCAAAUUAAUGUUGUAUGACUACCUUUUUAUACACAUUGUAUAUUUUUGGUGUAUAUCAAAAACAUUUUUAAUACAUGUUUAACAUUUUAUAAUAUAUCAUUAACAUUUCUUCAUACAUGAUCAAUAUUGUUCCAAUCUAAUAUUAUUAUGUUAAAUUUUUUUUAAAUGCUCCAAAAAAAUUACAUACAUUAGGGACAUUUUUUCUACACGUUCAUUGUUUGAAAAAUAGAGGAUUAAUUGUUUUCUUCAAAUAUUUGUGUUUGAUGACUACCUUUUUGUUACACAUCAGGAACAUUUCUUAGCCACUUAUAACAUUUUAUAAAUACACAAUUAACAAUUUUUUGAUACACAAUAAACAUUCCUAAAAAUUUAUGUUUCUAUGUUCAAUUCUUUUAAUACACGUUCUACAUUUUUGUAUACAUCAGGAACAUUUCUUGUAAAUAUUUAGUUUUUGUAAAAGACGAUUAACUUUUAAAACAUAUAAUUUUGUAUGUCUACUGUUUCCAUACAAAUUAUAUAUAUUUUGUAUACAUUAGGAACAUUUUUUAUAUACAUGUUUAGUUUUUUUCUAAAUAAAUGAUUAAAUAGUUAAAAUCUUGUUUUUAUUGUCCAGUUCUUUCCGUACUCAUUGUUUUUUUAUACUUUUUUCGUAUAGACCGGAAACAUUUUUCUAUACACAGUUAAGUUUAUUUUCAUUUUUAUUAAAUGUAAGUAAAUUUAUUUUUCUAACAUAUAUGUUUAGGAUAUUUCAAAGUACAAACAAAGGUUAAAAAGGAAAGAAAUCAUAAACAAAAAAACAGAAGAAAAACGAUCCACUGGACUCUCUCGCGCCUGCGCCGGCCAUGUAUAUGGCGUCGAGCGAGGUAUAGGCAGGCCAAUGCCGUACUAUCGAAAAUAAAUCUAUGAAUGUCGGACUACUGUACAUAAGUGGGCGUAUGGAACAUAGAUAAAAAUGCACGACUGGAGGGACACGAAAUAUCCGCUCUCGAGCUCAAAUGCAUCUUGAUAAAUAGUAAAAUUUUAGAAAUAGUAUAAACAUUCAAAAAAAUUGAAUUUCUUCAGUGGUAAACUUUGAAAAGUAUUUUGUAUGUUCACAAAAUUUCAGCACCAAAUAAGAUUCGUAGAAGUCAUGUUAAAAGAAAUUGGAUACUCCAACUUCAAGAAAUGCCAUUUCGUGCUGAAAUUUGUUCAGCAGACAAAACAUUUAUCAAAGUUUACCAAAAAAAAAACAGAUUUUAAAAAAAAUAUUUUUUUACUGUUUAUAAGGUUGCAUUAUAGGACUUCCGCGACAGGGAGCAGCUACGUCUACUAUCUACUGAUAUUUCCCCUCCUGGGUCCACGCAUGAGCGGUGCCGAAGCCCGAUCUACCGAGCAUCCACUGCAUCUGAGCUCUGCGGCGUGGUUGACCACCACAGCGGCACAGCCCAAUCAUACGGGAGCACGCAUGAUGUUCAGCCUCCGCACGCGCAUCGCCCCCCACUGCGCACUCGUCGACGCACCAGGCCUGCGGACGCGACACCUCGCCCUCCGCCGCAGGUCAGUGUCACCCAGCUCGGACGCAUGACAGAUACCGGGAAAAAUCGGGAGACGCGAGAGCCCCAGCACAGCACAGCACAGCACAGGCACUGUAGUGCGCACGCAGAGCCAAACGCUCCACAUGGCGCGUGAAGUUGACUUUUGAUCGUGAGGGAGCGACGAAGGACGAAGGAGCGGCCCUCCCCGUCGUAUAAAACCCCCCUCGCACCCACCACCCAAGGCGCCAUUGUCGCGCGCAGCAGCUCGAUCGUAGACAAGUGGAGUGCAUACUUGUGUGGUAGGCGGCGAGCGAGAGAGAGGCCAAACGCUGGACGGAAGAGAGGUGGAUCAUACUCAUAGCACGCACGGUGCUCCCCCUCCCCUCGUCUCCGUUCUCGUUGUGGUGAAGAUGACGAUGGAGUGCAGGAAGAUGACGCCCGUCCUUGCCCUUCUGCUGCUGCUGUCGUACCUUCUUCUUCCCCUCGUCUCCUCCGUGCCUGUGUCGAGUAAGUGAUUGACUUGACCCCCAGCCCAUGCAUUCGUGAUUCAUGCAUGCAUGGACCUUAAUUCAUGUGUUCAUCUUCUUUCUUGGCAUGUAUGUGCAUGCAUCUUAAUCUAGUGGCUUGCUCUUGGAUGUAGGAAGCGUGGCAUUGGGAAAUCAUCAAGCCUCCGCUUCUAGUCUGAAUCUGGAGGCGGUGCCUGUUCAGGUCAAUCUCUCCUCCUCUCGACCUCUCCCUCUCCCUAUCCCUCUCCCUCUAUCGGAUGCCUUUGUCGUCCUUGUACAUGUCUCUAGCUCCUCCUAGUGCGGGUUGAAUCCGUUAUUCCGUUGUGGGUUCAUAGAUGCCAAAUGGUACUGUACUCUCAUACAGACGUUGUGGCGAGUGGCGAGUGGCUCUGGAUGUUUCCUGCUUGCCAGGUGCCAGUUGCCGGAGCCGUCGCCAUGGCUUGCCUGUUCCGUUGUCUCUUCACUCGUUUAGACUUUAGAGGCUCGAAGCUAGCGCAUAGUACAUUGUGCCGUGACGGCCCUAGCUAGCAGGAAAACAUGGUUGAUAAUUCUACUAACCAUUUGAUUAACUAGCCUAGUAUAUAUAGCGCACUCAUAGGUCAAGGCAAGUGCUCUUCUGUAUCUGGCCUCCACUAUAGCACUCGGCCACUGAGCCACUCGUCACUCGCCACAUACAAGGCUAGGCUGAUGCUCUCAGGUCGCAGGUGACUACUCAACUCACUGACGCGGCACCCACAGUUUGACAAAAUCGCAUGUGACCUUUGGACGCCCGGAAGAGCAGACACGAAGCUGCGUCGGCCGGUUGCUAGCUAGUGCAGUGAUCCCAUGCCCAGCCACAUGCAUGCACGGCUAGAUAAGCCCGGCCGGGCCGGCGCAGUGCAGCUCACAUGCGUGGCCACUCCCCAUAAGCCAUUUGUUGUACUAUAUACUUGUAUAGUUGUAUUGCACCCACCCACACGAUCGACGGCUUUCCCUAAACAAGGAAAGGUCCACCUCGCUCGUGCAACAAGAACAUUCCCGCUCCCGGUGUGGUGUGGGGUUUGCCUGCAAGUUGCAAAUUGCGUACACAUGCAUCUAGAAUAUGUAUAUUCAGGUUGAGGUGUGUGACACUAACGCGGCUCGUGUUGUUCAUACAGGGCGUCGUGACGACGGCCGCUGAGGAGCGAAGCGUCGGCGAAGUGGUGGCGCGGAUGGACAUCGAGGUCAACGACUACCCUGGAUCCAGCGCCAACGGCCGCCAUGAGCCGCCUAGGAGCCCCGGGAGGGGGUGAAGCGCCGAUCUGCAGAACCUAUAUGGAGAUUAGUAAUGGGUUUAGUCUAGUCUAGAUAGCAGUUGGAGAUGGGAGGAUAUUGGUGGUGACUGGUGAGUCCAACGGGUUAAACAUGUCUCUGCUAACUCUCGAGAGCAAGGAAUGAAGCAUUUUAAGUAUUCCCUCUGAAAAUAAAUAUAAGACGUUUUAGAUCACUAAGACUUGUUUUUAUAUGCAUAUGCCUCUCUAAGCCCAUGUUUUUUCAAAAAGAAAAAAAAUGAUAGAGCAUGGACAUGCGUGUCUGCCAAUUUCAAUGACUCGAAAAGAACAAGACCGAGCGGGGAGAAAGAAUUCUGACUAUGCUUCUUUGGAUAGCUGUUUCAGUUCGGUAGAAUUGUAUGCUCCUCAAUAGUGACAUGACAGUGAUGUACAAGUCGACUGAAUUUGUAAUUUGGAUAAGUCAAAUUUAUGGGAGGAGAAACGGUUGAAAGAGAAAGGAGCUGAAGGAAGAAGAAAGAAGGACGGUCGUUGGAUCUUAGGCCAUGUUCGGUGAUCACCCACUCCCAGAAUCUAUGGAGUGGGGCAACAGCAACUCCAUCAUUUUAUACAGCAGCUCCGUCAACUCCGCUUCCGGAGUUGUGGAGCGGAGCGAUACCGAACACGGCCUUAAUCUAAUGGCCUAGAAAAAUUGACUUAUUCAAAAUAAAUUUUCUGGCGCCGGUCCCCAUUUCUCAUGCAGCCCACGCCGACUUGCGCGGUUUAAUUCCGUUGCGUGCUUGAAGCACCUUCUCAACAGUAGUGAUCAAACAGUCCAACAAGGACUGCAAACUGUGCAACCAUGGGUGUAGAGCUUAACACGACACCUGAAAACUGUCGACCGAUAGCUAAUGAAGUUAAGAACGAACACUGGUGCGAUGUCAACAUAUAUCAACAGAUCCGAAAGGAACGUACGGAUCGAUACGGGAGCAGCGGGAUCAGCCGAUUGGAGGCUAAAAACAAAUAAAUCUGGAUCCCUGCGUGUGUCCUAUUCAAUGGAGAUAAGCAGACUAUUACUCCCUUUGUAUCUAAAGAACUAUAGUACUCCCUCCGUCACAGUUUAGAAAACAUGCACGUGUAUCUACAUCGUUAAUUUGACUUAUAUAAAAUAUAUUAUUUAACAUAAAAAUUACAUAAUUAGAAAAUAGAACACCUAAAGUUUUCGAUGAUAUAUUUUUUAUUAUAUAUGCCUCUUAUUAAGUUGGUCAAAUUGACGACCUAGAUACAUGUGUGGGUUUUAUAAACUGAGACGGAGGGAGUAGAAAAGGCAUAGUCUGGUUUUUUCUAACUAUAAUUAUUUUAUUUACAUAAAGAUGGAGUAGUAAGCAUGGAUGUGUGGAUCUGGGGAAAACCUACUACAUGAGAAGGUCCGGUCGAAGUAGCUAGGAUCUGUUUUUCCUUUCCACGGUUUUCCUUGUUUUCUUGUUUUUCGUAUUUUCUUCACUGGUUUUCCUUUCCUUUAAAAAAACAUAUUUAUUUUUCUUGUUUUUUCAAAAAAGUUCAAAUUUUACAAAAAUGUUUGAAAAAAAUCAAAAAAUUCACAUUUUUCAGAAAAUGAUAAUAAUUCUAAAAAAUUGUGUUUAAAGAAAAGGGAAUUUGAAAAAAUGUUUGUGCUAUCAAAUUUUGUUUUGAGUUUGCAAAUCCCAUUUUCAAAAAUUGAUAACAAAUCCAAAAAAGGUUGAUGUUUUAAAUUAUAGUUGGAGACUCAAAAAUUGUAAACAUUAUCAAACUCUGUUCAAAAUUUUAAAAAUAAUCAUUUUCAAAUAGUAUUGACAGAUACAACAAUAUUCAAGAUUUCCAAAAGAAUCAAUUUUCUUUUGUAAACAAAAUGUUCACCAAUUUGGACUUGUCCGAGUUUCCAAAAAUAUUUCACUUUAAAAAAUGUUCGGAUUUUCAAAAAAAUAUUUUAGCUCUAUCGCUGCCUAUGGUUCUUAUAUCUCCAUGCUAGCCUUAAAGAAACUUUGAAACCAAAACUCAAAAACUCCAGUGGCUAGCCACUACCGUUCACAAGAUUGCACACCUCUCUCCGGCUCUAUACACAAUGAGCCGGCACACCAAGAUACCCCCUAUGCAGCCAUCAUCCUAUUUGACAAAAAGAGCAUCAAACGGUAGGUCCAAGGGUCUAAAUCGAUUUGAUACCUUGGGUAGAUGAGAUUUAGGUUCGGCUUAAUUUCUUCUUCAUGAGGUAUACGGGUUGGUUCAAUAUUUUAUAAUGGGCCCGAUCUCACCAAACAUCAAGUUGGACCGCUAACUUGACAAAUUUGGCAUUCUCGACACUUCGUUGUUUGACUCGGUAUGCACAGGUUGUACACUUGGGUAUGUGCGGCCAUCUCAAGCUGCCCCUUUUUUAGUCUAAACACAUUUUAUUUAUUGUUUAUUAAUGUUCAUAGGGAUACAGAAAAGGUUUGAUGGGUUAAUAAGCCGUAGAUGGCGUCCAUAAUUCAAACCUAGAGCCUGCUUAGCGAGGCAAUGUGUCUCAACAUUGGUAGUCUACCUUCGAUACAGUAAUAAAGGUACAAUAAUAAAGGUACAAUGGUGAAACAUUAUUGCGGUCUCUGUUACCUCCUUUACCGUACUUGCGUACGCGCCCCAUUCUCUCAUUGAUGUCAUGGACGACUCCUGUGCAAUCCAAGGCAAUGAGUAUACGUGACACACAGAGAUCCGCAACAAGUGCCAUCGCCUCACGACACGCUAGAGCUUCCAAGGUAGCAGGGUUUGUAAUUCCUCAAAAUUUGAUGGUCGGGGCGCCUAAGAAUAGGCCAGCAGAGUCCAUGCAAAUAGCGCUGACUGAACCCUCCAAAAUGUUCCUAGAAACAACCUCAUCCACUCUAACUUUUGCAGUACCAUGCGGCCGUGCAAUCCAUCGAGGUUGUGAUCGUGCCUCGACGACACCUACAACCGUUGGUGCUUUCCUCUGCUCGAUUCCCUCUAUUUCUCGUAUGUAUCCCAUGAUGAAAUUGUGUGUUGAGAGCGGGCUUUGGAAAUUAUUUUCAUGGAGUGCUUGCCGCCGUGCAUGCCAAAGAGCCCAGGUCAUUACAACCACGUGGAUCAUCUCCCGCAGAGAGCAUGUCCACAAGGGGGUAAAGAUACAUUGUCUCGCAUCUGGCUCCCUGUUAUUGCUCAAAGCUUCCACCAAGUACUACGUACUCCUGCAACGCCCAGACGCAACGAGACACUUCGCAAUGGAGCAAUGAAUGCUGCCACGAGUCUUCGGCUCCACAGAGUCCACAUCUCGUACUAGUUGACAUAUUGUGAUGAUGUAGUAAAUCUGAAGUGGGAAUCGACUGUUGGGCAAGCCUUCAUAAGAAAAUCUUAACUUUUGAAGCGACCUUAACUUUCCACAACUUCUCCCACGAUUUGGUAUAUUUAUAUCUGUUUCUGUAGAAUGAACACGGCCCUCGAGCCAUGCUUCCCUCCUGAAUUUAGUAUCCACAAGCAUGCGAUACGCGGAUCGAACAGAGAAGACUCCAUUUUUCUCAUGUAACCAAGACCAAAAAAUGUUAUUUUGUUUUGUGCACAAAGGUAUGGCCAUGAUCGAGUGCGCACCCGUUGGUAUGAAUAUCUCUUCUGUAGCAGUUUGGUCUCAUUCAGCACUAGGCAAAAUUAGUCGGCUAACUAGUUGCGGUUGGUUUGCAGCCCUGCUCAAGAUGGGUCGCAUGUUAGCUCGUCUCGGUAGCCAGUUGCGUUGCCAAAUGCGCGUUGAAGUUCCGUCACCUAUGCGCCAAAUCAAACCUUGCAUCAUAACGCCACGGACUUCAAGAAUAGCUUGCUACUCCCUCCGUCUAAAUAAGUGUACAUAUGAAUUUGUACUUAAUCAAACUUUUUAAAAUUUGACCAACGUUAUAAAAAAUAGUAACAACAUAUAUGACAUGAAAAUGAUAUAUUUGAAAACUUUAUGUAAAGAUAAAUCUAUUGAUACUAAUUUGAUAUCCUAAAUGCUAGCACCUUUUUUAGUAAAGUUAGUCAAAGUUUAACUAGUUUGACUGACAGAAAAAGAUAAAGUAUACUUAUUACCGGACGGAGGGAGUAGAUUUGUGAUGGAACCGAGCCCAGCUCAGAGGACAAAAAAUCGAUGUUAGGGUGGUAAUUUGCCUUCAGUACACACGCACUAAGGGACUCUAGAUCCAUUAUUAUUCUCCAUGCCUGUCGAGCCAAUAGGGCUAGAUUGAAGAGCUCGAUGUCACAGAAUCCCGGCCCUCCGUAGUACUUUGGUCUUGUCAUUGUGCUCCAAGACACCCAACUGGUCUUCCUGUAGCCCUCUUUGCUGCCCCAUCAAAAGUUUGUGAUCAAAGAGUUAAUGUGUUCACAAAGGCCACGAGGUAAUUUAAAGAAAGACAUAGAGUAUACGGGGACAACUUGUGUAACAAAUUUGAUCAAAACUUCUUUGCCUCCUACUGAAAACAGCUUCUCCAUCCAACCUUUAACCUUGUUCCACACUUUGUCCUUUAAAAACUUAAAGGCUCCGGUCUUGCAGCUUCCUACAUCAGAUGGCAUACCCAAAUAUCUAUUUGAAAGUGAUUCGUUUGUAAUAUUUAAGCUCGGUUCUGAGGGAGGUUAGACACCCCUUGCUGAAAAACACCAAGGAUUUUGACAAAGUUAUUGUUUGGCCACACAUGUUGCAAUAGCUAUCCAACAAAUAAGACAACUCAUUUACUCCAAGCUUUGACAAACAACAGGCUAUCAUCUGCAAAAGCAACUGGCUUACCGACGGCGCCGACGGAGCUACUUGGAUUCCACUGAGGUUCGAUGAUUCUUAUUGGGUUUUUAAGAGGCACGAAAGGCCCUCUGAUGCAAGCCAAAACAGGUAUGGAGAAAUUGGGUCUCCGUGUCCUAUCCCCGUGGAUGGUAUAUAAACUCCUCAGGCCCCCCACAUUAAAUAGAAUAUAAAAUUUCACCCAUGUUACCAUCCUCAUAAUUGAAGCAACCCAAGUGAUCUUGGACAUAAUAGCUUCAAGAUAAUUCCAUUCCAAUCGAUCGUAUGCUUUCAUCAUGUCCAAUUUGACCGCACAAAAUAUGUUUCAUUUUGCCUUAUUUCUCUUCAUAAAAUGUAAGCACUCAUAAGCCGUGAUGAUAUUGUCCGUGAUCGACCGUCCAGGAACAAAGGCUGAUUGCUCUUCAGAUACAAUGUCAGAUAAAAUCAGCUUUAACCUGUUGGAUAAAACCUUAGAAGCAAUCUUAUAUAGUACAUUGCACAAGCUAAUAGGCCUCAACUAGGACAAUGUAGUUGGGUCCUUUACCUUCAAAAUCAAGACAAGAAUCGUUUCAUUGAUUACCUGUGGGCUCUCAUCACCUCGAAGGAUGCGCAAAACCACCUUUGUUACCUCAGUGCCACAUAACCCCUAGUGCCUCUAGAAAAGAUGCGCUGAUAAGUGGAUACAUCAGAUAAACAAUUAAUUAAGCGUCUUAUCCACUUACGGGUGGCAUGGCCGGUAAUUUACUUCAACUUUACUUUAUGAGUAGGUUAUGGUAGAUGGACGAACCAAAAAAUCGAAGAAACGCACCAUCUUUUAUUUUUAUUAGGCAUAGAUACGGUGAUUAUUUUUAUACAAACUCAACAUUUUUAAUGUACAACGAAUUUUUUCUUAAUACAAGUAGAGUAUUUGUAAAUACGCAUAGAAUUUAUUAAAGCAAAAACCGAUCAUUUUUUGACAAUACCAUAAAAACAAAAAUAAAAACACCCGAUGACCAAAUUUAAAAACAAAAACAGAUAAAUAAUCACCAUAAAAACUGGUCAGACUCAUGAUGAAUGAAAAACUAGAUGGUCCUAUGACAUACAAAUGAUUAGGUGGAACCUUUUUUUUUAGUUUUACAGGUGACAGGGUGGAUAAUUUUCUUCAACUUUCUGUGCAGUUUCGAUGACACAUAAAAAUAAGAAAAAUAAUUAACAAAUAAUUUUUUAUUACGGGUGACAAAAUGAGUAAUUUAUUUUAACUGUAGACAGUUUUAAUGAUAAGCGGAUACAUUAGAGAAACAAUUAAUUAAGUGUUUUUUCACUUACUCGUGGCAUGGCGGGUAAUUUACUAAGCUUCACUUUAUGAGCAGGUUAUGUAGAUGGACGAACCAAAAAAUCGGAGGAACACAUCAUGUUUUAUUUUAGGCAUGGAUACGGUGAUUAUUUUUUGUACAAGCUCAAAAAAUUUAGUGUACAAUGAACUUUUUAUUAAUACAAGUAGAGUAUUUUUAAAUACUCAUAAAAUUUAUUAAAGCACAAACCAAUCAUUUUUUGACAAUACCUUUAAAACAAAAAGAAAAACACCCGAUGACCAAAUUUUAAAACAAAAACAGAAAACCAAACAAACAAAAACCCAUAAAAGGCCUGAAAGAACCGGAAAGAAAAGUUGAGAAAAAAAAGAACCAACGAAAAUACUAGAAAAGUUUGGCAUGGAAAUGCAUUCUUUCGUUAGUUUUGGCAUGGAAAUGCAGAACCGGAAAGAAAUGUGCGCCGUCGAAACCUGCCAAACUGGGCCGGCCCAUUUGACUUGCUAACAUUUGAAGGCGGAAGAAGCAGCUAUAGCGCGCGCAAUUUGCUAAAGGAAAAAAAAAAAAACUAUAGCGUGCGCGUGAGAUGCACCUCCAUUUGACAGUCUGCCGUCUCUCAGACUGUCGGUCCGGCUUCACACACUAGAAUGACUCCUUACGCAAUAGAAUAGAAAAUUUCACCCAUGUUACAAUGGAAGCUACUUUUUUUUUUGCGAAUACAAUGGAAGCUACUUUGAUACGCCGUUGCACCUCAGUAUAGGGUGGAUAUGGCCGCACUUUGUCCAGCUCCAGAAUCAUGGGCGCCACACACUUCAAGACGUAUGAGACGGUGCGCACUCGUAGGAACACACGUAGUACUCCGUAUUCCCCUACUCGAUGGCGUCUGUCUCGCAAUCAUCGUCAAGGCGAACAUCGCAACCUGCUGUGCUUGCUGGUUCAUACAUAGUCCAGACUCGGUCAGACUCUACCCCCAGCGCGCGGUGGAGCUCGACCAAAUCCAUCCAUGGCGAAGCACUCAAGCCGCUCGGUGCGGCCGUGCCCAACCGUUCCAUUCCGUCCGCACACGCCCGUCAACUUCUGGGGCACCACCCCGGACCGAAUCUCCCCGCGCGUUACCACAGAAAUCCGCAACAGUUGGGCGCUGAACCACACGCACGCACGCCGCCGCCCAACGCGUGGCCAUCGUGCUCUCCGGCGACGUGGAAAAUUUUGACCCAAAAGCAAAACUAAUUCACAAACUGAACUACGUUUGAAAAAAAUUCAUUCAGCUGACUCUUUUGUGUGACAUCUUUGUCUUAGACAUCAUACUAUAUUGUGUGUCGUCCGGCAUUAUGUUGUGUGAUGCCUGAGACCUAGUGUGACGUCUAAGGCAUGGGCGUCACACUACACUGUGUGGCACUAGUGCGGCGUCUAAGACAAAAACAUCGCACAGUGUAGUCCACAUAAAAAGAUUAGCUGGGUGAAAUUUUUUCAAACAUAGUUCCUUGUAUAAAAUACUUUAGCUUCUGGAUUAAAUUUGUCAAUUUUGCCUGCUCUCCCCUCGCAAGGGCCAAACUUGCAAGGAACCUGCUGGGAGUACCAUGAGAUCACGUAGCCAUAGCCUUCGAUUAGCGCUCCGUUUGUCUACACCCAUGCAUGUGACCUCACAUGCCCAAGAACAGUACCGCCGAAUCAACCGAGGUCGCUGUUCACUGUGCUCCUGUAUGAUGGCCAAACGGCUACGGAUUUGGUUUGGUUGGUUAAUCACAUGGGUUGGCGGGGACGGACCAGGACGACUUUUCGGGUCUAAAUUCCGCCACCUUGCAAAAUCGAGGUGCGGCUAGCCAUCAAGGCGGUGUACAAGGACUGUCAUGAUGGCCAAGUUGCACCGCUUCUGUUUGUUGCUUGUGCUAAGCAUGGUUCCGAGUUUGAUGGAACUCUUCUGUUUGUUGGUUAACGAAGGGAUCGAUCCGGGCCGGAGCAGUUGCGACUUGGCCUCGUCGAUGCCUACACGUGCUAGAGACCGGUCUGUAAUGCAGUGGUUAGCGGUCACUUCUGUUCCUUUGAUGUUCAGCUAGCUAGGCAUAUAAAAGAGGAGUAUGUUGUGCCAGGUUGGUUGAUAGAACUUCAGUUCAGUUGUCCUUCAAUUCCUAUAAAUGUUAAAAUAUAUUGCUCGUCUCUUUUCAUCAGUCUUUAUUUUUAAAGCAACCGACUAAAAUAUAAAUUUAAUAUAAUAUCCGAAUCAAGAGCUUUUUAGUUCAAGACCCUAUCAAUGUUGUAUUAAAAAUAAUACAGUUACGCGGUCUUCAUUGAUCCCGCGUCUAAGAAAUAAAAUAGACUAGACGUUAGGAGGUGUUGAAAUAUGUUGUCAGUCUCUUUUCAUCAGUUAAAAAAAUUGACCAACUGGAUGAAGGAUGAAUUCAAUAAUAACCAUCUCUUCAUCACUGAAAAAUAAUAAUCUUCUGCCUCUUUUACGAGCCAAAGUAAAUAAAACUAUUUAACGGUGCUGUGCAUGCUAAUGAAGUCCCUUGUAAAGUGACAAAUGCGUCAGUAUAGCGCGUCAAGUGUGGCUUACUGUUGUGAUGAAAGGGAAGCUUCAGUAUCUAGCCACGCAGACGAUCGGUCAACAAUCAGCUAUAGGCUAUAGCGCGUGUAACAUUCGUCACCUUCACUAUCAAUCUUGAUGGCGGGUAGGAAUCAAGCUACCGCCUUCUGAAUCAUUCUAUAGGGGGGUCGGUUUCACCGCGAAAUCCAGGGCAGAACAGCCAGGGAAUUAAACGACUAGUUUGGCCGUGUCGUCGUCUUCCAUUUGGAACCGUACGUGCAUGGGCACCAUUUGCACGCGACACACGGGCAUCACGAGACGAGCACUAACACACGCAAGUCCAAAACUGACGGUGUUAGAGCAUCGAAACUUUCAAUCCGACCCGUCAAACGUACGUGGACAAUGUUCGUUCAGUGACCGGGUAUGUUCGUUUUGAAUCUUACAUUUUCGCCCGCGCAGAGGCACCUCUCAUAUGUCUGGUUAUUUUUACGUGAUUGAUAAAUAACAAGAGAAAAAAAAAAGAAUGAAUAAACAAAGAGAAAAGGUGGUUUGGUAUGGGGCCUCGUCCUAUGUGGCGGACUGACCGGUCAUGUUCGGACACGUCCACGAGCCCUUAUAUCGCCCCUAUAUUUAAGAUGGAUUUAAAAGGUGUCGGGCCAGUCCAAAUGUUUGAGAUGGAUAUAAAGGGUCCGUCUGGAUUAUUUUUUUGUGACCGGUUAGUAACCGGACUGUUGUCGGGACAUUUGAGAAGGGUUUGCGGGGUCUGGCUGUAGAUGCUCUUAGUUGUGUGAUAAGCGAAGAUUCAAAACAAUUAUUUAAUUAUUAUUAGAAAAAUAUACCUUUUUCCCAGCAAAAAAAAAAGGAAAUCAUACCUUUUAGCCAUCCACGCAAAGUUGUCAGAAUCGGAUCGGAACUCCAUUGAUAGGAUCAUGAAUCGUAGGAUCAUAACUAACAGGAUCAUAAAAACUUAGAUUUUAUGAGCAAAAUCGUAAAAUCGAAGGGGCUAGUUUGGAUUGUAAAGUCGUAAGAUUCUAAAACUUAAGUCACGAUUCUGACAACUCUGAUCGACGUUAACAUGCGAAAUGUUAUUGUGUCGGUUUCCUGACAAUUCUGCUUCGAUAACCAUCAGAUGUGUGCACGGAUCUUGAAGCACAAACGCGUCACCAUGUGAGCUACAAAAACCGUCCGUCUGAGGUGCGGAACCGCGGAACUAAAGCAACUAAGUGUGUCAUACUUAAUCCUCCCACAACCAAGCGGCUAGCUUGGUAAGCUACCUAUAAAAAUUGCAUUCUUCAUCACCUCCCACUCAUUGCACUCUCUCCUGUCCCAUUUGAAAUUUCCAAUUUGAAUAAUAAAUUAACAAAAAUAAUCUACUAGGUAAUAAAUUACAGUGCACAUAGUUAGAACGAACAGAUUAUGUUUGAUGGUGUCAUAUAUUACACACGAUUAUGUGAAGAAUAGCGUGUGUGAUUAUUAGCUUUACAACACACGGUCGCAUAUUUUACGCGUGCGAGAUGUGCGCAAUGUCACACAUGCGAUUGCAUGCCGUAAGCGUUUGCGAUUAGCGUCAAUAGCACAAAUGGUUUCAAACAUGUGUGCGUGUGUAAUGUAUGACAAUAAGAAGACGGUUGACAUACGAAACGUGUGUGUGAUUGAAACAGCUAUCGCACACGAUUAUCAAAUUGACGCAUUGGCGAUAGUAGAGCCACCACACAUAAUUAAAAGUUUCGGAAUGUGUGUCAUAAUAUAUCUAUCGCAAACAGGUCGUUGGAUUAAAUGUUUGUGAUAUCCAUAUUUCUCACACGAAUAUAUUUGAACCAUCAUCUCGGAUGAAUGGUUGAUCACAAACAUAACAUCAAAGUAUGGCAUGUGGGAUAGACUACGACUUCACAUACGCUUACUUUAGGCGAAUCAUCAACAUACGCCCGCCCCAUCACAAAAUAUGUUUCAUUGUCGUGUGGGAUGGACCCCUAUAGCCCACACAGGAAAGGCAAGAGUUUGGAACUGCAUCGCGCAAAAGGGUUAAAAACCAUUUGCAUAGGACCUAAAGGUACCAGUGAUUUAUCUUUAGUGGGAGUGGUGCAUUGUGAUGAGUUCAAUAUUGUGGUGCUCAAUCCUAGUGACAGGAAAUGACACAUAUUUGUAUUGCUGCCAUUAAGGAUUAAACGAUGGGGUUUAUUCAUAUUGAUUGAGUUUACUUUGUCCAGGCCAUGUCAUCUUGCCCCAAGCAUUACUCGGUUUCAUACUUAACACUCUAGAUGCAUGCUUAAUAACGAUCGAUGAGUGGAGUAAUAAUAGUAGAUGCAAGCAAGGGUCGGUCUACUUGCUUAUGGACAUGAUGCCUAUAUACAUGAUCAUUGCGUUGAAUAAGAAGUCAUAACUAUGUGUUAUUCUAUCAAUUGCCCAACAAUAAUUUGUCUACACACUGUAUGCCAUCUUCAAGAGAGAAGCCUCUAGCGAAAACUAUGACCCUCAGGUCUACUCAAAUUAUAUUAUAAAAACUACAAAAAUAUUGUUGCCAUUUAUUUUUUGUUAUUUACUUUUGUAUUUAUAUUAUCUAUCUAUCAGUUUUUAAUCUUUGCAAGUAAUGAGUUUAAGGGGCUUGACAACCCUCUUGCCUCUGUUGGGUGCAAAGGUUUGGUUCUCCAUGUGCAGGUGCUCACGAUGAGAGUUUUCUUAAUACUUCUAUUGGUUCGAUAACCUUGGUUCUCCUGAAGAAAGUACUUACAUCUAUUGUGUUGCAUAUCCUCUCCUCUUUGAGGAAAAUCCCAAUGCAGUUUACAAGUAGCAUCCGCCGCGCCACACCCUGCCAAAACUCGAUGAGUAUGUCACCUCCAACGGUACAAACGGGCUUGAAGCCGCUUCUCCUACAGUGUUGUUCCUCACCUCUCCUUAGACCACCGUGCAGGUACCAUCUACUCCUAUGAUGAUCAUCAUGCCCGGAACAUGGGCGGUGAAAGCUACUCCUAUGAUGAUCACCAUGCCCGGAACAUGCUCGAUGAAUUUCACGAGCUAAUUUUUUUGCACCUUCUUCCUUGAAGCAAUGGAUUCAUGUAUGGAGUAGAUAUACAAACACUAUGUUGGCUCGUCCGACGAGGAGGACUACACGGGGUGAGAUGGUGAUGAUGCAAGCAGUGCUUGUAGACGUGGAACAUGCGGAGAAGCAUGUUCUCAAUUUCAAAGAUCGGUCAAGGGUCAUCGGAUGCUCAAGCGCAACCGAGCGUGCAGCCAUUUGAAGUUGAUGGACGACUACUUUGUCCCAUAUGCCCUCUUUGCUGGAUUAUUUUGUCGGAAGUUUUGGACGCGCAAAAAUAUCUUCGGUCGUCUCUACCAUGACGCCCGGUUCUUUUACGACUACUUCAUCUUGAAGAAGGACACGAUGGGAAGGAUUGGGUUCUCUGGUACCAAAAAUGCAUAGGCACACUGUGAAUGCUUGCAUAUGGCAGGGCAUUGAUUUGUGGGAUGAGUAACUACGGAUGUCUGAGAACACAUGUGAAGAUAUCAUGGUUAGGUUUGCAAAUGUGUGAUCGAGGUGUUUGGACCAUAAUACCUAAGAGAACCAAUUGUGGCAGACACCUAGAGUAUCUUGACAAGCAUGAGGGUGCUCACGUUUGCUUGGAUCUCUUGACUGCAUGCGUUAGGAAUGAAAAAAUUGCGCGGAAGCUUUACAAGAGCAAUAGCACGAUCAUGUUAAGAAUUCCACCAUCAUUUUUGAGGCAGUUGCAUCACAUGAUUUUUGAAUCUGACACGCUUAUUUUGGCAUGCUAGGUUUCACAGUGACAUUAAUAUCUUGCAGCGAUCACCAUUGUUUGCCAGACUGGCUGAAGGAAAAGCUCAUCCUUGCCACUAUAUUGUCAAUGGACAUGAAUGCAACAUGAACUACUAUUUGGUUAACGGUCUCUAUCCUUCGUGGGCUAUCUUUGUCAACACUAUCUCUAAUCCAGUUGACCAGAAAAAGUCUCACUUUCCCCAAAGACAAAAAUCAUUUAGAAAGGAUGUUGAGAGGGCAUUUGCACUUCUGCAUGCAUGUUUUGGACUUGUUCGUGGACCUGCUAAAUAGUGAGAUCCGGGGAUCUUAUGUGAGGUGAUGACCUGUUGUGUGAUCAUGCACAACAUGAUCGUGAAGGAUGAGUGUGAGGAUGCUGCGACAACUCUUAAAUUUGAGAACAUGCAUGAGUGAUUCUAUUGAACUUCCCGACCAAAAUUCGGCCCCAUUUGAAGAAUAUGUUCAAAUGCAUCAACACUUCGGAUCGAACAAUUCACGAAUAACUCAAGAAAGAUUUGAUCGAUCAUAUGUGAAUGAUUAAGGAAGACAACAAUGUUGGAGUGUCAUAUUUAAUUUUUUUUAAUUAAAACUGCUACUGCAUUUGAAUAUUUAAGCCAUUUUACACUAUAUAUGCGACUAUUAAACGUACGGAGUAGGAUCAGAUGUUAGCAGGUAGUUUUAGAUAGCCGGCUUCCGCAUCUAUGUUCACGGAUUGGCCCCUGUCCGUGAACGGAUGUGAGAGCAAAUUUGUGGAUCAGGUCUGCACUAAGUAAUAAGUAAUGAUCAAAAGGGUCAAAAUUUCAGCAACCGAUCAAGUCGCUGUUCAACGUACAAUUUAUGGUCGUCGAAGAUGGGAGCACAAGAAUGUAAUACACGCAAUCGACCGCUAAAUCAAAUGCAGUUUUAUCCCACGUGAUACCGAGGAAAACUCGGUCAACUUGAAGAGUUUCAGACGUAACACUGUCAGUUGUCACGGUAUUGACGAAUGACAUUGUCGUUCUCCACGCACCUGCUUGACCAUGCUUCCAUAUACCAUUACUACCGAGAGUCCAUAGAUCACACGCAAGAAGUUUUCUCCACCCCACAAGAAAACACCAGCACGACGUCGUCGUUAUUUGACAAAGUACUUCCAUAAGCGAUCUCAGAAAUCAAGGCGAAUCUUGUUUGACAUUAUUUUUUAUAAAUGCUUAUAUAAUAACCGUACGACGAUUAAUUAUUUAAAAAGAUAAUACACAGUACAGUAACUCACACAAUCAUUAAACAAGGAGUGCAUGUAGUUUAAUACUUUCUCCGUUCCUAAAUAUAAGUCUUUUAAGAGAUUUCACCAGUGGUCUACAUACGAAGCAAAAUGAGUGAAUCUAUAUACUAAAGUAUGUCUAUAUACAACCGUAUAUAGUCCACUAGUGGAAUCUUUAAAAAGACUUAUAUUUAGGAACGGAGGAAAUACUUUUCUUAAUUAACCAAGUUGUAAAUGCCACACGCCUUAAUUCUCUUCUAUUCUAAAUAUGCAUGUAAACAGAACCGUGUCUUCUAAACCGUGACGGGGAGUAGUGUGCAUACGUACGUGGGGCUGUGGAGCAUCAUCCCAGGUCUUUUCUCUUCUAAAAAAUAAAAUGAAAACACUUAAAAUAAACCGGCUGAUUACAGCGUCGCAUAAGUCGCCUCAGCACUACGACGCAUAUCCCACACGGUGUGGCCCCAGCACAAAAUUCGAUCGAAGCUUUUCUUCCUUCCCAAUCCAAAUCUCACGGGCGCUGCAAUGGCAACCGCCGCCAUCUCCCACCUCCGCCGAGGCGCGCAACGCCACGCACUCCUAUACCUCUCGCGCUGCCACUUCUCCUCUCCGUCCUCCCUCGCCGAUGCCGCCCCGCUCGCAACCGCUGCUCGCGUCAGAGUUGCAAUCGAGUUUUGCCGGAGUCAUCGACGUUGCGUCGAAGCUCCGUCAAGACUGCAAUGGAAGCUUCAAUGGAGCGUCAGGAUCUGCAAUGGAGCGCCGCCUGGCUCGUCGCGUUGCAACGAAGUUUCGUUGAAGCUUGAGUGAAGCAUGCCACGGGAGCGUCGUCGGGUCGGUGGAGCUCGUUGCGGCUGCAAUGGAGCUUUGCCGGAGCUGCAAACUCCGGUGAUGCUUAGGGGACGCUGCAAACUUUGGUGAUGCUUAGGAGGGCGCUGCAACUCCGACAAUGUUGCUUGAAGCUUGUAGGGAGCACCGUCGGUGUUGCAAUGGAAUAACACCGGGCCACCCGAAGCAUAGCCGACGCUGCAUUGAAGCUUUGCUGGAGUUACAAUGGAGCUUCGCCGAAAGUAGGCGGUGUUGCACUGAAGCUUUGACGGAGUUACAAUGAAGCUUCACCGGAAGUAGGCGAUGUUGUACUUGAGCUUUGUCGGAAGCCAUCGCUGCUGCAUAGGAGCUAUGGAUGUGGCCGCGUUGUUGUGCAGUGAAGCUUUGACGGUGUUUUCACUGUUGCCGAAGUGUUGCUGCAUCUGACGGCCACCUGCAGGCGGAUGAUUUCUAGUGGUCGCCAAAAUAAAAACUCGAGUUUCACCGAGACGAAGCGCUCGUCGGCGUCUUAGUGCGUGCGCGGCACAUCGAUCGCCGCGGAGGUGAGACGGGACAUUCCCUGAACAGAAUGCACCAGAACGGCAACCGGGAAAGGAAAAGCGGAGCAGCGUGUAUGCAACGACGACACGGGACGGGAGUCGCUGCCCAAGAAGAAGCUUUAACCGGCGGAAUUCCUCCGUGGUGGCGGUGGCAGAGACGUGCGCCACCACGCACGAAGCAGCGCCUUUUCUUCCCCUGAUAACGCCGUGCACACCACGGGAGCUUUUGGUCCAGAAACGCACAUAAUAGAUAGGCAUAGAGCGGCUGGUGGCGUACGGCGCCACUACGACCGGAGCCGGCCGCACGACCAGCGGCCCCGCCGGUGCCACGUACGCCCGCCCGCCCGUCCGGCGGAUCGUAUAACGCGUGCGGCCGCGGCGUUGACAUCUCGACGGUGCGGCACACACAGCACCGGCGUCAUCACUUCCCUGUACUACUACUAGUACUAACGGCUUUUGGUAGUAGCGUAAUACUUACUGGCGGCGUGAACGAAGCGGGCAGACGCUCGGUUGCCGCCGGUCGACCGAGCCGAGCCAGGCCCCGACCCCACCGAUCCGAUCGGCAGCGGCAGGUCCCACGCAGGUUCGCUCCCCCACAGUCACAGACCAGAUCCCGACGCCCCCACCACACCACACCACACCGCACCGCCCUUCCCUCUUCCCAAACUCGCGCAGGCAAACGCACCGGCACCGCACCAGACCAGACCAGGCCGAAACGGGCGAAUUUCACCCGCCGGAGCCAUGGCGGAGUGCCGCAGCCUCAUCGAGUUCCUGCGCGCCUUCGAGCAGCACCGGAGGGCGGCGGACCCCUCGUCUGCCACCCGAUCCAAGCGCGCGCCGUCCCCCUCCAGGCGCCACAGCCUCACCGCGCUCUGCGACCACUCGCCGAUGGCCGCGCUGGACGCGCUCCUGCUGCUGGCCGUGCUCGCCGCGCUGGGCUUCCUCGUGGCCCCGCACGCCAGGCUGCUGCUGCUCGAGGCGCGCGCGCUGCUCCACCCGGCGGCCUCCUGCCUCUCGGCCGCGCCGCUCGCGGGGGCCGNGCCGCCGUCGCCGGGGCCGCGCUCGGAUGGGGCCUGCUGGGCCACCACGCGCGCAAGUGCGGCAAGCCGCGCUGCAGGGGCCUCAAGAAGGCCGUCGAGUUCGACAUCCAGCUCGAGACGGAGGAGUGCGUGCGCGGCCGCCCCACCCCCGCCGCGCGAUCGGCCCUGCUCGCCGCCGCCGGGGCGCCCCGCCCCGUCGAUCUCGGCGACGCGCACCGCGAGCUGGAGGCCGAGCUCCGGAAGAUGGCGCCGCCCAAUGGACGCACCGUGCUCAUCUUCCGCGCGCCCUGCGGCUGCCCCAAGGGCCGCAUGGAGGUCUGGGGCGCAAAGAAGGUGCGCCGGAUCAAGAAGUAGACACACACAAGAUGAAGGGUCGGAUAAUUCCUUCAUCAUACUAGUAAUAAGCAGUAGCUGAAAUACAGGUUGCCUCCCUAC
Molecule: long non-coding RNA, 187741 nt
Filed under: Hordeum vulgare
Lineage: Eukaryota; Viridiplantae; Streptophyta; Magnoliopsida; Poales; Poaceae
Description: long non-coding RNA (HVUL_LNC007791)
Source: RNAcentral